UCCAUAUCUCAAACUGUGGCUCGUUGGAAGAUUUGGAGAUUGAUUGGGUUGGGGAAGGAAAGAAAACAGUAGAAUCUAAUUACCUUCAGCCUUGGGUCGGUGGGCAUCGAAAGGUGUUCGAGGUUGAAGGACCUAACAUGGGUUGCUUUUGCUCCAAACCUUAGAAUUCUUGAAAUACUUGAUUGUGAUCAAAUGCAAGAAGUAAUAGGUACCGGUAAAUGUGCUGAAUCUGCAGGGAACGGAGAAAACCUUGGUCCAUUUGCCAAACUCCAAGUGCUUGGCUUAGAUAAUUUACCACAAUUGAAGAGCAUAUUUUGGAAAGCCCUGCCAUUUAUCUACUUAAAUACAAUCUAUGUAGGUAAUUGUCCACUUCUAAAGAAGCUGCCACUCAACGCCAACAGUGCCAAGGGACAUCGUAUUGUCAUUUCCGGACAAACCGAGUGGUGGAAUGAACUAGAGUGGGAGGAUGAGGCAACUCAAAACGCUUUUCUUUCAUGCUUCGUACCUAUUGAAGAAUAAGGGCCUGCAGCAAUCUUAAAGAGGCUUCAAUGUGAUUAUAGGUGAGACCCCUUUCAGAAUUAACCAUCACUUGAUCCUGAAUAGGUAUUGGUCCAAAUAAAGCAGUCAAUUAUAGCAUCUUUUCAUGGUUGUAUAUUCAGAAAAAUGCAAUUCCACUUCAAGCACAAAAGGCAAUUGAUUGCAGGUUUACAAGAGAUCAUCUUCUUGUUGGAAUUCAGAUUCCGUAACCUUUACACAUGUUGGUCAGAUCUGACCUUUAAAAAGUACCCAUAUAAAAAAGCCCUUGUGGCUUUUCUAAUUUAGCUUGACAAGUCAAUGGUAUAUAUUUUUAUGCGAUCUUAUUUUAUUUAGUUGCAGAAUAUAACUUCAUAUGCAAGAAAUGCUAGCUUUCACAACCUUGGCUUGGCAAGAAUCCGUUGCUGUCCGAGGUUGAAGGAUCUGGAUGGCUUAUUUUCAAGCCAAAUGCUCAAUAUGUUGAUGUGACAAGUUGUAACCAAAUGAAACAUGUAAUCGUUUAUCUAUGUGAGGUGAACUGAUGGUGUAUAUAUGUUGUUUCAUAUUGUUUGUGUGAAUUGAUGCAUAAUUUGUUGUGAUUUAGUGUGUACAGUUGCAUCAUAUAAUAAAAAUGGUUUGUGUAUUUGAAUUGCAAUAUGACACUUUUUAUUCUUGGAAACAAUUGUGAGAUGCAUGUGUGUCGAAAAUUUGAGCUAGAUGGCUUUUCUUAAUUGAUCUACUUCAACUGAAGAGCAUGCGUCGAAUUUCUUUGCUUGGAACCAAUAAUAGGUUUACUGGGCUGAAAUAUGUAUUAUCCUCAUAUAAAUAUUGCUUUUCAUGGUUGUAUACUUUGGGCUUCCAAUGUAUAAUUUAAAAAAUAUAAUGGUUGAGUCCGGGUACUCCAAGAUCAGCUAGGAAAUAUGGAGAAGGAACUUUUUGAUGGUCCUUACCUUAUUCUAGUGAAUGGUGAUUCUCAUAGCUUUAAAAGAUUUUUUUACUCAUCAAAACAUUUGUACUAAGCUAAUAUCUAGCUAACACUUGGGCCAUUUGGCUACUCAAAAUUUUUGGCUAGUAUGUGUAAGAGCUAAGUCAAUCUUCUAAGGUAUUAAGUGAAAAAUGUAUUAAUUUCAACUCUCAAGCGAUGAUAGAAUAAAAGUUUAGAUGGCUUCUCAGCUAAUAGUUUGUAGGGAUUUGAAGGGUGUCACAACUUAUUAUCAUUAUAUCCAAUCUAUAUUGCAUUUUGUAAUUACGCUUACAUAAAACUUGUAUUUAUACCCUCAAUAUUUAAAAAGUAUAGUUGGUUGAUAAAAGAUUUAGUAGAAAUCCUAUUAUUCCUAGACACGAGAAAGUUUAAGAAUUUAUAAUGCAUCAACCUUCAAUAGUUAUAUGUAUUUCGUUUGCAACAUCACCCACUCACUAGAAGUAGACCUUAUGGUUAUAUGUCAAGGUAGGUAAUAGUGUUGAUCCCUAGACGCAUGGAGCCUUGAGGAUAGUAAAACCCAAAUAUGAGUAUGAUAUCAAAAUAGAUAAAACGUGUAGCUUCAACCAAAAUUCUUUUCUUAUUACUAUUGUACAUUUCAUAUAGAUGCACUAAAUUUACAAUCCAAUUACACUACCCAAAUUCCACUAUGGCUUCAAAAUUAAACAGAAUCAAUCUUUAUUUUUGCAUGUAUUUUUACUUGGUGUGUUUUUCUCUUAAUUUACAACUCCAUCUUGGUUCUUUAAUAAUUUUCUAGUAUGAAGCUGAGUGAGUUCUUGAACUUAGUUCAGGAUUUUUUUUAGAAUUCUUUGGCCUCAUAUCUAAUAACAAUUUUUUAAUCUUAGCUAUUUCAAAAUUCUUCAAUUGUCAAAUUGUUGUGCCAAUGUGAUAGUUUUGAACUUAUUUCUAUUGUGCAAUUAAAGCAAAAAUAAAAUAAGCAAGAAACAUAAAAAAAACAAGGUUUAACAUGGUUACUUGGUUAUAUUUAGAAUUUACUAUUUUAUAAUGAAUAUUAUGAAAAGAAAACAAGACAAAUAUACAAUUUUAAGUUUGAAAACAAUAUCAUAUUUUCCUACUCAUAAUGAAUUUAAGUGCUAAACAUAUAGUUAGGAAUGGGUUAGAGGAUCCAUUUCAAAUUGUUUAUUAUAUAUUUCUAUUAAUCUUGAUAAGAUUUCCAUAUUUUAAAAAUUGCAUUUUUGGAAAGAAAAGCAUCACCAUAGUUGAAAUUUUUUAUUAUUUUGAAACUAUCUUUUGAAUCAAAGAUUAAAAAAAAAGAAAAAAGGAAUAAGAUCAUAUUAAUUUUUUCAAUUUGCUUUUGAAUUCCUUUUAUAACUUUUCAAUUUUUUUAUUCAUUUUUGUAUUAAUUUUUUUUCCUUUGUCCAUAUAUCAACUUUCUAGAUGUUUAUACUUCUCCAUUAAUGUUAUUACUCUCUAUUUUAACAUCUUAAUUUUUUUUCUUAAGUUUAUUGUUUCAAAACAAGAAGGGUAUAUAAUGACUUAAAGAAAAUAUAAUGUUAAUUUUUAUUAGAGAUGUAUUUAAUUUUCAGGUCUGAUUUACCAUGUAAUUAUUUUAACUUCAAUCAUUCCAUUAAAAAUUAUAUAAAAAAUAGUGGAGGAGUCUAAAAAUGGGCUGAGAGAGGCAAGGCAUAGGUAUCAUCUGAGGGUAGGUAAAUGAACAAAUUACUUGUGUGGGCUAAUGGUAAUUAUUAAAAUUCAUGUUUUAUCUUGAGAAAGGAAACAAAUCCCUCUUUGUACAAAAAUUUUAGGGGAGAACUCACCCUAAUCAGGAUGGGUAGACCAUAAUUGGGCACCAUAACUAAGGGGUCCCAUUGGUUCCCUCCUCUCUUUCUCUCUCUCUCUCUCUCUUUUUUUUUUUUUUUGUAAUAAUCAAAUACAACUUUUAAUGCUUGUAAUGGGAAUGGAGUGUAGGAUGUAAACCAUCAAUUAAAGUUUAUUCAAGAAUAAUUGUAAGAGGAUUAGAAGUCUCUCCUAGUAUAAAACCAUUUCCUUACAAUUAUUAUAUAUAUAUAUAAAACAAAUUUUUGAAAAUCAUUUUUAAAAUCUAAUAAUCAUUUUAAGUGGUUCCUAGAUAAUUUGUAAGUAGAUGGUUUUAUCCAAAUAAUUAUUUUAUUAUUAUAAUAUAACAUUAAAUCACUAUUUUGUUUAUAUUUAAAUGAUAAGUGAUUGUAUUUAAAAUUAGUCCUAAUGUAACCAUUACUUAAAAUCACUUUUAAAAAUCUCAAAACAUAACUCGAAGUGAUUUUUAAACAAUCACUUGAUAAAUAUUUCUUCUAUUUUUUUUAUAAUACUUUAUCAAAAAAUACUAGCAAAACGUUUUUUUUUUAGUUUGUAUUUGAAUGCUAAGGUAGCAUUUAGAUAUACUUUUUAUUCUAUUUUUUUAAAAAAAAAAUAAUUGAUUUUUUUUUUUUAUAUAAAAUAGAAGAACUAUAUCACAUAAAGCAAAAGUUUAUCAUGUGUUCUUUAAAAUUUUUUCCAAAACUUUGAGAAAGUGAACAUUUUUUACUUUCUUAAAGUUUAAAAAUUUCAAAAAGUCUUUUCAAAUAUUCAAGGUAUAUACUUACUUUUGUACAAACAUUCCUACAUUUUUUUAUAAAGUUUUCUAUUUUAAAAAUAAAAAUAGGAAAUAUAUCCAAACAUACGUUAAGGGAUUCUCUUUAAAAAUGUUUUUAAUAGAAGCGCUACUAACAAAAAUAGUGCUACAAAUAAAAAUAAUUUUUUUUUCAAUGUUUCAGAUUACCGAAAGGAAUAAGGGAAUGCAACAUUAUGGAAGAAGCUUAAAAAUGAUUUUUGUUUAGGCUUAUUUUAUUUGCAAUCUUGCAAUCUCAUGCCCCAAGUGUUCUCAUUCAUCAAUUUCAUUGGUAAAAUAUUAUUAAAGAAAUUAAAUCAAGAACCCUUUUCAUAUUUAUAUUUAAUGGAUGGAGCAUUAGCUUAGCUAAGGGUCCCACGUGUGCCCCAUCUCUCUUUAACAAAUUCAACUUCAAUAAUUCACUUUCAACUUGGUGUGUCCCAUCAGACCCCUCAACCACUUUCUAAUCCUUCAUUUCCCUCUCUUCUCAUCAAUUUUCCUUUAAUAUCUAGAAAUACAAGCCAUUCAUUUUUGUCAUUCUUCUUUCUUAUCCUCUCCUUAGAAUUUUAAAUACAUCAUGUUUGUCGUCUCCAUCUCUACCCUUUCUUUAAUUAGAGUUUAUUUAGGAAUAAUUUUAUGAGGUUUAGAAGUGCCUCCUAAUAUAGAAACACUUAAAAAAAAUUAACAAAAUUUUAAAAAUCACUUUUAAAAUCUAAAUAACCAUUUUAGAUGGUAGAGUACCUUCUAAAGAGGAAAACAUUGAUUAUAAAAAUAAUAUAAAAUAAAAUAAAAACAGCUCCAAAAUCUCAACCUAACAAUAAAUUCAAGUGUUGAGAUUCCAAAAUAAGGAAAGACUUUAGAAGUUAUCGAAGGUGUCUUCUUUUCACAUUUCAAUUAUUAUAUUUUCUCAUACACUUUCUUCUAUUCACAUUUCAAUUGUUGAAUUUUCUCAUUGAUUGAAGUAACAAUUAAUGAGAGAAGAAAGUUAAGAGUAAGAGACAAUUCAUCUCUCUCUCUCCCACUAAAAUGUCUUCAAGAUAUUAGUUUGUUCAUAUGUACUUUCAAACUUUAAAAUUUGGAUGGAUUCACCUAUACUUUCCAACUUGAUUAAUACAGUCUACCAAGUGAUAGAGACUAAGUUUUAAAAGUUGUUUUUCCUUUGUUGUAAAAUUAUUUGUCUAGAUAUUUUGAGUUAAGGUCAUGGUAUAUUCCACUUAAUGAUAAUUGUAUUCCUCGUUAGAAAGUAUUCAACAUUAUUACAUAACAUGUUUAUAUAAAAUAUCCAUCCAUUCAUAUUUCGUUAUCUUAAAAUUUAAUAAUAAAAAAGAAAAUUAUUUGGAUUUGAAAAUAAUUAACAAAAAGUUUUAAUCAUUAGAAAAAUAAAUUUUAUUUGUUUUCAAUUAGCUGAUUCUUAACCCUACCACAACAUAAAUAAAAAAUACUUUCUAACAAUUUGGUGCAUUGUCAAGUAAUUUCCAAUUUCUAUAAUAAUUUGGUGCAAUGUCAAGUAAUUUCCAUUUUUUUUUAAAUAAUGAUGCAUUUGCUAGGUAAUUUCCAAUUUGGCCAUUAAAGCAUAAUUGCAAAUACCAAAUUGGGUAAAAAAAUGUUAUCAAUUUUAAGGAAAGAUCUUAUGACACAUUUCAUUUUACAUUUUUUUUUCUUGAUUUUAGGUUAUUAUGUCUACAUAAUUCUUAUAUUUUCAUUUUAAAAACUUGAUAAUUGGAUUGGCUUUUCAUUUGAUUUUGCAUUUUUUUUCUUCUGGAUUUUAGGUGAUUAUGUAUACAUAAAUUUUAUAUUUUAGAUGAUUUUAAAUAUAAAACAUUUUUACUCUAUGAUAAUUUUUGUUUAUCUUUUUCCUUUUUAGCUUACACCUCUCAACAUCUUAUUUGCAUUUUAAGCUAAGGAUGUAAUUUCAUAUGCAUGGCAACAUCUUAACCAUGAAAGGGGUUUUCUAAAAAAAAUAAUUUAAAUCAAAAUUAAGAAUAAAAUAAAUAAUAUCUUCUUUUUUAUGAGACUUGAACUAACUUAUUUCUUACCAUUUUCGUAUUUAUAAAAAUAAUAAUAAAGGAUACAAAAAGGAAAUCUUAAUCAGACAAAUACUUUCACCUAACAAUUAUCAUUGCAUCGUGAAUAUUUGAAAAUCAUAGUAGUAAAUAUCAUAAUUAACUAUAAAUAAAUAAACAAUUAAAAAAAAUUACAAGUUUGGCAUUAAUAUACCUUCCAAACAACUAACAUCUUAAAAUGUAUAUGAACAUAUACUAAUUAAUUCUCUUUAAAAAUGUUUCUAAUGGAAGGGUACUAACAAAAAAGUUGCAAAUAAAAAUACUUUAAGCAAAAUCCCUCUUAAGCAAGUUUUAAGUUAUAAUAAAUAUUUUUCUUCAAUAUUCCUAAUCAUCCAAAGAAAUAUGGGUCUACAACAUUAAGGAAGAAACUUCAAAAUGAUUUUAGUUUAAUUUUAUUUCCUUUGCAAUCUUGCAAUCUCAUGCCCUAAAUGUUCCCAUUCAUCAAUUUUUGGUAAAAUUUUAUUAAAAUUAAUAAUUAUUAAAAAAAAUUAAAUUUAAAACAUUUUAAAAAAAUCAUAUCCAUUUAAUUACAACAAAAUAAAACUUUCUUGUUAUCAUGGUAAAGUAACUCCAAGAGAGAAAAUAAUUGGUUUUCAAAAAUAAAAAAUAAAUAAAAAAAACUUCGAAAAAUUUCAAAUGUUCCAAAAAUUCUAAAAAUUCCAAAAUCCAAGUUUUGUGAUCUCAAAAGAUGGAAAGACUUUACAAGUUAGCGACAAUUUCAAAUUUUCAAUUGGAGUUGUAAUAAAAUUUAAUUUAGAUUGCAAAUCACCAUUUCAAUUAAUCUCAUUUUUUGUUAAUCCAAAUAGCAGUUAAUAUGAGAAGAAUAUUGAAUAAGGAACAACUCAUCUCUCUCUAUAAAAAAUGUCUUCAAGAUUUUAUUGCAUUCACAUAUCCUUUUCAACUCAAAUACUAUUGUCCCCCUAAUAAUAGAGGUCAUUUUCUAAAAGUUUUCUCACUUAUUUUACAACCAUUAGUUGUUCAUACAUUUCAACCUCGGGAUAAGGUAUAUCCUUCUUGAUAAUACUUGUGUUAAUAAUGAGAAGGUAUUCAAUACAUAUAUUCUACCACAUUAUAUUAAUAUAGUAUAAAUGUCCAUUCAUAGUUAUCAAAUCAAAACUUAAAAGGGAGGGGAAAAAAAAAGUUAUUUGGAUUUGAAAAUAAUUAAUAAAAGCUUUAAAUUAUUGGAAAAGGGAGUUAUAAAAAUUAUAUUUUAAUAAAAUAACUUAAUUAUCAUUUUAUUUAUUUUCAAUUAAUUUAUUCUCAAUAAUAUCCAAAAUAUAAAUAAAUUAUUAUAUCACAUUAGUAAGCAUUAUAAUACCACAUCAACCAGCUUAGAACAACAAAGAUACCCAAUAUUGAGCCCCCAGCCCCUUCCAGCCUCUCACUUUCCCCACCUUCUCCAACGUCUCUCUGUGCCUUUUUUGCCUUUUGUCCCAUUCAAUGCCCUUCACUCUUCUCCACCACUACGGCUCCACCGCACUCCUUCUCAGGCCUACUUUGGUCAAAUCAAAUGUCCUCAAACUGUAUCCAAGCCUGUAUUUAGGUUUAAUUUUGUCCUGUAGCACUAAAAAUUGAAAAGCGUAGUUGAAUUCCUUUUUAAAAUCUUUUUUAAAAAUCUCAAAAUUAAUUAUUUGGAAUUGUAUUGCGGCCAUAGUAGCUAUUGUAAUAUUACGAAGGGAUAAAGAAAAAGACAAAAAAGCAAUGGAGUCUAAAACAAUUAGCGGAUGGAGCAUGAUUGAGGCAAAUUAGCUUAGCUAAGGGUCCCAUGACUCAUUUCAUUUGGGUCUUGCAAUCCUAUGUUCUAGCUGUGCUCAUUCAUCAAUUUCAUUGGUAAAAUAUUAUUAAAAAAAUUAAAUUAAUAACCUUUUUCAAAAACCAUAUCUAUUUAAUACAAUAAAAUAAAACUUUUCUAAUCAGGGUAGAAGAAGGUGAUAGAGUAACUUCUAAAAAGAAAAGAAUUGAUUAUAAAAAUAAAAUAAAAACACUCUAAAUAAAACCAGGAAAAACUUUAUAUAGAAAAGGAAAAUUAAGUAAGAUAGAUUAGGAGUAGCAAAUAAAAAGAAAUAUUUAUUUUAAAUAUAGUUUUUAUCUUCUCUAUUUUAAACAUAGUUUUAAAAAGCAAAAAAUUUAUCUUGCUUUUUUCAAAACUUUUUUUCAAAAGUUUGAGAAAAUAAAAAUGUUUUAAUCUUUAAAUUUUAAGAAUUUUACAAUAUUGUAACUAUAAAAAAUCUUUUAUAAUGUUUUUUGAAUAAAUACUUGAUAGGUGGUUAUAUUAAAAACACUUUUGGAUACAAUAUUUCCAAUAAAAAUACUUCUAAUAUUGCAAAAAGAUUGUCAAUGGACAUAGUGAUAAUAAUUGCAUUUCCCACAAAUUUUCUAGAAACCAAACAUAUUAAUGGGGAUUACAAGUCGCUUGGAAUCAAAUUAAGUUACAAUGCAAACAUAUUUUCUGAAUAUGACAAUGAAGUGGAAUUGGAAAGUAACAAUGCAAAUCAAAAUCAAAACUUAACUACAAACAGUUUUUUGCAGCAUUUGAUCAAGAAUUCAUGCAACAGUUCUGAGACCAAAUCGUAAAUAAACUCUUUCAAGUGUUUAGUUAACUUGUCAUUUUUAGCUUUUUACCAUUGUAAGAAAUGCAAUGUUUAGAUAUUAGCAUAAAAUGUGAUGUCUUCAGAGAUUUGAAAAUAUGUACUUGAAUUGUUAUGUUUUUUCUUUAAUUUGAUUUAGGUUUUAUCAAUCUAUUAUUUUUCAUAUUAUUAAGUUUAAAUAUUUUAAUUAUAUAAAAAAUAAAUAUAUUAAUUAUUUUUUGUAAGAAUGAUAAUGAUAAAUUAUUUAUUAUAACAAUUUUAUUAUUUUGAACUUUUUAGAAAUAAGUUAAAUUAUAUUUUUUUAAUACAUUAAAAUAUUAAGAUAUUGGUUUUUAGUAUAUAUAAAAACAAACAAUUUAAUAAUUAAUAGAAAUAAAAUAUUAAAAAAAUAAACAACUUAAUACUUAAUACUAUUAAGCAUUAUUUAGUAUUAAGUUAAAAAUAAGUUCUAUUUAGAAUUAAGCCAAAAAAACAAACGCCACCUAAGUUUGUGACUUUUCUAAUUUAGCUUAAUAUGUCAAUGGUAUAUAUUUUUAUGCAACCUUAUUUUGUUUAGUUGCAGAAUAUAGCCUCAUAUGCUAGAAAUGCUUCCACAACCUUCUUUUAGUAAGAAUCCAUUGUUGUCUAACGUUGAAGGAUUUGGAUUGCUUACUUUCGCCCCAAAUGUUCAAUAUGUUGACAUGGUAGACUGUAACAAAAUGAAACAUGUAAUUGUUUAUUUAUGUGAGGUAAACUACUGGUGGAUGUAUGUUGUUUCAUAAUGUUUAUGUGAAUUGAUACAUAAUUACUUGUGAUUUAGUGUUUACAGUUGCAUCAUAAUAAUAAAAAAAAGGGGUUUGUGUAUUUGAAUUGUAAUAUUACACAUUUGAUUCUAGGAAAUGAUUGUGAGAUGCAUUCUACAAAGUGUUUCAAAAAUUUGAGCGUAUAAGCUGGUAAAGAAUACAUGUGUUGAGCUACCAAGGAAGUAAUAAGGAAAGGAAUUGACCUGCCUAUUCCGAUUGAGGAGAACAAGUGAGAUCCCACUUCCUCAUGAAUUUAUCUUGAUGGUUCAAUAAAUGACUCACUCAAUGGUUAGUUGGUUAUAAGCCUUGGAAUGAGAAAAAAAAAGUCUCAUAGUGAGUCUUAGGAUUGUAUAACCCUUUUAACUCAUUUAUAUUGUGCAAUAUAAAAAAGCAAAGAUAAAAUAAGCAAGGAACAUAAAAGACAAUGUUUAACAUGGUUGGUCAAUUAUAUUUAGAAUUUGCUAUUUCAUAAUGAACAUUAUGGAAAGUAAACAAGACAAACAUAUGAUUUUAAGUUUGGAAACAAUCUCAUAUUUUCCUACUUAUAAUUGAAUUUAAUUGCUAAACAUAUAGUUGGGAAUGGGUUAGAGGAUUAAUUUCAAAAUGUUUAUCAUAAUUCUAUUAAACUUGAUAAAAUUUCUACAUUUAAAAAUUACAUUAUUGGAAAGAAAAGUAUCAGUUAUUGAAUUUUUUUUUUAUUAUUUUGAAACUAUCUUUUGAAAUCAAAGAUGAGGGGAAAAAAAAAAGAAGAGAUUUAUUAUUUCAAUUUGCUUUUGGAUUCCUUUUUAUAAUUUGUCAAUUUGUUUGUUCAUUUUUAUAUAUAUAUUUUUUCCUUCGUUCAUUUAUCAACUUUCCAAAUGUUUGUACUUCUCCAUUGUUAUUACUCUCUAUUUCAACAUCUUAAUUUUUUUUCCUAAGUUUAUUGUUUUAAAAUAAGGAAGGGUAUAUAAGCAGUGAUUUAAAGAAAAUGCAAUGUUAAUUUUUAUUAGAGAUGUAUUUAAUUUUCAAGUCUGAUUUACCAUGUAAUUAUUUUAACUUCAAUCAUUUUAUUAGAAAUAAUAUAAAAAGUAGUGGAGGAGUCUAAAAAUGGGCUGAGAGAGGCAAGACAUAGGUACUUAUCCGAAGGCAGGUAAAUAAUGAACAAAUUACUUGUGUGGGUUAAUGGUAAUUAUUAAAUUCAUGUUUUAUCUUGAGUAAGGAAAUGAAUCCCUCUUCGUACAAAAAUUUUAGGGGAGAACUUAUCCUAGUCAUGACGGGCAGACCAUAAUUGGGCACCUUAACUAAGGGGUCCCAUUUGGUUCCCUAUCUUUUUUUUUUUUAUCAAAUACAACUUUUGAUGCUUGUAAAGGGAAUGGAGUGUAGGAUGUAAACCAUAAAUUAGAGUUUAUUAAGGAAUAAUUGAAAGAGAAUUACAAGUCUCUCCUAGUAUAAAAACAUUUCCUUACAAAUAUAUAUAUAAUAAAUUUUUGAAAAUCACUUUUAAAAUCUAAUAAUCAUUUUAAGUGGCUCCUAAAUAAUAUGGGUUUUAUCCAAAUAAUUAUUUUAUUAUUAUAAUAUAACAUCAAAUUACUAUUUUGUUUAUAUUUAAAUAAUAAGUGAUUGGAUUUAAAAUCAUCCCCAAUGUAACCAUUAUUAAAAAUCACUUUUAAAAAUCUCAAAAAAUAAGUCGAAGGGAUUUCUAAACAAUCACUUGAUAAAUAUUCCUUCUAUUUUUUUUUUUGUUUUAUAAUACGUUAUUAAAAUUUACUACGAAAACAUUGUUUUUAGUUUGUAUCUAAAUACUAAGGUAGCAUUUAGAUAUACUUCUUAUUCUAUUUAAAAAGCAAAGUUGAAAUUUCUAUGCAAAAUAGAAGAACUACAUCACAUAAAGCAAAAGUUUAUCUUGUGUUCUUUAAAACUCUUUUCAAAACUUUGAGAAAGUGAACAUUUUUUACUUUCUUAAAGUUUAAAAAUUUUAAAAAGUGUUUUCAAAUAUGAUUGGUAUAUACUUACUUUUGUAUAAGCAUUCCUAUAUAUAUAUAUAUUUUAUAAGGUUUUCUAUUUUAAAAAUAAAAAUAGGAAAUAUACCCAAACAUACACUAAGGGAUUCCCUUUAAAAAUGUUUUUAAUAGAAGCACUACUAAUUAAGGUAGUGCUACAAAUAGAAACAUAUAUUUUUUCAAUGUUUCAUAUUACCAAAAGGAAUAAGGGAUUGCAACAUUAUGGAAGAAACUUAAAAAUGAUUUUUGUUUAGGCUUAUUUUAUUUGCAGUCUUGCAUACUCAUGCCUUAGAUGUUCCGAUUCAUUAUUUUCAUUGGUAAAAUAUUAUUAAAAUGAAUGAUUAUUAAAGAAAUUAAAUAAAAAACCCCUUUCAUAUUUAUAUUUAAUGGAUGGAGCAUUAGCUUAACUAAGGGUUCCAUGUGUGCCCCAUCUCCCUUUAACAAAUUCAACUUCAAUAAUUCACUCUCAACUUGGUGUGUCCCAUCAGACCUCUCAACCACUUUGUAAUCCUUAAUUUUUCUCUAUUCUCAUCAAUUUUCCAAUAUCUACCAAAAUUCUUCUUUCUUAUCCUCUUUUUAGAAUUUUUCAUACAUCAAUGGGAAAGUCUGCUCUAUCUCCAUUUCUGCCAUUUCUUUAAUUAGAGUUUAUUUAGGAAUAAUUUAUGAGGUUUAGAAGAGCCUCCUAAUAUAGAAAGACUUAAAAAAAAAUUAACAAAAUUUUAAAAAUCACUUUUAAAAUCUAAAUAACCAUCUUAAGUGAUUCCAAUACAAUCCCUAACUAGAUGAUUCUAUACAAAAUACUCACUUUUUUCUUAUAUCCAAAUAAUAAGUGAUUCUAUUUAAAACUAUUAAUGAUGUAACCACUAUUUAAAAAUCACUUUUAAAAAUCUCAAAAAAUAACUUAAGGUGAUUCAUGAGCAAUUAUUUUAUAGGUCAUUCUUUUAAAAGUUAAUUAUUCUUAUUCGAUAAUACCUUAUAAACAAUACUAUUAAAACAUUUUUUUUUAGUUUAUAUCUAAAUACUAAGAUUUUGGAUAUGCUUUCGAUCUAUUCAAAAUAUAAGAAAUCUAACACAUAAAGAAAAAAAAAUUAUCUUGUUUUCUUUAAAACUUUUUUCAAAAUUUUGAAAAUUUUGAGAAAGUGCAAAUUUUUUUAAUCCUUAGAUUUUAAGAAUUUUAAAAAAUAUUUUUAAGUAUAUAAAAUAUUCAUUUACUUUUGUAUAAGAAUUUCUAUAUUUUAUAUAAGACUUUCUAUUUUAAAAAACAAAAAUAGGAAAUACAUCCAAACAUAUACCAAGUAAUUCUCCUUAAAAAUGUUUAUAAUGGAAGCGUAACUAACAAAAGGGCUAGAAAUAAAAAUACUUUAAACAAAAUCACUCCCAACCGAGUUCUAAGUUAUAAGAAAUAUUUUUCGUCAAUAUUUCUAAUCACCAAAAGAAAUAAGGGACUACAACAUUAAGGCAAAAGCUUCAAAAUGAUUUUAGUUUAGCUCAUUUCAUUUGCAAUCUUGCAAUCCCAUGCCCUAAAUAUUCCCAUUCAUCAAUUUCAUUGAUAAAAUUUUAUUAAAAUUAAUAAUUAUUAAAAACCUUUUUCAAAAAUCAUAUCCAUUUAAUCACACAAAAUAAAACUUUCUUGUUAUCAUGGUAGAGUAACUCCAAGAGAGGAAAGAAUUGGUUUUAAAAAAAUAAAAAAAUAAAAAAAACUUCUAAAAUUUUUAAAUGUUCCAAAAAUUCUAGAAAAUUCCAAAAUCCAAGUGUUAUGAUCCCAAAAUAAGGAAAGACUUUACAAGUGGUUGACAAUUGCAAAUUUUCAAUUGGAAUUGCAAUAAAACUUAAUUUAGGUUGCAAAUCACCAUUUCAAUUAAUCUCAUUUCUCAUUAACUGAAAUAACAGUUGAUAUGAGAAGAAAGUUGAAUAAGGAGCAAUUCAUCUCUCUUUAUAAAAAAAAAUGUCUACAAGUUAAGUACAUUCACAUAUAAUUUACGUACCUAAUACUUUUCAAUUAAUCUAAAUGUCUUCUCACUUCUUUUACUACAAUUAGUUGUAUUACAAGGUAUUUUAGCUUGACAGUCAAGUGUAUUCUACUUAAUAAUACUUGUAUUAGAAGGUAUUCAAUUCAUCUAUUCUACCAUUAGUAUGUUAAUAUAAUAUAAAUUGUCCAUUCAUAUUUUAUCAUAUCAAAACUUAAAUAAGGAAAAAAAAUUAUUUGGAUUUGAAAAUAAUUAAUAAAAUCUUUAAAUUAUUAGAAAAAUGAAUUAUAAAAAUUCUAUUUUAACAAAAUAACUUAAUUAUCAUUUUAUUUAUUUAUUUUAGUAAGUUUUAUUAUACCACAUCAACAAGCUUGAAACAACAAAGAUACUCAAUUUAUUCUUAUUAAUGUUUUCAAUUUGACCAUCAAGGUGUAAUUGCAGUAAUUUACCCUUUUUUUUCUAGGUUUUGAUGAUUAUUAAUGUUUACAUAAUUCUUAUAUUUUAAUUUUAAAAUUGCAAAACGGGACUAGUUUUUCUAUCAAAAUUUUUUGAGUGGACAAUAAAUUAUAAUUGAAUGCAGAACAUUUGUACAAACAAAUAAUUUAAAAUCCUGAUUAAAAAUAAAAUAAAUAAUAUCGUCUUUUCAUAUAUUACUUGAAUGAACUAAUUUCUUAACAAUUUUAUAUAUAUAUAUAAAAAACGUAAAUCUAAUGAGACCGGACAUAGGAAAUAUGAACUUUUUUACCGAGUCUACCCAUAUCAAUUGUAAUUCUUGACCAUCAAGCGGUAAAUAAUAUAGCCAAUUAAAAAUUUAGUUAUGUAGAAAAGAAAUCCCACCAGCUUCAGAGUGAAGUGAUAUACCUUUAAAUAAUUCAGAGAGAGAGAGAGAGAGAGAGCAUAGCUUUGCUAAGGGCCCCAUGUCAACGACUUUGUGCCCCAUCACCUUUUUCCUUUCGUUCUCUUCAUCAAUUUCCCAAUAUUUGCAAAUAAAAGACAUUUCUUUUUUCCUACGAAUUUGUCAUUCUUCUUUCUUACCAUCUCCGGGCCCAUGUCCACGACUUUGUGCCCCCAUCACCUUUUUCCUUUCGUUCUCCUCCUCAAUUUCCCAAUAUCUGGAAACAAAAGACAUUUCUUUUCUCCUACGAAUUUGUCAUUCUUUUUUCUUACCUUCUCCGGCCCCAUGUCCACGACUUUGUGCCCCCAUCACCUUUUUCCUUUCGUUCUCCUCAUCAAUUUGCCAAUAUCUGCAAAUAAAAGACAUUUCUUUUCUCCUACGAAUUUAUCAUUCUUCUUUCUUACCUUCUCCUUGGAAUUUUCAUACAUCAAUGGGAAACGUGUUCUCAGUCUCAAUCUCUACCGAGGACAUAGCUGGUUGUUGUUGUGAUUACACUACUUCUCGAGCAAAUUACCUAUGAAAGCUUGAAGAAAAUCGGGUUACUUUGAGAACAGAUCUUCAAAAAUUAAGGGAGUUGAAGAACGAUGUGAAUAGGAAGGUGGAUGUGGCUGAGAGGCAACAAAUGAAGCGUCUGGAUCAAGUACAAGGAUGGAUUUCCAGGGUGGAAGCUAUGGAAACCGAAGUUGGUCAACUGAUUGGAGAUGGUGCAGAGACCAUUGAGGAGAAACGAUUAUGUGGCAGUUGCUAUCCCAAGCAUUGCAUCUCCAGCUACACGUUGGGAAAAAAAGUGGUCAGGAAUCUACAAGAUGUGGCUACUUUAAUGAGCGAAGGACGUUAUUUUGAGGUGGUGGCUGAUAUUGUACCUCCAGCUCCUGUGGAGGAAAUACCCAGCCGACCCACUGUGGGCUUGGAAUCAACAUUUGACAAAGUUUGGAGGAGUCUCGAAGAAGAACAUGUAGGGAUCAUCGGCUUAUAUGGGUUGGGGGGCGUUGGGAAGACCACCCUCUUGACACAAAUCAACAAUCAUUUCCUUAAAACAUCCCACAGUUUUGAUGUCGUAAUUUGGGUAGUGGUCUCCAAAACUCCAAAUCUAGAGCGGGUUCAGAAUGAGAUUUGGGAGAAGGUGGGAUUCUGUGAUGAUAAAUGGAAAAGCAAAAGCCGCCAUGAGAAAGGCAAAGACAUCUGGAAAGCCUUGAGCAAAAAGAGGUUUGUGAUGUUGCUGGAUGACAUGUGGGAGCAAAUGGACAUGUUAGAAGUAGGAAUUCCACCUCCUGACCAACAAAAUAAGUCUAAGCUGAUAUUCACCACUCGAUCUCAGGACUUGUGCGGCCAAAUGGGAGCUCACAAGAAGAUAGAAGUGAAAUCUUUAGCAUGGAAGGAUUCGUGGGAUUUGUUCCAAAAAUAUGUGGGAGAGGAGACCCUUAAUUCUGAUCCAGAAAUAUCUGAGCUAGCUGAAAUGGUUGCAAAAGAGUGUUGCGGUUUGCCACUUGCGAUAAUUACCAUAGGGCGAGCCAUGGCUUCUAAAGUGACACCCCAAGAUUGGAAGCAUGCAAUUAGAGUUCUACAAACAUCUGCUUCAAAUUUUCCAGGUAUGGGGCACCAAGUAUACCCACUUUUGAAAUACAGCUAUGAUAGUUUGCCCUCCAAAAUAGUUCAAUCUUGCUUCUUAUAUUGCUCUUUAUUCCCCGAAGAUUUUUCCAUAUAUAAGGGAACUUUGAUAUGGACAUGGCUUUGUGAGGGGUUUUUAGAUGAAUUUGAUGACACGGAUGGAGCUAAAAAUCAAGGAUUCAACAUUAUUAGCACUCUCAUUCAUGCAUGUCUACUCGAGGAACCUUCAGAUACUAAAUGUGUAAAAUUGCAUGAUGUGGUACGUGAUAUGGCCUUGUGGAUAACUGGUGAAAUGGGGGAGAUGAAAGGCAAGCCUUUGGUACAAACAAGGGCUGGUUUGACCCAAGCACCUGAGUUUGUCAAAUGGACUACGGCAGAAAGGAUUUCACUGAUGGACAACCGAAUUGAGAAGUUAACAGGAUCACCCACAUGCCCCAACCUCUCGACACUUCUUCUGGAUUUGAAUAGCGAUUUGCAUAUGAUAAGCAAUGGUUUUUUCCAAUUUAUGCCCAGUCUAAGAGUGUUGAGCUUAUCAAACACGAAAAUAGUUGAGUUACCAUCAGAUAUUUCUAAUUUGGUUUCAUUGCAAUAUCUUGAUUUAUCUGAUACAGAGAUAAAGAAGUUGCCAAUUGAGAUGAAGAAUCUCGUAAAAUUGAAGGUUUUGAAUUUGCGCUCCACGUCUAAUCUCUCUUCAAUUCCACGAGGACUAAUAUCAAGUCUUUUAAUGCUGCAAGCGGUUGGCAUGUACAAGUGUGGACUUUAUGGUCUAGUAGUUGAAGGAAGCAUUGAAUCAUAUGGUAAUGAGUCCUUGGUAGAAGAAUUGGAGAGCUUGAAAUACUUGACAGAUUUAAGUGUCAGCAUAACAAGUGCCUCUGAGUUCCAGAGAUUUUUAAGUUCCAGAAAGUUACCGAGUUGCACUCUAGCAAUCUGCCUCAAGAUGUUCAAAGGUUUAAGCUCACUCAACCUAUCAUCUCUCGAAAAUAUGAAGCAUCUCAUUGUGCUUGCGAUGGAAGAUUUUGAUAGUUUGAGAGAGAUUAAGUUUGAUUGGGCAGGGAAAGGAAAGGAAACAGUGGAGUAUAGCAAUCUCAACCCAAAGGUCAAAUGCUUCCAUGGCCUUCACGAAGUGGUUAUUAAUAGAUGCCAGAUGUUGAAGAAUCUGACAUGGCUUAUUUUUGCCCCAAACCUCCUAUAUCUUAGAAUAGGACAAUGUGAUGAAAUGGAAGAAGUGAUAGGUAACGGUGCAAAUGAUGGAGGAAACCUGAGCCCAUUCACAAAACUCAUACAACUGGAGUUAAAUGGUCUACCCCAACUGAAGAAUGUGUACUGGAAUCCCCUGCCCUUUCUUUACCUUGACAGAAUUGAAGUAGUGGAGUGUCCAAAGCUGAAGAAGCUACCACUCAACUCCAACAGUGCCAAUCAAGGUAGAGUUGUGAUAGUAGGAAAGCAAGAGUGGUGGAAUGAGUUAGAAUGGGAGGAUGAAGCUACUCUAAAUACUUUCCUUCCUAGUUUCCAAGCAAUAUAAGAACAAGGGGGCUAAGGUAUGAUUCCAAUUAAAAUCAGCCAAAUAUAAUUGGAAUGUGUAUUAUUCUUUAAUUCAUUAUAUAAUUAGUUGCCUAUCGUUUGCAGGAUUUGAAGGUAUGACAAAUGUUUGGGUGUUUGUUGUGGAUGUGAGGUAAUGCCUUACAUUUUCAUGUCUUGAUACAAAUGGUUUUAAUUUCCUCUUUUUUGGGACUUUUUUUUUCUAUUAAUAUUUAUGGAAUUAAUUGAGAUAAUAGUUUCAAGUUUUUGUCAUGCUUAAUCAAAGAUAAUACUUGUCUCUACAAUUUUAUUUUUAUUUUUUUUAACAUGUUUACUUGAAGCUCCAAAUCCAAUUAUAACGAGAAAAUGUACAAUUUUAAAAACCAUUUCCAUACUCAUACUUUGAUAUCUAUUUUAUCCUUUAAAAUAAAAUAUUCCUAUGCUUUGGUAUCAACUAAGAAUGUGUUUGGUAAUGAUUUUAAAAAAUGAUUCUACAAUUUUUAAUACUUGAAAAAUUAAAAAAAAAUUAGUGUUAAAAAAACCAAGAACACUUUUUAGAAUUACUAUCAAACGCACUUUAAAUCUGUGAUUUACAAAAUUACAAGGUUGAUUACAAGAAAAUGCUACACUCAGUUUAAGUCUCAAAUAUGCUAGCUCUUAGUUUUUUGACUUUCCAUUUCACUCCACUCUUGUCAUCUCAAGUUUCAAAUUAGAGGUGAAAGAACAAAAAAUAAAUGUAUAAUUUAGUGUCCAAUUGGAUAUAUUUAUAAUUUAUUUAUAAAUAUUUAUUAUUUUUAGUAAAUAUUUUUUCUUUUAUAAAGCAUAUUUAAUAUAUUUGAUUAUUUAAAUUAAGUUAAUAAAUUAAAUGAACUCAUCACCUUGAUCUACCAAACAACCCUUGAUUUUUUAGAGCAAUUUUUCUCUAAAGUAAUUAAUUUUCCUCGUGAUUUGGAUUUGUUGAUUUCAGCUCUUUAUUUAUUUAUUUAUUUUAAAAAUGGCUACAAAAUAAAAGAUAAAUAAAGAUCUAACUUGAAUGUGCCACGUCAUACAGAAAAAAAAUUGAUACAAUACUUUAAGCUUAUAUAUUGCUUCAUCUUCAGAGCAGGUAACGAUUUGAAAGAAAAAAGGUCAGUUCUCCAACUGCUUUUGCGUUGGAAGACUUGACUUGUAUCCCGUUCACUUUCACACUCACUAAGGUGGCUUCUAAGAAUACUUGAUUAGAGUGUUUUACACUUCGUAGGUCUUCCGCUUUGGACAAAAUAAAUAAAUAAAUAAAUAAAAAUAAAAAUUCAGAGUUUCCUGAAAACAAAAUAAAUUUACACUUAAUUAAACUUUAUAAUUUAAUUUUUCUAUCAUCAUGGAAGGUUUUUGUUGAGUUUGAGAUAAAGUUGUUAAAGGAAUUGUUUUAUAGGCCCAGUUUGUUAAUUGUUUUUUAAAAUAGUUUUCUAUUAUAACAAAAAGAAAAAAAAAACACUACAACCAAAAAAUAAAAUCAUUUUCUCGUUUUUAAAAAUAGAAAAUAAGGUGUUUUCAAAAAAAUAAUUUUAGAUUGUUUUAAAAAUAAUUAUAUAAAUAUAAAAAACGAUUAAAAAUAAAACAUUAUAUAUAAAAAGCUAAUGAUUUAAAAAAAACUAUUUAAAAUAACUGAGAUAUUAAAAAGUUUUACUUUCUCAAAUUUAAAUUUUUUUUAAACAUACAACCUAAACCUUUGCAUACACUUUCUAUUUUUUGGUUUCAAAAAUAGAAACUUCUAUAUAAAAAGUAAAAACUCUUAUAAAAAAAGAAAAUGAACUUAUCUUAUGUCUUUCAAAAUUAUUUUUAAAAAUUUUAGAAUUUGAGGUAGUAAAAAAUGAACAUCCCUCAUUUUAUGUAAUACUUAAAUUAAUUAAAUCUAAGAUAUAAACAUUUAAUAUUUAUAUGAGAAAUGAUGGUCUUCUCCUGCUAUGUUAUAGAUAACUUUAACAAGAGGGAGCUCCAAAUCAUCCACACACUGGGCUACAUACCUCGACCUCUUAACAAAGUUUUAAUCUUCAAAGUCAAGCAGUCCGAAGAGGAAUUGGAAAGCCAAGUUAGGGGACACUUAGGGAUUUUGUCCGGAAUUGCCAACCUAACUAAACAUUCACAAUCUCCCAUUUUGGCAAUUUUGGGACAAAACCCUUUACAACACGAUUGAGUACAAGUAAGUAAGCCCCACCCAACUCUCAUACAAGGCCACUCACUCACUCAAAACCUCACCAAAGGUACUACAAUGCCUGUAAAUAAAUCUCAAGAAAAACAGUAGUAGCACCUGCUCAUAUUACCAAGAUGCUUCCACAAAUUUCAAAUGAAUUGACUCACAAAUAUCCACAUAUAUCCACAAAGAUCACUUGUCUAAAGAUAGUUAAUAUGCAUUCAUGAGUCCAAAACCAUGUCCAAUAUCCACAGAUACACAAAAAGGUCAUCACGAUCAACAUAUCAAAUAUCAAAAGCAACAAAACACAAAGAAAUUGUCAUGAUCAACUACAUGUCAUAUCAACAUCCAUGUAAAGUGUAAAAUGUCUCCCCCUUUUUAUCCCAAAAGAAGACAAAGAAUUGUCCAAAACAAGCAAAGUAUAUAAGACUAACAAAUUGAACAUGAUAUCAAAAGAAAGUUAUCUAAAAAGUUAACUAGCUACUACAUGGCUAAGAGAGAUGCUUAUGGACAAAGUCUUUAAGAGCUUGCAGCUAAUACAUGUUGCAAAGCAUUUGUCCAUCAAUUAGUGAGAAGCCUCUCUCCAUAUGAGAUUGGAGUUGAAUUUACUCAGACAACAAAGUGGAUUGUGCAUAAAUUUUCUCAUCCAAUGCAUCAAACCUAUCACAAAGUUGAGCUAGGACACUUGAAUCUACAAUUGAAUCUGAGUCACUUUCAUCAAUUUUUCUCUUAACUCUACAAUGGCACACAUUUUUCUUAGAACCAAGGGCACCCUUAAUCCUUCCCCGACUUCGAUUCCGAUAUAAGGUAUCAAUGGGACCCAUUGGUUCAAGAAAGAAGAAUUUAUAGGAAAUUCAACCCCAACCAUUUGGCAAAUUUUAGUGAUUAAAAUACCAUAGGGAAAAACCUCAUACUUAGACAUGAAAUGAUCUCCUCGAACAAUCAUCUCAUCUAAGAUACAAGAUGCUAGGUUGAUGGGUUCCCGAUGAAGAAUUCGGGACAAGAGAAUGCAACCCUUCUUAUAAAUAUCUACCCAAUGAGAAGAAGGAUAAACUAAGAAUGUUAGAAAAGUCGCCAACACCCAUGCGGGACGAGAUAUGCUACCAAAGUGUGCAACUAAGCCUAGCUGACAUCGAACCUCUCCUCAUAAGUCAAUAAACACUCUAUCCAACAACUCAGAGGUGAUUUCCAAUUCAUUCACAGAGGGUGCUUCAACCAAUGGGAUGCCUAAGACUUCAGCAAUCACCUCUGGAGUGACUUUAACAACAAUUCCAAGGAAACUUGAUUUUAGGUAGGAUUCAUCCAAGUCAUGUUCAAUAAUAUUCGAAUAAAACAUUCGGACAAUAGGAGCACACACAGUUCCAAUGAAGCUUGUUAGAGGAAGUCAACCUAGUUCUACAAACAGUGCUGGAAUUGAUGUGUUGAGAAAUGAUUCUAGAUGAAGUUGUCUCUCAAGAAAAAUAGACCUUUGAUGAUAAUCUUUGGUGUAUAGGUCUCUACAGAACUUUGUCGGGAAAGCAUUGAAAUCAAUCCCAUCAAUGGAAGUUUUCGUAGGAGCUUUAGGGAUACUGGGAGGUUGGACAAAAGGAUUGAUGGGUAAAUUCUCAUCCCGAGCACUUUUUGGGGUCUUAGAGGAUGACCCUUUAACAGGGACUUUGCUCCCACGACCUUUUGGAGGCAUAGUUCUAGGCAAAAAUACAAAGAACCAAGCAACCAAAGAUUGAAACAGUAUUAGAUAUAAAACAAUCCACUCAAAUAGCCUACUGUGAAAAAAUCUCACAUAAAAACUAACAAGCAAAACCAGUGGAGGAUGAACAAACCUGUACACAGAGGAACAGGGGCUGCCAGAAUAGAGAUCCUAUGGCAGAAAAGACACAAACACAACUACAAGAAAAAGAACUCGCCAAAAAGGGUGCCAACCACAAUAGAUGGAGCAUCAAUCAACGACAAAAACUGAAGCUUAGGUCAGUGAAAAACACCGGAGAAAAUGCCGACAAAAAGAAAUGAAAUGCAGGCCGACAACAAGAAACAAGAAAAAUGAGCUAUGCAGAUCGUGAUAGGUUGAAGAUCUUGCUGGAAAAUAUAUCGACAAUAGUGGAGAACUAUAGGCUGAUGGCAGGAGCAAGAAACAAUGAGACAAUUGGAGCCGGAAAAGAAAAAUCGGCAGCAGGCGGAACAGAAUCUGCUGAUUGUGCAAAAACUGAGAUGAUUAGCUGUACUGAACGACAAUGAGAACGGAAUGGGAAUGACUAGAAGAGAACACAGAAUACAAUGAUUUCUGGUGACAGUAACCAAAAUUAAUGACCGAGGGUGAAGACUUAAGAGGAUGUGCAGAGAAUGAAGGUUCUCUUCUUUGAAACGAAAGGCUUAAGGCUUUUUAGAGAAAUGAAAGAAUGAAAUGCAUUUUUGGGGAUUUUGAGUUUUUUAAAAAAAUUUUGACUUUAAAUUAUGAAAAUGCCCCUCAUCCAUUAAACCAUAUGAGUAAAACCAGUUAAGGGCAAAAAUGGAAUUUUUCACAAAUACAUGUUAGGGGAUUUUGACUUUUUCAAUUUUAUUAAUUUUAAAUUACGAAAAUGCCCAUGAUUCAUUAAACCAUACAAGUUGAACUAGAUGAGGGCAAUAAUGGAAUUUUUCACAAAUGCAUAAGUGGUAUUAAUCUUGGUGGAUCGAUCCAGCUUUCGAUCGUGAGCUCUCGAUGAUACACAGUCACAUAAGUUGGAACAGGCCAAUUUUUUUUUUAAAAAAUGGCUAAGUGUGUGAGAGACAAGGUAUAAGUGGUAUUGAUCUUGGUGGAUCAAUCUAGGAUUUGUUCAAGGGCUUUCAGUCAUAAGACUGUGCACACAAUGGAUCGAUCCACAAAUACAACAGAUCGAUCGACACCCUAUUGAAAAAUGAAUUGGGCAAAAACUGAAGAAAAAUCAUAAGAAAUACACCAACUAGCUUUCCAAAAACUGAAAAAAUUGAUCCAUCAAAGUUGAGAUACAAUAGGAUGAUAUACUUAUCUUUUAAUCAAGGAGAUAGAAUUGAUUCAUAUUGAACAAAAAUGCUUCUAAGAACUGAACAAUAGACAAAAUUAACAAACAUAGAGAUUGAAAAACCUUCCAAAUUUAUCAAAUGAAUAGGUAAAAAACAAAUGGUUAUCAACACUCUAACAAGGAAGCUUAAGCUCAAGAAAAACUCACUCAUGACACCAUAAAAUGGUGAGAAUGUUAAAUAAUUUCCACUUAUAAAACUAUAUUCAUUUAUGAGCCUAAAAUCAUUUUCAAGACACUUUUCCUUCCUAGAGAAAUUCAAGAUAAUGUUCCAUGCAGUCAAUUUGCACUUCUCUUAGCCGGAUUUAUGUAACAUGACCUAUUUUCACCCCUAAAAAAAAUCAUACAUCAUUUGUUUUUCACAUUAAGCAUUGAAUGAUUACACACACAUGAGUUUCACCCUUAGGAUCAAUUUUUGACUUGAGAAUCACUAAGGUGGCCUUAACAACAACAUAACAUAAGGGAUGUACCAAUUUUGCAAUGGAGACUUGUCACACUUGAAAUAUUGCCAAUGAGUAAUAACCAUUCCGGGAAACUUGAUUUUUUUUUUUUUUUCAUUUUUUUUUAAUUUCAAGGAGAGGACAAACAAUUAAGGAAGAACAAUCUCAAACACUUAAGGAUAUUCUGGGUGACUUUACUCACUCUUUAAUGCUCAUUAGACAAACAUAAGUUUGCAUUUAGACUAUAAAGAGCAUUACUCACCAUUUAUGCAAUCACAAGGUUCAACCAUGAGUUGUUACUCACUUAAAAGAAAUGAAACUAACCUUUUGUAAUUUAUCUAAUCAAAUCAAAAUAGCAAGGAUUCAAUAUCAUGUUUAUCAAUCAAACCAUGGAGAUAAAAACAUCUUGAAGCUUUUAAGAUCAUUAUGAGUCAAUCUAACUUUUAAACAAAAGGAUAAGCAUGUCAUUCUCAUGAACUCAGCAAUUUUUGAAAAUUUAUGAAAAAUGAAAAAAAGAUCAAACCAAAACAAAGGAAACAUCAACUUGAUGACAUUUAGGAACUUAGGAAGACAACUAAACUCAAGAAUAUGCAAGAGGAUGUCCUAGAUAGGUUCUAGAGGUAGUCAACUGAUUGUGCAUAAACCUAUGGAUUUUCUAAGUGAUUCAAACUUAGACACGUCCAAAGGUUUAGUGAGAAUAUCAGCAAUUUGACCCUCAGUUGGAACAUAUUCCAAUGAUACCACUUUGUCUUCAACUAAGUCACGAAUGAAGUGAUGUCUAAUGUCAAUGUGUUUUGUUCUAGAGUGAAGAAUAGGGUUCUUGGAGAUGUUGAUUGCACUAGUAUUGUCACAAAGCACCACCAUGGUUCCUUGAUCUAUUCCAUAGUCUCUUAACAUUUGUUUGAUCCACAAAAGCUAAGAACAAUAACAACCGACGAUAAUGUAUUCCGCUUCAGCUGUGGAAAGCGAAAUAGAGUUUUGCUUCUUACUCAUCCAAGCAACCAAACAAUUACCAAUAUAGAAACAACCAUCUGAAGUGUUUUUCCUAUCAUCCAUAUUUCCAACCCAAUAAAUAUCAAUGUAGCAAGCAACAUCAGAAUGAGUGUCAAAUGAAUACCAAAGGCCUAGCUCUAAAGUACCAACAAUGUAGUUAAUGAUGCGCUUAAGAGCUAUGAGAUGAGAUUCCUUAGGACAUGCUUGAUACUUAGCACACACUCCAAUACUAAAAGCUAUGUUCGGUUUACUAGCAGUGAGGUACAAAAGGCUACCAAUCAUGCUUCUAUACAAUGUUUCCUCUACCUUUUCCCCUAAUUCAUCCUUACUUAGCUUUAGGUUGGUAGGCAUUAGUGUCCUAAAAUGUUAGUUGACUCAAGCCCAAACUUUUUGACAAGUUCAUUUGCAUACUUGGAUUGGGAUAAGAAAAUCCCAUCCUUGAGUUGUUUCACUUGGAAACCAAGAAAAUAGGUCAAUUCCCCUACCAUGCUCAUCUCAAACUCACUUUUCAUCUCAUUAGCAAAAUCUAAAGCACACUCACUAGAGGCAGAGCCAAACACUAUGUCAUCCACAUAGAUUUGUGCUACCAAGAACAUUUCAUCAUUUCUUCUAAUGAACAAUGUUUGAUCAACUCCCCCUCUCAUGAAUCAUUUCUUAAGAAGAUAAAAUGUGAGUCUUUCAUGCCAAGCUCUAGGAGUUUGCUUUAAACCAUAGAGAGUUUUUCUAAGUCUAUAAACAUGAUUAGGAUACCUAGGGUCUUGAAACCCUUUGGGUUGUUCCACAUACACUUCUUCAUUGAGGAUUCCAUUAAGAAAGAUAUUCUUGACAUCCAUUUGAAACAAUUUAAAUUUCCAUACACAAGCUAUAGCUAAGAGUAUUCGAAUGGAUUCAAGUCUUGCAACUGGAGCAAAGGUUUCAUCAAAAUCAAUUCCCUCAAUUUGCUUAAACCCUUGAGCAACCAACCUAGCUUUAUUUCUCACAAUCACACCACUUUUAUCCAUUUUAUUUUUGAAAAUCCAUUUUAUUCCAAUGAUAUUCAUAUCUUUUGGUCUAGGCACUAAGAACCAAACUUCAUUUCUAGAAAAUUGAUUUAGCUCUUCAUGAAGAGCCUCUACCCAAGCUUCAUCAUUCAAGGCUUCUUCAACUUUUUUUGGUUCAAUUUAGGAGGUAUAACAAACAUAGCUUAUCUCAUUUAGCUUGGAUUUUCUCUUUGUUACCAUGAUAUCCUUAUAGUUCCCAAUCACAUUGCUCAAUGGAUGGUUCUUAGGUACCCUUGACUUAUUUUUCUUUGAUGGCUCAAUUCUCCCCCUAUCUCUUUUCUUUUCUUCCUCUUCAUUUAACUUUUCAUCUUCAUAUUUAUCUUCAAUUACUUCAAUAUCUUUUGACACAUCAAUUCUAUCCUAAUCACAUUCUCUUGACCGUGAUCCUAGACCAUCUACAAUCACAUUAAUUGAUUCCACCAUAUAUUUUGAACACAAAAUGAAUACUUUAUAUGCCCGACUUUUGGAAGAAUAUCCUAAGAAUAUCCCUUCUUCACUCUUGGAUUCAAACUUUCCAAGAUUUUCAUGAUCUUUCAAGACAUAACAUCUACUUUUAAACACCCUAAAGUACUUCACACUAGGUUUUUUACCUUUCCACAGCUCAUAACAAGUCUUCCUAGUGUGAGUAUGCAUGUGAAUUCUAUUGGAAGUAUAGCAAGUGGUAAAGGAUGCUCCCUAAAAUGCCCUUACCUAUAGACCAAAACGAGGGUCUACAAAUAUGCCUCUCUUCAAUAGAGCUCAUGAGUGUAAGGAAUAUGAACACCGAAGUGAAAAGAAAGUGAAUAAUGAGUGGAAUGAAGUGAACUCUACUGAAGAACAAAUGAGACCCCCAAAAGGAUGUUAGUGAGACAUGGAUUCACUCAAGCCAACAGAUGAACAAAAAACCUCUAAUCCUAAGAGAAAAAGAUGUCCCAAAAUGCCUCUGAAGCCACACCGAAGACCCAGGCUCCCUCUAAGACAUCUCCAAAAAUGACUCGAAAGACCAUAUCAAAGAUGAGUAACGGUCGAACCACACUAAAGUACAGGAAAGAACGCCCAAAGGAAGCUACCCUAUGUGAACUACAUGAGAAUGCCAAGCGUAGGGUGCUCAACGACAUGACUGAAGUAUGUGUCAUGAACCCAAGGUCCAUGUCAUGUGCAGUGGAAAGGGAAAUCUGGAAUAGCAAUGACGAACAAGCAAUAAGCACCAAGUAACCAAGUGAGGAGAAUGACUUUGAACGCCCAAAAUGAAGGAAUAAUGGUGACUCAAAAUGCUUGGAUGAGUAUGCAUAACGGCUCUGAAAGCAAACUAAAGAUGUGACUCUGAAUGUCAUACUGAACAAAGACUUUGGACGUCGAACCGAGCUGAUAGAAAAAUGGUUGAUAGAUAUAGGUGCGGCCCUGACUCAAACUGAACUGGCAGGAUAAAUGAUUGAUCGAUAUGGGUGCAGUCCUAACUCAAACUAAACACAAACUGACAAGAAAAUGGUCGAUCGAUAUGGGUGCGGCCCCGACUCAAACUGAACACAAACUGAUAGGAAUAUGGCCGAUCGAUAUAGGCGUGGCCCCCAAAACGUAAAUUCAAACUGACAAUAUGAUGAUUGAUCAAUAUAGGUGCGGUCCCGACUCAAACUGAACACAAACUGAUAGGAAUAUGGCCGAUCGAUAUAGGAGCAGUCCCCAAAACAUAAACUCAAACUGACAAUAUGAUGAUCAAUCGAUAUAGGUGCGGUCCCAACUCAAACUAAACACAAAUUGACAAGAAAAUGAUAGGAAAAUGGUCGAUCGAUAUGGGUGCGCCUUAACUCAAACUGACACGACGAAUGAUUGAUCGAUAUAGGUGUGGUCCCAAAAAAAUGAACAUAAAUUGAUAGGAAGAUGGUCGAUCGAUAUAGGUGCGGCCCCGAAACGCAACUCAAAUUGACAAGAUGAUGGCUGAUCGAUGUAGGUGCGGUCCCGACUCAAACUCAAACAUAAACAGACAUGAAAAUGACCGAUCGAUAUAGGUGCGGCCCUGAAAACUCAAACUCAAACAAACAAGAUGAUGACUGAUCGAUAUAAGUGUGGCCCCGACUCAAACUCAAAACAAAAAAAGGAUAGGAAUAUGGCCGAUUGAUAUAGGUGCGACCCCAAAAUGCAAACUCAGACUGACAAGAUGAUGACCAAUCGAUAUAGGUGUGGUCCCGACUCAAACUCAAACAUAAACAGACAUGGAAAUGAUCGAUCGAUAUAGGUGCGGCCCCAAAACUCUAACUAAAACUGACGGGAUAAAAGAUCUGAUCAAGUGGCCCAAAGCCAGAGGAUAACUAAGAUAAUGAUGUAAGCAAACUUGAUUGGAGGGGAUAUGCCCCAGUAUGACAACUCAUGAGGAUCAACAACUAAGUCGAAAGAUAACGAAGCCUUUGAAAGGUCCGAUGAUCGUAGGGAAUGAGGGUAUGCCCCAGUAUGCAACUCUUAGGGGUCAACAACUAGAUCGAAAAGCGAAUGAAACCUAUGGAAGGUCUGAUGAUCCUAGAGAAGGAAGGUAUGCCCCAGUAUGUGACGGUGAACAAACUGGGAUACACAAUGUCUCAAAACUACUAUGCUUUGAAAUAUUCUCAUCCGUCAUGUAAUGAAAAUGCCCAACCUCAAAUAGGUAAUGCCAAACAAGACCAUGCAUCGUGAUACCAUGCUGACAAAACAAAAAUAAUUGAUGAAUAAAAACAAUGAUGACCAGUGCUCAAAAUGUGAAGAGCAAGCAAAUCAACACUCAACAUGCUAACUAUCAAAAUGAAAGCAUCGCCACUAAUAAGUCAGCAAUCUGUCAAGCCCUGCCAUUAUGGAAGAUAUUGAACCUAAAGUCCGAAAGAUGUAUGAAAACAGAAACAAGGUGAUCGAGGACUGAUCUACAUCUCCUCCUAAUCAAGAGAGGGGUGAGGUCAUGUGUCAUGGUGAAAUGUCUAGGAUAACAGAAGGUGAUGAUCAGGCUCUGGUAAGAUAGAAAACAUGAAAAUAUCAAAGGUGAAAUGUUUGAGUACGAACUGAAAGGUAUGUAGGUAUCCGAGAUCAUCCAAGUAUGCCGAGAAGACUAAUCCCAAGGUAUUAAUAGCUUCAUAAUCCAUCGAAAGCAAUAAUCACAAACAGAAAGUCAAGUCUCGAUGUCAAAACAUUCGACUAGGUGGCUAUGCUCCAGUAUGCAAUGAGGACAACAUGAAACAAUCCAAUAAUCUCCAUAUCAUCCGGUAGAAGCUCCAAUGUAAAGAACCAAUUGGAUCUCCUUCUAAAAGAUGGACAUGCCCCAGUGUAAAGGACCCAAUAGGGUGGCUAUACUCCAAUGAAAAAUGCUCUUCAUCCCGGCUAUGCCUCAGUAUAAAGUAGUGUAUCCGAGUCAACAGCUGCUGAAGAAGAUCAUGCUAGUGUAUGUCAACAAAUCAAUCAAUCUCUACUCCUGGUGCUAAAAAUGGAAACAUCUCAACAUAAUCCAUAUGAAUCAGAAUCCCCGAGCUCUAUGAGUACGAAUGAACUGGCUAUGCCCCAGCAUAAACCAUCUGAAGUGACUGUGCUCCAAGAUAAAUCAAAGUCCAUCACCGAUGAGAGGGCUAUGCCUCAAAAUAAAUUGUCAUCUCAAAAAUCAACCAUCAAUGAGUAGAAUGUGUCCUAAUGCAGAGUAUCGAGUAAAGUGAUUGUAUCUCCAAUAAAAACACUCUCUGAAAUGGCUAUGCUCCAGUGUAGGGUCAUCCCACAACUCCUAAUCCAUCAUAAUCCAAGUGAAGAAGCGAACUGACUAUGCCUCAAUGCAAGGCAUCAUCCCGAAAGAAAAUGUCAUUGAUGAGCGGGGUAUGCCCCAAUGUAGAUAACGUCACCUCUGAAAAUCCAUUACUGAUAAGAGGGGUAUGCCCUAGUGUAAAUCAUCAUCUCAACUCCCCAUCCAUCCUGCUCAGAGAAAUAAUCUCCGACCAAGCUUGAGUAUUGCCCAUGUGUGAGCUGUCAAACACAAUAUGAAGUAAUGGCCUUAGGGUGGUCUUCAGACACGGGACGUAAUGUAGGCUAAGGUAAUAGGGUAAAGGAAAUGAAAGGAAACUAGGCUCAAAGAUCCCAAUGAUAUAAUCCCCAUACCCCUCGUGCAUGAGAUGCAAUGCGCAGAAAACGUCAUGAGUCUCGGACCUAGGGGUCCCCACACGAAAAGUGAUGAUAAAUGAAUGGUCACAUCGAAUGAGCAAGAAUAAAGUGUGGAUGUUGAACCCAUGUCAAACAUCAAGCAGGAUGAGAAAAGAAUGAAAUCGGAUGUGGUAUAGUGAAAUAAAGGGAUUAAAUAAGGAUAGAAAAAAACAAAGAGAUAGAAAAGUGAGUGAUGGUGGUCAACCUGCAUCAAAGCAUGGAAAGUAGUCACAUCUGAAACAGAUGGAAUGAUGGAUAGAGCAAGGAUCUAGAGAUACUAAAGAAAUGUCGCUCGCCUCUCUCACAAAAGUUGAAUGGGUGACUCAUACUCUCACCUAAAAUAUACCAAGAUAGAAUCUCAAAAAGAAGCUUUCAUACGAACUCUCUCUAACACAUGAACUCAAUGAAGCAAACUAGCACGUCUAUACACAUGCCCAAUGGAGAAUAAUAAAAUGAACAAUGCGCUAUUUUUUUUUUUUUUUUUGCGCGUACUCUGAUCAAUAGUGAAUGAUCUCCCAUGAAAUACAUAGUUAAAUGAAUAAACUCUCCUCAUGUACUGAUGUAACAUGAAUCCUCACUAACAAGACAACCUCUCAAAAUAAGAUCUCUGAACCACUACCCAUGAGGUGAACUAAGGGAAGGAUGUGACUGUCCUCCAUGCAAUGACAUGAGAAACCACCACUCAAGGUGAAACAAGGAUAAUGUCGAGUAAGCAAUGAUGAAAGAAAAAAUAGAGAAUGAAUAUCACAAGUGGUGAUAUGUGAUAUAAAAAAAUAGUGAUGAGAUGAUGUCCAAGUGGAAAAUAUCACAAUGAAGAGUGAGGAAUGAGGCCGAAUGUGUAUGUCGGGUUUAGAACUCAUGAUGUAUCCAAUCAUAGCAUGCAAGCACUACAGGGUCUCCAACCCGGUGAAAUAGGUAUAUGAGGUGAUGAAAGAACAGGCUACGAUGCUCGUACGAGGCUUAAAGGGCUACCAACGGGUAACUCCAUAUGUGAGGGUGAUAUGGUGAACAAGCUCCUAAAAUGAUGGCCACCUAUCCUAUGGCCACAACCUCGAACAUCGUGCUUUCAAGAUCUCACAUGGUCAAUACUAAAGACUGGCACCCGUCCAACAAAGUCAUGUCAACUCCUCUAAAAUCGUGUGAAAGCUCCCACUGAUGCUCUGUGAUAACCAUCAAUGUCCUCUAAUAAUCACCUCACUCUAUCAUCAUAAUCCACUCACCAUCGUCUCAUAAAACCACCAUCUCUAAUCAUCCCAACUCUCUAAAGUCAUGUGCAAUGGCUCAAAUUUGGAUGCUCCAAGAUAACCCCUCUGCCUCAACAAUAUCAUCAAGCAGUCAAACCACUCUCUCAUCGCGAUCCACCUAUCAUCAUGUAGAGCUCAUGAUUCGAGCCCAGCCGGGUCUUUUAAUAAAAAAUAUUUAUAAAUCCUAUGACCUUAUACUGGCGUAGCAAAGCUACUAUAGUAUAGCAGUUCUAGGGUCGAACUCAGGGAUGGGUUUUCACUCUAUCAGUGACAAACUCUAAAUUAGAAAUUGAUUCUGAUGAUUUCCUUUAGCACAAACUUGAAAUUUAAAAGAAAAUAAAAUUGUUUUGAAAGUGGUGAUUGAAACUAAACUCACAUAGAACUAAGUAAAAGUGGAAGAAAGAAAGUCUCCCGGAGGUAAAGGUUGCUAGGUUCAAGUUCAGGAUGCAAAGUGGAAAAUUCCGGAUUUUUCUCCUCGCAUUGGGGAUUUAACCUAUAGUUAUUUCCCGAACCGGUAUAGGUUUGACAAUGAAGAUUUAAUCCAUAAAAAGUCAAUAGAGAUGGUAGUCAAAGUCCAUUAAUGGCUUAAGACACUAUGGGUUAUCACCUUGAAUCACUUUCCAAUGGCUCGUACAUGAUAACUAAUGGACUGAUAUGGAUCUAGCAAUAAGCAUCCACAGAGACCUGAAGCUUACCAUGUAUUGGCCAGUCAAAGUGAUUCUAAGGGAUUUAAAGCAAAACUUUGGAUUUAGAAGCCAUUUAUGGACUCCAACUACCUGAAUUUAAUGCACGGAAACUUUCCACCUUUUAAUCCGGACUUUUCACCUAGCUUCCUUCACUCCAAGAAACUAUAAGUUUAGCCUCUCAUCCUCUGGGAAAACAUCCUCAGAGGCUGUUUGGAUUCCAAGAAAAUAGAAAAUAGUAGAGAGGAAAAGAAAGCAAAAGAAAUCUCUGUAUUUCACUAAGUGUAGAAUUUACAUCAGUUGGUCUCCUGGAGAAAGCUCCCCGAGAGUGUAUUUUCAGUGUUUACAAGAGAAUUUAUAUAGGAAGGUAAUUUUACCCUUCCUUGGAUACUUCCUAGCUAAGGAAUUACAUGAGUGGCUGAAUACAAGGAGAAAAUGGAAAUUUAGACACAAAAAUAUCAGAAGAAAAAGAGUCGGCAAAAAUAUCCAAUUUUCGCACGUUGGAGUUCCAAUUUCGCACUUUGGUUUGAGGUGUGCGAAAUUCCCACACUUUGGAUUGAGGAAUUCGCACCUUGAUUUCCAUCGUGCGAAAUUGUCCCUCAGCUUGAUGCAGUUGUCUUCCGAAGGCCAUAUCUUCCUCAUUUCAGCUCCAAAUCGUACAUGGUUUGAAUCGUUGGAUUCUUGACUUUCUGAGCUUUGAAAUGGUAUAUAGAAUGUAGAAAAUAGACUUCUGGAAGUGCUCCAAAAGUGUGAAGGAAGACUGCAGCUGUGUCCUCUGUUUUCCUUACCCUGUUUUUCUUCUUCUCCAUUGUUCUUUCCUUGCAUACUUUGAACUACUAAGGCAAAGGAUUAUGAGACUCCAAAGCUUGGUUUCUUCAUAAAUUUGAGCUUUCCAAAAGCUUUGCCAUGAACUAUACAUAGCUCUCCCUCAUUCUUAAAUUGCUUUGGUGAGCAUAAAGCUAUCAAAAAGCACCAAAACUUAACACAAUUGUUAGAAACGAUUGCAAGGGUCCCUAACAUGUUAAUUGAGUUAAAAGGUAAUAAUUACUACUCAAGGGUGUUUAAAAGAGAUAAUUACAAGCUACAAAAUAGCAUGUUUUGAGUAGUAAUCAGCUCACCUCAGGUCAAACCAUCUCAGACACUACUUGGUUAGAUCAAGGAAAUAAUGGAAAGGAAAGGCAAUGGUACUGUAGCAGGCUAAGGCGAACAAGGAUAGUAAAGUCGUGUAAUGGUACCAAGGGGUGGUGUCAUGUCAAGCUCAAAAUGGGUAGGUCAUCAAGUCCACAAAGUCAGGGUAUGUAUAUGGAUAUGGUACUGCUCUGAUCAGAAGGUGAAAUGGGUCGCAGUCUUCGAACUCCCUAGGUUGAUCUCCUAAUCCUAGGUCAAUAGGCUCAAUAUCCUCCAUGAUAGGUCAGGCCAAAGUGAUCAUGAUGUAUAAGUGAAAGCAUGUCUCAUAUCGAAAGCAUAACUCGCAUUAAGGUAAGAUAUGUAAAUCAUACCCGUGAGAAAGAGAAUAACACAUACUCGGAAUAAAAAGAUCAUAUCACUAAGUGAAACAAUGAGUACAUCAUGUGUAAUGAUAAAGUACUACAAACGACUGGACUCUCAACAUGAACUAAAGACAACGACUCCAAACCAAAUUGGACUCAACAAAAUAAAAACAACUCUGACGAACUAAAAACUAGACUCAACAAAAUGGAAAUGACUUUGAUGAUGACCACAAUCAGAAUGAAAAGUUCUCUCAGCUGAACUGCUACCAAGUGAUGUACCCAUGUCAACUGAUCCAAGCCCUCAACCCGGGAUGUCCCAUAAUACCAUGUGACCAUCAAUACCAUCAACAUCCCAAUCAAUCUACUGAAGACUAGGAGGAGGAGGAACUGUAUGUGUAGAAUGCGUAGGCAGGGGAUUGGUGGUCACUCUUGGCCUAGCCAAGUUGACCAACCCUGAAUCGAUCAUGUCCUGUAUCGCAUGAUGGAGUGCCGAACAACGCUCAGUAUCGUGCCCCUGAAUAUGAUGAUAUAAGCAAUGCUCAUGUGAGCGAAAAUGAGGAGGAAUGGGAUGUGGCAAAACGUGCGACACCAAAGGAACAAUCAAUCCAGUGUCCUUGAGCUUCUCAAAAGCUCUAGUCAAAGUCAUGCCCAAUGGAGUGAACAAUCUCGCAGGCCUUUGUGCAUAUGGUCUAGGUGGUGGGUGAGUAGCGACUCUCGGAUGUGGUGGUCAUGGCUGCAUGCUAGUUUGAGCAAUGUAAGGCUUCUGAACAUAAACCGACUGAUACUGAUACUAUGGAUGAGAGAAAUGAGCUCUGACUGUAGGAGGCCUAUAAGGUGAGUGAUACGCAGGCCUCUAAUGCUGAUAACUAAUAGCGUCAACCUCUCCAGAUCUACUAAAUGAUCCAAUCGGCUUCUUCCCCUUACUGUCAGGGGAAGGAUUAGUAUCUGUCCAUAAACCUCGAGCAAUGGCCUCCUUAACACUAAAAGCUGCAUGAACCAAACUCUUAAGAUCUUGAAAUGGAAUGCCCACAAGACUCCUAGCAAACCUCGGCUAUAGGUUUCGAAGAACCAUAUCAAUCUGAUCUUGCUCCUUAGGCCGGUCUAUCAUACCAGCCACUUUUGCCCUCCAAUGACUAACAAAGGAAGAAAUAAACUCAUCUGGCCUCUAUCUGGUGGCCUCCAACUCUCGUCUAGAUACAUCAAUGUCGGCACUAAAAGCAAACUGAGUCAGGAACUCAUGAGCCACAUCCUCCCAAGUGCGAAGUCUCAAAGGCUCAACUGAAGCAAACCAUCUCUGAGCUGCCCCACUAAGAGACAUAGGAAAGAGGGCCACCAACUGUGCAUCAUCUAUCCUGUACACUCUCAUGACUGUGUUGUAUAGUCUCAAGUGGAUCUUAGGAUAACCAAUCCCACUAUAGCGCUCAAUGUCUGGCAUGCGAAACUUGGCAAGCAAGCUAGCUGCCGGUAUAUCAUCUCUAUCAUCCCAAGUCAAACCUUUAUCCUGCAAUCUAAUCUGUCUCAUCUUAGACUCAAGCCUCUCAACCCUGGCCUCCUGCUCUGCCAAUCUAGUAUAAUCAGUGGUAGGAACAAUGGGAGGUGGCACUAUGACAGGAGGUGGUGGAAUGGUCUCGUAAUGAUCUGCCAAAUGGAAUGGAGUACUAAGUGAAACCCCAGGUGGAAGAGCAUGUGCUGUCUGAGAUGCAUGAGGAAUCGUCUCAUCAGUGACCAUGCCAACUGGAUGAGGAUCCUGGCGAGAACUCUCUAUCUCAUCCAAGCGUCUACUGACUCCUGCCAUGAACUCUUGAAUAGAAGCAAGUGUAACAGCUAGCUCAUCUGAUAUCUCAACUGAACUGUCUGAACUCUGAUGUGAAUCCGAUCUGAUCAAUCGACCUCUAACUCUCCUCCAAGAAUGUGACUCCAGACUCAACCAACUCCUAAACUGACUCCCUACAAUGUAAACAAAAAUGAAUGAAGGAUACGAGAUAGAACUCUAAAAGACAACUGUACAACAUGCAAACACAUGGUCCUGAGGUGGCAAUCCAAAAUCUGGAUGUAUGAUGAGAACCCUAGAGUCAUAAAGGUGUCCACUAUGGGAUGGCUACAAAUGUGACUAGAGAAUUCCCAUCAAUAAUCCAAGAUGAAAGAUGUGUGAAAACACACUAUCACGAGAUCAAUACUCCAUCUAUAACCACAUAUCCUUGACCUAACUUUCAACCCGAGCUCCAUAAGAGAAAAAAUGAUAAGGUGAUCAAGGCAACUCUCUCGAAAAAAAUGUGAAUGUAAAAAUGUGUCUUUCACCUUUCUGUAAUGAAAAUAUGAGUGUCGAGUCGAAAAUUGAAUCAAGUAUCAAACAAAGAAUGGGGUACUGGGCCCGUGAUAGGUGUACAGUGUAAAAAGAUGAUCAAUGAACAUAUCUCAAAGCAUACAACAAGUGACAACAAAGUGAAAGGAUGUGUCAAGCCAAGAGAGAGAAGACGAAAGCCCUAGUGAGAAAACACUAAACUCAUCGAGUGAAAAGAACAAACUAAGGCUACAUGACAAAGGUGAUCCAACCGAUACUCAAACUCAUAUCGAUCUCUGACCACUCUCAAUUGGAGACUAAAAAUAGGGAACACUAAACCUAGGUGAUGACUAAAGUGGCUCUAAAGGCUCUCAGAUGCACUCACAGGUGAGAAAGGAAUCCUAAUCAAGGAUCUAAACUCAUCCUACCAAGUCAAGGUGGCCCUAAAAGAAGAAAUGGUAGGCUUUCAAAGAUCCCUAGCAGAAGCGAUCGUACCCUCCGACGGUACGCAACCCUCUGCACACCUUCAAAGAGACGGGGCACUUCCAUGCAAGGUGGUCAUCACCUCCACACAUGCACUACCUCGCAUCCUAGGGGGGCUCCUAUGGUGAAAGCUCUCCUAAUGGCUAGCGUAUCUCACAACUCUAAUCACUCAUCGACGAUCUAAGGCGCACAGUGAGUGGUGUGGGUGCAUAUGAAAAUCCUAUGAAACUAAAAUAAAACACACUGACCACACAAAUAUCCAGAAAUCUAGCUCUGGGCUAUACAAGUCUUCAAAGUUCAGACUCCAAUCAGCAUCAAUAUGUCGACCACCUCCAAAAUGCUCCCAAACAUAAAUAUAGCCCAUCGCUAGACUCUAUUCCUAAUCACUAGCUCGGUCGAAGAGCAGACAAAGCAACAAGUCUCAUAUCAAAUAUGAGACCCCAAAAAACAAGGUCGACCGAGACUAGGGACUUGGAGAUAAGGGGAUAGGUGUGUGUCCCACAUAGACAAGCAACUCAUGCAAUCACACGGAAUGAUGAAAUGUCACAUAACAAACAGUCAUGCAAAAUAGGUAUAUAUCAUCCAAAUCUACACACAAGCUAAUCGAGAAGAAUAUCUGGCAAUGAUAGCAUGCUCCAUGAUAAUCAAGAUAAUAUACAACCAAAAGAAUCAAUCAUGUCAAAGUGAAUGAGAUAAGCAAUAAGAAUAAUGUACAUGCCAAGGUGAGUAGAGUGAUCAUACAACAAGAAGAGUCAAUGUGUGAGGAAAAACGAAAUGAUCAAUCAAUAUAAUCGACAUGCCAAUGCCUCAAACAAAUACAAGAACCAAGCAUGCAUCAAGGAUAAUGAUACCAAGAGCUCUCAAUGUGCAAUCAACAGUCAAGCAAACACAUGCACAAAGAGAGGUGGGUACCCACUAAUCGAUCAAUCAAAUGCCACAUUUGCUUCAUCCUAUGUUCAAGCUUGACCCUCUGUCGAUCCUUAGUGGAGUCACCAUUUUGUGGACCCCAUAUUUUGGCUCAUGUGCUUCCAUUCGAUGGCGAGCUCGAUUUUUAUUUUGAAAAAUGAUUUUAUUUUUAGAAAAUGACUUGGAGUUGCCACUUAUUUUUGUUUUAUUUUUAAAGGGUAAACAAAAUAAGAAAGAAAACCCUAAGUGUGACUCUUUAUUUGGAAAAGGUGGCUUGUGAAAAUUGGAUUCAAGGUUCGGGGGUCUAGAUACUUAUUGGGAAGGUACGGUAAAGAUCGUAGCAUCCCUCUAAGUCCCUAAAAAUGGGUCUCUACUAAUAAAUUGAAGCAAUCAUGGCAAUUGGUAAGAAGAUCAAUGGAUACUCAAAUCGAUCAUGCCCGUAUGAGAAUCAGAACAUGCAUAGAGAAUGAAUAGAAUAGGAGUGGAUGCGUACCUGGACAACGAGCCACAAUGUGCUAUCAAGAAAUGAGGUUAGUGCACAAAUAAUGACAUAAAACAUAGCUCACAUGCCACUAAAUCGAGCAAGAAAUCCUUCGAUAUCACAAUUCGCUCAAAUUUAUUUUUUAAAUCUCGAAUGUUGGGCCCCCACCAAAGCCCAUUUUAUUUUUCAUGAAUCAAUUCCAAUAACUCCAUUAUUCGGAAUCACGAAAUUUAGUUCUUGCUUAUUUUAAAAACAGAUGAGAUGUGAGAAUUGCUCGCCAGAAAGGAAGAUGACGGCGAAAUUUUAUUGAAAAACGAGUUUUUAGAACCUAAGAAAAAUGUUAAGGAUGGAAAAAUUUGGAGAUUUGAAAUUAAUUAAAAACCAUAAUGGAAGAAUUUAUUUACAAAAAAGGGUUUAGGAAAACUAUUUUAAAAAAAAAUGAUGAAAUGAGAAAUGGCACGUGGCAUAGGGGUGGCCAUGCUAAGGGCGUUCUUUUCUGGCCCAAGCUGAAAAUACACUCCUUCAGUUACCCUUCUUUUCAGGUAUAACACCUUCAUUGGAAGAAAUAGCUUCUACACCAUACUCUGGUAAACAAGGACCAAUAACAAUGCCUAUAUCUGCCUCAAGUAGGCAAACUAAGUCAUCCAUUGAACCUCCAAUCUAAACUGUCAAGUGCUCUGUGUCAUCAUUGCAUCCCUCCUUUAAGAUAUCCUUAAAUAUCACCUGUGGAAAUGGAUUCUUCAUAAGCCAACUCAUUUAAAUAUACUCUCAAAACACCUAGAUCACCUGAUGAAAAUGCUGAUCUAAUGAAAUCGCCACACCAACAGUAUGAAAGUGCAUGAACAUCUGUAUCCGGAUUAUCAUUUUUAAGAAUCAUUUGGAAGAAACCUGUGCAACCAUUUUGAAGAAUUAGACUUUGACCAACUGGAUUUAAACCCUUCAAUACUCUGGACUGAGUCACUCUUGAAUUGUCAUUUUCCUCAAGUGCUUUACACAGGCCUUCAUAAUUGAAUUUAUCCACUGUUUCACUGGGAACGAUUCUUCCCAUGCAUUUUCCAAGCUCUUCAGCAUACUGAGUAGAUAGAACACCCCAUGAGUGUGUCCAAAUCACCAUGAGUGACCAUUUAAACAUUGACGAAUGUGAGGGCACAUAACAUUUAAGCACACAGGCCAUAUAUGAACAUUCUCCAUUAGCUUCUCUACGCCUUUGUCGCCCUCUUGACUUCCCAUGCAGCCAACUGUAGAGAGUAGGUCUAGAUGCAGUCACAUGGAGACACAUCUCAUGGUCUCCCUUAUUCAACAAAUCACAUGUUCCGUUAAAUCUGCUACCCGAACGGAUACCUCACCUCCAUCAACUUGAAUAUGCUCCGAACUUUCUUCAUAAAACCCAAGGAACUCCAGAAGGCAUCGUGGUUCUUCUCCAUCAUUGAAAUGAUCAGGGAGAGUAAAUCACUCAUCCUUUACCAAUAUUCCAUUUUUAAAUCAUAGGGUGCGCAAGCUUCUAGAAUAGCAGCUUAGUGAGCAACCCGGAAGAUCUUGCAUGGCCUUAGAUUCAAAUUUGGCUUGGAAUGAGUCCUCAACUAGUGAGCUUUUGAUUCAUAUAUGCUAGCACUUCCGAGGAAAUUUGACAACACGAUGGCCGAUAGAUGAAAAGGGUAUGAGCGGAAUUCUAGAACCAGAUUUUCCAAAUAAAAUGGGAGAAUCAAGUAUGAGUGAAAAUACCGAACUCUGCGAACCUGUCAGGCGAAUGGGAUCCAGAAUCACUUUGUUAUUACUAAAAUUGAAUUCAUUGAAGCAAAAAGUGGCAGACACCUGGUCAACAGAUUCACCAUCCAUUCUCUGAACAGCUUGAACAUACUCUUACAUUGGCUUGUUUGAUUCCCGCUUUUGUGAGAGGCUUCCAACACUUAUGGAGGUUUUGACAGACUGUUCCUGCUUAUUAGGCCAACUAGAGAAUACAUUUUGAAAACUACAGGUAUCAUCAUAAUCGUUUGAAUUCCUCUCAUAUGUUCUUAAAGAAGGUUCUUUAGUCAUCUUCACCACAUGAGUAGCCCAUGAAUCUCAGCACUGAAGCUACAACAGCAGGCAUUGAGACUUCCUCACCCAUCAGGCGUGCUACAUAUGUCUUAUGUAUCAGAGCUGCACUCUGAAGCUCUCCAGCUAUGUCUGAAUUUCCUUCCACAAGUUCUGCCACAAGACCUGCACUGACAAGGAAAGAUUUCUAGUUUGGUGGGCAAGCAUUGAUUUCAUGCUCAUCCCAUCGACAUUUGCCAACAUAAUACAAUUCGGUGCUUCAACUGGUAUAUCAAUAUUUUCAAGCUCCGAAAUGUGACUAAAUGAAUCUUGUGUGUAGAAAAACCAUCCAUAACCCCAUGAAAUCCAUCUGAAACGUGGAACUGAAAAACCGAUGCAGAAACUUCCACUUCACAUAAUCCAUAUAAUUCCCACUCACUCCUGCUCACUUUCUAAAGAACAAAGAGGUCCAUAACAGUAGAGCUACAUAGUGCAAACAAAUUAUUCAACCCAUCAUCAAAAUUCAAACACCAUAAUGAAGUCUCUCUGUCUAUAUGAACUAAUUGUAAGUGACUUUCGUUUCCGUUCUAAAAGCAUCGAGAAACGCGGCCCGGCUGCCGAAUCAUGACCAGGAGGCGUGCCAUGCUGAUAGGUCCCCUUACACCUUUAAAUUCAUGCUCGCAUGAAGUUUUCAUAGAAUUCGAGGAAUCUAGGGUCUUGGCAAGGAAUUAUGGGCGUUGGAAUUUGAAAGGUGUUUGCCAAAGACAAGAAAAACAGUAAUGAAGGAACACAUAAGGUGGAUUGCAUGGGAAUUAUAGACGAUUUUUUAUUAUGAGUUUUAGUCAAUGGGAGCCCGGUUUGUAAAACAAGAGUUAAUGAAGCAACGUAUGGAAGGUUCGGGCAAUAGGUAGCUUCAAUGGGUAUGAAUAUUCGGGAAUGAUGAGCUUGGCAUGACGCCUUAGGCAUGGAGCGAUGCUGCUCGAGGCUUAGAUAUGACAAAAAAAAUGAUGUGAAUUGAGGGCUCGGAGAAGGGUUUAGGGUGACCCUUACAUGGUGCGGAGGAUGAAGAUAGUGAGAGAGGCGUGUUUAGUGGGUUUGGAAAUAUGAGGGAAUGCAGUGAUAUGGGUAUGGUUGUGGUGUAGAGAGAGAAGGGUGAUAAGAAGAAGAAUGGGUAAUGUUGGAUAUUGGAGGGUGGUGAUAUGCAUGAGUGGUAAUGGACAUGCACGUGGUGUAGAGAGAGAAGGGCAUGGGGGACAUGACGAGUGUAGGGAUAUGGGCAUAAUGGAAUAUGAGGUAUGAUGAGGGCAUGACGAACCUUUGCUCAAAUUUCGACUGUAGCUUGGACUUUAAUGGAAUAUUCUCCAUUGGCACAACUUCUUCUUCUCCCUUUAGUGGAGCGUCACUACCAUCAGGAGCCAUUCCAUCAUGUAAACUAAUAUCAACUCUCUCCACUUCAUUCUUUGGCUAUUGGAAAGGCGCUCUGAUCUUUGCGCUUCAAAGUAAGGAAUGCUCUUGGUCAGAGCUCGGCCAUAGUUAUGGCUGGCAAGAACAAAAGAGCAGGAAACGAUCAUCAUUUUAUAGGAAUGGAGAAGCCACAGUAAUAAGCCUCACAAGCUCCUCCAUAGCAACAAAAACCAGAGUUCCAAUCUAUAAACAAAACCUAAAUGUCGAAACGUAACGAUCUGCUCAAAAGCGAACCCAAAAUAGUGACCUUGUUCAAAGAAGUUAGGGUCUUAUGUGCUUUAGCAGGAACAUCAGCAAAGUAUAUCAUAGCAGGAACGCUCAAAUAGGUAUAGUAGACUUUAAUUCUAGGUACACCUGAGUGAAGGCCUGAUAACUUCAUGAAAGGGAAGUCGGAUCCACUGAACCUUACUUCAGUUGCUAUAAUUUCCAUCGAUUAGAUAGUCAAAACAAUAGCACGUCCACCUGUUACUCUUUACAUUUCCACCUUAGUAGUUCCUUGUUUUCUCAGGUAGAGACGUGGGAACUGAUGCACGUUGUGGGCGAGUAGCAGGAACAGGGGAAAACGGCAAAACAUAGCACAAAUAAUAGAAGCAAAUUGAACCCAUACAAGCCUCAUUUCAUGUAUCGAUCAAUGAGCUCAGAUGUAGGGUGGAUGAGAUCAAAUGAGUAUCAAAUAAAAGGUAAAACAUGGUUACAAAAUAUCUCAUGAGGAAGUCAAAACAGGGCAAACUAAUCUUCAGCAAAAACCAUUAGCAAAAUAUGAACAUGCUCACUCCCAAGCAACAAAUAUGAUCUGAGAAUCAACCAAAUAAAAAAAAAAAGAGUAGAAAAGUAUACCGGUUGAAGCUAAUGAGGAAUCCACAAUAAACGUACCUGAAAAUGCCUUUCUCCAGCAAAGUGUGAUAGAUUUCUAACUGGUCUUGCUCCAAAAAUUCUCCAGAUAACUCACGAAUUGCUCCACUGGUUCUUUUUCUUGUCUGCAAUCCUUUAAAAACGACCACUACAAAGGAAUUUCUUCCUUAGCUCUGAUGGUCAGCAGUUCUCUACUCAAAGAACACUCCCCCCUCUCCAUUUUUUGGUUUCCCCUUCAAGCAAAAGAAUACUCCCUAAAAAUCUCUCCCCACCAACCAGCCCCCUCUCUCAUUUUCCUCAGGUUCUCUCAUCUCCCGCUUCAGAAAAAUCCCCUCUCUCAUACACUCCUCACUACAGCAACAAAAAAACACCACUUUCUCAAAUAACUGCCUACAGCUUUUUCCCUAACCCCUAGCUCCCAAUCAAAACACUCCUCCUCUCAUACUAACGGCAUCCCCUCUCCUCCUCUGGCAACAACCAAAGAUGUUCCUCCAUAACGGCCGGAAGAUUCUCAUGCCACGCGUCAGCCGUUGAUUGCCUCCAGAAAAUAUCACUGCCCAUGCACCCUCUCAUGCACAUGUUCCCAAAAAUAAAAGUAAAAAAGUGGUAAAGGAUGCUCCCUAAAAUGCCCUUACCUAUAGACCAAAACGAGGUCUACAAAUACCCUUUUUCAUUUUGAAUUUUCAAACUACUAUCCUUGAAAUUUAUUAAUGUCUCACUCUUAUCUCUUAGGAAUACAACCCAUGCAUAACUAGAAUAGUCAUCAACCAUCACCAAAAUGCAUUUCUUGCCACCUAAACUCUUAGUUCUCAUUGGUCCCAUGAGGUCCAUGUGUAAGAGUUCUAAAGGUUUAGAGGUCAAAAUUUCAUCAAAUCUCUUAUGUGUAUUCCUAGUUUUUUUUUCUCUUUUGACAAGUACUACAAAUAGGAUUAGAGAGUUUUCCAAGCUUAGGAAUCCCUUUGAUGACUUCAUUAUUAGCAACUUUCAUCAAGUCACAGUAGUUUAAAUGACCCAACCUAUGGUGCCACAAAUCGAUUGAUUCAACUUUUGAACUACCACACACAAGGGAAGAAGAAGAAGAGGUAGAAGGAUUUUGAAAAAUGGCAUAGCAAUUAUUAGAAGUUCUCAAACCAAUCAUCACACAAUUUCCAUUCAAAUAAAAUACUUUACAUAAAUUUUUUGAAAAUUGAACAUUGAACUUCUUGUCACAUAUUUGACUAAGGGUAAUCAAGUUAGCUUUCAAUCAUUCCACAUACAAGACUUCUUCAAGGUUAGGGAUCCCAAGAGCACAAAUUGUGUCUUUCCCUUUCACAUUAGUAACAUUAACAUCACCAUAAGUCACAUUUUCUCCAUCAAAUUUAGUGAAAUUAGUGAAUAAUUAUCUAUUACCUGUCAUAUGACGUGAACAACCACUAUAAAAAUACCAUGAGUAUGACUCACUAGCUCUAAGUGCAAUGUGAACAACAAGGCAAUUAAGCUCAUGCUUUUUCACCCAUAUUUGUUUGACAUUUGUGACUUGGGUCAUUCCAUUGGAAGUGCUUCCUUGGAAACCACUAUGAUGAGGGACAUUGGAAUCCCUCUUGAACACUCUCUUGCCUUUUUGUAACAACCUAUUUCUCAAAGUGAAUGAUUCAUUCAUUAGGUUGGUCAACUUCAUUUAGAAACUCUCAAACAUCCUAGCAUUACAUCUAUCAACGGUGUGUCCCAUUUUAGUGCAAUGAGUGUAAUGAAGUUUCAAUUUAGGAAGAAUUUUCUUAGGAACCACUCCUUCACAAAGCUUGAAAAUUUUUUUUUUACUACUACUUGAAUUAACAAAACCUAAGCCUCUUUUAUCAAAUAAUUUCCUCCUUGAAUUAAUCAAGUCACUAAGUCUUUUAGAACUAGGAUGUGACUCUUCUUUCCUAAGACUCAACUCAUUCUUAAACACUUGAUUUUCACUCUUCAAUUCAUCACACAUUUUUUUCAUGUCAAAGUGUUCACCCUCAAAAAAGGCAAUUUUAUCUAACAAAGACUUUUUCCCUCCCUUUAGAGUUUUAAUCUCAUUGAUUAAACUCCUUUUAGAAGCCUUCCAUUCAACUUGCUCCUGUUUGAGACUUAAGCACUUCUUGUACAAAGUCUCAUAUGUAGAGUCAAAACUCAUCUCAUCACAAUUGGAGUUACUUGACUCACAAGACUCACUAAGAACCUCUUUCUUGAGUGGGUCCUCAAUGACACUUGCUAUAAAGGCUGUGAAAUCAGUGCAUUAUUCACUAGCAUUGGAUUCUUUUUCACUUGAUUAACAUGAUUCUGUGUCACUCCAAGUGACUUGCAUGACUUUCUUUCCUUUUUUCUUUGAGGGACAUUUGGUGGCUUAGUGUGUUUUCCCCCCACACUUGAAGCACUCAACCUCAAGGUCCUUUUUGACACUCUUGUCUUUUAUAUUUGAUUUUCCCAUUGAAUUGUUCCAUUUUUUAGCAUAUUCCUUGGACUUCUUCUUAUAUUUCCUGAACUUCAUGUAUUUUUUGAAUUUUCUAGCAAAUCUAACAACUUCCCCAUCCGACAUUUUCUUAUAUACUUUUAAAAAUUAUAUAAAAAGUAGUGGAGGAGUCUGAAGGUACCUAUCCGAGGGUAGGUAAAUGAACAAAUUACUUGUGUGGGCUAAUGGUAAUUAUUAAAAUUCACAUUUUAUCUUGAAAAAGUAAACAAAUCCCUAUUUGUACAAAAUUUUUAAGGGGGAACUUAGACCAGAAGUGGGCAAUAAAGAAGUGAAUAGAGGUGGUAGGGGGCGUCAUCCAGCUGGACCCUCAAAUGCAAAAUAAAGAAGUCAAUAGACGUGGUGGGGUGGCUGUGGACCCUCAAAUGCAAAAUAAAGAAGUCAAUAGACGUGGUGGGCUGUCAUCCAGCUGGACUCUCAAAUGCAAAAAUGGAGAUUCGGUUAUCCCGAAUCACUAGUCACAAGUCGCGAGGGGUGUGCGGCUUGGCAAUAGCAGCUGAUGUGACACUUGAUACAACCUCAAUGUCCCAAUGCUGACUGCCAGUUGGAUCGUCAACGCUUCCCGAUAUUAUUUCUAUAUUACAAUUAAUUAUUUGGAAUUAUAAUAAUAUGAAGGGAUAAAGAAAAAGACAAAAAAAAACGAUGGAGUUUAAAACAACAAUGGCUGGAGCAUGAUUGAGGCAAAUUAGCUUUAGUUAACGGUCCCAUGUUCUAACUGUGCUCAUUCAUCAAUUUCAUUGGUAAAAUAUUAUUAAAAAAAAUUAAAUUAAUAACCUUUUUCAAAAACCAUGUCUAUUUAGUAAAAUAAAAUAAAACUUUCCUAUAUUAUUAUGGUAGAAGAUGGUAAAGUAUCCUCUAAAGAAAAAAAGAAUUGAUCAUAAAAAUCAAAUAAAAUAAUAUAAAAACACUCUAAAUAAAAUUAGGAAAAACUUUAUAUAUGAGAGAAAAAUUAAGCUAAAUAAAUUUGAAGACGUAAAUAAAAAAAAUUAUUCAUUUUAAAUAUAAUUAUUUUUUUUCUUUCUACCCUUCCUCUCUAAUUUUUUUUCCCUUACAUCUUCCUCAAAAUUUAUAGAAGCCAAGAGGGCAUAUGCAAGUAAGAAAUGAUGUAAAAAGGGGAGAUGGAUCUAAUUGGACAAUAAAUGAUGUAAACCAACUCCUCUAUUCUGCUUGAUUCAUCAUCCCAAAGCUCUCCACACUCAUCAUUUCCCUCAAAAGUAGCUGGUUCUUAAUCCUCAUUGACAAAACCAUGGGCAACAUUUGCUCCAUUUCACUCCCCGUUGACCGCAUUGUCUCUAGCUUCUGGGAUGGCACUACUGAGCAUGCAAAUUACCUGCGCAAACUCCCUGAAAAUCUGGUAGAAUUGGGAACCGCUUGUGAAAGAUUGAGGGAGUUAAGGAACGAUGUGAAGAAGAAGGUGGAUAUUGCUGAGAGGGAACAAAUGCAGCCGCUGGACCAAGUACAAGGGUGGCUUUCAAGGGUUGAAACUCUGGAAACUCAAGUCACUCAACUGAUUGGAGAUGGCACCGAGGAGGUUGACAAGAAAUGUCUCGAUGGUUCCUGUCCUAGGCAUUGUAGGACCAGAUACAAGUUGGGGAAGAGAGUAGCUAGAAAGUUGAAAGAAGUGGACAUUCUAAUGAGCCAAAGACCUUCGGAUGUGGUGGCUGAGAGGUUACCUUCACCUCGCCUAGGUGAAAGGCCUAGUGAAGCAACCGUCGGCAUGAAUUCCAGAAUUGGUAAGGUUUGGAGCAGCCUUCAUCAAGAACAAGUGGGAAUUAUCGGCCUAUAUGGAUUAGGAGGAGUUGGGAAAACCACCCUCUUAACCCAAAUCAAUAAUGCUUUUACUAAAAGAACCCAUGAUUUUGAUUUUGUGAUCUGGGCAACAGUUUCCAAAAAUGUAAACCUUGAAAACAUUCAGGACGACAUCUGGAAGAAGAUAGGGUUUUGUGAUGAUAAAUGGAAAAACAAAAGUCGAGAUGAGAAAGCUACGAGCAUAUGGAGAGUCCUGAGCGAAAAGAGGUUUGUGCUGUUGCUAGAUGAUUUAUGGGAGUGGUUGGAUUUAUCAGACGUCGGGGUCCCAUUCCAAAAUAAGAAAAAUAAGAUAGUAUUCACCACUCGAUCAGAAGAGGUGUGCGCUCAAAUGGAAGCUGAUAAGAAGAUCAAAGUGGAAUGCCUAACAUGGACAGAAUCCUGGGAAUUGUUACGAAUGAAGCUUGGAGAAGACACUCUCGAUUUCCAUCCUGAUAUACCAGAACUCGCUCAAGCCGUUGCACAAGAGUGUUGCGGUUUGCCACUUGUGCUAACUACCAUGGGCAGGGCCAUGGCUUGUAAGAAGACACCGGAGGAAUGGAAGUAUGCAAUAAAAGUGUUACAAAGCUCUGCCUCAAAAUUUCCAGGUAUGGGGAACAAAGUGUUUCCUCUUUUAAAAUACAGUUAUGAUUGCUUACCCAUCGAAGUUUCCAGAUCUUGCUUCUUGUAUUGUUCUCUAUAUCCGGAAGAUUAUAAGAUGUCAAAAUCAAGUUUGAUAAACCGUUGGAUUUGUGAAGGCUUUUUAGAUGAAUUUGAUGACAGGGAAGGAGCAAAAAACCAGGGUUACAACAUUAUUGGCACUCUGAUUCAUGCAUGUCUAUUAGAAGAAGCUGAUGUUGAUUAUCGAGUAAAACUGCAUGAUGUAAUACGUGAUAUGGCAUUGUGGAUAGCUUGUGAAACUGGGAAGGAGCAGGACAAGUUCUUGGUGAAGGCCGACAGUACGUUAACUGAAGCUCCUGAAGUUGCUAGAUGGAUGGGGCCAAAAAGGAUUUCACUGAUGAAUUACCAUAUUGAGAAACUAACAGGGUCUCCCGAUUGCCCCAAUCUCUUAACUUUGUUUCUUCGGAAUAAUAAUUUGAAGAUGAUCUCUGAUAGUUUCUUCCAGUUUAUGCCAAAUCUAAGAGUUUUAGACUUGUCAAGGAAUACUAUGACUGAAUUACCACAGGGAAUCUCUAAUUUGGUUUCAUUACAGUAUCUCAGCCUAUCAAAAACCAACAUAAAAGAGUUGCCAAUUGAGUUGAAGAACCUGGGUAACUUGAAAUAUGAAAAUUCAUGCCAAUGAUUAUGAUUUUAGGUUAUUUAUUAUUAAGUAUGAUUUGAACUUAUGUCUUGGUUAAAAUGUAUAAUUUUUUAAUUAUAUGAAAGAAAAAUAGGUAAUGGUUGUAAUAAUUUAUUUAGUUAGAAUUUCUUUCAUUUAGACUUUAGGAUGCAUUUGAGUUUUAUUUGUUUAAAUUAUCAAGGAAACAUGUGAAUAACAUAACAUCACUAAUUUGAUUUAACACUUUAUAUAACCUUAAAUGUAUAAACCAAAGUAUAAUAGUUCUACAAACAUGAAAAAAGAUCUCAAUGUGUCCCACAUGAUGGAAUCUUUCUCUUUCGUUGUGAACAUCUACGGUAGAUGGCCAUAUUUGUUGUAUCCAUCUGUGCUAUUUGAAAAGUCUCCAUCUCUAUAGACUGUGACACGUCAUCUACAUGAGCUGUCGAGAUAGAUGGAACUGAUGGAGGUAGAACUCGACGUACACGUGGAGCUCGAUGUCCUCUAGCUACCCGUACAUGUAAUCGUGCAGCAUGAGCUAUCCCCUGAAGAAAAGGUAGAGGUGCAAUGGACUCUGUAACAGGUGGAGGUGCAAUAGACUCUGUAACAGGUGGGGGUGCAAUAGACUCUGCAAUAGGUGGGGGUGCAUCCAAUGAUAUAGAUGGCUGAACAGGGGUAAGGGUAGAUGGUAUGGUAGUCUCGGGUCGAGGUGAAUAGGCUGGUAUGGAUACAUCAGGGGGAGAAAGUGGCGACUCUAAUGAUGCAGAUGGUUGAAAUAAAGGAAAGGUAGAUGUGACUGGUGGAUGUGAGGGUUGUACCAAAGUAGAUGCCAAAGGUACAUGUCGGUGACCAACUCGACGACCACCUCUCCCCCGACCUCUAAUGGGUGGUACCCUAACAGGCGUAAUCAAUGAUUGUGGUCUCAUGGAUGACCCUGAAGAUGUGGAUGGCUCAUGUGUCGAGUGUGCGCGAUGGUCCUCUCCUAUAACACGUAAAACAUCAAUAGCAAUUCGGUGAGUUUCCUCCAAAUCAUUUGAAAUAGCCAUCUGUGAUACGGCGGUGAUCUGUAUAAAAAAAUAAAACAUGAGGCAUUUGCACAUAAUUUAAGUUUAACAUUCAUUAAAAAAUGGUUUUGUAUCUCAAAUGCUCUCACCAAUAACUCAGUGGCAGAAGCUGUAUUAUGGAACCUCAUAUGAUCUCUAUGCAAAACAGGUGCGAUCAGGCGUCGCGUGAUACGUCGAUACCACUGCAUAUAUGGAUCAUAAAAAGACAUGGUAGUAAUCGCAAGUGGUGCUGUCGCAAUACGCUCAGAAUGAGUAGCCCAAAGAGAAAUAUACUGAGCAUGGAAUGUGACCCAAUCGUACUGAUGUCGUCCUCGCCUAUCCACUAAAUGUAGCUCCAUAUCUAUCAAACAAGGUGGAGGUAUCCCUUGUUGCAUAUGAAACUGGCGUAAAACUCGCUCUGGUCUAUGCCACUCAAUAAUAUCAAAGCAAAUUAGAGGUGACAUAGUUCGCCAAAUUUCUUCAUCAGCCUGACAUAUAGUCGGAAGAUGUGCAAUCAAAUUUGCUGUAUAUGGUUCCCAUAAUACCUGUAAUUUUUUUAAAAAAUAAUUAGUCACAUUGGUGGAAAAUAUUGCAAAGGUAAUCUUACGCAUCUACACUUUACCUGAUCCUGUGUCUGGGCAUCCAAUUGAUCUCGAUAGAAUGUCAACACAUGUGGUGAUGGGUUAUGAGACCAAGACAGGGGUACUCUCCACCUAUGGCCCAAUGGAUCGAUUGGGAGUGCCUCAUCUGGCAAUAGAUGAUCAUGUAAACCAUCAACUACAUCAUCAUGUACAUGUGGGACUACUAUAGGCACUGGAGGACGACCAAAAUCAGGUCGACCCACAUGAAGUCUCUCCCAUGACCACAACUACAAAAUCAGAUAACAUUAUCAAAAUUAGACAACUUACAACAAUAAUGUGAGUCAAUUAAUUAUAAUAGAUAGUUAUGUCGAAAUACCUGUAAUAGUGUGAUAGGUCCAGAAAUCUCUGUGGCACUAUCUAAACUCGCACGACAUAGCUCUCUAUAUAGGUAUGCCAACACUGCACUGCCCCAACUAUAGUGAGAAAUCUCAGUGAAGUCUCUCAACAGUGGAAGGUAACAUAACUGUACAUGUGUGCCAGUCUUGUCUGCAAACAAUGCUCCACCCAAUAGUGCUAAUAUGAAAGCACACGCAUAACGCUGUAAAAUAGGGCAUUCUCCAAAAUACAAACAACCUGAUUAAUCAAAAUAUUUAUUUGCAACCAAUAUCAAUAUCCAACAAGUACAAUAAUUUUAAAAAAAUUAUCAAACACUAAAGUUCACAUCCAAAUAUUAAAAAUUUCGGUAGAGUAUCCCCUAUAAAUAGGGCAUUCUCCAAAAUACAAACAACCUGAUUAAUCAAAAUAUUUAUUUGCAACCAAUAUCAAUAUCCAACAAGUACAAUAAUUUAAAAAAAAUUAUCAAACACUAAAGUUCACAUCCAAAUAUUAAAAAUUUCGGCAGAGUAUCCCCUAUAAAUAGGGCAUUCUCCAAAAUACAAACAACCUGAUUAAUCAAAAUAUUUAUUUGCAACCAAUAUCAAUAUUCAACAAGUACAAUAAUUUAAAAAAAAUUAUCAAACACUAAAGUUCACAUCCAAAUAUUAAAAAUUUCGGCAAAGUAUCCCCUAUAAAUAGGGCAUUCUCCAAAAUACAAACAACCUGAUUAAUCAAAAUAUUUAUUUGCAACCAAUAUCAAUAUCCAACAAGUACAAUAAUUUAAAAAAAAUUAUCAAACACUAAAGUUCACAUCCAAAUAUUAAAAAUUUCGGCAGAGUAUCCCCUAUAAAUAGGGUAUUCUCCAAAAUACAAAUAACCUGAUUAAUCAAAAUAUUCAUCUACAACCAAUAUCAAUAUGCAAGUACAAUAAUGAAAAAAAAUGUAAUAAUAUGAUGUUCGCAUCCAAAUAUUAAAAAUUUCAAUAGAGUUUCCCCUAUAAAUAGGGUAUUCUCCAAAAUACAAACAACCUGAUUCAUCAAAAUAUUCAUAUUACAAUUUUGAAAUUAACAGCAAAGUCUCUCUUAUAACAUAAGUAUUGUCCAAAAUACAAAUAACAUAAUAUCAACAUCCAAAGCCUAGCACCCAUCAUGAAGGCCCAGCACCCAUGUUCUUAUUUGGACAAGAACGACGAUUGUGACCACUUUGUUUGCACAAACCACAUGUAAUUGAGGUUUUACCUUCUCUAACAUCCAUUUCAUUGUGCAAACGAGUAGAUUUAGGUCGUCCACCUGACACACGUUUCAUUGAAUCUGCAGGCACAAUAACUGGACCAACAUAUGGUGGCCACUCGUACUCAUUGUGUAUCGGGUUAAACAGUGGUGCCCAAGUGCUAAAGUACGAUUGUAUAGUGUAAUAAUGUUGAACAAAUGAUCUAAAAUCAAUUGAAUGAAAAUGACAUGCCGCUAGAAUAUGACUACAUGGGAAUCCAUAUAUGAGUGUUUUGCCACAUGUGCAUACAUGCUCACGUAGGUUAACACGAUGUGUUCUUCCACCAGAUGAUGUCUUUUUACUACCCCUACUGGCCUUCACAUGAAACAGUCCUUGGAAGUGAUCAUACAAAACAACCUCAUGAGAACCUGCCUUAACAACAUUUGCAUUAAUCUUAGCAUCAACAUAAGGAGUGUAUUGUUCACCUGAAGCAAGUCGACUAGCACCAUGUUCUCUUCUUACAGCAAAGUAACUAUUAACUCGAUAGAAUGUCAAUUGAACAAAUGCAGUGAUAGGGAAACUUCGUGCCCCUUUGAGCACACUAUUGAACACUUCUGACAUGUUCAUGCAAGGAUUGACACAUGUGUGUGGGCCACUAUAUUUGUUGAUCUCAAAUAAAGAUGUCCCUUUAACAACUGUAGCACGUAGUCUCCAAGCACAUUGAGACUGUUCAGCUUUCUUGCAUCUUAGGACCAACAAUUUCUUUGUGGAUGACAAAACGAUAUACUCUUGGUGCGAAUUAAUAGAGUACAUCUUUACAUCAUGUUGCAAAUCUCCUUUGGAAUUAAAGAUUUGUCCAACUAUGAACUCUCCAGUUGGAUGUCCCAUAAGAGUGUUUCCCCAUGGGGUCCAUUCACUUGACACAACAUGACCAAUGUUUUCAACAUUUUCAAACUGUGGUGAUGGUGCCAAAUGAUAUUGCAUUGGAGAUAAUUCAAUUGGGUCAUCUAAAUCCUCUGUAUCUGGAUUGUUUGACAAGUUACAUCCUUCCCCAUCCACAGCCACAUAUCUCAUUUGUUCUCUUUCAAUUGCCUCACGAACAGCUAAAAAAGGCGAGCUACCUUCCCUAUCUUGAUUAUCAUCAUUAUGAAUAUCCUUGGCUCCUACACUGUCAUCAUCACAUUGUGUUCUUUCUUCGUCUUCCUCAUCCUCUUCUGAUCUAUGCUCAACAGUAAAUGGAUUUUGAACAUUACUAGUACCAUCAUUUUCACCAAGUAACAAAGGCAUGCAAUUACCAAGUGAUGAAUUCAUUUGUAAGUCAAUAGGUACUUGUUCAACAAAUAACUCAACUUCAUCCAUCCCAAAUCUGUUAUGCAUUUCUAACAUUCGAGCUACACCACUAUCAUUCUUUACUGGGCAAGGUUGGAAUUUGUUCAAUUUUUUCAUAGGAUACUUACAACUAAGUAUUAAUCGAAAAUGUUCUUUAUUGAUGUCAGUGACCGAGUAUAUCAUUUCCAACAGUUGUUCAUAUGUUGUCCCAAGAGGCACAUCAAUAGGUUCAACCACAACUCUAUCCCCAACAUAAUCAACAUCGGUCUGUGUUCUCACCAUUUUCCCAUUACAAAAACAAACUAUUGCCACCGAUAAAUUAGACAUAGUUUACCUAUAGAAGAAGCCAAAAAAAUCAAAUUAAUUUCAUUUUUAACCACAAAAUUACACAAUAUAAAACAUUACUAAAACAUCAAUUUGUAAUGAAAUAACAAAUAACAAUAAUAGGGUAUGUUAUUAACAAUAAUCAAAUAACAAAUAACACCUUAAUAUCCAAAUAAUUCAAUGUUUUUUAUUAAUAAUAUUUUCUUAUUAUUUAUUACCAUUAAAAUUGAAUAAAAGGUUGUUAUUUUUCCAUUAACAAUUAAAAUGUCUUUGUUUAAGCUACCCAAAUUAAGUGGGAAAUUUUUUUAAAUUUGUUCAAGAAUGGAUGUAAUGUGUACAUAUUCAACAUAAUUAAUAGUUACGACUAUAAAUGUUUUAAUAUUUUCCACUUAAAUAAUUGAAAAAGAGAAAGCGGAAUAGUUAAUACACUUUUGCUUAUGUCUGGUUAAUUUUUAAAUUUUUUUAAUUUAAUUAAAUUUCUACAAUUUAUAAUUUAAUAAGUUCAAUUUGAAGUAAAAACUAAUAUUUUCUAUAUAUUAAAUUUGGUUUUAGUGUUUUUUUAUUAUUUAUAACUAUUGAGUUCUUCAAAUAUUUUAUAAUCUUUAGGAGUCUAUCUCGAUCUUACAGAUUUUUCCCUCUAUGGCCUAAAAUAUUUAUAAAAAUAUUCUAAAUAACUUUCCUUAUUCUAUGAGGAAAUAUGAUAUCACAAUAAUAAAUUAACUUAGAAAAUACUUUAUACAAUAUUCUUUACCAAAAGGAAUUUAUAAUAAUUGAGAAUUUGAUACAUUUUCUAAUAUAUGAUACAAUUCAAAAGCUAACCAAUAAUUACAAGCAAUUUUCAUGGUUUGGAGAUCCAGCCUAGGUUCUACAUGUCUUUUUACAGUUUUAUAAAGUUGUUAGCAUUUGUAUAAGUGCUAUUAAAUGUUCCACAUGCCAUUAAAUAAUCCGAGUUCUAGGAACCCUAGAGUUUGGUCAUGAUUCGAGUUCUAGGAGCCCUAUAAUGGGGAAGAGAUUGUUAUAUGCGCAAUAGUAUUAUCUUUAUAAAAAUGAUGAUUGAAAAAUGACACACUCAAAUCUCCUUCAUCCUAAUAAAAUUUUAAAAUAUAUAUAUAUAUAUAUAUAUAUAUAUAUAUAAUAAAAAGUAUAUAUUUUUUUAGAGGAGAAAAAGAAACAAAAAUAAAUUUAAUAAUCACUUCCAAUUUUAUAAAGUUAAUAAAUUAUGAAAACAAAUUUAAAAAUAAUUUGAAAAACUUAAGCAUUUGUAAUGAUGGUUUCUCGAUAAAUCUAGUAAUUAUAAUAAAUAAGAAGAUAAAAUAUUUAUUAGGAAGUGUAGAGGCUUUCACUUUUCUUUUUCUGUAACUUUUUGAAGUUGCUUCCAUAUGUCUUAUGUCAAGAAGAUUCCCAUAAAUAUGUAUUAAACCUGGAAGAAGCAGAUUCUUACAAAAAAAAUAAUGAGUCAUUUUCCCCAAUUUUUUACUUUAAUGCAUAGGUGUCUUACAAAAUCCACAAAACAAAGCUUUUUGAAUUUUUGGCUAUAAAUUUUAGUUCCAGCUUCUCACUAGGCAAAUAUUAAUAUUUGUUGUUCAUAUGUAUUGUUGUACGUGUAUCAUUGUAUUGUGCAUUAUAUUUGUACCAUAAAAUACACUUCAGAUGAGAUACAACCAAGCAAUAAAUAAGAUUUACAUCAGGAAAAUGAAUUAUAUCAUUGUAUUGUAAGUUUUCUAACAAACAUGCUUACAACCACUAAGGUACUUUUAGAAAUAGUUGAUGGAUAAGAUCAAGCAAGCUACUGCCUCAUAACCAGCAAUAGCAGGCCCAUGUUUGUGAGGAAUUGAAGCUUCUAUCCGGGAGUGAGUAAUUGUAAGACUGUUGAAAUUUUACCAGUAGUAAUGGUUGAGAAAGUUGAACAUGUAAAAUAUGCCACAAAAAAUAUGAAAAAUUAGCACUAAUGUGAAGAGCGUACUUUGAUCAGUGUAAAGCAAAGAUCAAUACAUUAAGCUCUACAUUAAGCAGGAGUGUAUUUCCAUUCCAUAUUGGGAUUUCAUAGGUUUCCCCUAAGCACCCUGCUAAAGGCCAUAUGUAAUUUCAAACCCUUCAACUUUCAGUCAGUAAACUCUCAUUUUUGACAGAGGCCCAAUUAUUGAAACUUUUGUAUUUUUAAGUAAUUGAAAUCAAUUGAGAGGUAAUGACAAUUCAUUUAUACUUUUUAUCCCUAUUUACAAAUGUGAUCCAUGUUUCAAACAUAAUAUAACGAAAGAAAAAGAAUAAAUCAAAAUAACCAAUAUAGGAUCAUAUAAAUUAAAUUUCAUGAUAUAUAUCGAUGUCAAUAUGUAUAUAUAUAAACAAAUUAAUAUAAAGUGUUUUUUUACGGAAGGCCAAUUAUUGAAGCUUUUGUAUUUUUAACAAUUGAUAUCAAUAAAGGGGUAUCAAUAAUUCACCGGCAUUUUCUAUCAUUUUUUAUAGAUGUGAUAUAUAUAUAUAUAUAUAUAUAUAUAUAUAUAUAUAUAUCUUGAACACGGUGUAAAAAAUGAAAAUGAAGAAUUCAAAAUACUCGUAUGCGAUAACAUAAAUUUAAUUUCAUGAUAUAUAUGAUAUAAUAUCAAUAUAUAUGCUUUUAUUGUUGAAUAAUGCUAUAUCAUAUUUAAAAUAUUUAAAAAAAUACAAUUUAAUAUACCCAUUAUUAGAUAAUUUAUUAGAAUUUCAUACAAAAUCAUCACAAAAUUUUAUUUUCUCACUCCUAAAAUUUAUUUUGUAAAAUCCAAUAACGAAUAUUUCAUAAAUUUCAAAUACUUUGAUCAUUUAUAUAUAUAUAUAUAUAUAUAUAUAUAUAUAUAUAUAUAUAUAUAUAUAGACACAUAUAAUAAGUGUAUAUGAAUCCUCUAUAGAAAAAAUCAUAUCCAAUGUUUAUAUCUUAGCAAAUAUGGUGUCCAAUUUAACAAAGAGAGUCAACGCAAUAUGAGGGAACAAAAGAAAAAUAGAAAGAAAUAAAAAGGGUUUGACCAUUUGGUGGUGUGAACUUUGAAGAGAAUUUUGAGAAAAAUUUUAAUUAAAAAAGCCGGGAAGGAGGAGGGGGUGAAAAUCGGAGCCAGCCCGCUCACUAUUUUGGCAUGAAAUUUUGAACCCCACCAAUUCAGCCCGCCCUUAACAAAUUUGGCUCAAAUUCUACACCCGAUUCACGCGCCCACGUACCCCACUCUCUCUCUUUCUCUGUCUGUCUCUCUCUUAGACAUUCACCCUUCAGAUCCCUUUCGAAACCCCAAUUCUGCUAAGGUAUAAACCUUAACCUCUCCAAGUCUCUCUCUCUCCCCCACCUUCAUCCAAUCCGAAAUCCAUAUUUUGGAUCACAAUGAAGAUGAAUCAUGGGCAGAUCGACAACUAUCAGGAUUCCGAGAUGAGAGGAAAAUGAGGCAAAGGUUAGGGUUUUUCGGGUUCUAGGAUAAGAGGAAUACAAGGUGGAGGAAAGGGUUUUUCAAGUUUUUUGGAUAGCUAUGAAAUUGAAAACAACUUGAGAUUUUUAAAAUUUUCAAAACAACUUGUUUUCCUCUGUUUGGUUGGUGAGAAAGCUAAGGAAAAUGAGUGGGAAAAAAUUAAUGAACCCGAAAAAAAUUUACCUAGCUGCUGGUGGAGCUGCUGGUGGGAGCCACUGGUGGGAGCCGCAGCCGGUGAGGAGAGAAAAUGGAGCCGCAGAUGGUGGAGCCGCAGAUGGUGGAGAAUACUUUCUGGUUGAUUUCGGGAAAAAAUUGGGUCUCCAAAGUAAAAAAACAAGUUUGACGAAGAUGACUUGUUGACGUGGAUGGCUGAUGUGGAUUCAAAAGAGUAUUUUGGCAAAUAGUUUGAAAACUGGAUUAGUUUGGGGUUUUUUUUUCCAAAGAAAUACUACUUCGGCGGGAAACUCCUUAGCUUGUCCUAGGCGGGCCUUUAAAUGGAGCUUCGGCCAAAGCUGGAAAACUAAAAAUACAAUAAUUUUUAAAAAUUGAUUAGAAAGAGUGACAUUUGACCAUAUUUUUUUAUAUUCUUUUUAAAAAAUUUAUUUUUAAGUCAAAGAUAAAAAAUAAUUGUUUUAAUAUUUUCUCAAAAUAAGGGUAUUUCCGAAUUUGACAAGUUUCUUUUUAGAAGUUUUUCAAAAAAUAAAAAACCAAAAACUUGUUUGAAUAAUUUUUUUCCAAACAAAAUACUAUCAAAAUAAUUUUUUUACUUUAUAUCUAAAUACUAAGGUAAGUUUUGGUUAUAGUUCCUAUUUAUACAAAAUAUAAGAACUCCAGCACAUAAAGCAAAAAAAUUAUCUAGCUUGUAUAUAAAAAAAUUUUAAUCCUUAAAUUUUAAGAAUUUUAAAAAAUGUUUUCAAGUAUAUAAAAUAUAUAAUCACUUUUGUAUAAGAAUUUCUAUAUUCUAUUCUAUUUUAGAAGCAAAGAUGGAAAAUGUAUCCAAAUAUAUACUAAGUAAUUUUCUUUAAAAAUGUUUCUAAUGAAAGGGUUCUAACAAAAGAGGUGCAAAUAAAAAUACUUUAAACAAAAUCCCUCUCAAGCAAGUUCUAAGUUAUAAUAAAUAUUUUUCUUUAAUAUUUCUAAUCAUAAUAUUUUUCUUCAAUAUUCCUAAUCAUCAAAAGAAAUAUGGGACUGCAAACAUUAAGGAAGAAACUUCAAAAUGAUUUUAGUUUAAAUUUAUUUCAUUUGCAAUCUUGCAAUCUCAUGCCCCAAAUGUUCCCAUUCAUCAAUUUUUGGUAAAAUUUUAUUAAAAUUACUAAUUAUUAAAAAAAAUUAAAUUUUAAACAUUUUUUAAAAAUCAUAUCCAUUUAAUCACAACAAAAUAAAAUUUUCUUGUUAUCAUUAUAAAGUAACUCCAAGAGAGAAAAUAAUUGGUUUCCAAAAAUAAAAAGAAAAAAAAAACUUUGAAAAUUUUCAAAUAUUCCAAAAUUUCUAAAAAAAAAUCCAAAAUCCAAGUUUUGUGAUCCCAAAAGAUGGAAAUACUUUACAAGUUAUCGACAAUUUCAAAUUUUCAAUUGGAGUUGUAAUAAAAUUUAAUUUAAUUGCAAAUCACCAUUUCAAUUAAUCUCAUUUCUUGAUAAUCCAAAUAGCAGCUAAUAUAAGAAGAAUGUUGAAUAAGGAACAACUCAUCUCUCUCUAUCAAAAAUGUCUUCAAGAUUUUAAUGCAUUCACAUAACUUUUUCAACUUGAAUACCAUUUCAUACCUAAUAAUAGAGACCAAAAUUUUGAUGCAUUCACAUAUCCUUUUCAACUUGAGUACUAUUGUCCCCCUAAUAAUAAAGGUCAUUUUCUAAAAGUUUUCUCACUUCUUUUACAACCAUUAGUUCUUCAUACAUUUCAACCUAGGAUAAGGUAUAUUCUUCUUAAUAAUACUUGUGUUAAUAAUGAGAAGGUAUUCAAUACAUAUAUUCUACCACAUUAGUAUGUUAAUAUAGUAUAAAUCUUCAUUCAUAUUUAUCAAAUCAAAACUUAAAAAGGAGGGGAAAAAAGUUAUUUGGAUUUGAAAAUAAUUAAUAAAAGCUUUAAAUUAUUGGGAAAGUGAAUUAUAAAAAUUAUUUUUUAAUAAAAUAACUUAAUUAUCACUUUAUUUAUUUUCUAUUAAUUUAUUCUCAAUAAUAUCCAAAAUAUAAAUAAAUUAUUAUAUCACAUUAGUAAGCAUUAUAAUACCACAUCAAUGAGCUUAGAACAACAAAGAUAUCCAAUAUAUUCUCAUUAAUCAUCAAGUAAAAAAAAAAGAGAAAGGAAGAAAAGGGAGGAAGAGAAUAAGUAAAAUAAGGAUUUUUGUUAAAGAAGACUUGAGAGGAAUGGUACAAUAAUUUUUUUUUUGUUCAUUUAUUUUUAUUUUUACUUAUUUAUUCAUUUUUAUAUUUUAUAUUAUAAUUAAAUCAGAGAAUGUGAUGAGUUGUAUGGUUUGGUUUAUGUAAACGAGAUUAGACAUGUAUAAUUUAGAUAAUUAUUUCUUGUACCAUAAAUUUUUUAAAUCCAAAUAUGGUUCCUUUAUUUUAUUGAUAUAUUUAUUGUAUAUUUAUAUUAAGAAUUUUUUUAUUUUUUGUUUUUAAUUAAUUUUGUGUGAUUGUAUAAAGUGAGUCAUUGCUAUCUAUUAAUAGGAAUAAAACUUGUAAAAUUAUUUUUCUGGACUAAUCUUAUAAAAUUAUGUAAAUUGAUAUCAUUUCUCAUAAUCCAGCUGGACCCUCAAAUGCAAAAUAAAGAAGUGAAUAGACGUGGUGGAGUGGCUGUCAUCCAGCUGGACUCUCAAAUGCAAAAAUGGAGAUUCGAUUAUCCCAAAUCACAAGUCACAAGUCGCGAGGGGUGUGUGGAUUGGCAAUGGAAGCUGAUGUGGCACUUGAUACAACCUCAAUGUCCCAAUGCUGACUGCCAGUUGGAUCGUCCACGCUUCCCGAUAUUAUUUCUGUAUUGAGCCCCCAGCCCCUUCUAGCCUCUCAUCUUCCCUACCUUCUCCAACGUCUCUCUGUGCCUUUUUUGCUUUUUUUUUCCCAUUCAAUGCCCUUCACUCUUCUCCACCGCUGUGGCUCCACAGCACUCCUUCUCAGGCCUACUUUGGUCAAAUCAAGAGUCCUCAAACUGUCUCCAAGAUGUAUUUAGGUUUUGUUCUGUAGCUCUAAAAAUUGAAAAGCCUAGUUGAAUUCCUUUUUAAAAAUCUCAAAAUUAAUUAUUUGGAAUUGUAAUAAUAUGAAGGGAUAAAGAAAAAGACAAAAAAGCAAUGGAGUUUAAAACAACAAUGGAUGGAGCAUGAUUGAGGCAAAUUAGCUUUAGUUAAGGGUCCCAUGUACACCAUGACUCAUGUCAUUUGGGUCUUGCAAUCCUAUGUUCUAACUGUGCUCAUUCAUCAAUUUCAUUGGUAAAAUAUUAUUAAAAAAUUAAAUUAAUAACCUUUUUCAAAAACCAUAUUGUGGAUCCCGCAUUUCGGCUCGAUGCAUUCCCAUUCGAUGACGAACUCGUUUUUUAUUUAAAAAAUGAUUUAUUGAUUAAGAAAAUGACCUAAAGUCGCCACUUAUUUUUGUUAUAUUUUUAAAGGGUAAACAAAAUAAGAAAGAAAACCCUAAGUGUGGCUCCUUAUUUGAAAAAUGUGGUAUGUGAAAAACCAAAUCUGAGUUCGAGGGUCAGGUUACUUAUUGAGAAGGUAUGGUAAGGACCGUAACACUCCUUUAAGUCUCUAAAAACGGGUCUCUACUAAUAGGAUGAAGCAAGUAUGAUAAUUGAUCGAUUAAACAUGGAUACCAAACAAUGAUCAAAUGUGUGAAAGCAAGAUAUGCAUGAUAACAAAUAAAUCGAUAAAUGCAAUCGAAUACGAGACGUACCUUAAUCACAAGUUGAGCGUUAUCAUAAGAGACAAGGUUAGUGCACAAAUGUAGAAUAAUCAAGUAUAGCAAUCAAUCAAUUAAUGAGAAAAUCUCGUAUAUUGGGUCCCACCAAAACCCAAUUGAUCUUGCAUGAGUUAAUCUCAUAAAUUUCAUUAUUUUGGAAUUACGAAAAUUGUCUUCGUGCUUAUUAAAAUAGUGAAAAAUGAGAAAAUAAUUAAAAAAAAAAGAAAAAAGAAAAUCAUAGGACGCAUGCGUGAAUGAAAAAUGGUAGCACGUUUAUUAAAAAUUAGGUUUUGGUGAAUUGGGAUUUUAAUGAAGAAAUGAAAAAUAAAGAAAGAGAAAAAAAAUGAUAAUAAUAAUAAUAAUAAUAAUAAUACUGGCAAAUAAAUAAAUAAAACGAAUAACAUAAAAUAAAAUAAUAAAAUAAAUAAAUAAAUGUUUAUAUUAAAAUAUGAACAAAUAAAAAUAAUUAAGUUAGAUGAAUAAACAGAUCAAAUAAAUGAAUUUAAAAGAUUUAAAACCAUCUGAAAGACAAAUUUUUGAAAUUCAAGUUUUGAAACUAAAUUGAAAAUUGAAGUUUUAAGAAAUGAAUUGGAAAAUUGGAAUUUUAGAAAAAUAAUUUGAAAUUGAGAGUCAUGAAAAUUGGAACUUGGAAAAUUACUUGAGGAUUAAAGUAUGGAAAAUUAAAUUUGAAAAUUUGAAGUUUUUAAAAAAAAUUAAAUUUAAGAAUUGAAAACUUGGAAGUUAAAUUCGAAAAUGGAAAAUUUAAAAUAAAAUAAUAAUAAUAAUGAACAAAUGUGAAAAUUGGAACUUUGGAAAAUUGUGAAUUAAAUUUGGAAAUUGGAAUUUUGGAGGAUUAUUUAGAGAUGGAAUUUUAAAUAAAUAAAUAAGUGGAUAAAUAAAUUAAUGGAAUAAUAAUAAUAACGAAAAUAAUAAUGAUUGGAUAAAUAAUUGCGAAAUUGGAAUUUUGGAAAUUGGAAAUUGAAUUUAAAAAUCGGAAAUUUGAAGAAUUAUUUAGAGAGGGAAUUUUAAAUAAAUGAAUAAGUGAAUAAAUAAAUGAAUGGAAUAAUAAUAACAACGGAAAUAAUAAUGAUUAGAUAAAUAAUUGUGAAAAUUGAAAUUUUGGAAAUUGGAAAUUUGAAGAAAUAUUUGAAGAAAGAAUUUGAAAAAUAAAUGAAUAAGUGAAUAAAUAAAUAAAUGGAAUAAUAAUAAUGAAAAUAAUAAUGAUUGGAUAAAUAAUUGCGAAGAUUGGAAUUUUGGAAAUUGGAAAUUGAAUUUAGAAAUCGGAAAUUUGAAGAAUUAUUUAGAGAUGGAAUUUUAAAUAAUUGAAUAAGUGAAUAAAUAAAUGAAUUGAAUAAUAAUAACGAAAAUAAUAAUAAUUUGAUAAAUAAUUGCGAAGAUUGGAAUUUUGGAAAUUAGAAAUUGAAUUUAGAAAUCGGAAAUUUGAAGAAUUAUUUAGAGAUGGAAUUUUAAAUAAUUGAAUAAGUGAAUAAAUAAAUGAAUUGAAUAAUAAUAACGAAAAUAAUAAUAAUUUGAUAAAUAAUUGCGAAGAUUGGAAUUUUGGAAAUUGGAAAUUGAAUUUAGAAAUCGAAAAUUUGAAGAAUUAUUUAGAGAUUAAAUUUUAAAUAAAUGAAUAAGUGAAUAAAUAGAUGAAUGUAAUAAUAAUAAUAACGAAAAUAAUAAUGAUUUGAUAAAUAAUUGUGAAAAUUGGAAUUUUGGAAAUUGGAAAUUGAAUUUAGAAAUUGGAAAUUUGAAGAAUUAUUUGAAGAAAGAAUUUGAAAAAUAAGUGAAUAAAUAAAUGAAUGGAAUGAUAAUAAUAACGGAAAUAAUAAUGAUUGGAUAAAUAAUUACGAAAAUUGAAAUUUUGAAAAUUGGAAAUUGAAUUUAGAAAUUGGAAAUUUGAAGAAUUAUUUAGAGAUGAAAUUUAAAAAAAUAAAUAAAUAAAUAAAUAAAAUAAUAAUGAUAAUGAAGAUAAUAAUGAUUAAAUAAAUAAAUGUGAAAAUUGGAAUUUUGGGAAGUGAAAAUUAAAUUCAGAAAUUAGAAAAUUGGAAUUUAGGAAAUUGGGAAUUAAAUUUGAAAAUGGGAAUUUUUGGAAAAUUAUAUUUAAAAAUUUGAAUCUUGGAAAAUUAAAUUUAAAAUUAGAGUCUUAGAAAAUUAUUUUGAAAAUUGAAUUUUGAAGAAUUAAAUUUAAAAAAAUUGGAGUUUCGGAAGAUUGAAUAUUGAGGAUUAAGGUUUUGUAAACUAAAUUUAAAAUCAGAUUUUAGAAGAUUAUUUAGAAAAUGAUAUUUUUUUUUAAAUAAAUGAAUAAAUAAAUAAAUUUGAAACUUUGGAAUUUUAGAAGAAUUAUUUGAUAACAGAAUUUUUAAAAGAUGAAAUUUUUAACAUGAAAAAAUGAACUAAGAGGAUGGCACGUGACUGCUGCUGUUGGGGGGUGGCCGGAAUAUGGCGGUGGUCUUGCGAGAACCAAACCAGGCGCCACUCUGGAGCUCGUGCUGGCCGGACUCGUCCUAGAUGAGCUGGAAAUCAAGGUUCAGAAGCUUGAAGAUGCGACUGAGCUUGCCUUUUAGGCCCUCCACCUAAACGAUCUUCGCGCCUUUAGGUAUGUCCACCGUUUCUUCAAACAAAUCCGGCGUCGGCAAUGCUUGACUUUCACUAUAGCUUUUCGAGAUUAAUCCGAUCAAGGACCCCACCAUUCUUCCAAAACCUCAAGACAAUACAACUCUAGUCGAGGCUCGAUGGUCCAGUCAGGAGGCAGCCAAGUAUAUUGACCAUCCCUCUCACCUGAGUCGCUUGCUGAGUCGGCGUUGCUGAUGGCGCCACAUCAACUCUUAUGGAAUUCAAAGCCAUAUUGUUCUAGGACCAAGGCUGGAUUUCUUACGUUGCAAGUGCGAAUAUAUAACAGAGGGGUGAGCAACUGCUGUUGGAGCAACAAAUUGGCUAAUUUUGGAAUUUACUGUAACUGGAGAUCACUUCAAAGAUUGAACUUUCUUUAUUCUAUCAAGACCUGCUCUCCCAUGCAUUUUCCCAUUAAGACUAUAUAUAUAUAUAUAUAUAUAUUUAUGGCCCUUCCAAUUUCCUUACCCAUUGCAUGCCAUCCUCUUCACGUAUCUUCCCAUGACCACAAUCCUUCAAUCCCAGCAACUUGGCCAUUGACGAUACCACCCCACCAUCAACAAGAGAGAGAUAGAGAAAAAAAACAUAAAAACUAAGCAUGCCCUUAACUCUAUGUCAUGGACCAUCAAAGAGAUAUGAGCAAGUAGAAUCCGGAGGAAAUAAAAGCAUAGUUUUGAUACAUCAUGUUAUGGAAGGAACAAAACAUAAAAUAUUUUCAAGAGAAGUAAAAAAAAAAAAAACACCGAAAAUAAAUCGGAUACAGAGCAUGCAUACCCAGAGUCCCGCAAAACAAACGACCUAUAAUAUCCACACCAAUCAACAAACCAAAUACUCAUACGAAUAGCUGAAAAUGAGAGUUAAUCAAUGUGGAAAUGAGAAAUAAGGAGCUCACGAAAAGUCAUACCUGGAAUGCUCCUUUCAAGCAAAGAGUGGGUUGGCUUCCAGCAGUGUCGUUUCUUCUCCCCCCCCCCCCCGGGAUGUCUCAUUUUCAGAAUUUUUUUUUGCCACCCCCCCCCCCCCCCCCCAAAAAGGGGGAGAAACGGGUUUUUUUUUUCAGGCGCCCGGUUUUUGGAGCCCCAAUAUGGGCGGCCCCCCAAUUUUUUUUUUUUCAUGACUUUUAUCCGGGGGGGGGGGGGGGGGAGGAAAAAAAAAAANNNNNNNNNNNNNNNNNNNNNNNNNNNNNNNNNNNNNNNNNNNNNNNNNNNNNNNNNNNNNNNNNNNNNNNNNNNNNNNNNNNNNNNNNNNNNNNNNNNNCCCCCCCCCCCCGGUAUGUUUCAUUUCCAGACUUCUUUUUUGCUACCCCCCCCCCCCCCCCCAAACCAGGCUCCUAACCGGUUUUUCUUUUCAGUCGUCCUGUUUUGCUGCCACCACUAGCUCGGCCCGUCCCAUCUAGCUGCCCCAUGCAACUUAAUCCCGGGGUGGUCAGAAGAAUAAUAAAAAAAAAUCAAGGGAGAAUUACCCUUAAGGGUAGGCUGGGGAAAAAAAUGACCAAUGAGGGUGGGUAAAUUUGAUAAUUAUUGUAAAGGGUAGGGUAAAAUUAUGAUAAUUCCUCCAAAGGCCUUAUUUUGUUUAAAUGCCAAUACUACCCUUAAUAAGUGAAAAGCAAGUAAAGUGAAAAGCAACAGAAAAUAAAAAAGAGUUUAUUCUCCCUUUCUUUAACCUACCUGGAGCCGAGUUGUAGAAGAAAAAGGGGAAAGGAAAAAGGUGCGCACUUCAGGUCAUUCUCUGCAACCGAUACACAAAACUUGUUUUUUUUUUUAUGAAUCUAGUAAGAAAUCCAUUAAAGGUCAGUUUUUUUUUUUUUUAAUACAAAAAAAAACGUCAAUUUAUGGAAAAAUAAAUAAAUAAUUUUAAAAUCGGAUUGAAUGAAGGAAAAGUUAAUAAUUUUAACAAUGUAGUUGUAAGAUAUUAGAUUUGAAAUAUUGAAUGAGGUUUUGAGAAAGAAAUUACAUUUUUUUAAAAUGUUAUUUAAAUUUAUUAUUUUGAAUUUUUUUUUUAUAUUAUUUAGGUCAUAUUGAAGAUGUGUUUUUAUUUUUAAUUUAUUUUCUGGGUGGGUUGUUUGAUAUGAUUAUUAUUGAUUUCCAUUGAAAAUGUUUGCACUUUAGUUUUGUUGUUAAGACUUUUUGACAUGAUUGAAGAAAAAAUGUUCUCAGUUGUUUCAUGCUUGUUUGGGACCACUUUGUUUGUGUAUUUAUAAACAUAUUUGGAUUGUCAUUGAAAACUAAAAUCCCCUUUGUACGAGACCACUUUGUCUUUUAUUAUGAAUUUGUUAAAGAGUUAAGAUCACUAUAUUUUUGUUAUAAAUUUGUUACCUUUUUGUAUAAGUAUUAUUUUGGUAUGAUGAGUCGAAUGCCUAGUAGUUUGAAGGUUGUGUAAAAGAACCAUUAUUUCAGUUAUAAAGUAUAAGUACAAUACAAAUGCAAUAUAGUUACAAUGAAAAAAUAUUAACAUUAUGAUACAUUACAAUAUACCAAAAUGACAAAAUAUUGAAUUAUUUUUUACUGAUUUGGCAUUUCUAGGCUAUCAUGUUGUAUUCCUAUCAUAAAGCAUCCUUGCAAGCCAAAAUUAUAAAAAAAAACAACAACAAAAAUACACUAUUGUAAUUUCAAUACAUGAAGUUGUUGAUGAUAAUCCAAUGAUGGAUAAAAAAAAUCUAUAAAAUUAAUUUUUUUUAUAUAAAAAUAUAGAGGUAUAAUAAAAAUACAAUACAAUUACAAUACAAAUACAAUAACAUUACGAUACAUUACGAUAAGGUAAAAUUUUGAAAAUGUCAAAUUUCUUACGAAACUGGGCAAUUAUGGGUUCUUUGGCAUAUCCCUAACAUGUAUAAUAUACAACAAAUAUUGUUAUUUAUUAUAUAAAAUAUGUCUCUCAAUUGAUUAUAAUUUUCAUUUGUUUAUUUUGUAUUCGUUGUAAAAUUUUCAUUGAUUGUAAUAUUGUGAAAUAGUUGUUGAUGAUAAUCCAAUGAUGGAUAAAAAAAAUCUAUAAAAUUAAUUUUUUUUAUAUAAAAAUAUAGAGGUAUAAUAAAAAUACAGUACAAUUACAAUACAAAUACAAUAACAUUGCGAUACAUUACGAUAAGGUAAAAUUUUGAAAAUGUCAAAUUUCUUAUGAAACUGGGCAAUUAUGGGUUCUUUGGCAUAUCCCUAACAUGUAUAAUAUACAACAAAUAUUGUUAUUUAUUAUAUAAAAUAUGUCUCUCAAUUGAUUAUAAUUUUCAUUUGUUUAUUUUGUAUUCGUUGUAAAAUUUUCAUUGAUUGUAAUAUUGUGAAAUAGUUGUUGAUGAUAAUCCAAUGAUGGAUAAAAAAAAAAAUCUAUAAAAUUAUUUUUUUUUAUAUAAAAAUAUAGAGGUAUAAUAAAAAUACAGUACAAUUACAAUACAAAUACAAUAACAUUACGAUACAUUACGAUAAGGUAAAAUUUUGAAAAUGUCAAAUUUCUUAUGAAACUGGGCAAUUAUGGGUUCUUUGGCAUAUCCCUAACAUGUAUAAUAUACAACAAAUAUUGUUAUUUAUUAUAUAAAAUAUGUCUCUCAAUUGAUUAUAAUUUUCAUUUGUUUAUUUUGUAUUCGUUGUAAAAUUUUCAUUGAUUGUAAUAUUGUGAAAUAGAUUGAUUUGAUUGUCGGUGAAAGAAGACGUACUUCUGAAUUGGUAAAUGGACUUGGAAAAUUCCAUUUAUGGCUACCUCAUGAAGGAGGGGAGAUUGUACCUAAGGAGGAUAAACAAAUACAAUACAAGGGUGGACAACAAAAAGACAUGUACAUUGGACAAAGGAUGUCAUAUGCUGAAUUUGUUUCAAAGGCAUGUGAACGGUUGGAUAUUAAUUCAAAUGGAUAUACAUUUCAUUACACCCUUGAGUUUGAUCCAUCUGCACUUCAACAGUUGGAUGAUGAUGAGGACAUGCAUAUGAUGUUAUCCCAUAGUUAUGAUUAUGCUCGUAUUUAUGUAUUAAAACGGACUCGAAGAGUAGAAGUUGAAGGAGGUAUAGUCAAUGUGCAAAAUGAUUAUUGGUAAGUGAUAUAUCUUGUAUUAGUUGUCAUAAAUUCCAUGAUGCAAAGUGAUUUUAAUAUUAAUUAACUGAGUGUGCUAUAAUAUGCAGUCACAAUAGUACGGAGGAAACACACAAUUCAGUUGCAUCAUGUCAAGCAAACAAUGAGUCUAAUUUAGGACUUUCUCAAGGCUUCAUGUCCAGAUGUGCAGAAACUGAAGUUAUGCCACAUGAUUUAAGUCUUUGUCCUCAACCUAUUAUUGGGAGUGGGCAUAGUUUUCCUAAUGCAGAUGAAUUUAGAAAUGCAUUAUAUACGAUGUCAUUAGUUGGUAGAUUUCAAUACAAAUUCAAAAAGAACUCUCCAAAGCGAAUAUCUGUGUGCUGUUUAGUGGAUGGGUGCCCUUGGAGAAUAACUGCUAAUUCAGUAGGCACAACCAAAAUUUUGAAGGUUAACAUCUUCAUUGAUGUACACAAUCAUUAUGCAGAUGUUGAGUGUUCAAGCCAACCUUCAAUGCGGGGAAGGAGAGGUGCUCGUGUCAUAGAGCAAGUAAUAAGGGCAACCCCUCAGUAUUUGCCCCGUCAAAUUUGCAAAGACUUCAGGAGUCGGUAUGGUGUUUCAUUGAGUUAUAAGCAAGCUUGGACAUACAAAGAAAUGACAAAAGAGAGAAUAUAUGGUCUUCCAGAAAACUCAUAUAUGUUGUUGCCAUGGUUAUGUCAGAGAUUGGUAGACAUUAAUCCAGGGACGAUUGCUGAAUAUAGCACACAAGAUGGGCAUUUUUGGCAAUUGUUCAUUGCACAUUCUUUUUCAAUUCAAGGGUUUUUAAUGGGUUGUCGACCUGUUAUUGCAAUUGACUCAACUCAUUUGAGUGGACCGUAUAGGGGCUCUUUAUUUUCUGCAACAGCUUAUGAUGCUGAUGAUGGCAUGUUCCCAAUUGCAUUUGGUGUUGUAAGUUCAGAAAACUAUGAGGAUUGGCUAUGGUUUUUGCAGAAAUUGAAGGGCAUACUUCAAGAUAAAGAGGUAGUCAUAAUAUCAGAUAGGCAUCAAGCAAUCCUUCGUAGUGUUUCUCAACUUUUUGGAGUAGAAAAUCAUGCAUAUUGUUAUCGUCAUGUGAAAGAGAAUUUUAGUAGCUAUGUGACGAAACAUAGUAUGAAGGGAAAAAAAUGUAAAAUGGAUGCAUUGUUGCUACUUGAUAAUGUUGCGUAUGCUAGGUUGGAUGAUGAUUAUGUUGUAGCCAUGGAAAAAUUAAAGACAUAUAACAGUGACCUAGCGAAGUGGGUUAAAGAGAACGGUCCACAACAUUGGGCAAUGUCAAAGUUUGCCAAAAAACGAUGGGAUAAGAUGACAACUAAUCUUGCUGAAUCAUUCAAUGCUUGGCUGAAGGAGGAACGCCAUUACACAAUUUUCAACUUAGUAAUGACACAUAUGGAUAAGUUUGCUCAUCUAGCAUGUGAUCAUAUGGGUUCUACAGAAAAUUGGAAAGCUGCAAUUGGCCCAAAGACCGAGGAAAAGUUGUUGGAAAACAUUAUAAAGAGUGGGUCAUUGCCUGUAUAUCCCUAUGUUGGUGGUGUGUUUAAGGUAUUCAAUAUGAAAGUAUAUGUAGACGUGAAUUUGAGAGAGCGUACAUGUACUUGUAAGGCUUGGCAAAUGGCCGGAAUACCUUGUGAGCAUGCAUGUACAGCAAUAUGCCAGAUGAAACAAGAUGUUUAUGAAUAUGUUGACUCAUAUUUCAAGCUUCCAAUGCAAGAGUUGAUAUAUUCUGGACACUUCAAUUCAAUUCCAAAUCACAAUAUGCCUAUAGUUGAUGCUGAUGGAUGUGUUCGUGAUGUUCAAGGUCGCUUAUAUCCUUCGCUUAAACCUCCAUGCUCAAAACGACCACCUGGAAGGCCUCGACACCGUCGAAUAGAGUCGCAAUUUAGUUCAAAAAGGCUUAUCUUCUGUUCAUGAUGUCAAGUUGCAGGCCAUAAUCAAGCUUCAUGCAAAAAUCCAUUACCCGCUCCAUGAUUCUAGUGUUAUGCUUGUUUGGUGACAUGCUACUUUUUAUCUUAUUUUGAUUGUGAUGAUGUGUGGUUUAUGAAAUUAGAAUCUGUAAGAAUUUGUUUUGGAACUUACUUAUUUACUUGAUUGUCAUGACAAAGAUGCUUGUAUUACAUAUGCCACUAUUUUAGACUUAUGAUCUUAUCAUUAUUUAGGGUGGUUUGUAACCAUGUUUUUAAUGUUAUUUUGAAGAUCAUUAUUGACUUUGUACAUGUUCAUUACAUUUGUUUAACUUGUUUUCCAUUGAAAUACAGGUUACAUCAUGGCAUCUUCAAGUGCUUCAUUUAGAAAUAUAAGAGGUAAUAUUAGAAAUGGUGAAUAUUUACUUUAUCAUAACUGUAUGUGUAAAUGUUCACCCAGACAGAGGGCGGCUGUUAGAAUCUCUGAAUCAAAGGAUAACCCAAAUAGGUUAUAUUAUUGUUGUCAAUAUGCAAAUGCUAGAGAUGACUGUCAUUUCUUUAAAUGGGCAUUCCCGGAAGGAAAUGGUGAUGGCAACACCUACCAAGAACCAGAAGAGGUUGUUCAAAGAAAAAUGUAUGGCGUGGAUGAAGAUUUUAAACAUAUUUUAACAAGAAUUGAGUUCAUGCAGAAAGUAAUUGUAGUAGGACUACUUUUAUUUUUUGUUCUAUGUUUGAAAAUUGCUUAAUCAUACACUUACUUCAUGUCUAUUAAGUUUUGGAUUAUAUAUGUAAUGCUUAAUUGUAUUGUACUUUGAUGUAUUUGUAUUUGGAGUUAUUUAUAAUAGGUUAUUUAUCUCCAUUAUGUGGACUUGUAUUAGAUUUUUAAUUAUAAUAGUUCACAGUUUUGCCUACAUUUUUAAUUACAUUUACAACAUAAAUUCACUAACAUUACGAUAAAAAAACACUAACUGUAUGAUAAAUUACAACAUAAACUAACAAUGCAAUCUUUUGACUAAAUAAAGUCCAAUUUCUUGGGUUGAUUACCAAUUUCUUAUAUAUAAUGGUUCAAUAUUUUUUUUUUUUUUUUGUAACCUCAAAUUAGAAAUGUCUUCUUAGCUUUGAUAAUGAGCUGUUGUAUUUUUUUUUUAAAAAAAAAAAAAUUGCAACGAUCUGAAAACAUUAUAGAAUAGAAUUAUUCAUAAACUUAUUUGCCUGUAAAAAUAAAUUAUAUUAAUUUUUUAAUUUAUUAAAUUAAAAUCUAUUUCUUAUUUUUCUAUUUUUUUAAUAAUUUUUUUCGUUGAAAUGGACUCAAAAUGGUAGCUUUUACCAUGCAAAACUAGAGUGUAAAACCUUUUGUCAUUUAGUUAUAAAGACUUUGAAAUACUUGAAAUUACUCUCUUAUAAGUUUCUUGAAAAUGUAAUAUGUUUAAUAGGAAUUUUUUAAAAUAAGAUAAAAUAAUAGACCUCAUUGUGUGUUUAUUACUACAGUGAAAAAAAUUUGCUACAAUGAAUCAGUGAUUGUGCAAUUUUAUGUCGUUGGAGUUAUAAUAAUAGACCUCAUUGUGUGUUUAUUUUAUGGGUUAGAUUUCUCAUUGUAUGACAAUAUAAUUAUGAAAUCAAUCUCAUUUUUUGAAGUUUGGGAAAUGAUGAGAGAUUCAAACAGGUUAGCAUAGGCUUAAUGGUUUUUUUGGCAUGCUGAAUAUUUUUUGCACGUCAGUCUGAUCCCAAACUUUGUGAAGUACAACAAAUAUGACAGUCUUUUUGUUUUGUUCUUGAUGUUGUUAUUUCAAUUCUGCUUUGGCAGAAAAAAAACAAAAAAAUUGAUCACCCAAGUAGUUGAGCUAAGUUAUCCCAGAUUGGCCUAUCAUUGAUGCGUUGGAGUUAUCAAUGUGUGAUAUCAUUUUGAUACCAUGGAUUUGGGAAAUGAUGAGUUGACAGUGCAAUGCCUACAGCAAUUUAGAGAAAUUUGAAGAUCACAAACAAAUGAUGGCAUAACAAUAAUUAUUAAUAAAUAGUAGCAGCUAUGAGUUCCAAACAAAUUAGUUGAUGUAAGCCAAUUUAUAAAAAAAUAUCAGACUAGUAAAUUUGGAAAUGGAACUCCAUCAGACUAUAAAAAAAUAUCAACAACUAUAAACCAAAAAAAUUACAACAUCACUGAUCCAUAGCCUGGUAGACAUUUUCCCUGACUUCAUUUUCUGGAGACAUUAUCAGUUGUGUUAGGAGUUUUUCCCUGUACUUUAUGACCUUGUCCUGUACAAAAGAGUAUAUAAUAUAAUAUUAAGAAAAAUUCAUGAUCAUAAAAAAAAUAUAUAUAUAUUUUAUUCACCACAAUAUAAUACAUUUGCAAUUGCACGAGAAAUUCCACGGUUACUCCAUAAUUGCAUAAACUUGAUUAGAAAUAUGCCACAAUCCGUUCUGCAAAUAGUAAUUAAGGAAAUUAUAAGUCAAUUGGGUAUCAAAUUAGUAAAUUUAUAACCUGAUUUGCUUUCCAUAGUUAAAGAGGAAUACAAAUCAUGCAACUUACGGAUUCAAUUGUUGGACAACUUCUGGAACAACAAAUUCAUAUUCUGUCAUGUCCACUGAUGGUCUUCUUUCUUGAAUCCCAAUGACAGUUGACAAAACGUUCACCUUAACACAAUAUUCAAUUAUAAAUAUGGACAUCUUUAAAAAAAUAAUGACAACGAUUCACAUAAGUAAUUGGACUAUAACUAUAUUUACCAGUUUCUCUAUGAAGGUAUCCAUCCGUUUUUUCCUUCCGUCAAUUAAUGAAUCCAACAACUCUAUUCUUUUCGCAUGAAUAUUCAAAAUGAUUAAAUACCAAUGAUUUUUCCUGCAUAUUGGUAUGAACAACUAAAAGGAACAAAAAAAAAAUAAAACAAUGAUUUUAUCAAAUUAGUUGUGUUCAUGUAUUUUCUGCACAAUACUUAAAAAUAUCCAACUACAAAGUACUUUUAUUAAACUAAAUAAAACCUGUUCAUAUGUGCACAACCGAGUAUUUUUGAAAUAUUUCCAUAAAUUGUCACAUAUGUAUUUUGGAGAUAAGGAACCCCUCUUGUUUUCCACAUCAGACUGUAAUAAAAAAAUUACAAACCAUACAUUAGAUUAAAACAAUCUACGUAAAACAAGAAAACCAAUCUAUAAUUCUUACAACAUAUCUUACAACAAAGUUUGGAGAUAAGAAAUGCUUCCUAUUUUCUUUAUCCAUACCAUUCAAAAUUCGACAAUGCAUGGUUACAACCUUCAUGUAAAUUAAUGAAAAUUAGAUAUAUAGUUUUAGAGUAAUUUUAUCCUAACUUCACAUAACUAAAUAUGAAUACCUUAUUGUCAACCAAUUUGUCGGGUCCCAAGCAUUUCAAGUCAAACCUUGUCAAGAAGAAAUUGUGCAUGGAACAUAAUAUUUGGCUACACAUAAAUAAUUAUGAUGUUAGAAAUUAAAACUAAUUAUUUCAAAUGCCUAUCUUAAUUGUAUUUGUUUAUACUAAAUUAAGUUCAACCUUACCUUUCAUCACGUGUAUCGUCCAAUGCAUAUGCCAAAACUUGCUUUGCUACAGAUGAAGACGCUGAAAAUUUGAUUGACGGUUGUACCACGUAUGGUGAUUGUAGGGCAGUAGCAUGUCGACGUAGCCGAUAUGAACGUAUUGGAGGAUGUCCAGUCUCGUAAGGAAUAAUAGCAUUCAUCUGAACUUCAUCCUCAACUAUAUGUAUAGAAAAUAAAAGAAAAUAAAAUUCACUAAUGAAAAUAACACGCAUAGGAAAUACUAGCCAUUAUUAUAUACUCAUUAUUAUUUUGAUAUUAAAACAUAAAGAAGCAGAAAGUAUACUGCUAUGCUGCGCUGCUGGCUGUGAGGUUGAUGGGCCUACAUUAUCUUCACCAUCAGCAAAACGAUCAUUCAGUGGCGAUCCAUAAGCUAAUUUCAGAAUGCAUAAUAACCAAAAUUAUUAUUUCCAAAAAAAAAAAAUUAUACAACAUUUGCAAUUAAAUUAAAAGUAAUACAAAAUUAUAAUGACUAGUGCUAUAAAAAUCGUACUACCAUGUGGUGGUGAUGGGAAAGAAUCAUUGAUAUCAGGUUGAUUAUGACUUCUGCUUUGAUGAGAAGAUGAUGGGGUUUUAUUUGUAUUCUGCCGCUUUGCUAGUUUACCAAUUGCUCCUCUCAUUGUUCGAAGCAAUUGGUGAAUUUGUCUCUCUGCUGCAUUAUAUUCUGCUAUAAUUUCCUACAAAAUGGUACAAAGUGUCAAAGACGUAUAUUAUUAUGCAUAACAUGUUUGGUUUUCGCUUUAAAUAAAAGAAUAGAUGUAGAAGGUUCUCACAUCAGUAGUCUCUUCUUCAACUUCAUUUACUGGAUUACCAGGGUCUUCAUGUGCAUCUUCCUCCCUUUCAUCUUCUUGAACCUAAAAUAAUAAAAAGAAGAAUAUACAAUUUUUAUAAAUUUAUUUUUCAAAUAUGAAAAUAAAAUAAAAUGUUGAAAGAAAAUUGUCUCUUACAUCAGCUAGUCCAAAAUCACCAUAAUCAUGCAAUACCGCAUGCACCCUUUUCUUCAUCAAGUCAUCAGUCCACGCUGCACAUAUUGGGAUGGUACGUGGUACCAACAUGGUUGGAAUGUAAAAUUUAUUUAAAUAAAAAAGCUGAAACACAAAUAUUCCACACAUCAAUACGUUAUUUAGAAAAGACUUGUUAAAACAUAUAAAAUGAUAUGGAAACCUUCAACAUUUAAUAAAAAAAGGUAUCUACCUAUAAAAAAAUAAGGCAACCUGUAAACCAUGAGCCUUUACCCAAUCGAAAAUGUCUAAUUCCAGCAACCAGUGUGUCAAGUACAAAUUGACCCCAAUUAACAUUGAUGUCAAAGUCUCCAGCAAGCAAAGUACACCACAACUCAUGACUACCAUCCAACUUUGAUGUUGGAGCAAGUAAUGUAGCACAUGAGAAGAAGAUAAACAAUUUUUUGAACUCGGCCAUGUCUUCCAUUAAAAUCAGCCUAUCUCUAAGAUCUGAUAGGUUUUCCAUCCUAUCAUUCCUAUUGGUAGGUGAAAGUAGGAGCCUCCUACCAAUAUAUGGAAUACCCAGAAUUUCACCUACAUCAGAACAAGUUAUUGGAAAUUGCCUUUCUUGUCCUAUGUCUAACCUACAGUGGGCUAUAUUGAAAUGAGUUAUUAUCCAUCUACAUAAGCUAUGCCUUAUCUCUGUGGAAGAGAGCUGAAGUAAUCCACCAAAGCCAAUAUGUUGAAUUAUACUCUUCUUUUCAUCACUUAGCUCAUCAAGUAGAUGUCUAAGUUUUUUGCUGGAGCAUCGACUAUUUAUUUUGACCUCCUGUAAAAGUAAAUAAAUGAUAAUAUAAAAUUAAAAUGAAAACAGUCAAAUUAAACAACAAUGUCAAACAUUAAUAUAGUCAAAAUAAAAUAAUACUAAUUAAAAUAAUGUUCAAACCUGGUUGUAUUGUAUUGUUUUUUUCCUUUUAUCCAUGUAUUAUACUCCACACUGCACUAUGGAAUUUAUAUCAAAUAAUCAAUUGUCACAAUUAAAUAUAUAAUGAAUCAAGUAAUGUUGUAAUAUAUUGUACUUCUAGUGCAAUUGUAUUGUAAAUGUAGGGCAUUUGUAUUGUCGCCUUAUUUAUUUUAGUUUAACUACUAUUAGUGAUCCCAAAUACAGUUACAUACAUGCUACUAAAAACACACAGAGCCAUUGUAUUAGUGGAUAACAAAUUUAAGUUGUUUGAUGGUAAUCCAAUAUGUACAAAUUGUUAAUGCUCAUCAUGGCUAACCUUUUAAAUCAUAUAUAAUUCCCCCAAAUUAGCCCACUGAUCAAGAAAUAGACUUUAGUUGCUUAUAGAAAAGCCAAAGCCAAGAACCCUUUAUUGCCAGUUCACCCUUUUCCUUUUUUCUUUUCCUUUUUGUUAUUUUAGUAACCUGUCACAGAACCUCAAUAUAUGAAAUAUUGACAAAUUUGCAUAUUGAAUAAUGCUCAAAAAGGGUUUGUGAAAAAAAUUGAUGAGACAGGGCUUUGUUAAGCCAAGUCAAGUUGUACAUAUUUUAUACAUCUCCACUUUUGCCUUCUGUAUUACAAAAUAUAAUAUGGUCAGCCCAACAACUGAAUUUUUCAUCAGUUUCCUUGAGUAGAUACCAUGAAACAAAGGGGUAGCAUAUAGAAAUUAUCAUCAUAUUUAUAAAAACAAUACUAGCGAAGAUUGCUAAAUGAAAGUGCAAGGAUAUUCUUGAUGACAAAAGAAAAUAAAAAAGGGACUGAUGUGCAGUUCUUAAAGAAUAAAAAUUUCAUUCCAUGCAUAGAGAUCCAAUCCUGCUAAGAUGCUAUCAAAUUUUCUUGGCUUGAAAGAGCACUUAAAUAGAAGGAGUUUAAUACAAAAGGAGUGACCCCAAAAUGUUUUAAAAAGAAUAGUUCUCGAGAGAAAAAAACAAAAUUUUCUGAGAUUCUGUAAUGAAAGAAAACUUACCAGGAGACCUUGUAAUAAAAAGAAUCUAUAAUAGAUAAAAAUUUCUUCAGACACAUGAAAAUUCAACCCUUUCUAGGAUGAUGUAAAAUUUUCUUGGGUCAAAAAAGAGGAUUAGAGGAUUUAUGCUGAAGGAGUUCACUUACCAAAAGCAACCAAUAGAAUGAUUACAUAAAUCAGUUUCAUAAGAGAAGAUAUCUGAGAUUUUAUACAGUGAAAGGAGUUUUCAAGGGAAACAACCAGUUGAUUUAAAAGUAAAUAAAUUUCAUGAAUGAAAUUACUAUAUGAGAUUUUCAAUGAGAGAAAAUGAGUCAAUUCCAAGAACAUUACCUGUCUAAGAAUUGGGGUGGCACUUGUUUCUCUUAACUUUUGAGCAUCUGAGUAAGUCAAGCAUGGAACUGGUUUCAGUUCUGCAUACUGCAAAACAGUAAAAGGGCUAUGCCAUCAUGCACGUGGAAAAAAAAAAAAGAAGCAUAAUUUGAUUUCCAUCACCAUUAAACUAAAGAACUCAGUGGUGUACCACUUUUACCACAGAAUAUCUAACACCAACCUGGAAAGGAAAGCCAGUGAACUACAUGGAAUGCAGGCCAAAUGGGAAAACAAAAAGAAGAAAAAAGUUAAGUCUCCAAAUGGAGAAAAUAGCUUAAACAACAUGACAGGUGGUUAGAUCAACGCAACUGGUGAAAAUUGAGAUUUUAAAAAUACAAUAUUGUUAUCUAUUCCUAGUAUUCUCACAGAGUGGGAAGGUUAAACUUCAAGGCAUAUGGGACUUGGCCAUGGAUACUAUCUCAUGGAAGUAGCAACAAGCUAUGGCCCAACACAAAUAGCAAGCUGGGCAGCUGGCAGAAAAAAAAAUGUUUGAUUUAUAGUUGCAUUAAGAAGUGAAUGAGGAAGAUGAGGACAAGCAAGUGGACAAUGAGGAUGAGCUUGGAGAUAAUGAAUUGCUUGAGGAUGAAGAUUUUAAUCUAGUGGAGACAGUUUUGAUUUCAACUCAAGAAUGAACUCUUGCAAUUGUAAUUUCAUUUGGAUGAUGGUGACAGUUCUGAGAUUGUCUUGUUUUGUGAAAUUUCAACUUGAAGAUGCAGAGAAAGCCCUCACUUUAGGUCCAUUGUUGGCUAAAUUCAACACCAUGAAAGUGAUUGGGAGAAAGGGUUAUGUCUCUUUUAUUGAUUAUAAGGUACUAGAAACUGCAACAAACAAUUUUCAGGAAAGUAAUAUCCUGGGUGAGGGCGGGUUUGGUUGUGUCUACAAGGCGCGGUUGGAUGAUAACUCCCAUGUGGCUGUGAAGAAGGUAGAUGGUAGAGGCCAGGAUGCUGAGAGAGAAUUUGAGGUAUAUAUCUUUUGUUAAGUAAAACAAAUGAAUUGGCUUCCAUUUUGGGGGUUUGGCAUAUUACCUCUCAUCAUGUUCUUGAUCACAUUUGAAAAUGCAGAAUGAGGUGGAUUUGUUGACUAAAAUUCAGCACCCAAAUAUAAUUUCUCUCCUGGGUUACAGCAGGCAUGAGGAGUCAAAGUUUCUUGUCUAUGAGCUGAUGCAAAAUGGAUCUCUGGAAACUCAAUUGCACGGUAAGAGUACGAGGAUUUUCCCAUUAGUUAAAAAGACGAAAACAAGGAGAAUACUGAUGUUUUCUUUUUCUGUCAUCUGACUGAUGUUUCAGGACCUUCUCAUGGAUCAUCUCUAACUUGGCAUAUUCGAAUGAAAAUCACUUUGGAUGCAGCAAGGUGAAUUUGCAGACCCCAAUGCUAAUCUUUUUCUUACUAUUUGAUAUUCUGUAUAAACAAAGUUGGUUGUGUUGACCAGAGGAUUAGAGUAUCUACAUGAGCACUGCAACCCACCAGUCAUCCAUAGAGAUCUUAAAUCAUCUAAUAUUCUUCUGGAUUCAAACUUCAAUGCCAAGGUAAAAACAUACAAAAGUUGUGGAAUCUUUUAGGUCUUUGUCUAUAAAAUUUAUGACAGUGCACCAGAACAUUGCUGAUAUAUAUAUAUAUAUAUAUAUUUUUCUUUUUUGUGUUCUCUGGCUCUCUCUUGUGGAUUAGCUUUCGAAUUUUGGUCUAGCUGUAAUUGAUGGGCCUAAAAACAAGAACAACUUGAAGCUUUCAGGCACCCUGGGUUAUCUAGCUCCUGAGUAUCUUUUAGAUGGUACAGAAUCUAAACUUCUUAUAGUUUUUUUUUUUCAUAUCCACAUAUUUUAUUUUUCAUAAAUAUGACUAUUGAAAGCUUCAAACAUGCUGUAAAAUAGCUCGGAUCUUGAUAAACAUAUUAAAUCAUUAAAACUUUAGAUUGCUCAAAACUGUUGGUAUGGGAUUCCUGAAAGAGGGUUAGUUGAUUCACUAACUUGGGAACUCUAUUUCAGAUUGACAAAGUCAGACUUCCGGGAGCCAGUGAAUAUUGGAAGUGAUGAAAUGGUUAGUAUGAAUGAGAUGGCUGAAAUUGUCCUAAGCUUUGAGAAUAAGAACCUACCCAUCCAUCACAUUCCUGGCCCAGAGGGCGUACGUGGUCGAAACUCACACAAUAAUCUGAUCAAGGAGAAGCUUGUUGGUUUCCCAUGUAAUUUCCAACAAUUUUCUCGACUAUGGUUAGAUCACUGACAAUGAUCACACCAUAUGCAAUUAUUCUGUCAACCUCCACGCUGGUAAGGAGUCAAACACUACUCAUCAGAAUUUGGCCACUGCUCUCCAUAAUUUGGAGGUUGUUCUCCAGAGGCUGAACUACUACAUUUUGUGACAAGCGCAGAGUUUUGCAGUAAGGAUUCAGCUGAUGGAUCCUUAGAGGUUUUGAGCAUUACUCACUUUCUACUUUCUUCCCAUCUAACUUCAGAAAAGGCAUCUUGAAUCCCUGGCAAGGGUUUUGUUCCCAAAACGCAUCCACGGGCCUCAUCUAGGUUGUUAAGACCAUGGAGAAAAGCAAACAACCUUUCUUUCUCCAGUUUCUUGGUAUAUUUUACGCAAUAAUCAGGGCAAGCCCCAGUGUUAUCAUCAAACAAAUCCAACUCCUGCCACAAACCAAUCAAGGUAUUGUAAUAAUCUAUCACCGUGAAAUCACCUUGCUUCUUCUCCUUGAGUUUGGAUUGUAGUUCAAAGAGAUGAGAAACAUUGCCAAGAUCUGAGUACAUAACCUUGGCAGUGUCCCAAAUCUCUUUCGCUAUCUUGUAAGAGAGAUAAUUCCACCCUAUUUUAGGCUCCAUCAAGUUUACCAGCCAAGCCAUCACCAUGGAAUUCUUGGAUUCCCAUGUGAGUUAGCCAUGUUUAGUUGCUGCUGGUUUUUGAGUCUCCCCUGUUAAGUAGCCUAGUCAUCCCUUGCCACGAAUGACGAGAAGGACAGAUUGGGACCAUUCCUAAUAAUUGCUCCCAUUUAAUUUAUGUUGGGUAACCUGCAGGGUGUGAGAUUCAGCAAUAUUGUUGGCAAGAAGAGAGUUGGAUGGUUGGGUAAUUGUCUCGAAGGAUACUCUAGAGGUUCCAUCACGAGCAUGGCCAGUCAUUUGUUUUAACCAUGGACAAUAACCAUUUUUUUAGGAAAUCAAGGAGUGCUCUGAUACCAUAUUGAGUUGAAAAAGAUAAUUUUUUAUUCAACCUGAUUUUCCACUGCAUCAAACUCUGAUUUAUAGAGUUACAACACAUGUAAAACAGAAGCCAGAGAUAACCUCUUGGCUGACCUGAAAUCUAGGAACAAAAAAAUAAAUUCAAAAAUAAACAACCUGAUCAGAUAAGAUAACUGCCUAACAAACAAAUCUGAUCUGAUGUUUUAUUAAAUAACACAAAUUUAAACUAACUAGAAAAAACGUAACCUUUCAAUAGUAGGCUACCAAGAUAAUAUGACAUAACUAAAAACAAAAAUGUGCUACUUAACAUGGUAACAAAAGAUUGUAUUUAUUCUCAAAUAUCCUGAAUCUAUUCAGAUUCCAAACCUUUUCCUGAAAAGAAAAGGCUGCAAAUUUAUGGAUGACAUCUCAUUAAUUCCCAAGUUAUUCCUGGAUAAUACUAAGAAAUCUCAAAUAAUUUGUUGUGCAGCAAGUUCAAAUGAGUUCAGUGUUAUAUUAUUACUAAAUCUUGGAUUUGUGGGGAAAAUUUUGUGGCAAAUUUUAAUUUUUGCCUCAUACUUAUUUCUUAGCAGAAUUUUGGAUUUAAUUAUACGAUGAAGGAUUAAUAAUUGAUUAGAUUAUGGUUUUUGGAUAGAGUAAGUUGAUUUUAUUAAAUUUGAAAAUUUGAAUAAAUUGAAUGUUGUUGGAUUAGAGAUUUGGAUAUUUGGUUGGAGGUCUAUUGUUCAUAAUUGGUGCUUUUGUGGAUUGAAUGAUUGAUUGGAUUAAGGUUCUAGGAUAAAGGAAGUGGAUUCAGACAGUAUUUUUUGGUCUUGGAUAUGUUGAGUGAAUUUUUGGUUUUUCUUGACCUUUGUUAAUGGUGUUAAGGAACAAAGUCUUGAUAAGGGAGGCUGAGUAAUAUUUGAAAAUUUAUUUUAUAUUUGUGUUUCUAAAUCAACCAAGACCAUUAUUUUUUAGUAUUUUUUUAAUGCAUUAAUGUUGUGAAUCCAAAUUAGCCAAACAACAAGAAAAAACUGCAAUCUGAAAUGUAAAUCACAGGCAACACACAAGUUGCUAGAACAAAAAAAGACAAUUAAUGGAAUGAAAAUAUCAGUCUCAUUCCCAAAGCCCUGUUCCAUGAAGCAAACAUGGCUUUUAAGGUUUUUAAAAUGAAACCUUUAAGCCAUUAAAGGCAGAGCAUUUUUCUCAAGGACAAGAACUAGCCAUUAAAGCCAACUUUAUUUAUUGUUAAUUAUAUUUUUGAGAGUAUUGGCGUUUAAUAAAUCAAAUUCUUUAGUUGUAACUACAUUGUUUUUUCCCAUCUGGUGCAUGCCACUGCCACAACAGGAGGUCCACUACCAGUUCCCACAUUACAAUCAACAAAAUUAAUUAUAUGUUCAAACUUGUUUUUGAUUUUUAAUAGAAUCAAAACAACAGAAAAUACAUCUCAGUUGAUUCCAAGUUUAACUAGGGAUCCAAGAACAUAAGAAAGUAGCUCAGAACAGCAUUUUCUAAGAAAUUUGACCACUGCCAUGAUUACAUUUAUUAAGGAGUUCAAGGAUUCAAUAUUUUUUCUCAUAUAUUUUCCUCUAGCUUCUCGGCAUCCAGACAGAUUACCUAAAUCAACCUCUAUCAACAGUCAUAAUACUAAAUAAAUUGGCACAGCCCAAUUCCAAAUGGGUUUCAGAAUUAGACCAAUUGCAUCUAAACAAAACCAUGUUGAUUCAUCAUCAAAUCUUCUAGCUAAUCACAAACACAAGCAAAUACAACAACAGUAAUAACAAUUACGGGUCCGUUUGGAUGCUGAGAAAGUAGAAAAUAAAAAUUAAAGAAAAAACGUGAACUCACACAAAAACCCAAAUACCCGAUACCCACAUUCUUUGUAAUCUCAAACAAAAUCAGUAGCCUAGAAAUCUUUUCUCAAAAAUGAACUCAAACAAAAAAACACCCAAACAACUCCUCUAACAGAGCCUAGAAACUCAAUAUUCUAAGACGUCAAUUUCUUUUCUUUCCUUACCUUUUUCCCACCACCCAAGCAAAGCACAAAACCACUCUCGGCCAAAGAAAAGCCUUGCAAUUGCCCACCGUUUGGUUCCUGAGAAAACGAAAAGCAAAACAAAAGAAAAACCCUGGUGAGUUGACUUUUUUUAUUUCCGUUUCUGGGUUUCCUUAUACUCAAAAAUUGAAAGUGAAACCCCAAGUUUAUUUUUUUUUUCCCAAAUUUUCUCAGCAACCAAACAGACCCAAACCCAAAACACUUAGGGCAAAGCAUGAAAUAAGCAGAAUGUAACAAAUAAAGAUUUGUACUGCUUCUGAUCUCAAGGUGGAAACGCCAUAAAUAUAAAUAUGGGGGCUUUGAAAUGAAAUAUUUUGGGGGAUUGGGAUAGAUUUGGAAGGCUUUGUGAGGACUUUACCUUGGACUAGUGGGGCUUUUGUGCAGAUCCAGCCUCUGGAAGGUUCUUCACCUCAGGCGACGGCCUCCGAGACUAAUCCGGAUUUUCUGUUUGGGUUGGAUAAAGGGCUCGCUCCGCCUCCCCCCGUGAAAUUGCAGGAUCCAACGCCUCCACCCACGGUUCCAGAUGUGCUUCCCAAGGAUUAUUCAGUGAGAUCGGAUCCAGGAUCGGAGGAUCGCCAUGUUGUUGGAGAUCCAGUGGUGUCCCCCGCGGACUUCCAGAGGCAGAUCCAAAUGGAACAAUCGUCUGGUGACAAUGGCUGGUUCAAUGGUCAAAUUGAGGGUAAAUUAGUCUAAUAAAAAUAUAAGGCCUUUAGAAGAAUUAUCAAAUUUACCCACCAUUUUUAGUAAUUUUUUUCCCCAGCCUACCCUUAAGGGUAAUUCUCCCAAAAAUCAAACCCCUCCAUCACAAGGGAAGGGUCUACACAUAUCUAUUUAGUACAAUAAAAUAAAAUUUUCCUAUAUUAUGGUAGAAGAUGGUAGAGUACCAUCUAAAGAGAAAAGAAUUGAUCAUAAAAAUCAAAUAAAAUAAUAUAAAAACACUCCAAAUAAAAUUAGGAAAAACUUUAUAUAAGAGAGGAAAAUUAAGUUAAUAAAUUCGAAGUAGUAAAUAAAAGAAAAAUUAUUCAUUUUAAAUAUAAUUAUUUUUUUUCUUUCUACCAUUUCUCUCUAAUUUUUUUUCCCUUAUAUUUUCCUCCAAAUUUAUAGAAGCCAAAGCCAAGAAGGCCUAUGCAAGCUGAGAAAUGAUGUAAAAAGGGGAGAUGGAUCUAAUCGGACAAUAAAUGAAGUUGUGGACCCUGCAUUUUGCUCGAUGUUUUCCCACUCGAUGGCGAAAACUCGUUUUUUUUAUUUUGUUUGGUGAAAAUUUGAUUUUUAGAAAAAGACUUGGAGUCGCCACUUAUUUUUGUUUUAUUUUUAAAGGGAAAAACAAAAUAAGAAAGAAAAACCCUAAGUAUGACUCCUGAAGGAAAAAAACGGGUCUGUGAAAAACUGAGUCUAGGUCCGGGGGUUAGGUUACUCAUUGGGAAGGUACGGUGGUAAGUCGUAACACUCCUCUAAGCCCUUAUACGUACGACCUUUACUAAACGAAUUGAGGAAAUUGUGGCAAUUAAUUAUAGAUACCAAAAAAAAAAAAUCAAUAUACAAGUUAUGGUGAAAAUUAAUAUGCACAAAAACAAUGAUGAAAUCUAAUUACAAAAAUACACAAAAUAAAUAAUAAGAGAAUUAUGCAAAAUGAUUUAUUGAAUUAAAUAAAUAAAAUAUAUUAAAAAAUGUUUUAAAGAAAUUUCAAAGGAUUUUAUUAAAAAUGAUUUUGAAUUAAUGAUUUCCAUUUAUUUACUUAUAAAGAAGUAUCAAUUUAUUUUCUCAAUUUUAGUUGUAUUCAAUUUUCAAAAAAACUAUUUACACUUACUGCAUCAAAAGAAUUUAUUACAAAAUUUUAAUUUGGGCACAAAAAUUAAUUUUACUUGCUUUUACUAGAAAAUAAUGAAUUUUUACAAUUUUAUUUACAAAAGUAUUUAGAUUCAUUUUCAUUUAAAAGAGUGAUUUUUAUAAAUUAUUUAAAAUGACAUAACUUUAUUUGCAAAAUAAUUUUAAUUAAAAAGAAAAAUAAAUAUUUAAAUUCUCUAUUUUUGAAAAACACUUUUAAUCCCAUUUUAAUUAAGGAAAAAGAAUUCAUUUGAAAAAAUAUUUUUAGACAAUUUUAUUAAAAAUUAAUUUUUGGAACAACUUUAUUUACAAAACAAUUUUUGGACAAUUUUUAUUAAACAAAGAAAUUUUUUAACAAUGUCAUUAAAAACAAUUUUUCGAAUUCUAUUAAAAACAAUUUUUUUGGAUUUUUCUAAAUGCAUUUUUCUGAAUUUUUAUAAAUAAUAAAAAAAAACUUUCUUUUAUUAAAAAGAAUAUUUUAACAUUAGUAUUUUAUUAGAACAUAUUUACUGAAUUCUUCCUCUCAUUUAAAUAAAAUUUCUAAUUUAUUCGAUGUUUAAUUCUGUACACACUCAAUAAAUAUAUAUGAACAAAUAUUUACAAUAACUAAUUAAAAUAGAACCAAAUAAAAGUGGGAAAUAAAAUAUGUACCCAAAUAAACUUACAAUAAAUUCACGUAUCAUCAAUUCGUACUCAGCCAAUAAGAUUGCAGAAUGAGUCCAUGCAAAAACAAAAUAGCACAAAUGUAAAUAUCCAGAGAUAUAUAAAAUCCCAAACAAAUAUUCAAACCCAAAUUCCAAUUUCAAAUUAGUCUCAUAAAUUUCGUCAAUUAAAAUGAGCUCAAAUUACUAUAGGUCUUAACUCAGAAUAUCCAAAUUAAUAACCAAAAAUACAAACACAAUUAACCAAACCUAAAAUUGGAUAAAUUAAAAUAAAUUCUACUAGACCUAAAUUUAAUAUUUCAUAAUCUAUGCCUAGUUUAAUGUACACCACAAUUUUCCCAUGUCCUAAUUAAACAAUUCAAAUUGGCUAAGCCCAUAUCAAAUAUUCAAAUAAUCCAACAAAUCCCACCCACAUUAUGGGCCCCAAAAUUCACAUCAAUUAACAAGCUCACAUAAAAAAAUACAUGGUCAAGAGAAAUAAUAUUUCAAGCCCAAUCCAAUAAGCUCAAACAAAUAACAACUUAACAAUAGACCCAAGUCCAAAUAAGCAAUAUGCACUUGAUAUAAUCCAAAUAUCCUCAAAUUAAUCACCAAAUACAAUAUACCCAUAAACCCAAAUUAACAAAUUUCAAAUUAAUUCACUAACAAUAAAUUGAAUCAAAUUACGUAUUAAUCUACCAACAACAAAUUAACCCCAAAUUUCAUAUUAAUUCAAGAAUCCAAAUUUCACAAACAACAAUUACUAUUAAAAUAAAAUAAAAUAACAACAAUAACAAUAACAAUAAUAAUAAUAAUAAUAAUAACAAUAACAAUAAUAAUAACAAUAAUAAUAAUAACAAUAACAAUGAUAAUAAUAAUAAUAAUAAUAAUGGAAUGAGUGAAAAUGGGAGGGGGGUCGCUAAAUGGCAGUGGCUCGUCAACGGCGACUGGCCGAUGGUUUGCCGGCGGCACUGACAGAUAGUAAUAAUAAUAAUAAUAAUAAUAAUAGUAACAAUAAUAAUAAUAAUAAAUCAAAUAGAAUAGUGUUUGGAUCGAGAGAAAUGGAGGGAAAAUGAUGGAAAUAAAGAAAUGGGGUUCGGCAGGAGAGAAAAAAAAAAUGGGAAACAAAAAAAUAGGGGGAGUGUCAUUGGAAAAAGAAGAGAAAGGGAAGGAAAAAAAACCAAAACAAAAAAAUGGGGAAAAAGGGGCUGCUAUUGCCGUGUGAGAGUUUAGGGAGAAAAAUAGGAACAGAAAAAUAAGGAAGAGAGGAAUAAGGGGUUGGCCGAUCUUUUGGGAAUGGGUAAAGAGAGAGAAGAGAGAAAAAAAUUGGAGCCAAAAAAAAAACCCUCAGGUCGUCUCUCCAUUUUUUUUCGGGUAGUCCAGAGUAGAAGAAUUGGGGGGGGGGGGGGGGGGGGGGGGGGGGGAAAAGGGGGGCCCCCUUGGGGAAUGGGGGGAAAAAAGGGGGGGGCCAAAGGGGGAAAAAAAAAAGGGGGGAGGGGGGGGGGGGGGGGGGGGGGAAAAAAAAAAAAAAAAAAAAAAUAGGGGGGGGGGGGGGAAAUGGGAAAAAAAUUAAAAAAAUAAAAAAAAAAAAAAAAAAAAAAGAUUUAAUGGGGGCCCCCGUGGGGGGGGGUUGGGGGGAAAAAAAAAAAAGGGGGGGGGGGGGGGGGGGUUAAGAGGGAAAGGGGGAAGGGGGGGGGAAAAAAAAAAAAUAUUUAAAAAAANNNNNNNNNNNNNNNNNNNNNNNNNNNNNNNNNNNNNNNNNNNNNNNNNNNNNNNNNNNNNNNNNNNNNNNNNNNNNNNNNNNNNNNNNNNNNNNNNNNNGGGGGGGGGGGGGGAAAUGGCGGUCGUCCUUGGGAAUUGGGAGGAAAAAGUGGAUGGCCAAAUGGGGAGAAAAAAAAUGGGGGAAGGAGGGGGGGCGGUCGUGUGGGAAGAAUAGGAAGAGAGAGAGUAUGAGUGGGUGGGUGGAAAAUGGAAAAGAAUAUAAAAAAAUAAAAAUAAAAAUAAGAAAAGAGAGAUGAGAUGGCGGCCGAUGGUGAGGGGUAUGGGAGGAGAGAGAAGAAGUGGGUGGGGUGGUUGGGGAAUAGGAAGAGAGAGGAGAAAGGAGAGAGAAAAGAAAAAAUAAAUAAAAAUAAAAUAGAAUAUAAUAAUAAUAAUAAUAAUAAUAAUAAUAAUAAAAUAAAAAUAAAAGUAAUAGUAAUAAAAUAAAAUAAAAUAAUAAAAGCUAUUAAAUGGUGAGUGGACCAAAAAAUACAUGUAAUUGGAAUUUAAAAUUUUAUUGACAAAAUUGGGCUCAAAAUUAAUGUAAAAAUAAAAUUGGGACAAAUUUUGGAGUCUACAAAUAUGCCCCUCUUUAAUAGAGUUUAUGAGUAAAGUGAGUGUAUACACAAACGAAAUGAAGUGAACUUUGCUGAAGAACAAGAAAGACCACCAAAUUUGUCCUAGUAUGACAUGGGCUCUCUUAAAUGAUAAGGCUAGGGAAAAAUGACUUUGAAUGCCAAAAAAAGGAAAGAUGGUGACUCUAGGUGCCUGAAUGAGUAUGCACGACAACUCUGAACGCCAAAACUAAAGAAAGAAGAUGGCACUGAAUGCCAAGUUGGACAAUGGCUCUGAAUGCCAAAAUGAAGACACGACUCUGAAUGCCUAAAACUGAUAAAAGGAAUGGCUCUAAACACCUAAAACUGGAAAAGAUGGCUUUGAACGCUUAUGAAAGAAAAUUGUGGCUCUGAAUGCCAAAGGGAGAUCUGAAGGCCUAUAAUUCUAAACACCCAUGAAAGAAAGUAGUGGCUCUGAACACUUAAAGGGUGAAAACGACUUUGGGUCAUGAGCUCAAGGCUCUGAAUGCUAAGCUGACUAAUGGCUCUAAAUGCCAAGUUAACUGCUCUAAAUGUUGAACUGAAGAUAUGAUGACUUUGAAUGCCAAGCUGACCAAUGGCUUUGAAUGCCCGACCAUGAACGACGGCUCUAAACGCCAAACUAUGGACAAAUGGUGGCUCUGAACGCCAAACUAAGGAUAUGAUGGCUCUGAAAGCCAAACUGUUAGGAAAUGGUGUAUGUCUGACUGUGAACAAUGGAUCUAAAUGCCAAACUGUGAACAAUGGCUCUAAAUACCAAACUGCGGAGAGAUGAUGGCUUUGAAAGCCUAAAUGUGAACGAUGGCUCUGAACGCCAAACUGUAGAGAGAUCAUGACGGCUCUGAAUGCCAAACUGUGAACAAUGGCUAUGAACACUAAACUAUGGAGAAAUGAUGGCUCUGAACUCCUGAAUGUGGACGAUGGCUCUAAACACCUAAACUGUGGAUAAAUCAUGACGGCUCUGAAUGCCAAAUUGUGAAUGAUGGCUCUGAACUCCAAGCUGUGAGCGACGAACUCUAAAUACCAAACUAUGGAGAGAUGAUGGCUCUGAACGCCUGAAUGUGAAUGAUGGCUCUGAACACCUGAAUGUGGACGAUGGCUCUGAACGUCAAAUUGUAAGCGACGGGCUCUAAAUACCAAACUAUGGAUAUGAUGGCUUUGAACGCCUGAAUGUGAACGAUGGCUCUGAACGCCGAAAUUGGAAAUGCGGCUCUGAACAUCAAACUGAAAACCGAUGAUGGCUCUGAACGCCAAAACUGAGAAUGCGACUCUGAACGUCAAAUUGGGAAGUGAUGGUGGCUCUGAACACCGAAACUGAGAAUGCGACUUUGAAAGUCAAACCGAGAAGUGAUGGCUCUGAACGUCGAAAUUGAGAAACGGUGAUGGCUCUGAACGUCGAAACUGAGAAGCAAUGAUGAUGACUCUGAACCCGGAACUGAAAAAUGCGACUCUGAACGUCAAACUGAAAAUCGAUGAUCGCUCUGAACGCCGAAACUAAGAAUGUGACUCUGAACGUCAAACUAAGAAGCGAUAAUGAUGACUCCGAACCCCGAAACUGAAAAAUGCGACUUUGAACAUCAAACUAAAGGUCUAGCUCUGAACGCCAAACUGAAAAUGGCUCUAGAUAUCGAGCUAAAGACAAAUAACGGCUUUAAACGUCAAACUGAAGAUACGACUCUGAACGCCAAGAUGACGAUGUGGCUCUAAAUGCCGAACUGAAUGUGUGGCUUUGAAUGCCAAACCGAAAAGAGAUGGUGGCUCUGCAUGCCAAACUGGAAAGGGAUGGUGACUUUGAAUGUCAAACUGGGCAGAAAUGGUGGCUCUGAACACUGAAACUGGAGAUGCGGCUCUGAAUGCCGAAACUGUGAAACGAUGGUGGCUUUGAACAUUGAAACUAAGAAUUAUGGUGACUCUGAACGCCGAAACUGGAGAUGCAGCUCUUGAACGCCGAAAUAAAGAUGUGGCUCUGAAUGUCGAACAAAAAAAACAAGGAUCUGGAUGUCGAAAUGAAAAUGUGGCUCUGAACACCAAACGAAAAAUGAACGACAACUUUAAAUGCCAAACGAAAAAAGUGGUAGCUCUGAUGUCGAAAUGAAAAUGCAGCUCUGAACGCCAAACUGAAGAUGCGGCUCUGAACGCCAAAAUAAAGAUGUGGCUCUGAACGCUGAACAAAAAAACAAAGAUCUAGAUGUCGAAAUGAAAAUGUGGCUCUGAACUCUAAACGAAAAAAGAACAACGACUCUAAACACCAAACUGAAGAUACGGCUCUUAACGCCAAAAUAAAGAAAAAUGGUGUCAUCAAAUGCCAAAAUGAAAAUACAACUCUGAACGUCAAACUGAGAAAAGGUGGUGGCUCUGAACGCCAAACUAAAAAUGAUAUAAUGACCCUGAAUGUCGAACUAGGAACAUGGCUCUAAACGUCAAACUACGAAGAAAUGGUAGCUCUGAACACCAAACUAAAAAUAAUAGCUAUGAAUGCCAAGAGAAACAAUGACUCUGAAUGCCCAACUAAACUGAUAACUAGGAAUGUCAGGCUGAGAAAGACGACUCUGAAUGCCAUGACUAAGAAGACACGAUGGCUCUGAAUGCCAAGCUGAAAAUGGACGACUCUGUACGUUGUAUUCGAGAAUGGAUGGCGGCUUUGAACGCCAAACAGUAAGGAAACGAUGAGAGGGGGGAGGGGGGGGGAUAUGCCCUAGUGUAGCAUGCCGCCACAACUCUCUAUCCUCUAAGAAGGUAUAAAAGAGACUCCAUGAGCCUCAAGAGAUACUCUGCUAGUGAGUCGGAAUGAUCAAAUCGACUAUAAGCAUAGUCUCACAACCCAUCCGUCUGGAUCAUGAGGCCUGACGAGAUGUCACAAUGAGUCAGACGCCUCUAUCUCGAAAUGCUCUGCUGGAGGAAUUCAUAGUCAUCUCAAAUGGGUAAUCCACUAGGGAGUCUCAAGAGAAUAAUAUGCGAAGGUAACUACCACGAUCUCAUCAAAACAAUCUACUGCGAGGCCAUGGAUAACGGAACAAUCACAACUUGAAUGUCAUGCUCCACCGAAAGCUCAUCUCGAUAAAAAUCACAGGAAUAGUGACCAGUAAAGCAAAUACAGUAUCUCUCCGUCAAGUGAUGAAAACUGUAACAGAUCUGUGAAAGAAUGAUCAUCUCCAUAGCUAAAGGAAGGAAUAUGCCCCAGCAUGGCAUCAGAUGUACCCGAUCUAUCUUGAUAACUUAAGAAUAACUCCAUGGGGAUGCAUAAAAUAUCUGACAUGUACUCCACUAAAAUGGUGCUAUGGGAACCUAUGCGCCUGGAGUAACUCCACCCAAGAAUCACAACAAUAUCGAAAAAUAUGAGCCUGACUGAAAGACUCAAUAAAGGCUCCACUAGAGAAUCAGGACAAAAUGAAAUCAAAUCAUCAACCUGACGUGUAUCUCAUAACUAGGGAUGAUCAUGCAAAUCCAUGGAGAUCUACAAAUCUUGACUUAAAUGGCGAAUAUGCCCCAGUAUAGCAUUGAAUGUGUGACAGGUCAGAAAAAUCAAAUGACAUCAAAUCAUCAAUCAUCAACUAUGCAAUCCUGGUCACCCGAAUCCAUAACUGAAUCAUACCCACAGAUCCAAGAUGUACCUCUCGAAUGAAGAAGCAUGAUGGCAUCUAAGUGCUGAGAAGUGCGAGCCUAACUGGAUGGCUCCCGGGAUGCUCAACUAAAGAAACAUCAUAAAAAUAACGAACAGGUCAUCGUCUCGAUGAGCAUCCCAUAAGUGGGGAUGAUAACAUAGCUCUGUGAAGAUCUAUAACUCUCAUCCAAAACAGAAAUAUGCCCCAGUAUGACACCAGAUGUACGAUAGGUCAGAAAUCGGGUGACAUGAAAUCAUCCAUCAUCAAAUGCGCAAUCUCCAUAAUCCAAAUCAAACCCAAACAUCUAUGAAAUGUCUCCCGGAAUAAUAAGCACGACGACAACCAAAUGCCUAAAAAUGUAGGCUUGGUUGAAUAGAUCCAGAGAGGCUCCACUGAAGGAUCAUGAUAAAAUAAUGAACACGUCAUCGCCUCAGCGUACAUCUUGUAAGUAGGGAUAAGCAUGCAACUCCAUGAAGAUCUGUAAAUCUUGUCCGGGACGGAAAUAUGCCCCAGUAUGGCGUCGAAUGUACGGUAGGUCAGAAACCAAGUGACAUGGAAUCAUCUAUCAUCGAACAUGUGAUCUCCGUGAUGCAAAUCAAAUCCAAACAACUAGGGAACGUCUCCCAAGAUAAGAAACAUGACGGCAACCAAAUGCUGAGAAAUGUGGGCCUGGUUGGAUGGCUCCACAUAGGCUCCACUGAGGGAUCAUAAUAAAAUAACGAACGAGUCACUCAUCUCAGCGUACAUGUUGCAAGUGGGAACAAGCAUGCAACUCCAUGAAGAUCUAUAGAUCUCGCCCGAAAAGGAAUAUGCCCCAGUAUGACAUCGAAUAUGUGAUAGAUCAGAAAAAUCAGGUGACAUCAAAUCAUCCAUCAUCAAGCGCAUGAUCCCGGUAAUCCAAACACAGCUGAAUUAAAUCUAAACAUCAACGAGGCGACUCCCAGAAGAAGAAGCAUGACGAUAUCUAAAUAUUAACCAGAUCUCAAACACCUGUCCAAGUAGAGGCUGUCGAAGACGACAUCUGGUCCCAUGGCCUCAGGAUGGUCUUAAGACACGAGACGUAACGUAGGCCAAGGUGAUAGGGUGAUAGAAAUGAAAGAAAAUUAGGCUCAAAUACCCAAUGAUCAAAAACCCAUGCCCUCAUAUAUGAAAUGCAACAUGUAUAGUGAAUCCUGUGAGCCAUGGACCUAAGGAUGCCUAACGUGAAUAUGAUGUCGAUAAGGAGACAAAAAAAAAAAGCAAAAUGAACUGAUAAUGAUAUGUGUAAUGAUGAUGCGAAGAGAGUAUCAAACCCAAGAUGGGUUGUUGUAAGAAAAGAAUAAGACGUGAAGUGAAAAUGAUGAAUCAGAAACGAAAACGAGAAUGAUGAUGAAAUAAAUAACACAAAGAGGAGUAGUGAUCAACUCAAAUCAGACAUGGAGUGAAGUCACAUCAACAAUGAAUGUAAUGAUGGAAGGGACAAUGACCCAGAUCUUCUAAGAGAAGGUCACUCAUCUCGCUCUCAAAAUAUACAAUAAAAAUGAAUACAAAGAAUGGAGGGUCUCGGAAAGCUCACAUACGAACUCUCAUCAACAAACAUACUCAAUCAAGUGACCCUCGAACAUCAAUAUACACACUCAAUGAUAGAAAAUAAUACACACGUGUUUUUUUUUUUUUUUCAAAUUUUUUUUAACAUAUAUACAAAUGUACACACCCUGAACAUGAACAAAAUAAGCCUCAAAGAUUAUAUCAAUAAUGGAUGACACGCUCUCGAGCGCUAAAGUAACAAAAACUCUCUCUGACAAGAUGACCUUCUCAAACUAAGAAUCUCUGAACCAGUGUCCGUGGGAUAGAUAGUGGUAAUGAUGUGACUACCUUCCAUGUAAUGAACUGAGGAGGAUCACCACUCAAGGUGGAAAGAAUAUGAAGCAAAACAAGCAAUAGAUAGAAUAAAGAAGAAGAGAUGAAGAACAUAACCAAUGAGAUACGAUGGAAUGCAAUGAUGCAGUGAUGAAGAAAGAUAAUGAGAAGAAUGCGUCCCUAGGUCCAAAGCUCACGGAACUCCCAAACAAUGAAUGCAUACACUAAAGGGCCCUUAUCUCGGUGUGAAAAAUGUGAGCAAGGCGAUAAAAACGAAAGGUUGUAAUAUGCAUGCGAGGUUCAAUGGGCUAGCAACAGACGAUAUAUCAAAAGGGAAUAACAAGGUGUAUGGCUAACCGAAAUGAUGGCCACCCAUCCUACGACCAUGGUCUCAAACAUAGUACCUCUUUAGCUGAUCCACAUUGGUCGGCUCAGAGAAUUGGUUUCCAUCUAAUUGCAUCAACCAUGCAGCGCCCUCUAGGGUCAACUCCCUGAUGAAAUAAGGUCCGCUCUAGCUGGGUCUGAACUUCCAUCUAGGAUCUCUAAUCAAUCCUCUGAUGACCCUCAAGACUAAGUCACCUCUUUAUAAUGGUCAAUCAACAAUCUCUACUAUCUUCCUUCACCAGUGGGAGAUGAAGGAAGAAAUGGACUCAUCUAAUCUCUGUCUGAAACCCUUAAGCUCUCUCCUCGACACAUCUACGACAGUACUAAAUGAAAACUGUCACAAAAACUCCUAAGCUAGGUUGUCCCAUGUCCUGCGUCGCGAGGACUCCAAAAAUGUGAACUAAUGUUGGGCUGCACCACUCAGAGAUAAAAGAAACAUGGUGAUCAUCUGUGACUCGUCUAGCCUAUGGGCCCUCAUCACAGUACUAUAGAGUCAAAGAUGAAUACAUGGACAACCAACACCCAUGUACCUCUCAAUGUCAAGCAUCCUGAACUUGGCUGGUAGACUGGCCCCUGGUAUACUAUCAAGAUCAUCGCAAGCUGAUGAACUGUCAGAUACCCUCAACUGCCUGAUACACUACUCGAUACUAUCCAUACAUGCAUGAGUAUCCUCAAGGACUGUCUACUCUGCUGACUGUCUAUCUCCUGCCUGAGAUUGGCUAAGGCCUCCUAAAUAAAAGCCAUGGCAGCCGUGAACUGAUCAACUGUGACAACUCGCUGAUCCAUGUCUGAUCUCUCGGAAAAAUGAACUAAUCUUCCCUUUACUCUAACCUAAUAUGACAAAUCCACACUGAGAAUGAAAAAUCAAUCCUGAAGAGCAUGAAACACAAGAUACCUGAAUAGAAUCCAUGGCGUCUGUGAACUAGUCAAAUGUGACAGUCUGCUGAUUUAUGUCUGAUCUCUGGGAAAAUUGAACUAAGCUCCUUUAUACUCUAACCCAAGAUGGUAAAUCCACAAUGAGAAUGAAGAACCAAUCCUGAAGAGCAUGAAGCACGAGAUAUGGUAGGCACAGGGAAAACAUGGAAGAAAUGCUAGUCAGAAUUGGAAUGAGCAAGACAUAAAAAAUAGGGAAUACUGAUCUUGGUGCACUCUCACUAGAGACUAAAAGAGGGAAUACUGAAUCCCAACUAUGAUCAAAGAGGCUCUGAAGGCCCUCAGAUGCACCCACGUAUAGAGAGGGAGUCCUAAUCGAAGGAUCUACGGCUCAACCUACGAGGUCAAGGUGACUCUAAAUGGAUAUGGGUGGACUUUAAAAUAUCCCUAGCAGAAGCAAUCAUACCCUCCGGCGGUACGCAACCCUCUGCACGCCUCCGAAGAGACGGGGCGCUUCCAUGUAAUGUGGUCAUCACCUCCACACAUGCACUACCUCGACAUCCUAGGGGGUUUCCUAUGGUGAAACCUCUCAAAACUCUCAACUCUUAUGGUCAGCUAGAGUGCGCAGUGACGGUGUGGGUGUAUCCAAAAAUCCUAUGAAGUCAAAGUAGAAAAAAAGAAACACACUAAUCACACAAAUAUCCAUGAAACCUAGCUUUGGGCUAUACAGGUCUUCAAAGAUCGGACUCCUAUCAACAUCAACGUGUCGACCUCCUCCAAAAUGCUCCCAAACAUCGAUAUAGCCCGUCGCUAAACCCUACUCCUAACCGCUAGCUCAGUCGAAGAGCAAACAAAGUAACAAGUCUCAUAUCAAAUACGAGAUCAAGUGAAACAAGGUUGACCGAGUAUAGGGAGUUGGAGGUAAGGGGAUAGAUGUGUGUCCCACACAGACAAGCAAUACAUGCAUCACAUAAAAUAAUAGCAAUCAUGCACCAAACACUCAUGUAAAUAACAGGUAUAUAACUCAUAUCUACACACAAGCUAGGCAAGAAUAUGAUAAGCAAGAUAGGAAUAUAACAAGAAUAGACAAUAUGUCGAGAUAAACAAGAUAAUAUACAACAAAUAAAAUCAAUCAUGCCAAGAUGAAUGAGAUAUACAAAAAUGAGAAUAUACAUGUCCAGGAAAGCAAGAUAAUCAUACAACAAGAAGAGUCACUAUGCUAAAGUAGGUAAGAGAAUCAAUCGAUGUAAUCAAUAUGUGAACAUCUCCAAUGAACAAUAAUAACUAAACAAGCCUCAUGGAUAAACAUAUCAAAGCUCUCAACAUGUAAUCAACACCCAAUCAUACAAAAACACAUAAAGAGGGGUAUCCACUGAUCAACCAAUCAAACGCCACAUUUCUCUCAACUCGAGUUCAAGUUUGACCCUCUAAAAAAAAAAUUCCCCAGUGGAGUCGCCAUUUUGUGGACCCCGUAUUUUGCUGGAUACGUUCCCACUCAAUGGCAAAAACUCACUUUUUUUAUUUUGUUUGGUGAAAAUUUGAUCUUUAGAAAAAGACUUGGAGUCGCCACUUAUUUUUGUUUUAUUUUUAAAGGGAAAAACAAAAUAAGAAAGAAAAACCCUAAGUAUGACUCCUGAAGGAAAAAACGGGUCUGUGAAAAACCGAGUCUGGGUCGGGGGGUCAGGUUAGUCAUUGGGAAUGUAUGGUGGUGAGUCGUAGCACCCCUCUAAGCCCGUAUACGUACGACCUUUACUAAACGAAUUGAGGAAAUUGUGGCAAUUAAUUAAUUAAUUAUAGAUACAAAAAAAAAAAAAUCAAUAUACAAGUCAUGGUGAAAAUUAAUAUGCACAAAAACAAUGAUGAAAUCUAAUUACAAAAAUACACAAAAUAAAUAAUAAGAGAAUUAUGCAAAAUGAUUUAUUGAAUUAAAUAAAUAAAAUAUAUUAAAAAAAGGUUUUAAAGAAAUUUCAAAGGAUUUUAUUAAAAAUGAUUUUGAAUUAAUGAUUUCCAUUUAUUUACUUAUAAAGAAGAAUCAAUUUAUUUUCUCAAUUUCAGUUGUAUUCAAUUUUCAAAAAAGCUAUUUACACUUAUUGUAUCAAAAGAAUUUAUUACAAAAUUUCAAUUUGGGCACAAAAAUUAUUUUUACUUGCUUUUACUAGAAAAUAUUGAAUUUUUACAAUUUUAUUUACAAAAGUAUUUAGAUUCAUUUUCAUUUAAAAGAGUGAUUUUUAUAAAUUAUUUAAAAUGACAUAACUUUAUUUGCAAAAGAAAUUUUAAUUAAAAAGAAAAACAAAUAUUUAAAUUCUCUAUUUUUGAAAAACACUUUUAAUCCCAUUUUAAUUAAGGAAAAAGAAUUCAUUUGAAAAAAAUAUUUUUAGACAAUUUUAUUAAAAAUUAAUUUAUGGAACAACUUUAUUUACAAAACAAUUUUUGGACAAUUUUUAUUAAACAAAGAAAUUUUUGAACAAUGUCAUUAAAAACAAUUUUUGGAAUUCUAUUAAAAACAUUUUUUUUGGAUUUUUCUAAAUGCAUUUUUCUGAAUUUUUAUAAAUAAUAAAAAAAACUUUCUUUUAUUAAAAAGAAUAUUUUAACAUUAGUAUUUUAUUAGAACAUAUUUACUGAAUUCUUCCUCUCAUUUAAAUAAAAUUUCUAAUUUAUUCGAUGUUUAAUUCUGUACACACUCAAUAAAUAUAUACGAACAAAUAUUUACAAGAACUAAUUAAAAUAGAACCAAAUAAAAGUGGGAAAUAAAAUAUGUACCCAAAUAAACUUACAAUAAGUUUCACGUAUCAUCAAUUCGUACUCAGCCAAUAAGAUUGCAGAAUGAGUCCAUGCAAAAACAAAAUAGCACAAAUGUAAAUAUCCAGAGAUAUAUAAAAUCCCAAACAAAUAUUCAAACCCAAAUUCCAAUUUCAAAUUAGUCUCAUAAAUUUCGUCAAUUAAAAUGAGCUCAAAUUGGUCUUAACUCAGAAUAUCCAAAUUAAUAACCAAAAAUACAAACACAAUCAACCAAACCUAAAAUUGGAUAAAUUAAAAUAAAUUAUACUAAACCUAAAUUUAAUAUUUCAUAAUCUAAGCCUAGUUUAAUAUACAUCACAAUUGUCUCAUGUCUUAAUUAAACAAUUCAAAUUGGCCAAGCCCAUAUCAAAUAUUCAAAUAAUCCAACAAAUCCUACCCACAUUAUGGGCCCCAAAAUUCAUAUCAAUUAACAAGCUCACAUAAAAAAAAAUACAUGGUCAAGAGAAAUAAUAUUUCAAACCCGAUCCAAUAAGCCCAAACAAAUAACAACUUAACAAUAGACCCAAGUCCAAAUAAACAAUAUGCACUUAAUAUAAUCCAAAUAUUCCUAAAUUAAUCACCAAAUACAAUAUACCCACAAACCCAAAUUAAAAAAUUUCAAAUUAAUUCACUAACAAUAAAUUAAAUCAAAUUACGUAUUAAUCUACCAACAACAAAUUAACCUCAAAUUUCAUAUUAAUUCAAGAAUCCAAAUUUCACAAACAAUAAUUACUAUUAAAAUAAAAUAAAAUAACAACAAUAACAAUAACAAUAAUAAUAAUAACAAUAACAAUAAUAAUAAUAACAAUAACAAUGAUAAUAAUAAUAAUAAUAAUAAUAAUAAUAAUAAUAAUAAUAAUAAUAAUAAUAAUAAUGGAAUGAGUGAAAAUGAGAGGGGUCGCCGACCGGCAGUGGCUCACCGGCGACGACUGGCCGAUGGUUUGUCGGUGGCACUAACAGAUAGUAAUAAUAAUAAUAAUAAUAAUAAUAAUAAUAAUAGUCACAAUAAUAAUAAUAAUAAAUCAAUAGAAUAGUGUUUGGAUCGAGAGAAAGCGAGGGAAAAUGAUGGAAAUAAAGAAAUGGGGGCUGACAAGAGAGAAAAGAAAAAGGAAAACAAAAAAACAGGGGAAAUGUCAUGGGAAGAAGAAGAGAAAGGGAGGGAAAAAAAACCAAAACAAAAAAAUGGGGAAAAGGGGCUGCUACUGCCGUGUGAGAGUUUAGGGAGAAAAAUAGGAAUAGAAAAAUAAGGAAGAGGGGAAUAAGGGGCGGCCGAUCUUUUGGAAAUGGGUAAAGGGAGAGAGGAGAGAAAAAAAUUGGAGCAAAAAAAAAAAAUCCCUCGGGCCGUCUCUUCAUUUUUUUCGGGUAGUCCAGAGUAGAAGAAUGGGGGGAAGAAGAAGAAGCGGGAAAAAACAAAAAAAAAUGGAGGGGAAAAAUGGCGGUCGUUCUUGGGAAUUGGGGGGAAAAAGUGGAGGGCAAAAUGGGGAGAAAAAAAAUGGGGGCGGCGGCGACGGCGGCGGCCGUGUGGGAAGAAUAGGAAGAGAGAGAGUAUGAGUGGGUGGGUGGAAAAUGGAAAAGAAGAUAAAAAAAAAAUAAAAUUAAAAAUAAGAAAAGAGAGAUGAGAUGGCGGCUGAUGGUGAGGGGAAUGGGAGGAGAGAGAAUAAGUGGGUGGGGUGGUUGGGGGAGUAGGAAGAGAGAGGAGAGAGAAAAGAAAAAAUAAAAAUAAAUAAAAAUAAAAUAGAAUAUAAUAAUAAUAAUAAUAAUAAUUAUAAUAGUAAUAAUGAUAAUAAAAUAAAAGUAAUAGUAUUAAAAUAAAAUAAAAUAAUAUACAAAAUAAUAAAAGCUAUUAAAUGGUGAGUGGGUCAAAAAAUACAUAUAAUUGGAAUUUAAAAUUUAUUAAUAAAAUUAGGUUUAAAAUUAAUAUAAAAAUAAAAUUGAGACAAAUUUUGGGAUGUACAAAAAUGUUUGGAUAUUAGAAGGUCUAAAGUUUAGGCUUUUAUUAGUAAUAUUUCUAUGAAAAAACAAAAAAUUUAUCUUGCUUUUUUUAAAACAUUUUUUUCAAAAUUUUGAAAAUUUUGAGAAAGUAAAAAAUUUUUAAUCCUUAAAUGUUAAGUAUUUUAAAAAGUGUUUUCAAGUAAAAAAAAUAUAUGUACUUACUUUUGUAUAAGAAUUUUUAUAUUUUAUUCUAUUUUAUAAACAAAAAUAAAAAAUGUAUCCAAACAUAUACUAACUAAUUCUCUUUAAAAAUGUUUCUAAUGGAAAGGUACUAACAAAUGACUUUCAAAUAAAAAUGGUUUAAACAAAAUCACUCUCAAACAAGUCUAAGUUAUAAUAAAUAUUUUUCACCAAAAUGAUUUUUAUUUAAAGAAGAAGCCUCAAAAUGAUUUUAAUUUAAACUCAUUUCAUUUGUAAUCUUGUAAUCCCAUGCCCUAAAUGUUCCCAUUCAUCAAUUCCAUUGGUAAAAUUUUAUUAGAAUUAAUAAUUAUUAAAAAAAUUAAAUUCAAAACCUUUUUUAAAAAUCCCACUGUUUAUAUUGUAAUUUGGAUAGUCAUUUCUAAUAAAAAAGAUAUUAUCAAUAUUUUAUUUUUAUUUAUUUUCAUUUUGGUGAAAUUAUAGAAUUACGUGAAUUUUUCUUCUUAAAAUAAAAAAAAUAUUAUAAAGAAAAUGGGGGAAAGCUAAUACGCUAGAUGAAAAUAUAUGGAUUAAUAUGUGCAAUCAAUUUGCAUAAAAUUAAAAUUCUGAUUAUUUUCAUUUUUAUUGUUGUUAUUUAAUCAAAAUAACAAUAAGCGGAAUGAAAAAAAGAAACGUGAGAAUUAAAAAUUCUUCGUGGAAAAUGCUAGCUAGUUGUACUAAUAUUUCAUAGUGGGAGGCUAUAUUUGUUCGCCAUUUUUUCCAAAGAACUUUAUUAAAGGUGAUGGUGAUGGUGAUUAUUUUCCACAUAUAUCAUCAUGUGUCUUGUGCAUGAUUAAAUCUUUAUUCUUGUACUGGAAUAUCAUAUUGAUCUAAGAAAUUUAUAAUUAUAAAAAGAAUUAAAUUUUGUGGCUUAAAAAUGAGGAUUACCUAUUUACCCCUCUAGAUAGUUUCAAGAAUUAAGAUAAAAACUUUUAAAAAUCAUAUCAAGUUUCAUGGUAAAAUAUCAUCAACCCUCCAAAAUGUUAAAAGACUUAAAAUUUUAUCAAAAUAAAAAUUAUUUUUUAAUAAUAUAAAAUAGAAUAAUCCUUUUGAUAGAAAGUGGCACUCUAAAGAUUUUCAUUGAAAAUAUCAUCCAUUAGGCAUUGUGCCCCAAUUUUUUCUAUGGAAGAUGCCAACUGGUUAUGCUAAAAUUUCCAAGGUGGGAGGCCAUAUUGUCUGCCAUUUUAUCCCCAUUUUUUCUUAUCAGAGCGCCACUUUAAUAGAGGUCAUAGUGAAGAUGAUGGUGGGUACACUAAAGUCCACUUUAUUAAAGGUGAUUGUAAACAUGAUAAUGACUUUUAAAUGAUUUAAGCUCUUCGAUAAGGAAAAACUAUACAUCAUAUAUCAUCACGUCUUAUGUAUAAUUUGAUCUUUAUUCUUAUGCUUGGAUAAUAUACUUUGAUUAAAGAAAUUUAUAGUUAUGAAAAAAAUUAAAUUUUGUGACUUAAAAAUAUAAAUUACUUAUUUACUCCCUCCAAAUGGUUUAAAGAAUUAAUAAAAACUUUUAAAAACUAUACAGAAUUUCAUGGUAAAAUAUCAACUCUCAAGAAUGUCAAAAGACUUAAAAUUUUAUCAAAAUAAAAACUAAUUUUCAUUAAUACAAAAGAGAAUAAACUUUUUUCUUGGAUAGAAAGUGAUACUUAGAAGAUUUUCAAUUAAAAAUAUUAUACCAUAGGCGUUGAUAGAAUGUUAGCUAACAUGUUUAUCAAGGAUUUAAUUUGUGAAAAAUGAAUAAAAAUCAAUUAACUAAUUGAUAGGACAGUUGAAAGUGCAUUUGAUAAUGAUUUUAAAAAAUGUUUUUAGUCUUAAAAGUAUUUUUAAAAAAAAUUAAAUAUGAUAAAAUUUAGACAAUACUUUUAAAAAUAUGAAAAAUCUCUUGUAAUUGUGAAAAAUCUUUUACAAUAUUUUUCAAAGAAAUACUUGAUAGAAGAUUAUCUUAAAAACUAUUUUGAAUACAAUAUUUUCGAUAAAAAUGCUUCUACUAAAAAUAGUACCAAAUACACUUCUAAUAAUUACAUUUCCCACAAAUUUUCUAGAAACCAAACAUAUUAAUGGGAAUAAGGGAACAUGAAGCACCCUCUCCAACGAGAAGUUGAAGCCAAUACCUAUACCUUCUAAACCAACUCCUCUCUUCUGCUUGAUUCAUCGUCUCAAAGCUCUCCACACUCAUCAUUUCCCUCAAAACUAGUUAUUAAUCCUCUUUGACAAAACCAUGGGCAACAUUUUCUCCAUUUCAAUCUCCGUUGACCACCUUAUCUCUAGUUGCUGGAAUCGCACUACUGAACAUGCAAAUUACCUGUGCAAACUCCCAGAAAAUCUGGUAGCUCUGGGAACUGCUUGUGAAAGAUUGAGGGAGUUCAGGAACGAUGUGAUGAGGAGGGUGGAUAUCGCUGAGAGGGAACAAAUGCAGCGGCUCGACCAAGUACAAGGGUGGCUUUCAAGGGUUGAAACUCUGGAAACUCAAGUCACUCAACUGAUUGGAGAUGGCACCGAGGAGGUUGAGAAGAAAUGUAUGGGUGGUUGCUGUCCUAGGAAUUGCAGGACCAGAUACAAGUUGGGGAAGAGAGUAGCUAGAAAGUUGAAAGAAGUGGACAUUCUAAUGAGCCAAAGACCUUCGGAUGCGGUGGCUGAGAGGUUACCUUCACCUCGCCUAGGUGAAAGGCCUAAUCAAGCAACUGUCGGCAUGAAUUUCAGAAUUGGUAAGGUUUGGAGCAGCCUUCAUCAAGAACAAGUGGGAAUUAUCGGCCUAUAUGGAUUAGGAGGAGUUGGGAAAACCACCCUCUUAACCCAAAUCAAUAAUGCUUUUACCAAAAGAACAGAUGAUUUUGAUUUUGUGAUCUGGUCAACAGUUUCCAAAAAUGUAAACCUUGAAAACAUUCAGGACGACAUCUGGAAGACGAUAGGGUUUUGUGAUGAUAAAUGGAAAAGCAAAAGUCGAGAUGAGAAAGCUAAGAGCAUCUGGAGAGUCCUGAGCGAAAAGAGGUUCGUGCUGUUGCUAGAUGAUUUAUGGGAGUGGUUGGAUUUAUCAGACGUCGGAGUCCCAUUCCAAAAUAAGAAAAAUAAGAUAGUAUUCACCACUCGAUCAGAAGAGGUGUGCGCUCAAAUGGAAGCGGAUAAGAAGAUCAAAGUGGAAUGCCUAACAUGGACAGAAUCCUGGGAAUUGUUUCGAAUGAAGCUUGGAGAAGACACUCUCGAUUUCCAUCCUGAGAUACCGGAGCUCGCUCAAGCCGUCGCACAAGAGUGUUGUGGUUUGCCACUUGUGCUAACUACCAUCGGCAGGGCCAUGGCUUGUAAGAAGACGCCGCAGGAAUGGAAAUAUGCAUUUAAAGUGUUACAAAGCUCUGCCUCAAAAUUUCCAGGUAUGAGUGACAGAGUGUUCCCUCUUUUAAAAUACAGUUAUGAUUGCUUACCCACCGAAGUUGUCAGAUCUUGCUUCUUGUAUUGUUCUCUAUUUCCAGAAGAUUAUCAGAUACCAAAAAUAGCUAUGAUAAAGCGUUGGUUUUGUGAAGGCCUUUUAGACGAAUUUGAUGACAUGAAGGGAGCAGAAAACCAGGGUUACAACAUUAUUGGCACUCUGAUUCAUGCAUGUCUAUUAGAAGAAGGUGAUGUUGAUUAUGUAGUAAAACUGCAUGAUGUAAUCCGUGAUAUGGCAUUGUGGAUAGCUUGUGAAACAGGGAAGGAGCAGGACAAGUUCUUGGUGCAGGCCUCCAGUGGGUUAACUGAAGCUCCUGAAGUUGCUAGAUGGAUGGGACCAAAAAGGAUUUCACUUAUCGGUAACCAAAUUGAGAAACUAACAGGGUCUCCUAAUUGCCCCAAUCUCUCAACUUUGUUUCUUCAGGAUAAUAGUUUGAAGAUGAUCACUGAUAGUUUCUUCCAGUUUAUGCCAAAUCUAAGAGUUUUAGACUUGUCAAGGAAUGCUAUGACUGAAUUACCACAGGGAAUCUCUAAUUUGGUUUCAUUACAGUAUCUCAACCUAUCACAAACUAACAUUAAAGAGUUGCCAAUUGAGUUGAAGAACCUGGGUAAAUUGAAAUUUUUGUUGUUGCAUCGCAUGAGACUUUCUUCAAUUCCAGAGCAGUUGAUAUCAAGUCUUUCAAUGUUGCAAGUGAUUGAUAUGUUCAACUGUGGAAUUUGUGAUGGUGAUGAAGCCUUGGUUGAGGAAUUGGAGUCCUUAAAGUACUUGCAUGAUUUAGGUGUCACUAUAACAAGUGCCUCUGCUUUCAAAAGGCUUCUAAGCUCUGACAAGCUAAAAAGUUGCAUUUCCGGUGUAUGCCUCGAGAAUUUCAAUGGUUCAAGCUCUCUCAAUUUAACAUCUCUCUGCAAUGUAAAGCGUCUCCGUAACCUCUUUAUCUCAAACUGUGGCUCGUCGGAAGAUUUGGAGAUCGAUUGGGCUUGGGAAGGAAAGGAAACAACAGAAUCUAAUUACCUUAACUCAAAGGUCAGUUCCCACAGCAGUUUCCACAACCUUUCGUGGCUAAGAGUCAAAAGGUGUUCGAGGUUGAAGGAUCUAACAUGGCUUGUUUUUGCUCCAAACCUUAAAGUUCUUUUAAUAACUAGUUGUGAUCAAAUGCAAGAAAUAAUAGGUACCGGUAAAUGUGGUGAAUCUACAGAGAAUGGCGAAAACCUGAGUCCAUUUGUCAAACUCCAAGUACUUACGUUAGAAGAUCUACCACAAUUGAAGAGCAUAUUUUGGAAAGCCCUGCCAUUUAUCUACUUAAAUACAAUCUAUGUAGAUAGUUGUCCACUUCUAAAGAAGCUGCCACUCGACGCCAACAGUGCCAAGGAACAUCGGAUUGUCAUUUCCGGACAAACCGAGUGGUUUAAUGAACUAGACUGGGAGAAUGAGGCAACUCACAACGCUUUUCUUCCAUGUUUCGUACCUAUUGAAGAAUAAGGGCCUGCAGCAAUCUCAGAGAGGCUACAAUGCGAUUCUCGGUGAGACCCUUUUCACAAUUAACUAUCAUUUGAUCCUGAAUAGGUAUUGGUCCAAAUAAAGCAUUCAAUUAUAGCAUCUUUUCAUGGUCGUAUACCUCCCACGUACUGCUGAUACACUUAAAAAAAUGCUAUUCCAUUUCAAACAUGUAAGGCAAUUGAUUGCGGGUUUACAAGGAGUCAUCUUGUUAUUGGAAUUCAAAAUAUACAACUUUUAUGGUUAUGUUUUCUUCUUAAAAAGUAUUAAUAAAAGAAAAUAAAUAUUAAUGAAAAUGAUUUUUUCAUAUUAUUAUAUUAUCAAAAAUAUAAAAGAAAAUAAAAUUAGUUUGAAAUUUACAUAUUUUUUAAAUUGUUUAAUUUUUAUAUUGAAGAGUUAAAAUAAAUAAAACAAGUUAGAAAUAGCAUAUAAAAGUAAUCUAUUAAUUUUAAAUUUAUUUUUUAAUUUUUUUCACUUUUUUUUCCUUGUAUCUUUCCUUUCUAUUUUCUUUUCAUUACAAUUUUUCUCAAAUUUUCCAAGAACCAAACAUAACCUACAUAUAAUGAUCAAAUAUAAUCUUACAAACCAACCCAUAUAAAAAUUUAAGUCCAUUCUUGUGGCUUUUCUAAUUUGGUUUAAUAAGUCAAUAGUAUAUAUUCUUAUACAAUCUUAUUUUGUUUAGUUGCAGAAUAUAACCUCAUAUGCCAUAAAUGCUUCCGCAAUCUUCAGUUAAUGAGAAUCCAUUGUUUUCCAAGGUGAAGGAUAUGGAUGGCUUAAUUUUCAUGCCAACUUUUCAGUAUGUUGAUGACAUUGUAGGCUACCGAAAUGGAACAUAUAAUUGCUUAUAUAUGUGAGGUAAACAAUUGGUUUAUGUAUGUUGUUUCAUAGUGUUUGUGUGCAUAUGUUGUUUCUCUUUGAAUUGCAAUAUUACAUUUUUUGUAUUCUAAGGAUUGUGAGAUGCAUUUUAUGAUUUGUGUAAAAAUUUUGAGUUGGAUGGCUUUCCUUAAUUGCUUUACUUCAAUUGAAGAGCAUGUACAUAAUAUCUUUGAUUGGAAACAAUCUAAUGUAUAAUUUAAAAAAAUAAUCAUAUUUUCAAAUAGAAAAGAUAGAUGAGUUAGGGUACUCCUAGAUCAACUAGGAAUUGUAUCUUUGUUUAUGGAGAAGCAAGCAUUCUUGAGAAAAAAAAUCAAGUCCCUCUUUGUACAAAAAUUUUAGGGGAGAACUUGCCCAAGUCAUGGGUAGACCAUAAUUGGGGCACCUUAGCUAAGGGUCCCAUUUGGUUCCCUAUCUGUGUUUAUCAAAUGUGCCUUUUCAUAAUUGUAAUGGGAAUGGAGUGUGGGAUUUAUAUAACAUUAAAGCAUGUAUUCCUUAAUUUUGCAAUAUGUUAAAGAGGAUGAAACAUUUUUUAUUUGUUGCAAUUCAAGAGCAUGUACUAAAAUGCUCUCUCCAUGUGUUCAAAAUAGAAGAACUCAUUUAUCUUAUGCCCUAUAAAACUUUUUUCAAAAUUUUGAGAAAGUGAAAAAUUUUCACUUCUUGAAAUUUUUAAAUUUUUUUUAUAAAGUGUUUUCAAGCAUAUAAGGUAUUUACUUGUUUUUGUAUAAUAAUUCUUGUAUUUUAUAUAAGACUUCCUAUUUUAAAAAUAAAAAAUAGAAUAUGUAUCCAACCAAGUGAUUCUCUUAACAAAAGUACUAUAAAUAAAAAUACUUUAACGAGAGUCACUCCCAAACAUGUUCUAAGUUAUAUUUUCUAAUGGACUAGCUUUUCUAUCAAAAAAGUUAUUGAGUAGACAAUAAUUUAUAAAAUGCAAAACAUUUUUACUCUAUGGUAAUUUUUAUUUAUCUUUUUCUGUUUAAUAUCCACCUCUCAAUAUCUUGGUAUUUUAAACGAAGGAUAUAAUUUUAUUAGUUGUGCACAUGACAUUAUCUUAUAUAUCCAUGUAAGGUUUUUUCUAAAAUAAGUAAUUAAAAAUUUCAUUAUUAAAAAAAAUAGAAUCAAUAAUAUCUUAUUUUUAUAUAAUACCAAAAUUAACAAAUUUCUUACCAUUUAUGGUUCAUAUAACAAGAAAUAAAUAAGUAAAUGUGUGAAACUAAUAAAAAUAAUUGUUAAUUUAUGGUAAUUAUUUGGAAUAUAUUAAUAUUUAACCGAUGGAGCAUUAGCUUAGCUUAGUUAGAUCAUUUUACCCAACAUAAGUUUUUUAUUUAUUAUUUUAACAUACUAUCAAAUCACUUUUUUUUUUGUUUAUAUUCAAAUAGUAAGUUAUUCUAUUUUAAACUAUUUCUAAUGUAACCACUAUUUAAAAACACUUUUAAAAAUCUCAAAAAAUAACUUGAGGUGAUUUGUAAACAAUCACUUGAUAUGAUUUUCUUAAAAAUCAUUUUUUAAUAAAAUAAUAUGUUACAAAAAAAAAAAUACUAUCAAAACAUUUUUUUUAAUUUAUAUUUAUAGUUAUGGAUAUGCUUCCUAUCUAUAUACAAAAUAUAAGAACUCUAAUGUAUAAAACAAAAUUUUUAUCUUGUGUCUUUAAAACUUUCUUCACAAUUUUGAAAAUUUUGAGAAAGAUAAUUUUUUUAAUCCUCAAAUUUUAAAAAGUAUUUUCAAGUAUAUGAGGUAUUUAUUUUUUUUCUAAGAAUUUAUAUAUUUUAUAUGAGACUUUCUAUUUUAAAAACAAAGAUGGGAAAUGUAUACAUACAUAUAAGUAAUUCUCUUUAAAUAUAUUUAUAAUGAAAUCAUAACUAACAAAAGUAUUGCAAAUAAAAAUACCUUAAGUACAAUUACUCCCAAGUGAGUUCAAAGUUAUAAGAAAUAUUUUUGUCAAUAUUUCAGAUCACCAAAAGAAACUAUAAAGGAUUGCAAUAUUACGAAAAAAUUAAAAAUGAUUUUAGUUUAAGCUCUUCAUUUGCAAUCUUGCAAUCUCAUGCCCUAAAUGUUCCAAUUCAUCAAUUUCAUUGGUAAAAUUUUAUUAAAAUUAAUGAUUAUUAAAUAAAAUAAAUUUAAAACCUUUUCCAAAACCAUAUUGUCGAUCCGAGAAUGCCAUGAACAACAUUGUUGAGUAUGAGGCUUGUAUCUUGGGAUUAGAGACAGCCCUCGAGCUCGGUAUUAGACAGAUGGAGGUGUUUGGUGACUCCAAUCUGGUGUUGAGACAGAUUCAGGGUGAGUGGAAGACUAGAGAUGGGAAACUUAGACCUUAUCACGCAUAUUUGGAGCUACUGGUCGCGAGAUUCGAGGAUUUGAGAUACACACAUCUGCCUAGAGCGCGGAACCUGUUUGUUGAUGCCUUAGCUACUCUAGCUUCCAUGAUUGACAUUCCUGCUGACGCCACUGUUCGUCCAUUAUUGAUCGAGUCGAGAUCUGCUUCUGCUUACUGUUGUCUGAUCGAUGAUGUAGAGUCAGAUGAUGGUUUGCCAUGGUAUCACGACACAUAUCACUUUUUGAGGCUUGGCGUAUAUCCUAAGGCCACUACGACCAAGGAUAGGAGAGCAUUGAGACAGUUAGCCGCCCGAUUCGUGAUUUGCGGCGAGACACUAUAUAGACGAUCACCUGAUGGGAUGCUGCUAUUGUGUUUGGACCACGCCUCUGUCGAUAGAGUGAUGCGAGAGGUUCAUGCGGGAGUAUGCGGACCACAUAUGGGAGGACAUAUGUUGGCCUGUAAGAUCAUGAGGACCGGCUACUUCUGGUUGACCAUGGAGACGGACUGCUGCCAGUUCGUUCAGAGAUGUCCCGAGUGUCAGAUACAUGGAGAUCUCAUUCACGUGCCGCCCUCCGAGUUGCAUGCACUGACUUCACCAUGGCCAUUUUCAGUGUGGGGUAUCGACAUCAUCGGGAAGAUUUCGCCGAAAUCUUCCAGUGGUCAUGAGUUUAUCCUUGUCGCCAUUGAUUACUUCACCAAGUGGGUGGAGGCCGCUUCGUAUGCGAGAUUGACAUCGUCUGGAGUUGCUAGUUUCAUCAGAUCACACAUUAUUUGUCGCUAUGGAGUCCCUCAUGAGUUGAUUUCGGAUAGAGGGGUACACUUUAGGGCAGAGGUUGACACUUUGGUGCAGCAAUAUAGCAUCCGACAUCAUAGGUCGUCUGCGUACAGGCCGCAAACGAACGGGGCAGUGGAGUUGCCAUUUUGUGGACCCCGCAUUUCGGCUCAUGCGUUUCCCACUCGAUGACGAGCUCAAUUUUUCAAAUAAAAUCGAGCUCGUCAUCGAGUGGGAAACUCAUGAGCCGAAAUGCGGGGUCCACACAUAUCCAUUUAAAACAUUUUCAUAUCAGGGAUCUCUAGUUUUGCCUCAUGCUUCUCUUUAGAAUUUUAUUUUUAUUUUUUCAACAUGUUUACUUAAAGUUCCAAAUCCAAUAAUGGUGAGAAAAUAUUCAAUUCUAAAAACCAUUUCCAUAUUCAUAUUUUCAUAUCUGUUUUAUCCUUUUAAAUAAAUAAUCCUAGGCUUUGGCAUCAAUUAAUUAAUCUAUGUUUUGCCCAAUUACCAAGUUGAUUGCAAAAAUAUGCUACACUCAUAAGUCUAAAAUAUGCUUUUGGUUUUUCAGCUUUCUAUUUCACUCCAAUUUUGCCAUCUCAAGUUUCAAAUAUAUAGGUGAAAGAAAAAAAAAAUGCAUAAUUUAGUGUUAGAUUGGAAAUAUAUUUUUUCAAUAGUGUUAACUUUUAUAUAAAAUAUUAUAACUUUUAAAAAUUUACGUUUAAAAGCUAAUAAUUUUUAAAAACUACUAAAAAAAUUUGAGAUAUUAAAAGGUUUUACUUCUCUAAUUUUAAAAUUUUGAAAAUUAAUUUUUCAAGAUAUAAUUUAAAACUUUGUCUAGAUAGAUUUCCUUUUAAAAAAAAUAAUAAAUAGUAAUAACUUCUAAAUAAAAUAUAAAACAUUUUAGAAGUUUUCAUUGAAAAUCUUAUGAUUUUUAAAAAAACCAUUUAAAAGAAUUGAGAUAUUAAAAUGUUUUACUUUCUCAAAUUUAAAAAUCUUUUAGAGCCUAUUUGGCCAUGCUAAUGCUCAUUUUUAAAAACUGUCUUGACUUGAAAUUUUUUUUUUUUUGUUUUUUAGUGUUUUAUAAAAAUAUGGGUGUUUGACAAGCUGUUUUUGAAAUCAAUUUUUAAAAAUAAAAAAUAAAGAACUUGUUUGGAUAAUUUUUUUAAAAUUUUUCAAAAGCAUUAUAAAUUCAAUUUAUAUAAUAUAAAUUUAAUUUAAUUUAUAUUAUAUAAAUAUGAUGAUUUUAUAUUUAAAAAAAAACCAUUUAAAAGAAUUGAGAUAUUAAAAAGUUUUACUUUCUCAAAUUUAAAAAUCUUUUAGAGCCUAUUUGGCCAUGUUAAUGCUCAUUAUUUAAAACCGUCUUAACUUGAAAAAAAAAAUUGUUUUUUAGUGUUUUAUAAAAAUAUGGGUGUUUAACAAGUUGUUUUUUAAAAAUAAAAAACUUGUUUGGAUAAUUUGUUUUUAUUAUUUUAUUUUUUUCAAAAACAUUAUAUAUUCAAUUUAUAUAAUAUAAAUUUAUUUUAAUUUAAGUCUUACUUAAAUGAAAAUAUUUCUUAAUUACAAAUAAAUUUAAAAAUAAAUAGUUUUUAGGAAAAUAUGAAUAGUAAUGAUACAAUAAAAUUAUUAAUUGUAUUUUUUUUAUAUAAAAAAGAUACUAUUUUAGUCUAUGCUAGAAACAUAAGGAUAUUAAUAUCUUAUUUAUUAUCAUUUUUUAUUAAAAAUGAAUUAUAAUAGUUUAAAAAUAAUAAUUAUUAAUAAUAUUUUAUUUUAAAUAAAUAAUGAAUAAAGUUUUAACAUGUAUAUGAAUCAAUUUUUUCAUUCUAUGAACACAUAUAGAAUGAACUUUCUGAUAUAAUAUACCUAAUUAUGAAUAUAAUAUUCUAAAACCUCCAUCGCCUCAUUUGAGGUUUUGAACUUUCUGAUAAAUUCGAAUCAACAACAAUAGAAUUGCUCUUUCAAUAUCAAAGGCUCCUUUUGGCGUCAAUAAACCGCCAGUUAGUUAUUGAAACAACACGUUCAUACACAUAUCUAAGUCUUAUUGGAAUGGAAUACAAGUUACCUUCAAGUAAGGUUUUUGCUUACACAUUUACACAUUUACACAUUUUCUAUCUCAAACUGUUAGUGAAAGAUACAGGGCAAACCUACAUUCAAAUGAUCUGAGCCUGUCAUGUACAAUCCAAGCUCAAAAGUCAAGCUUAAGUUAUAAUUCACACGAAAGAGCUGGUCAGCGCACCAAGCCCAAGAACAAUGAUAAGACUGCCAUUUACCAACCUGACAUAAGCUUGAUAUCUCACAUGGAGAACUUACAAGGUGGGUAAGCAUUUGUUAAUUGACACCAAUCAAUCCUGAUACAGAAGAUGGACAUCUCACAUGAAGGGCAUAAGGUGAACCCCUAGGAUCUUGUUGAGCAAAUUGGACUACACUCCAAUCAAGAGCUAAGAUCUUACUAUACCAAUUCAGGUUAUCCUGAUCACGUGUUAGUGGAGGAAAUGUUGUUGAUUUCCAUUUACAUAACUUUGAUUUAGUAGGUUUGGUCUAAUUGGGGUGUAAUAUACGUUAUACAACGGGGAAAGGGAGUGCGAUGAGGUAGUAAAAACAGGACACAACUUGUGAAAAAGGGUCCAAAGUGGAACCCCUUUUUAAGGCUUUUAAUCCUCUGCAGCUUUGCUGAAAUACUAUAACCCAGAUUACUGGUACACAAGCGUUACCAAAAACCAUCAUUUCUGGUGGAUUAUUCCUACCCUUCAUUGAGGGAAGUCUAACCCUGCAGACAAAUACAACCUAGAUGGCUGAUUUUCUAGCUUCCAUUAAUGGGGAGAUUUUCUCUCAACAUUCACUGACCAUUCUAAGUGGGUAAAAAUUAGAAGUUAAGAGACAUCCUACAUGAUGAAUUAGUCAUGCAGAACAUAAGUCCAGGGAUAUUAUCAAGUACUUUAGGGUCCUUUAGGUCAUGGAAACUACUCGAGAAAGGAAAAAAGAAAAAAGAAAAAAUUAUGAAGGAACAUGUAUUCUCUUGCUUGGUUUGCCAAGGAAAAUUUUGCUUUCCCUUUUUCAUCCUUAUUUUCUUAUUGUCAUACUUCCCCUCAAACUUUUCAUGAUCUAAACAGAAGUUUGACUUAUUUAAGAAGCUACCUGACAAGUAUUUCCUUUCCACAAUUGUUUAUUCAACCAAUGAGGCAUUUUUUCCAUUACUCAAUUCUCAAUCUAGUUUCUUUUACACUAACCCUCAAGAAACAAAAUAACACAUAAGCGGGGCUUAUUUUUCAAUAUAAAAAUUCUCUACCAAGAUAUCAGACGUCUAUGAAUUGAAAAUUUAGAACAAUAUUUUCCAAAUCACCCGUGGGGAUCCAUGAUAAGAUAAAUUAGUUACAUUCUCAUGCUUCUUUACGAACCUUUUUCAACAGACUGAGCCCAGUUAAUGCUUGAUCUGGCCAAAGCAUCCAUCAGAUCAAUACAUUUCCUAAGCAGAGGAUCAUCCCGAGGCAAAAGAUCACGCAUGUCAUCAGAGCCAAGGAUGACAGUGUUCAUAGCCCUCGCCAGAAGAACUUGCAUUGCAAUUCUUAGCAGAUUCCUUGCCACUUCCAUGUCCUUUCGAUUUAAAGAUUCAAUUGCAGAAAUUACAGUGUGCUCCAUUGUUGCUUCAUCUGGAACAACAACCUCAAACCCCUGCAUACAUAGAAUUUAGAUUGGAAGGAAUCAAUGUAUUUACGGAUGACAGAAAUGAAAACCGUGCUAAAAGGUAUAUAGUGAGUUGAUGUGGUAACUAAAACUAAAACAGGUUGCUUUUUUCUCUCAAUUAAAAGCAUCUUUCAGAACUUCAGAACUCCCAUAGAUUCAUAUGGAACAUCAUUAUAUAUAUAUAUGUAUAUAAGCAUGCACUUCAAGGCAGUGUAUGUGAAACACGAUCAGGAGUGUGAGACUGUAAUGACACACGGAAUUCCAAAUCCUAUCAUUAUAUAAUAAUAUAAUAUAUUAAUUUCAUCAUUAUUUUAUCCAUCAUGUGUAGGUGGGACCCAGCUCUGCCCAAAACUGCAAUCCUAUCACAGUUGGCAAAACAUUUUGAAAUUCACUUUUGAGCUCUGUUGUAAUUUCAGUAAACAGUUACAACUAGAAAUACCAAAAGAAAAUAGAAUACAAGUAAAAUGGUAUUUCUGGGGGUUUUAGACAAGCUGUCAUGAUGAAGACAAGAUGGGGGUUUAGCAAAAUGGAUGCUGAUUUUGUUGUAUCGAAGAUUCAACAUUCUUUUGUUAAAGGCCGUUAAAUUUUGGAUGCAAAUUUGAAAGCCAAUGAAGCCAUAGAUUUUAGACUGAAGAGUUUGAGAGAAGGGGUGAAUCUGUAAGUUGUGUUGAGGCCUCGCGUCCCUGGUGAUCCACGUAGUUGCCAAAUGGAUGGACGCACGAUCUCAACCAAUAUAGAUUCCUGGUUCAGUCGUUCCUGCAAAAGGCGUUCGAACAGGGUGUCCGGACACACCCUCUGAUGGUUUUGUCAGCCAUGGUUAAAGAGAAUAAUCAGUUGGUCUUUUACUAGGUAUAGCAAGCUUACUUUCCUCUUUGUGUGAAGGUCCAUAUAUAUAGCGUUUAGGAGCUUUGUUUCUCUCUUUAAUGGUAGGGAGAUAUUUUGUCUUGUCAUGAUGCCUUUAGGUGGUGACAGGGCCAUCAUCACCCUACUGGCGGCUGACAGAGAUCGUGGGAGGCGCCGCAGCUGUCAGAGAUCGUAGGAAGUGACUUGCCAUCAUUCUUGUCCUUUCACUCUGUAGGUGGCAGAACGUGGGCCGUGGCAGGUUGUCGAAAUGACGUAGUAAGACUUGCUUACUUUAGUCAACGAUCCGGUCAAACCUAUCCGGAUAGGAUAUGUCGGUCGUCCGGAUGUGAUGUUUGCGAGUGUCGUGUACUUCUCCCUGAGGGAGUCCGGAUAGGGGAAGCGCGCCACGUGUCUCCUUGGAUCCAGAUGGAGCUAAUCCGGAUAGAAAUACGUGCCACGUGUCAUCAGGGGGAGGGGUCCCUACAAUGCCCCCAUUUUAACCUGCCCAUUUUGCCCGGGCAAAAUGGGCGGGUUAAAAAAUGAUUGUUUUUUGAAACUGAGGUUGACUUUUUUCGCUUUAUUGGGCCACAUGGCGAGCAGGGGCGAAAAAGGAAGAAGAGCAUUUAUGAUGAGCCGCCGAUUCUGGGAUUUCCCAACCAGCGUGUCCUUUCAAUGAUGGCUCGGCUGAGCGUUUGGGAUACCGAGGGGUUGUCUCUCUAUAAAUUGCAAACUGUGUCUUCCUCUUGCAUUUUUUCUUCUGCGUUUUUUCCUGGUAAUGCUUUCUCUUCUACCUUCUGCGUAUCUUCGUUUUCGAGUGAAGCUCUAGGGUUUUCUGCCGGCAAUACUCGUGUUGUGAUGGUGACUGCAUUGCGGAUUUCAUCCCAUUUUUCCAGUUUUACACUCGGUACGUUCGCUACUCUUGUCUUAUCUUCGUUGUGUUUGCUUUGUUGGUUGUUUCUGGCUUGCUGGGCAAGUUGCUUGCGACUGGGUGUCGAUAUUGGUUUCUAGGGUUUUUUCGGGGGAUUCUGUUGUGUUUUGGGUGCGUUUAGGGUUUCUGUUGCCCCUCUGCGCUUUUUGUGGGUUGUCGAUACUUUUUUGGGGUAGAAACAAGGUUUGGGAUGGGGAUGCUAGUGAUGUUAGGUUUUCUGAGCGUUUUUAUCGUUUAAGGCUGUGGGGUCGGAUUGUUGUGUUUGACUGUUGGUCAUUCUUCCAUGCAGGUUCCGUUCCAGUCCCAACCUCAAAAAUGUCUACGAACAAGGGCGCUGUUUCGUCUACUACGGUCGAUCAGAGCGGCAAAGAUGCGUCUGGAGACUUUCACGCGGAGAAGUCUGUGGACAAGCUGAAUGCGAAGGAGUUUCGUGAACGCUUCUGCAUCCCAAAUGGCGUGUUCGUUGAACUUAUGGACGGAGAGGCCAUGUCAACUGAGGAAACUGAGGAUAACGCUAUCUUUUUUACCAAUGAGCAAUUCAAUGCUGGGCUCCGGUUCCCUCUCCCAUCGCUUUUCAAAGAAUUUCUCCACUUCACCCAGAUCCCUCCGGCCUACAUCCAUCCCAACAUGGUCCGAGUGCUGAUGGGAUGCAGCACUCUAAGUAUGUUGUUCAACCUGGACCUCUCGCUGCUGGAGGUUCUUUUCAUCUACUCCCUCAAGAAGGGGAAAAAUGACAUCUUUAGCAUGGUUGCCCACCUGCCUUCUCUCCAACUGGUGAUUGAGCUUCCAGAUUCGACGAAGGGAGGAGCCAAGGGACAUGUGUUGGUCCGGGGUGUCUGGGCUGGGCUAUUGGAGCAUCCAGAGAGGCUGUUUUCCCUAAACCGUUCGUUGGUGCUUCCGGGUAAGGCAGCUUGCAGGGUUUGUCCGGCAUUCAUCUUGUUGUUCUUCUUGCUUUGGGGUUAUCAGAUGGCUUAAUACCUUUGGUUGCUGAUAAAGCAGGUCCGGACAAGAGGGGUCACGUAGUCGAGUGGGUAGAAAAAGCGUUUUUCGUUCGACUAAACAAGUUAUUUGAGAUUACUGCCGCUGAGAGGCAUCAUGAGACGCUGCUUACUACGCGAAACUUGCUGGCUGUUGUCAAGGAGCCCCAGACAUAUGUCACCAAUAUUCUCCCCAGGAAGUUGCCAAAGAAGGUAGUGCCUAGGGAGCAUUACGUUCUAAAAGACCUCCCUUUCUACAAGGAGGUGCGCAAGGUAGAUGCCCAGGCACGUUGAGCACGUCUCGAUGAUCGGGAGGGAAGAAGGAAAGAGGGAACUUUGCGGAGGGCCCCCGGUAAAAAACGCUCCGCGCCCUCUCUUCCUGCUGGCGCCCCAGCGAAAAAGAAGAAGAAGAUGGUUCUCAAUAAGGGGAAAUAAAUAAAACUUCCAACUCCCCCAAAGGAAAUGGUAAUACCACCUCCAACUUUUGUAAAGGAAAUAACAAUAAGAGAGCCAGACCACCCCGUCUUGCCCUCUGUUUCAAGUGGCUCCGGACGUCUCGCAGGUCUAAACCAUUCGGGGCCUUCAGUGCCAGUGGCUGGACAACUGGCUCUUCUGGCUGAGGAAGCGACUUCAGUAAAUCAGCCCGGCUCUCCCCAUCCGGACGUAGAUGCAGCCGGGGCCUCUUGCACUGAAGCAUUGCCUCCUUCGGCACCCCCAAUGAAAGAAACAGGGGUAGAAAGUCAAGGUUUGCCUCCUUAUGAGCCAAGCCCCCUUGCCUUUGUACUAGUGAAGGAGCCAGCUACAAGGAGGUCUCGUCCGGCGUGUGACUUAAAGUCUAGCCUCAUCAGGCGGCUUCAGGAUCGUUUUUUGGAAGCCAUCGAAGUCAGCUGCUCAUCCGUCCAGGAGGAUCAUUCGGAGGGGAGUGAGACGGAGAUGGCAGAAGAGAACCCAACCGCCCCGGUGUUGGUCCCGGAUGGGGGUUCACCCGGAGAGACCCAGUUGGCCGAGAAUGAUGGGGCCCCGGACCCGAGGGAGGAAUCACUUCCUAAUGCCUCGUCAGGGGGGAGUCCCGUUGAUGAUGCAGCUUGCAUCUCCCCUAGUCCUUUCAGCUAUGCGGAGUUAGGAGAGAUGUUGAAAUGGAUUCCAUCCGGCUCAGAUGUUGCUGUGCCUUCAGCAAAAAUGUUUGAAGCGGCGGAAAUGGUAUAGUUUACUUCUUGAUUUAUCUCGUUAUACUGAUGUGUUUGUCACAUGGGUUGUAAUUUUUGCAUUUCUUGUUUGUGGGUUUUUCUGCAGUUGGUGAGCGGUAUUCGCGACAUGGCUCAACAACGUGAUCUUUUUUCUGACCUGCUGCGGACUGCUGAUUAUAUGAAGGCCUUCGUCUCUCAGCGCAUAAACAGUGAAGAGGAUCUGCGCUUGAGAUUGGAGCAGGCCGAAGCCAGUUUAUCCGCUGCUCGAGAUGACAACGAGGCUCUCCGGAUAGAGUUAGCUAAGGCAAAGAGUCGGGAGGAAUCUACAGACGCCCGCCUGCAUGAGGCGGAGGACGAGAUGGCGCAGCUAAGGGAGGAAGUGAGGCAACUCCAGACAGAGGUGUCUAUUGAGAAAAAGUAGAGAGAGGAUUUGCAGUUGCGUUUAUCAGCGCAAAAAGAAGAGUUGGAGGUUGUGUUUGCUGCGGAAAGGGAGGAACUUGAAGCGGACUACCAGAAGCAGGUAGAUGAAAUGUACUUCUUCGGCUACCGUUGCUGUAUGAAGAAACAUGGUAUCAAGCGGGAUGUCCCUUCGAUUCCCUCGGGUGAAAAGGAGAAGCUACCCGACAAGCCUUCCCAAUGAGAGCUUUUCUUUUUGUAAUUUUUUUACUGCUAUCUUCUCUCUGUAUUUUGUAGUCCGGAGAACUCUUUGUAUACAACUUCACAAGUAUUAAUAAAACAUACUUAUUCAUAUUGUACUUGUAUCUUUCUUUCAUUGGUAAUACUGCUUUAAAUUGGAUACAUUCCAUGGUCUGAGUAAUGGGGUUCCGUCUAGCUUUUGUAGAUGAUAAGUUCCACUUUCACUUGUCUUAGAUACUAUAUAGGGGCCUUCCCAGUUGGCUUGAAACUUUCCUACUCCUAUCUCAGCAGUAUUUUCGAAAACCUUUCUAAGGACCAGCGUACCAUUUUUGAAAUUUCUGGGCCUUACCUUGCGAUUGUAGUGAGCGGAUGCCCUUUGUUGAUAGUCUGCCAUCCGGAUGGAUGCAGUUUCUCUUACUUCGUCUGCCCAGUCCAAGUUUCUUCCUAACUUCGCAUUUGCAUCAUCCUGUCUUCCUGCCUCGGUCCGGAUAGUGGGUAGCCCUAUUUCAGUAGGAAUGAUUGCGUCCAUACCUAUGCGAGGGCGAAGGGAGUGUUUCCUGUCGGACGUCCGGGUGUUGUUUGAUAAGCCCAUAGGACGCCGGGUAGCUCCUCCACCCAUUUUUCUUUGGCUUGCUCGAGCCUCUUCUUUAAGGCAGUGAUUAGAGUCUUGUUUGUGGCCUCUGCUUGCCCAUUACUUUGAGGAUAACGCGGUGUAGAGUAUGAAUUCCAGAUGUUUAGUUCCGAACAGAAAUUCCGGAAAGCGAUGCUAUCAAACUGUGGACCGUUGUCGGCUAUAAUGGUUUGGGGGAUUCCGAAGCGGCAGAUGAUGUUCUUCCACACGAACUUGGUGACAUCUUUGUCUUUGAUGCUAGAGUAUGCUUCAGCUUCCACCCAUUUACUGAAGUAAUUCGUGGCGACGAGCAGGAAUUUAUUUUGAGCGGGUGCGGCUGGUAGGGGUCCUACUAUGUCCAUGCCCCACUUCGCGAAGGACCAGGGGCCUGAAAUUGGCUUCAAUGUCUCCGACGGCACAUGUGGUAUGGGGGCAUGACUUUGGCAUUUGUCACAUUUUUUUACAUAGGCUGCCGCAUCCUUCUUCAUCGUGGGCCAGUAAUAUCCUUGCGAAUGGGCCCUGUGUGCCAGAGAUCGACCUCCAGAAUGAUUUCCACAUACUCCCUCGUGCAAUUCAGCUAAUACAUACAGGGCCUCUGAGUGGUUUAGGCACCGGAGAUAGGGACUUGUGAAGGAUCGCUUAUACAAGUGCCUCCCAAUCAGGGUGAAACGGGCAGCUUGCACCCAGAUCUUGUGUGCCUACUUGGGUUCUUCAAGCAGAGUGCCUGUCCGGAGGUACCUUAUAAUGUCUUUCGUCCACUCUUGGUUGUCUACUUGGUUUGCCUCAAUGGUAUUGCAAGUGGAAGCUUCCGCGACAUAAGGGUUGACUUGCACAUGUAUAGGCAACAAUAUGGCUUCUUUGAUGGGGAGGGAGGUAGCUAUGCUUGCCAAGGCGUCGGCGCGCCCAUUUUCAGUUCGUUUUAUUUUUUUGAUCGUCUAUUCGGUGAACUGCUGUAAGGUGUCUCUUACUUUAGCCAGAUAUCGCGUCAUGCGCGCGUCCUUAGCUUCGUAUUCUUUCUGAACGUGCCUUACCACGAGUUGGGAGUCACUAUAGACCCGAAGCUUGGAGACGGAUAGAGCUAGGGCGAGGUCCAAUCCGGAUAGGAUGGCCUCAUAUUCCGCUUCAUUGUUAGAGGCGGUGAACCCCAGCCGAAUGGCUUGCUCCAGAUGUUCUCCUGUUGGUGAUUGUAGUAGGAGCCCUAUUCCGGAUCCUGAUGAUCGUGAGACUCCAUCGACCCGCAAAGUCCACCACUCUUUUUCACUUGGUUCCUUGUGCUGGAUAGGCCUUCGGGAGUAUUCCAGCACGAAGUCAGCCAUAACUUGGCCUUUCAUGGAUAACCUGGGUUGGAACUCGAUUCCAUAUUCGCUUAACUCUAUAGCCCAUUGAAGCAUUCUUCCGGUUAGGUCCGGCUUGUGCAGAAUGUUGCGAAGGGGUUGGUCAGUUAGCACGACCACCGGGUGGGCUUGGAAGUAAGGGCGGAGCUUUUGGGCGGCACUUCGAAAAGUUAAAGCCGUUAGCUCCAUCUUUGAAUACCUGGUUUCUAGGUCUGCCAAUACUCUACUGACGUAGUAGAUAGGUUUCUGCUCCUUGGGCGAUGGGCAACGGAAUAGAACAGCGCUAAUUGCUCACUCUGAUACAGCCAGAUACAUAUACAGUUUUUCUUCAGGGAGGGGACUGCUCAGGAUGGGCGGUUGCAUGAGACAGUGUUUAAUUUUUUCAAGAGCGCUUUGACAGUUGUCCUUCCAUCCGUUUGCUCCAGCUUUUCGUAUUGCCAAGAAGAAGGGUCGCAGUUCGUCAGUGAAGCAGGCUAUAAAACGUCCUAGCACGACGAGUUUGCCUGUGAGGCGCUGUAAUUCCUUUUUGCCCCUGGGGGGUGGUGUUUCCAUGACUACCUUGACUUGAUCCGAGCUAACCUCUAUCCCCCUUUGGCUGACCAUAAAUCCUAGGAAUUUGCCAGCACUUACGCCAAAGGCGCAUUUGGAAGGAUUCAGCUUCAUACCAUACUUCCUUAAGAGUUGGAAGAUUUCUUGCAAGUGGAGGACAUGUUCCUCUCGGGUUUUGCUUUUAACCACGAUGUCGUCAAUAUAUACCUCUACUGUGCGGCCGACCAGAGGUUUGAAGAUUUUCGUCAUCAGUCUCUGAUAAGUGGCGCCAGCUUUUUUGAGUCCGAAUGGCAUGACUUUGUAGCAAUAAAAAUCGUGUGGCGUUAUGAAGGCUGUUUUUUCUUCGUCAGCCGGGGACAUGGGGAUUUGGUGGUAUCCGGAGAAGGCGUCCAAGAAUAAGAGCAUCCCUUGCCCAACAGUGGAAUCCACAAUUUGAUCUAUCCGUGGCAAAGGAAAACUGUCUUUUGCGCAUGCAUUAUUGAGGUUGGUGUAAUCGACGCACACCCGCCAUUUGCCUUCUUUUUUUGGUACCACCACUACAUUUUCCUACCAGUCCGGGUAAUCCACUUCUCUGAUGAAUCCGGCUUCUAGCAAUUUGUCAAUCUCAUUUCGAAUAAUUUUUUGUCUGUCCUGGUGAAAACGUCUAACCCUCUGCCGGAUGGGUCUUGCUGUUGGCAAGACGUUAAGCCUAUGAGAGGUAAUGGAGGGAUGAAUUCCCUUCAUAUCAGAAUGUGCCCAUGUGAAGACGUCAUGAUUUUGUCUGAGGGCGUUCUGCAUGUUCCGGGUCUCUUCUAGUGUCAGGAGGGAACUGAUAUUCGUAAGGUGAGUACCUUCUUCCGAAAUUUGGAUCGCUUGCAAAGGAUCCGCUGCCGGGAGAUCUUUGUCCGCCGGACUCAAUAAUUGUUAUUGGUCACGUGCAUGGCUGGACUCAGGGAGGGAUGCAUCCUUCUGGCUGGUCCCUACUUCACGUGCUAUCUGGUAGCAUUGGCGAGCGGCUAACUGGCUGCCGUAUAGGUCAAUUUGCCCAUCCUUGGUAAGAAAGCUUACCAUUUGAUGAUACGUAGAGGGGAUGACUUUCAUGUAGUGCAGCCAUGUGCGCCCCAAGAUGACAUUGAAGGGUGAUAAAUCUUGUACCACCGAAAAUUGUACGUUGAGAGUGACUGGGCCAGCUUGGACCGGCAGUACAAUGUCUCCCAAGGAAGUAGUUGACGACCCGUUGAAUCCGGACAAGAUUCGCCCAGGGUUUUCGAGGCCUGUGAGACUGUGUCCCAUGUGGCUAAUGACCGAUGCUUGUACAAGAUCAGCCGAGCUACCCGGGUCAACCAGGAUGCGCCUCACGUCAAAGUCUCCUAUCUCUAGGGACAGGAUGAGGGCGUUGUGGUGCGAAUGCAAUAUCCGGGUGGGGUCUACUGGUGGAAAAAUGAUUGUCCCAUCUAUGGGGCGAGGGCCCCCCUCAAUUACUCCAGGCCGGAUGGAGUUGACACGUUCACGCACCGAUGCUGCCCGCAACAACUUUUGUCUCUUUCGUUUGGAGUCGUACUCCUCGUCAGAUGGACCUCCAUUAUUAUAGUUUAUAACCGCUUUGGGGGCGGCUGGGGCCCUGGGGGCUCCAAAGUUGUGAUUUCGGGAAGCGUCUCUACCUUCGGCAUCUGAGCGGAGGUAUUGCUUUAAAUGUCCUGCCCUUAUGAGCCUUUCAUGGAAGGCACAUUUUUUACUAUGAUCUCUUUUGGAUGGAUUCGUUCCGAGGGGUCUAGGCCACCUGAAGUCGGACAUGUCUUAGAUCAUAGGGAGAAGCUUCUCAUAUGAUAUGGAAAGGGGUGUGAGGGGCGGCAUUUUCGGGUGACUUGGCCCUUUCUGCCUUCGAUCGGACGGCCUUGGCCUGUCCGGAAGUUUGGUACUUCUUUCCGCACCCCUUCUGGAUGUCUGUCCGGCAACCAAGACUUGCUGGGUGGCUACACGCACGUCAUCUUCGAGCAUUGAGUAUUUGCUCGCACGCCGGAACAAGUCGUCCAUCGUCGUAGGAGGCUUUUUAGCGAGUGAUUCAAAAAAUGGGGUGCCUGAACAGAUGCUUCGUUUGAAGAUUUGUAGGACAGCAUCCAUGCUGUAAGCCUCUACCUAUAGUACGACCUGACCAAACCGCUUCACGAACUCCCUUAAGGAUUCGUUAUCCUGCAUUUUUAUGUUUUGCAGAGUGCUGAUGUUCUGCUUAUGUCGAGCGAAGCAUAAGUAUUGCCCCACGAAGGCUUCCGAUAGGUCUCUGAAAUUAUCAACAGAGUUAGGAGGUAGGCAGUGAAACCAUGAGAGGGCCUGCCCUUGUAGGCUGGCGGGGAAUACUUUGCAUAGCAGUGCGUCGUUGCCUAUAUCGAGAGUCAUGAGCUGUCGAUAAUGCAUGAUAUGGUCGAAGGGGUCACUGGACCCAUCGUAUGUGGAGAAUUUGGGCACAAGGAAUCCCCUUGGGGGCUCGUAAUGAAUGAUAUGAGAGCAGAAAGGCAUGGAGAGCAUGUCGUCCAGCCUUUUGGUGAUGGAGCCAAUGGGUGGCUCAUUUGGGAGGUUUCUCCCAGCUUGUUGUACCGCUAGGUGCGGUUGAACGUUCUGCACCAUAGGGGUGACCAUGGGGUCACGGUGUGGACGAACAUUCUGCACCAUAGGGGUGACCAUAGGGUCAGGGUGCGCUCCCCAAGUUGUGGCUACUGGCGGCCUUGGCCUCCUAGGCUCCUGUGGGCCUAGCCUCGCGCGCAUCGAGUUUGACAACUGGGGCCUUUUAUCGCGUUGUCUUUUUGCUGAAAAAUGAGCAGAGUCUGAGCUUUCCUCAUGUGGAGCUCGGUGCAUGGGAGUGUGUGGCUCAUGCGGCCUAACGUUGCAUGUUUCUGGGAUGGCUCCUGCUGUCCCAAGGUAUAUUGACUCUGGUUCUGGCCUUGAGUUUGCUACCUGGCCUCUUGAACGUUGACGACGGGGAGGCCCCAUCAAUGAAGCCUGGAUGCAUAGCACCACGUUUUCUUCUCUUAACCUUUCUGUCUCCUAGAGGAGAGUUUGCAGUUGUCGUUAGCUUGUCAAUUGUCUUCUUUUGAUGGCUUGGCGCCAUUCAGAAUUAUCUUCCUCUCCCCUACCAAAUGAACGGCUUCGGGAAGGUGUGGCCAUCUUUGCCGGUGACUGAAUCAGCGAGAUUCCCACAAACGGCACCAAUGUUGAGGCCUCGCGUCCCUGGUGAUCCAUGUAGUUGCCAAAUGGAUGGACGCACGAUCUCAACCAAUAUAGAUUCCUGGUUCAGUCGUUCCUACAAAAGGCGUCCGGACAGGGUGUCCGGACAUACCCUCCGAUGGUUUUGUCAGCCAUGGUUAGAGAGAAUAAUCAGUUGGUCUUUUACUAGGUAUAGCAAGCUUACCUUCCUCUUUGUGUGAAGGUCCAUAUAUAUAGCGUUUAGGAGCUUUGUUUCUCUCUUUAAUGGUAGGGAGAUAUUUUGGCUUGUCAUAAUGCCUCUAGGUGGUGACAGGGCCAUCAUCACCCUACAGGCGGCUGACAGAGAUCGUGGGAGGCGCCGCAGCUGUCAGAGAUCGUAGGAAGUGACUUGUCAUCAUUCCUGUCCUUUCACUCUGCAGGUGGUGAAACAUGGGCCGUGGUAGGCUGUCGAAAUGACAUAGUAAGACUUGCUUACUUUAGUCAACGAUCCGGUCAAACAUAUCCGGAUAGGAUAUGUGGGUCGUCCGGAUGUGAUGUUUGUGAGUGUCGUGUGCUUCUCCCUAAGGGAGUCCGGAUAGGGAAAGCGCGCCAUGUGUCUCCUUGGGGGAAAUCCAGAUGGAGCUAAUCCGGAUAGAAAUGCGUGCCACGUGUCAUCAGGGGGAGGGGUCCCUACAAGUUGGAUAUUCAGAAGUCCAACAAUCAUAGGAUUUGACAACGAGUGAAUAUGUUGGAUACAAUUCCUCAUGUCUAUUGUAACAAUUUCUUUGUUUGUGAAUGGCUCUUUUUUGUUUCUUUCAAAGUCCAAGCGGGUUGAGACAAUGCACCCUCUUAUCUCCUUUGUUUGUUCUAGUUAUGAAGACUUUUAACUGUUUUGUUACCAAGGUGACAAGAGGGGCUUCUUUUAUGACUUUAAAGUAAGGGAAGAUGAAGAAAAGGGUCGGAAGUCUCCCAUUUACUCUUUGCAUUAUGAUAAAUUGCUUUUUUGUGAUUGAUCACGGGCUCAGUUUUGAUGUGAAGUCAUCUCAAAAUUGAGAAUAAGCUCGAAGAAAAGUGAAAAGUCCCCAAUAUUGAAGAAUUAACCUCUUUGUUGGGUUCCAAGGUGGUCAAGUUACCCUUCUCUUUUUUUUUUUUUUUUUUUUUUUUUUUGAGAUAAUCGAAGAACCUUCUAAACCCUUAGGACUCUCCAUAAAGACCCAAACCUUGGGCCUUCCCUAACAAUCGACACUGGGUGAAUCAAAGUAUCAUCAAUAGCAAGAUUUAAAAUCAAGAUCAUGUGCCUCUUAUUAGAACCACAUGCAUCUCCCAUCAUUCGCCCUAACCAACUGGGCUACCCGACAGGCAUACCUUCCUUCUUAGUCUUCCUAGGUUUUCCCUUCAAAGUCUUCUACUAUGUCAAAUGUUCUGAAGGAGAGGCUACUUAAAAGGUUAGCCUCAUGGAAGUGUUAGUAUUUGUCUACAAGUGAAGAUUAACCCUUUUGAAAAGCAUUUUAUCCAAUGUGUCCAUUUACUAUUUGUUAUCCCAAAAAGAGUUCAUAUGAGGUUAAAAAUGAUUAAGAAAGAGUGUUGGUGGCCAGUAAGUUUUUUAAAGAAGAAACCUCAUUUAGUCAACUCAUAUACAAUGUAUUUAGAUGAUAAAAUAAAAAUUAAAUUAAAUUAAAAAUGGAGGCAUUGAAAUAAUCAUUUUGUUCACAAAUAUAUAAUUUAUAUUAUUAAAAUUCACAAUAAUUAUAAAAAGGAAAAUAAUUAAAAAUAACCAAAAAUAUCUUUUUUUGAGUGAAGACACUUUUAACUUUUCUAACUAUUUUCUAACUUUCAUAUGUCAAUAAUAAAUAAUAAAUAAAUAAUUAUUUUUUACUUUUUAAUUAAAAGAAUUUUAGAAUAUCAAUUUUCAGACCUAGGGCAUGUGCAAAACUAUAUUGUUUAUGGUCAAAAUGACAAUUGAUGAGGAUGGUACAACCCAUCCACUCCAAUUUUUAAAACCAUGUUUUUAAGCAAGGCUCCAUUAGGUAAGUAGAGUUGCAGAUUUGCCAUAUAUAGGGAUAAUAUAGAACAAUUUUUGCUCACAAAAGUAGACAUCCUACAUUAGUAAGACCUUUGUAUGCCAGUACCUAGCAUUUAUAAUGCAUAACAAGAACUACAAAACACUUCUUCCUGAGGUUGUUCAAAUUUACACUUCCAUUAAAUGGACUCCUCAAAAUGGGCUACAUCAGACGGGACAUCUAAUGAAUAAUGUAUGGGGGAAUAAGGUAUGACUAAGGUUUUACAUUUAGUACCAAAUCAACAUAUGUUUAUAUAGGGAUGAUUUUGAUGCAAAUCAAAUUAAGCUUUUACAUUUAGUACCAUCAUCCAAGAUUAAUUCACCAUGGCUCUAAAUGGUCAUGCAUGUUUUGUUUCCCCAUAUUUUUAUUAUCGCCCAUGGAAGAAACUACAUGGGUCAUUUAGAGGGGCCCAUCACAAUAACAUAUAGCCCAAUAAAAUUAAUGAAGUCUUAGAAACUGAUUCUAUAAUCCAUGCAUGCAACAAGCUGAGAAAAUAAUCUUUCAAGUUAAGAUUGGAUAGUUGAGCCCCCUUAGAAACUGUACCACACUUCAAAUCUCAUUUUCCCUUAUUUACGUAUUGGCAUACACUGCCCUUUAUCUGCUCACAAAGAAUUAGAGCUUACCAAGAAAAAGUUCUCGUUCAACUCAAACAAUGUAGAGGGUUGUAAAAUAGUUCAAGGAGAGGAAGAGUGGCUGAGUAAGUUAGAACAGAAGGACAAAGCUACUCUAAAUGCCUUUUUGCCCCGUUUCAAAGCAACAUAAGAAUAAGGGGCUUUCAAAGCAACAUAAGAAUAAGGAGCUUAAGAAUGAUUUCCAGUCUUCUAUUUUCAUGUCUAUUUGAUAGUUGGAAUGUGUAUUGUUCAUUUGUGGGUUGAUUCUCUCUCCACCAUUGAAAUUCCCAUGCAGGGACAAAACAAAGGAAAUGUAUGAUGUUAUGAGAUGUUUAUGAAAAGUGUCUUGUAAUUGCAUUAUGUGUAAUAAAGUACUAAGUCUAUAUAGGGUUGUUUAAAAUUGUUGUGAUCUAAGUAUCAUUUUGAUAUGAUUUUAAUUUUUAAAAGUAGAAAAUGAUAUUAAUUCCUAUAUUGAUUUUAAAAUGUUAAAUAUUUGAAAACUUUUACAUGGUAAUUCUAAAUAUUGGUAAAAUCAUACUAUUAAUAUUUUGUACAUUUUUAAUAUUUUCAUCCUUAAUUGAAAAUAUUUUCCAAAGCAACAUAAGAAUAAGGAGCUAAGGAAUGAUUUCCAGCCUUCCAUUUUCAUGCCUAUUUGAUGCUUGGAAUGUGUAUUCUUCAUUUUUGGUUAAUUGCUUUUACGUUUACAGGAAGAAGGGCCCAAACUCCCUUUGUUGCUCCUCUAUCCAUCCUUGUAAUCCCCACGCAUGGACAAAACGAAGGAGAUGCAUGGCUUUAUAUGCAUGACAAGUGUCUUGUAAUUGUGCAUGUGGAAUAGAGUUUGAGUCAAUUGGUCGUUAUUUCAAACUAUUAUGUUGUAAGAAUAAGUUGGAUAUGAUUUUUAGUUUAAAAAAUAGAAAAUAAUGUUUCAAUUUGAAAUGUCUUUAAUGAAAGUGUUUUUAAAAGAAUUACCUAUAAAUGUUUCUGCAAAAAACACUACAACCAAUUUUUUAAUACUAUAAAGUAAUUUCUUUUAAAAUUUAAAAGUAUUUCUUAAAUUUUAUUAAACACCUAAUAUUUUUUUUAAAAACACUUUUUUAGGUUGACAAUGUUUUUCAAAAAGCACUGUCAAAUAGACUCAAACUCUUAUAUUGAUUUUAAAAAUUAUUUCAAAAUUUUAAAAAUUCAAAGGUAAAUUUAAAAAACAUAAUGUAAGUAUGAGUUACUAUAUUUUAUAUGAAAGUGGCUAUUAAUUUCUAUCUCUAAAAAUAAAAAUAAGAAAUGAAUUCAAAUUAUUAGUACUUAAUAAUUAACUAAUUAAUUAGUGUUUGAAUACAAAUAUAUAUACAAUAAAUUAAUAAGUUUCUUAUAUGUUUGGAAAAAAGCAUCUAUAUAGAGUGUUAUUUAUUACAAAUGUAUGAUAAAUUAAUAAGAUUCUCACUUAAGUUGCAUUUUAUUUGAAUUUCAGAGAAAUAAUAGUUGUAAAAUUAGAAGGAAAUAGGGUUGAUAUUGUCAAAUGAUGAUGAAACAUAAUUCAGAAAUUAAAACAGGAAGAAAAAAAAUUAAAUAAUUGUAUAUUCUAUAUUAUAGUGGAGGCAUCAAAUAUUUGUCUAUUAUCAUUAUUAUUAUUCUUUUUAUCAUUUCCACCUAAUUUAUUCAUCGAAUACACAAGAGUUGAGUCACAUAAUCCAUAUUGACCAAAUAAAUAAUAGGACAAAGUCCAACUCUCUCCUCUUAACAUGAUAUAUAUACCUUUUUUUAAUUAAAUGAUAAAGCUAUAUAUAAUUCUAAAAAGAUUCUUUGCAACAAUAUCUUGUAUUUUUGCAUGUGGUCAAAUAAUCAUCCUCAUUAUUAUUAUUAUUUUAAUACCACAACUACUCUACCUAAUAACAAAUGGUUGCCAAUUUUCCUGAUAAAUUAAGUUUUGAAAAGAAUCAUUUCAACUACGUACUCUACCAAAUCAUCAACAAUAAGAAAUGGUUGCAAGUUAUUUUCCCAAUAAAUUAAGUCUUGAAUUCUCCCAACAAAUGAAGUUUUGAAAAGAAUCCUUUAGUUGUAUGGUACUUUACUAUCUUUAUAUGUAAGUAUAUUUGUUCUCAUAUGUAUAAGGAUUUUUUUAUUUAUUUAAAAGAAUCACUUCAAUAUGUGUAUUAUUAAUUAGUUUAUUAUUUUUUAGAAUUUUGUCUAACAUUUUUGUAAUUUUUUAAUCAACUUUUAUCCCAUAAUUUUUUUUUCAAAUUUUUGUAUAAUAUUUGUAAUAAUUUUAUAAAAUUUGAAUAUUGAUAUUUUGUAAAUUUUUUACAUGUUCAUCCAAAAUAUUUUAAAAUUAUAUGUCUUUAAAAUAUAUUAAAAGUUAAAGCAUGCAACCGAAGGUAAGAAAUAUUUGAAAAUUAAGGUCAAUUAUGGUGCCUAUAAUAUUUUAGUCACAAAUCCUUCUAUAAAAAACUUCCGUAGAUCAUAUUAAAAAUAAAAUAGAAAGGAAGUGUUAGGAAGAUGCGAAGAUGUAUGAUAAAUGAAUAAGACUAAGUAGUAUUUUAACUGAACAACUAAGACAACGACGAUAAAAAUAAGAAGGAAAAACAAACUUGUACUACGUCUUGGUAACACCGGAGAAACAUGAUUUAAAAAAUAAAAUUAAAAAAAUUUGAUAACUUACCAUCAACUUUGAUCAUUCCCAUGCUAUUUAUCAUAAUUUAUUUAUUAAAUAUACAAGAGCGGAGUAAUCGAAACCAUAUUGUCUAAAUUAUUGAAUUAAGUGAAGUCUCUCUUAUCUUCUAUCAUCGUCUACUUACAUAAAGCUUAUAACAGUAAAAAAUGAAUUUGAUGGCAUCUUUUCUUCUUUUAUAUGGCCAACUUCUCUAACUAUUAUUUUAAUUCCACAACUUCUCUAACUUAUCAUAAAUGACAAUUAUCGUUUCUAUCAAUGUUUGUUAUUUCCACUUAGUUUAUUCAUUGAUUCAUUGAAUAUACAAGGGCUGAGUCACACAAUCCAUUCAGGUCAAAUAAUUGAAUGAAGUCACUCUCCCUUAUGCCUUUUCAUGAUAUACUUAUUUAUUAGAUGAAACAAUUGUAAUAAUAAAAUAAGAAUUUUGUAAUAACAUCUUGUCUUCUUUCAUAUGGCCAAAUAGUCCUUGUUAAUAUUAUUUUAAUCUCACAAUUUCUCUAACUAAACAUAAAUAAAUAAGAAUUGAUUGCAAGCUAUUUUGUAAAUAAAUUAGAGUUGGAAAUGAAUUAAUCAUUUAGUUAAUGUAUGGUAGUUGCAUAACUAAUCUUAUUAGUUACAACAAUGCAUGGAGAGCAACAAUAAUGUAAUAUAAAAUAAAUAAAUGCAAUUAACAUUAUUUUCUUGAAACCCAAAUAGUUUAACUCUUUUAUGAUUUUUUUUUUACCUCAAGCUAAUUAUUCUAGAAUAUGUAGUGCACUAAGUUGAAAUCAGUAACUCCGACUUCAAGUCAUAUUAAAAAAAAAAAAUUAGGAAUUUGAAAACUAUUAAGAAUGGAUGUAUUAGUAAUUAGCUUUUAUAUCCAAACCUUAUGAUAUGUCUAAGAAAAAUUGAUAUCUAAAUUGAAGACUUCAUAUCAUAAAUUCCUUUUUAAGCUAAACAAUUUAAUGGUAUAUUUGCAAUUUUUAGAAAAUCCAAAUCAAGAUGUUAGGAUCAAAUGUGAAUUAUCAUUAAAUUAGUUGGUAAUUGAUACCAUAAAAAUGAAAUAAAAACUGUUAAUUAAUCAAGUUAUUUAAUUAAGUUGCCAAUUUUAUUCAAAACAUUAUUGAAUUCACUUCACAUGCUUUCUUGGUUUUAUAUAUAUAUAUAUAUAUAUAUAUAUAUAUAUAUAUAUAUAUAUAUAUAUAUAUAUAUAUAUUUUAGAAGUCGCCUUGAAAAUAGAUGAUUUCUCCAUAUAUAUGUAUUUUUUAAUCAAUGAAGAAAUUGUUUCUCUAAUUAAUUUUUCUUAAGAAAUCAUAUCUUAAAGAGAUGAUUUUUUUCUCUAAUUUUUUUGAAAAGAGAUUUUAUAAAUCACCUUUUGAAAAGAUAAUUUUUUUUAUUAUUAUCUUUUUAAAAUGAAAUAAAUCAUCUUUUUAAAGAGACGGUCUAAAAAAGAAAUAAUUUUUUUUUAUUUAACAAAAAUUACAAUAAAUUUAAAAUUAUUUUUAUCACUAUAAUAUUUUAGGAAUGGUCUUUUUAAACUAUUGUACUAAAAAAUCUUUGCUUACCCGGGGGUAGUGGGCAAUAAAGAAAUGAAAAGAAGUUGGCAGGGGGGCGUCANNNNNNNNNNNNNNNNNNNNNNNNNNNNNNNNNNNNNNNNNNNNNNNNNNNNNNNNNNNNNNNNNNNNNNNNNNNNNNNNNNNNNNNNNNNNNNNNNNNNGAAUGGAUGUAUUAGUAAUUAGCUUUUAUAUCCACACCCUUAUGAUAUGUCUAAGAAAAAUUGAUAUCUAUAUUGAAGACUUCAUAUUCCAUAAAUCCCUUUUUAAGCUAAACCAAUUUAAAUGGGUAUAUUUGCCAAUUUUAGAAAAAUCCCAAAAUCCAGGAUGGUUAGGGAUCAAAUGGUGAAUUAUCAUUAAAUUAGUGGGGUAAUUGAUACCAUAAAAAAUGAAAUAAAAACUGUUAAUUUAAUCAAGUUAUUUAAAUUAAGUUGCCCAAUUUUAUUCAAAAACAUUAUUGAAUUCACUUCACAUGCUUUCUUGGUUUUAUAUAUAUAUAUAUAUAUAUAUAUAUAUAUAUAUAUAUAUAUAUAUAUAUAUAUAUAUAUAUUUUAGAAGUCGCCUUGAAAAUAGAUGAUUUCUCCAUAUAUAUGUAUUUUUUAAUCAAUGAAGAAAUUGUUUCUCUAAUUAAUUUUUCUUAAGAAAUCAUAUCUUAAAGAGAUGAUUUUUUUCUCUAAUUUUUUUGAAAAGAGAUUUUAUAAAUCACCUUUUGAAAAGAUAAUUUUUUUUAUUAUUAUCUUUUUAAAAUGAAAUAAAUCAUCUUUUUAAAGAGACGGUCUAAAAAAGAAAUAAUUUUUUUUUAUUUAACAAAAAUUACAAUAAAUUUAAAAUUAUUUUUAUCACUAUAAUAUUUUAGGAAUGGUCUUUUUAAACUAUUGUACUAAAAAAUCUUUGCUUACCCGGGGGUAGUGGGCAAUAAAGAAGUGAAUAGAGGUGGCAGUGGGGCGUCAUCCAGCUGGACCCUCAAAUGCAAAAUAAAGAAGUGAAUAGACGUGGUGGGUUGGCUGUCAUCCAGCUGGACUCUCAAAUGCAAAAAUGGAGAUUCAUUUAUCCCAACAUGAAGCACCGUCUUCAACGAGAUGUUGAAGCCAAUACCUAUAUCUUCUUCUAAACCAACUCCUCUCUUCUGCUUGAUUCAUCAUCCCAAAGCUCUCCACACUCAUCAUUUCCCUCAAAACUACCUAGUUCUUAAUCCUCGUUGACAAAACCAUGGGCAACAUUUGCUCGAUUUCACUCCCUGCUGACCGCAUUGUCUCUAGCUUCUGGGAUGGCACUACUGAGCAUGCAAAUUACCUGCGCAAACUCCCUGAAAAUCUGGUAGAAUUGGGAACCGCUUGUGAAAGAUUGAGGGAGUUAAGGAACGAUGUGAAGAGGAUGGUGGAUAUUGCUGAGAGGGAACAAAUGCAGCCGCUGGACCAAGUACAAGGGUGGCUUUCAAGGGUUGAAACACUGGAAACUCAAGUCACUCAACUGAUUGGAGAUGGCACCGAGGAGGUUGAGAAGAAAUGUCUGGGUGGUUGCUGUCCUAGGCGUUGCAGGACCAGAUACAAGUUGGGGAAGAGAGUAGCUAGAAAGUUGAAAGAAGUUGACAUUCUAAUGAGCCAAAGACCUUCGGAUGUGAUGGCUGAGAGGUUACCUUCACCUCGCCUAAGUGAAAGGCCUAGUCAAGCAACUGUCGGCAUGAAUUCCAGAAUUGGUAAGGUUUGGAGUAGCCUUCAUCAAGAACAAGUGGGAAUUAUCGGCCUAUAUGGAUUAGGAGGAGUUGGGAAAACCACCCUUUUAACCCAAAUCAAUAAUGCUUUUACUAAAAGAACCCAUGAUUUUGAUUUUGUGAUCUGGGCUACAGUUUCCAAAAAUGUAAACCUUGAAAACAUUCAGGACGACAUCUGGAAGAAGAUAGGGUUUUGUGAUGAUAAAUGGAAAAACAAAAGUCGAGAUGAGAAAGCUACGAGCAUAUGGAGAGUCCUGAGCGAAAAGAGGUUUGUGCUGUUGCUAGAUGAUUUAUGGGAGCGGUUGGAUUUAUCAGACGUCGGGGUCCCAUUCCAAAAUAAGAAAAAUAAGAUAGUAUUCACCACUCGAUCAGAAGAGGUGUGCGCUCAAAUGGAAGCUGAUAAGAAGAUCAAAGUGGAAUGCCUAACAUGGACAGAAUCCUGGGAAUUGUUUCGAAUGAAGCUUGGAGAAGACACUCUCGAUUUCCAUCCUGAGAUACCAGAGCUCGCUCAAGCCGUCGCACAAGAGUGUUGCGGUUUGCCACUUGUGCUAACUACCAUGGGCAGGGCCAUGGCUUGUAAGAAGACACCGGAGGAAUGGAAGUAUGCAAUAAAAGUGUUACGAAGCUCUGCCUCAAAAUUUCCAGGUAUGGGGGACAGAGUGUUUCCUCUUUUAAAAUACAGUUAUGAUUGCUUACCCACCGAAGUUUCCAGAUCUUGCUUCUUGUAUUGUUCUCUAUAUCCGGAAGAUUAUCAAAUGCCAAAAUUAAGUUUGAUAAACCGUUGGAUUUGUGAAGGCUUUUUAGAUGAAUUUGAUGACAUGGAGGGAGCAAAAAACCAGGGUUACAACAUUAUUGGCACUCUGAUUCAUGCAUGUCUAUUAGAAGAAGGUGAUGUUGAUUAUAAAGUAAAACUGCAUGAUGUAAUCCGUGAUAUGGCAUUGUGGAUAGGUUGUGAAACUGGGAAGGAGCAGGACAAGUUCUUGGUGAAGGCCGGCAGUACGUUAACUGAAGCUCCUGAAGUUGCUGAAUGGAUGGGGCCAAAAAGGAUUUCACUGAUGGAUAACCAAAUUGAGGAACUAACAGGGUCUCCUAAGUGCCCCAAUCUCUCAACUUUGUUUCUUGCGGAUAAUAGUUUGAAGAUGAUCUCUGAUACUUUCUUCCAGUUUAUGCCAAGUCUAAGAGUUUUAGACUUGUCAAAAAAUAGCAUAACUGAAUUACCCAGGGGAAUCUCUAAUUUGGUUUCAUUACAGUAUCUCAACCUAUCACAAACUAACAUAAAAGAGUUGCCAAUUGAGUUGAAGAACCUGGAUAAAUUGAAAUGCUUGGUGUUGGUUGACAUGCCUCAACUUUCUUCAAUUCCAGAGCAGUUAAUAUCAAGUCUUUCAAUGUUGCAAGUUAUUGAUAUGUUCAACUCUGGAAUUUCUGAAAGAACAGUACUCAAAGAUGGUAUUUUGUCUGAUGAUAAUGAAGCCUUGGUUCAGGAAUUGGAGUCCUUAAAGUACUUGCAUGGUUUAGGCGUCAGUGUAAAAAGUGCCUCUGCUUUCAAAAGGCUUCUAAGCUCUUACAAGCUAAGAAUCUGCAUUUCCGGUCUAUGCCUCAAGAAUUUCAAUGGUUCAAGCUCUCUCAAUUUAACAUCUCUCAGCAAUGCAAAGUGUCUUUCUAGCCUCUAUAUCUCAAAAUGUGGCUCGUUGGAAGAUUUGGAGAUAGAUUGGGCUGGGGAAGGAAAGGAAACAGUGGAAUCUAAUUACCUUAACUCAAAGGUCAGUUCCCACAACAGUUUCCACAGCCUUGUGUGGCUAGGAAUCGAAAGGUGUUCGAGAUUGAAGGAUCUAACAUGGCUUGUUUUUGUUCCUAACCUUAAAGUGCUUACAAUAAUUGAUUGUGAUCAAAUGCAAGAAGUAAUAGGUACCGGUAAAUGUGGUGAAUCUGCAGAGAAUGGAGAAAACCUGAGUCCAUUUGUCAAACUCCAAGUACUUGAGUUAGAUGAUCUACCACAAUUGAAGAGCAUAUUUUGGAAAGCCCUGCCAUUUAUCUACUUAAAUACAAUCCAUGUACGUAAUUGUCCACUUCUAAAGAAGCUGCCACUCAGCGCCAACAGUGCCAAGGGAAAUCGAAUUGUCAUUGCAGGACACAACAAGUGGUGGAAUGAAGUAGAGUGGGAGGAUGAGGCUACCCAAAAUGUUUUUCUUCCAUGUUUCGUACCUGUUAGAGAAUAAGGGGCUGCAGCAAUCUCAGAGAGGCUACGAUGCGAUUCUAGGUGAGACCCUUUUCACAAUUAACUAUCAUUUGAUCCUGAAUAGGUAUUGGUCCAAAUAAAGCAUUCAAUUAUAGCAUCUUUUCAUGGUUGGUCCAAAUAUGUUGUUUCUCUUUGAAUUGCAAUAUUACAUUUUUUGUAUUCUAGGGAUUGUGAGAUGCAUUUUAUGAUUUGCGUAAACAAAAUUGAGUUCGAUGGCUUUCCUUAAUUGCUCUACUUCAAAUGAAGAGCAUGUACAUGAUAUCUUUGAUGGGAAACAAUCUAAUGUACAUAAUUUCAAAAAUAUAAUCAUAUUUUCAAAUAGAAAAGAUAGUUGAGUCAGGGUACUCCUAGAUCAACUAGCAAUUGUAUCUUUGUUCUUGGAGAAGCAAGCAUUCUUGAGAGAAAAAAAAUCAAGUCCCACUUCGUACAAAAAUUUUAGGGGAGAACUUGCCCAAGUCAUGGGUAGACCAUAAUUGAGACACCUUAGCUAAGGGUCCCAUUUGGUUCCCUAUCCGUGUAUAUCAAAUACACCUUUUCAUAUUGUAAUGGGAAUUGGAGUGUGGGAUUUAUACAACAUUAAAGCAUGUAUUCCUUAAUUUUGCAGUAAGUUAAAGAGGAUGAAACAUUUUUUAUUUGUUGCAAUUCAAGAGCAUGUACUAAAAUGCUCUCCCCUUGUGUUCAAAAUAGAAGAACUCAUUUAUCUUAUAUCCUAUAAAACUUUUUUCAAAAUUUUGAGAAAGUGAAAAAUUUUCACUUCCUUAAAUUUUUAAAUUUUUUUAAUCAAGUGUUUUCAAGUAUAUAAGUUAUUUACUUGUUUUUGUAUAAUAAUUCUUAUAUUUUAUAUAAGACUUCCUAUUUUAAAAAUAAAAAAUAGAAUAUGUAUCCAACCAUACACUAAGUGAUUCUCUUAACAAAAGUACCAUAAAUAAAAAUACUUUAAUGAGAAUCACUCUCAAACGUGUUCUAAGUUAUAUUUUCUAAUGGACUAGCUUUUCUAUCAAAAAAGUUCUUGAGUAGACAAUAAUUUAUAAUUAAAUGCAAAGCAUUUUUACUCCAUAGUAAUUUUUAUUUACCUUUUUCCAGUUUAAUAUCCAUCUCUCAAUAUCUUGGUAUUUUAAACUAAAGAUAUAAUUUUAUUAGUUGUGUGCAUGACAUUAUCUUAUAUAUCCAUGUAAGGUUUUUUCUAAAAUAAAUAAUUAAAAAUUUCAUUAUUUAAAAAAAUAGAAUCAAUAAUAUCUUAUUUUUAUAUAAUACCAAAAUUAACAAAUUUCUUAGCAUUUUCAUGUUCAUAAAAAAGAAAUAAAUAAGUAAAUGUGUGAAACUAAUAAAAAUAAUUGUUGAUUUAGGGUAAUUAUUUGGAAUAUAAUAAUAUUUAAACAAUGGAGCAUUAACUUAACUUACCUAUAUCAUUUUACCCAACAUAAGUUUUUUAUUAUUAUUUUAACAUACUAUCCAAUCACACUUUUUUUUGUUUAUAUCCAAAUAAUAAUUUCUUCUAUUUUACACUAUUUAAGAUGGGGUUUAGCAAAAAAUGGAUGCUGAUUUUGUUGUAUCAAAGAUUCAACAUUCUUUUGUUAAAGGCCGUUAAAUUUUGGAUGUAAAUUUGAAAGCCAAUGAAGCCAUAGAUUUUAGACUAAAGAGUUUGAGAGGAUGAGUGAUAUGUAAGUUGGAUAUUCAGAAGUCCAACAAUCAUGAGAUUUGGCAACGAGUGAAUAUGUUGGAUACAAUUCCUCAUGUCUAUUGUAACAAUUUCACUGCUUGUGAAUGACUCUCUUUUUGGUUUCUUUCAAAGUCCAAGUGGGUUGAGACAAGGGACCCUCUUAUCUCCUUCUUUGUUUGUUCUAAUUAUGAAGACUUUUAAUUGUUUUGUUACCAAGGUGACAAGAUGGGGCUUCUUUUAUGACUUUAAAGUAAGGGAAGAGGAAGAAAAUGGUAGGAAGUCUCCCAUUUACUCUUUGCAUUAUGAUAAAUUUCUUUUUUUAUUUUUUAAUUAUGGACUCGGUUUUGAUGUGUAGUCAUCUCAAAAUUGAGAAUAAGCUCAAAGAAAAGUGAAAAGUCCCCAAUAUUGAAGAAUUAACCUCUUUGUUAGGUUCUAAGGUGGUUAAGUAGCCCUCCUCCUAUCUUUUUUUUUUUUUUUUGGAUAAUCGAAGAACCUUCUAAAUGCUUAGGACUCUCCAUAGGGACCCAAACCUUUGCCCCCCCUCCCUAACAAUCGGCACUAGGUAAAUCAAAGUAUCAUCAAUAGCAAGAUUCAAAAUCAAGAUCAUAUGCCUCUUACUGGAACUACAUCUCCCAUCAUUCACCCUAACCAACUAGGCUACCUGGCGGGCUAGUUACCUUCCUUCUUAGUCUUCCUAGGUUCUCCCUUCAAAGUCUUCUACUAUGUCAAAUGUUACGAAGGAGAGGCUACUUAAAAGGUUAGCCUCAUGGAAGUGCUAUUUUUGUCUACAAAUGAAGAUUAACCCUUUUGAAAAGCAUUUUAUCCAAUGUGGCCAUUUACUAUUUGUCACUGUUUGUUAUCCCAAAAAGGUUCAUAUGAGGUUAAAAAUGAUUAAGAAAGUGUUGGUGGCAAACAAGUUUUUUAGAGAAAAAACCUUAUUUAGUCAACUCAUAUACAAUGUAUUUAGAUAAUAAAAUUAAAUUAAAAAUGGAAACGUUGAUAUAAUCAUUUUGUUCCCAAAUAUAUAAUUUAUAUUAUUAAAAUUCAAAAUAAUUAUAAAAAGGAAAAUAAUUAAAAAUAACCAAAAAUAUAUUUUUUUAAGUGAAGACACUUUUAACUUUUCUAACUGUUUUCUAACUUUCACAUAUCAAUAAUAAAUAAAUAAAUAUAUAAUUAUUUUUUACUUUUUAAUUAAAAUAAUUUUAGAAUAUUAAUUUUUAGACCCAGGGCAUGUGCAAAACAAUAUUGUUUAUGGUCAAAAUGACAAUUGAAUAGGAUGGUGCAGUCCAUCCACUCCAAUUUUUAAAACCAUGUUUUUAAACAAGGCUCCAUUGAGUAAGUAGAGUUGCAGAUUUGCCAUAUAUAGGGAUAAGCUUCAAAGACAACCAUCUUAGAUAAAUUUUUGGUGAGGAGGGAGGAUGGUAGGACUAUGGAAAGAAAUUAGGAAAUGAUGGAAGGUGUUUCAAACAAGAAGUGGCUUUUGAGCUAUCCUCUUUUUUAUUAUAUACUAACUAAACACAUUAAUUAUUCCACCAGCCCAACUCUGUGUAGGAAUCAAACUUCCCAUAUAGAACAAUUUUAGCUCACAGAAGUAGACAUCCAACAUUAGUAAGACCUUUGUAUGUCAGUACCUAGCAUUUAUAAUGCAGAACAAGAAACUACAAAACACUUCUUCCUGAGGUUGUACAAAUUUACACCUGCAUUAAAUGAACUCCUCCAAAUGGGCUACAUCAGACAUGACACAUUAUGAAUAAGGUAUGAAUAAGGCUUUACACUUAGGACCAAAUCAACAUAUAUUUAUAUUGGGCUGAUUUUGAUGCAAAUCAAAUAAAACUUUUACAUUUAGUACCAUCGUCCAACAUUAAUUCACCAUGGUCCUAGAUGGUCAUGCAUGUUUUGUUUCCCAUAUUUUUAUUAGUCGUCCAUGGAAGAACCUACAUGGGUCAUUUAGAGGGGCCCAUCACAAUAACACAGCCCAAUAAAAUUAAUGAAGUCUUAGAAACUGAUUCUAUGAUCCAUGCAUGCAACAAGCUGAGAAAAUAAUCUUUCAAGUUAAGAUUGGACAGUUGAGCUCCCUUAGAAACUCUACCACAUUUCAAAUCUCAUUUUCCCUCAUUUAUGUAUUGGCAUACACUGCCCUUUAUCUGCUCACAAAGAAUUAGAGCUUACCAAGAAAAAGUUCCCGUUCAACUCAAACAGUGUAGAGGAUUGUGAAGUAGUUCAAGGAGAGGAAGAGUGGCUGAGUGAGUUAGAACGGGAGGACAAAGCUACUCUAAAUUCCUUUUUGCCCCGUUUCAAAGCAACAUAAGAAUAAGGAGCUUAAGAAUGAUGUACAGUCUUCUAUUUUCAUGUCUAUUUGAUACUUGGAAUGUGUAUUGUUCAUUUGUGGGUUGAUUCUCUCCCCACCCUUGCAAUCCCCACACACGGACAAAACAAAGGAGAUGUAUGGUGUUAUGAGAUGUUUAUGACAAGUGUCUUGUAAUUGCGUUAUGUAUAAUGAAGUACUGAGUCUGUAUGGGGCUGUUUAAAAUUGUUGUGUUCUAAGUAUCAUUUUGAUAUGAUUUUUAUUUUAAAAAAAAUUAUAUUAAUUCCCAUAUUGAUUUUAAAUAUUAUUUCAAAAUGUUAAAUAUUUCAAAAAAUUUACAUGGUAAUUCUAAAUAUUGGUAAAAUCAGACUAUUAAUAUUUUGUACAUUUUUAAUAUUUUCAUCCUUAAUUGAAAAUAUUUUCCAAAGCAACAUAAGAAUAAGGAGCUAGGGAAUGAUUCCCAACCUUCUAUUUUCAUGCCUAUUUGAUGCUUGGAAUGUGUAUUCUUCAUUUGUGGUUAAUUGCUUUUACGUUUAUAGGAAGAAGGGCCCAAACUCCCUUUGUUGCUCCUCUAUUCAUCCUUGUAAUCCCCACGCAUGGACAAAACAAAGGAGAUGGAUGGCUUUAUAUGUAUGACAAGUGUCUUGUAAUUGUGUAUGUGGAAUAAAGUUUGAGUCGUUAUUUCAAACUAUUAUGUUGUAAGAAUUAGUUGGAAAUGAUUUUUAGUUUUAAAAAUAAAAAAUAAUGUUUCAAUUUGAAAUGUCUUUAAUGAAAGUGUUUUUAAAAGAAUUACCUAUAAAUGUUUCUCCAAAAAACAACAAGUAAUUUUUUAAUACUAUAAAUAAUUUCUUUUAAAUUUUAAAAGUAUUGUUUAAAUUUUAUCAAAUACCUAAUAUUUUUUAAAGAACAUUUUUAGGUUGACAACGUUUUUCAAAAAGCAUUGUCAAAUAGACUCUUAACUCUUAUAUUGAUUUUAAAAACUAUUUCAAAAUUUUAAAAAUUCAAAUGUAAAUUUAAAAAACAUAAUGUAAGUAUGAGUUACUAUAUUUUAUAUAAAAGUGACUAUUAAUUUCUAUUUCUAAAAAUAAAAAUAAGAAAUGAAUUCAAAUUAUUAGUACUUAAUAAUUAACUAAUUAAUUAGUGUUUGAAUACAAAAAUAUAUAUAAUAAAUUAAUAAGUUUCUUAUAUGUUUGCAAAAGUAUCUAUAUAGAGUGUUAUUUAUUGAAAAUGUAUGAUAAAUUAAUAAGAUUCUCACUUAAGUUGCAUUUUAUUUGAAUUUUAGAAAUAAUAGUUAUAAAAUUAGAAGGAAAUCAGGUUGAUAUUGUCAAAUGAUGAUGAAACAUAAUUUAGAAAUUAAAACAGGAAGAAAAAAUUAAAUAAUUGUAUAUUCUAUAUUAUAGUGGAGGCAUCAAAUAUUUGUCUAUUACCAUUAUUAUUAUUAUUAUUAUCAUUUCCACCUAAUGUAUUCAUGGAAUACACAAGAGUUGAGUCACAUAAUCACCAAAUAAAUAAUAGGACAAAGUCCAACUCUCUCAUCUUACGAUGAUAUAUAUACCUUUUUUUAUAUUAAAUGAUAAAGCUAUAUGUAAUUCUAAAAAGAAUCUUUGCAACAACAUCUUGUAUUUUUGCAUGUGGUCAAAUAAUCAUCCUCAUUAUUAUUAUUAUUUUAAUACCACAACAACUACUCUACCUAAUCAUAAAUAAUAGCAAAUGGUUGCAAGCUGUUUUCCCAAUAAAUUAAGUUUUGAAAAGAAUCAUUUCAACUACGUACUCUAACUAAUCAUCAACAAUAAGAAAUGGUUACAAGUUGUUCUCCCAAUAAAUUAAGUCUUGAAUUCUCCCAGCAAAUGAAGUUUUGAAAAGAAUCCUUUAGUUGUAUGGUACUUUACUAUCUUUAUAUGUAAGGAUAUUUGUUCUCAUAUGUAUAUAAGGAUUUUUUUUUUUAUUUAAAAGAAUCACUCAAUAUGUGUAUUAUUAAUUAGUUUAUUACUUUUUAGAAUUUUUUCUAACAUUUUUGUAAUUUUUUAAUCAAUUUUUAUCCCAUAUUUUUUUUCUUCAAAUUUUUGUAUAAUAUUUAUAAUAAUUUUAUAAAAUUUGAAUAUUGAUAUUUUGUAAAUUUUUUACAUGUUCAUCCAAAAUCUUUUUAAAUUAUAUGCCUUUAAAAUAUAUUAAAAGUGUAAAGCACGUAACCAAAGGUAAGAAAUAUUUGAAAAUUAAGGUCGAUUAUGGUACCUAUAAUAUUUUAGUCACAAAUGCUUCUAUAAAAAACUUUUGUAGAUCAUAUUAAAAUAAAAUAUUAAGGAAGUGUUAGGAAGAUGCGAAGAUGUAAAAUAAAUUAAUAAGAUUAAGUAGCAUUUUAAUUGAAUAACUAAGACAGCGAGGAUAAAAAUAAGAAGAAAAAACAAACUUGUAUACGUCUUAGUAACACUAGAGAAACACGAUUUAGAAAAUAGAAUAAAAAAAUUGGAUAAUUUAUUAUCAACUUUGAUCAUUCCUAGGCUAUUUAUCAUAAUUUAUUCAUUAAAUAUUAUACAACAGCGGAGUCAUAGAAACCAUAUUGGCUAAAUAAUUAAAUUAAGUGAACUCUCUCUUAUCUUCUAUCAUGGUCUACUUAGAUAAAGCCUAGAAUAGUAAACAAGGAAUUUGAUGGCAUCUUUUCUUCUUUCAUAUGGCCAACUUCUCUAACUAUUAUUUUAAUCCCACAACUUCUCUAACUAAUCAUAAAUAACAAUUAUCAUUUCUAUCAAUGUUUGUUAUUUCCACUUAAUUUAUUCAUUGAUUCAUUGAAUAUACAAGGGUUGAGUCACAAUCCAUAGGGGUGAAAUAAUUGAAUGAAGUCACUCCCCCUUAUGCUUUUUCAUGAUAUACUUAUUUAUUAGAUGAUACAACUGUAAUAAUAGAAAAAAAAAAUUUGCAAUAGCAUCUUGUCUUCUUUCAUAUGGCCAAAUAGUCCUCGUUAAUAUUAUAAUACCACAUCAACGAGCUUAGAACAACAAAGAUACCCAAUAUAUUCUCAUUAAUAAUCAGUUGUAUUGUCAAGUAAUUUUUAAUUUAACUAUCAAGGUGUAAUUGAAAUAAUUUACCAAUUUUUUUCCAGGUUUUAGAUGAUUAUGGAUCAUAAUUCUUAUACUUUAAUUUUAAAUUUUCAUAAUUGGACUAGUUUUUCCACCAAAAAACCUUGAGUGGACAAUAAAUUAUAAUUAAAUGCAAAAUAUUUUUAUAAACAAAUAAUUAAAAAUCAUGAUUAAAAAUAGAAUAAAUAAUGCCUUCUUUUCAUAUGUUACUUGAAUUAACUAAUUUCUUAACAAUUUUAUAGUUAUAGAAAAUAAAUAAAUAAAGACGUAAAUCUAAGGAGACCGGAUGUAGGAAAUCUUAAUCAUAAGAACAUUCUUCUCUAUUAUGGUAAUUAUAUUACGAAAUAUGAAUUUCAUUACCGAGUCUACCCAUAUCAAUGGUAAUUCUUGAUAUUUAUAGUAUUUUAUGAUAACACAAUUAAUGUUUAAAUAUCAAUUAAAAAAAUUAAAAUUGGUUAAAAUGUUUGGGCUUAAUAUUAGGCCUCCAUUAUGAAUUGGUUUUCCUAAUUUGCCUAAACCUCGUUGUUUAGGACAAGAUAAAAAAAAAACUCAAAAUAAAAAAUUUGGAUCAAGACAAACAUUCAAACAUCCUUGUUGGCAUUUAAAUGUUGGGACUUUUAAAUUUGUUUCCUACUUUCUUUUUAACUCAAAAAUCUCAUUUUAAAAAUAUUUUAAAAUUAAGAAACUCUUUACAAUUGUUUGUUAGGGUUUUUCUAAUAUAAAAGAGUUUUUUGUUUGAUUGAAAUUUUGAGAACUUCCAAAAACUCUAGAGAAUAUAAUCAUUCUUAAAGGUUGUAACUCCAAUUUUUGAACCUUUUAAGAUAUUUCUUGAAAGAACCUUUUGUCUAUAAUAAGGGUUCAAGACUCAUACAACAAAAUUUCAAUAAGGGAUUCAAGAGAUCUACUAAAGAGCACAGGGAGUAACGCGUGAGGAAUGUGGAAAAGGAAUGUAAGUACUAUUGGUAUAAGACUUCCUAGAAUAGGUACAUUCAAUCAAGUAAAAAUAUAUAUUAUUUUCUCAUAUUUAGUAGAUUAUUUAACAGCUGAGAGACCACCAACAAUUUUUUACAUUUAGGUCACUAGUUUGGUUUUUUCAUAUUAUAUCCCAUGUUUAUUAUGUGAUUGGAAAUCUAUAGGAUUUAUCAAAUUUUACUUAAUAUCAAAAUUAUUUAACAGUUAAGAAACCAUCCACGAUUUUUUACAUUUACCCUACUAAUUGGUUUUUCCAUAUUAUAUCUUGUGUUUAUUAUGUGAUUGGAAAUCUAUGGGAUUCAUCAAAUUUUACUCAAUAUUGAUAUUAUUGAUAAAGAACACCAAAUUUAGGGUCGAUUACUUCAACUACCUAUUAAUCCCUUCGAGGCAAUUUUAUAUAUUAAGACAUAACAAUUCUUUCAUUAUUAUUCAUAUGAAAGGGUGAAUCAUGCAAAAUAUAUUUCUCUCAAAAGUUAAAUAGUAGCUAUGACUUAAAAUAGAAUAAUUCCCUCAUUUUAUAUAAUACAUAAAUUAAUUAAUUUAUAGUUACUUUCAUAUUUGAACAAAAGUUCUAAAGUAUUAACAUUAAAUAUUUAAAUGAGAAAUGAUAGGAAAUUAUGGUUUUCUCUUGAAAUUCUCUGUUAUGUCCCAAUCUAAGUUUCAUCAUGGCCAACUUUAAGAAGAAGAAGCUACAAUUCAUUUUGGGUUAGUUACCAUGAAGGUAAUAAAUAUUACACCCAAUUAUUAAGAAAAAAAUAUACUAAUUUCAUAACCAUGGACCUUUAAUAUAUAUGACACCUUUAAAAAGUGUAAUUUUUCUUGAUAAAACUCUAAAAAUGAUAGUAUAUUUAUUUUUUAGGCCAUCUAAUUAUUUGGAAGAAUGGCCAAUACUUAAACUAAAAAUUUCUAGCUUUGUUCCAACUAUAAUUGAUGAAAUUUAUGGAGAAAAAAAAAGCAAAACUAAGAAGACAAUAGUGUUGGAAUAAAAUUAAAAAAAAAAAAAAAAACUUAGGAACAAUUACAAAAAUCAUCCAUACUUUCAUUUAUAUAUCAGUUUAGUCUUUUUAACUUUUUUAAUGUAUAAUAUCAAUCAUAAAUUAUAUCCAAAUGUCAAAUAAGGCCUUUUGCUAAUAAGCAAAUAAAUAUUGGUAUUAGUUUUUAUAUCAUAUAUUUGGAUAUUUUCAAUUUAUCUACAUACUUUUCAUGAGACUUUUUUUCUUUUACAAAAAAUAUUAAUCAAAAUGUCAAGGUAUAAUUUAAGAUUAAUGUUACUUAAAAAAUAAAAUUUAGACACUAAAUUGAGAUAGUGGUAAAAAUUUUAAAAAUGAUUUUUUGUAAUUUUCUCUAACGUCUCUCUGUGCCUUUUUUGCUUUUUUUCCCAUUCAAUGCCCUCCACUCUUCUCCACCGCUACGGCUCCUUCUCAGGCCUGCUUUGAUCAAAUCAAAAGUCCUCAAACUGAUCCAAGCUGUAUUUAGGCAUUGUCUUGUAGCUCUAAAAAUUGAAAAGCCUAGUCGAAUUCCUUUUUAAAAUCUUUAUUAAAAAUCCCAAAAUUAAUUAUUAAGUUCUAUAUUAAAUUAAUCAUUUGGAAUUGUAUUGCCAUAGUAGUUAUUGUAAUAUCAUGAAAGGGUAAAGAAAAAGACAAAGAAAGCAAUGGAGUUCAAAACAACAAUGGAUGGAGCAAGAUUGAGGCAAAUUAGCUUUAGCCUAGGGUCCCAUGUGCCCCAUCUCCCUCAAACAAAUCCAACUUUACUAAUUCCACCCUCAACAAAUUGUUACAAAUAAAAACGCUUUAAUAGAACUCCCAAAACGAGUUCCAAGUCACUAAAAUGUUUUUCUUCGAUAUUUCAUAUAUAUCACCAAAAAAAAAUGAAUUACAACACUAUGGAAUAAUCUUCAAAAUAAUUUUAGUUGACUCAUUUCAUUUGGAUCUUGCAAUCUUAUACUCUAACAAUGCUCAUUCAUCAAUUUCAUUAGUAAAAAUAUUAUUAAAAUUAAUAAUUAUUAAAAAAAUUAAAUUAAUGACCUUUUUCAAAAGUCAUAUCUAUUUAGUACAAUAAAAUAAAACUUUCCUAUAUUAUGGUAGAAGAUGGUGGAGUACCAUCCAAAGAGAAAAGAAUUAAUUAUAAAAAUAAAAUAAAAUAAAAUAAAAUUAUAAAAACACUCCAAAUAAAAUUAGGUAAAACUUUAUAUAGAAGAGAAAAAUUAAGAUAGAUAGAUUUGAAGUAGCAAAUAAAAAAACAAUUAUUCAUUUUAAAUAUAGUUUUCAUUUUAUUUUAUUUUUCCAUUUUUUAUCGUAUAUUUUCUUCAAAAUUUAGGGAAAUCAAGAAGGGCUAUGAAAACGGAUGAGUGAUGUAAAAAGGGGAGAUGGAUCUAAUCGGGUAAUAAAUGAAGUGUUUGGAUAUUAGAAGAUAUAGAGUUUAGGCUUUUAUUAGUAAUAUUUCUAUGAAAAAGCAAAAAAAUUAUUAACCUUUUUUAAAACUUUUUUUUCAAAAUUUUGAAAUUUUUGAGAAAGUAAAAUUUUUUUAAUCUUUAAAUUUUAAGAAAUUUAAAAAGUGUUUUCAAGUAUAAAAAAUAUAUACUUACUUUUGUAUAAGAAUUUCUAUAUUUUAUUUUAUUUUAAAAACAAAGUUGAAAAAUGUAUCCAAACAUAUACUAACUAAUUAUCUUGAAAAAUGUUUUUAAUGGAAGGGUACUAACAAAAAAGCUGCAAAUAAAAACACUUUAAAUAAAAUCACUCUCAAACAAAUUCUAAGUUAUAAUAAAUAUUUUUCAUCAAUAUUUCAGAUCACCAAAAGAAAUAAAGGACUACAACAUUAAGGAAGAAGCUUCAAAAUUAUUUUAAUUUAAACUUAUUUCAUUUGUAAUCUUGCAAUCUCACGCCCUAAAUAUUCCCAUUCAUCAAUUUCAUUGGUAAAAUUUCAUUAGAAUUAAUAAUUAUUAAAAAUAAAUAAAUAAAAAAUCCCUUUAAAAAAUCAUAUCCAUUUAAUCACAACAAAAUAAAACUUUCUUGUUAUCAUGGUAAAGUAAGUCCAAGAGAGAAAAGAAUUGGUUUUAAUAAAUAAAAAGAAAAACAAAACUUUGAAAAUUUUCAAAUAUUCCAAAAUUUCUAAAAAAGUUCCACAAUCAAAGUUUUGUGAUCCCAAAAGAAGGAAAGACUUUACAAGUUAUCGACAAUUUCAAAUUUUCAAUUGGAGUUGUAAUAAAAUUUAAAUUAGAUUACAAAUCACAAUUUCAAUUAAUCUCAUUUCUUGUUAAUUCAAAUAGCAAGAAGAAAGUUGAAUAAAUUAAGGACCACUAGUCUCUCUUUAUCAGAAAUGUCUUCAAGCUUUUAAUGCCUUCACAUAUCCUUUUCAAUUUGAAUGCUACUACCUACCUAAUAAUAGUGGUCAAAAUUUUAAAGCAUUCACGUAUCAUUUUCAACUUGAGUACUAUUGUCCCCCUAAUAAUUGAAAUGUCAUUUUCUAAAAGUUUUCUCACUUCUUUUACAACCAUUAGUCGUCUAAACAUUUCAACCUUAUAAUAGGGCAUAUUCUACUUGAUAAUACUUAUUUUUUGUCUAAACAUUUCAACCUUAGGAUAAGGUAUAUUCUACUUGAUAAUACUUGUGUUACUAAUGAGAAGGUAUUCAAUACAUCUAUUCUAUCAUAUUAGUAUGAUAAUAUAGUAUAAAUGUCUAUUCAUAUUUAUCAAAUAAGGAAGGAAAAAGAAGUUAUUUAGAUUUGAAAAUAAUUAAUAAAAGUUUUAAAUUAUUAGAAAAAUGAAUUAUAAAUUUUUUUUUAAUAAAAUAACUUAAAUAUCAUUUAAUAUCGAAAAUAUAAAUAAAUUAUUAUGCUACAUUAGUAAGCAUUAUUAUAAUCGAGUGCAUUGGCAAGUAAUUUUCAAUUUGACCAUCAAGGUGUAAUUGCAAAAAAAAAAUUAUAAAAAAAAAAAUGAAAAGAGUGAAAAGAGAAAGUUAGGAAGAAAAGGGAAGGGAAAAAAGAAGGAAAAUGAGGAUUUUUGUUAUAGAAGACUUGAGAGGAAUCUAAGAGAGAUGCAACAUUUUUUUUUGUUUGUUUAUUUAUUUAUAUUUUUUCUUAUUUAUUCGUUUUUGUUUUUUUGUAUUAUAAUUAAACUGGAGAAUGUGUUUAGUUUAUAUAAACGAGAUUAGACUUUUCUAAUUUAGAAAAUUAUUUCUAGUACCAUAAAUUUUUUUAGAUCCAAAUAUUGUUACUUUAUUUUUUGAUAUAUUUAUUAUAUAUAUAUAUAUAUAUUAAGAAGUUUUUUUAUAAUUAAUUUUCUGUUAUCAUAUAAAUUGAGUCAUUGCUAUAUAUUAAUAUGAAUAAAAAUUGUAAAAUCAUUUUUCUUGACUAAUCUUGUAAAAUUAUGUAAAUUGAUAUUAUUUCUCAUAAUAAUUGUCAAUAAAAUCAAAGAACCAUUUUUUAUGUUUUUAUUUUAACAUUAAUAAAGUCAAUAAUCAUUUUUAAAUAAAUUUUGUGAGGUUGUAUGAAUUGAGGUUUCUUUUGUAUAUUUACAUUAAUAAAAAAAAAUCGUUUCUUUUGAAUUAUUAUUGUGAGACCACAUACAUUGUAUGUGGCAUCAAUGAAAUAAGGAAAAUCAUUUACUUAACAAGGUUCAUUUUUUACUAUUAAUUUUUCCCUUUAUCCAUGUAUCAACUUUCCAUAUGUUUAUACUUCUUCAUUUUGUGUCUGAUUUAUUAUUUAAUUAAUUCUUUUAAUUUCAAUCAUUCUACUAAAAAUAAUAUAAAAAGCCACUGACGGAGUUAGAAAAUUGAGCAGUCAAGAUGUUGGUAUUUAUUGGAGUGUAGGUAAAUAAGAAACAAAUUACCUUUGUGGGCUACUAGUAGUAAUUGAAUUCAUGUUUUGUCUAAAGAAAGGAAUCAAAUUUCUCUUUCUGCAAAAAUUUUAGGGGAGCACUUGCCCUAGUCAUGGGAAACCUUUAACUGGGGCACCUUAGCUAAGGUCCCAUUUGGUGCCCCAUCUCUCUUCAUCAGACACAACCUUUAAUAAUUGUAAUGGGUACUAACUAGAUGAUUCCACCAAAUAAUUUUUCAUACAUAUUAUCAGCUCACUUUUUUGUUUAAAUAAAAUAAUAAGUGAUUCUAUUUAAAAACAUUUCUAAUAUAACCAUUAUUAACAAAAUAAACCAAAAGCGUUUGAAUCAAAAUUAGUCUUAAAUAGACUCCUAUGAAGAAGUUGAAGAAGUUGUCUUCAAGUACUAAUAACUCCUAUGAACAUACUUGUAAUUUGAAAACCUUAAGAGUCAUGAAUGAGUUAAAUUGAGAAGAUUAAGAGUGUAUUUGGGUGCAACAAAUCUCGACUUUCUUAGCAUUAAAGUCCUACUGGGUAAACUUAAGGCCAUGCUACCACAGAGAGGCAAGGGAUUUGACCCCAAAAUGUACAAUUUUUCUUUGUUAUAUCAAUACAAACAACCAUCUGUCCAUUAAUUUUAAUUUAAGUGAAAUCGUUUUACUCCAGAAAUCAGAAGUUGCAAUGGAAGGCGUUCAUAAUUUUGGGUUGGACAAAACGUGCUUACUGGGGGUAGUGGACAAUAAAGAAGCGAAUAGAGGUGGUAGGGGCCUAUCAUCCAGCUGGACUCUCAAAUGCAAAAAUGGAGAUUCGUUUGUCCCAACUCUUCUCCACUACUACGGCUCCACAGCACUCCUUCUUAGGACUAAUAUAAACUCAAAAGUUUGCAUUAGGUUCUAAUUUUAAAAUUUUGAGGAAGUGAAAAUUUUUCUACUUUCUUAAAAUUUAGAAAUUUUAAAAAUGUGUUGUUAAAUAUAGAAUAUACCUAUUAUAAUUCUUAUAUUUCAUAUAAGAUUUUCUAUUUUUUAAAACAAAACUGAAAAAUGUAUUAAAAUACAGACUAAGUGUUUCUCUUUAAAAAUAUUUUUAAUGAAAACACAAUUAAAAAAAAUGUUGCAAAUAAAAAUGCAUUAAUAUAAUUCCGUUCUAAUUCAUUCAAAUAUUUUUCUUGGAUAUUUCAUAUAUCUCACCAAAAGAAUAUGGAUUACAAUAUUAUCGAAGAAUCUUAAAAAUAAUUUUAGUUGAUUGAUUUCAUUUAGGUCUUGUAAUCCUAUACUCUAACUUUACUCAUUCAUCAAUUUCAUUGAUAAAAUAUUAUUAAAAUUAAUAAUUAUUUAAAAAAAAUUAAAUUAAUAACCUUUUUCAAAAACCAUAUCUAUUUAGUACAAUAAAAUAAAACUUUCCUAUAUUAUGGUAGAAGAUGGUAGUGUAUCGUCUAAAGAUAAAAGAAUUGAUCAUAAAAAUAAAAUAAAAUAAUAUAAAAACACUCCAAAUAAAAUUAGGAAAAACUUUAUAUAGGAGAGGAAAAUUAAGUUAAAUAAAUUUGAAGUAAUAAAUAAAAGAAAAAUUAUUCAUUUUAAAUAUAAUUAUUUUUUUUCUUUUACCCUUUCUUUCUAAUUUUUUUCCCUUAUAUUUUCCUCAAAAUUUAUAGAAGCCAAGAGGGCCUAUGCAAGUGGAGAAAUGAUGUAAAAAGGGAAGAUGGAUCUAAUCAGACAAUAAAGGAAGUAUUUGGAUAUUAGAAGUUCUAAAGUUUAGGCUUUAUUAGUAAUAUUUUUAUGAAAAAACAAAAAAUUUAUCUUGCUUUUUCUAAAACUUUUUUUUCAAAAUUUUGAAAAUUUUGAGAAAGUAAAAUUUUUUUAAUCCUUCAAUUUUAAGUAUUUUAAAAAGUGUUUUCAAGUAUAUAUAUAUAUAUAUAUAUAUAUAUAUAGACACCUAGGACAAGGUCAUAUGCAAUGAAAACAGGAAUUAUGUCAUGAUUCAAAACAAAGAAGAGGGUUAGAAAAUACAAAAGAUAUCCAACAAAGAAAUUUAAAGAGAAGAAACCAAAAACUUGUUAGUUCAUAAUAAGCUUAAAACCGACCAUGUAGGCGGUAUAAAAUGAAAAACAUAAACUUAAAAACAAAGCUUAAUUAAAACCGACUAUGUAGGCGGUACAAGAACAUAAAAUAAAAUGAAAAACAAAACUUAAUUAAAACCAUCCAUGUAGGAGGCAUAAGAACAUAAAAUAAAAACAAAACCAUCCAUAUAGGAGGUAAUCAAAACAUACUUAUAUUAUACAUAAGGAGAAAUAUCUUACAAUGGACAAGGGUAGGAAAGCUUGAAGAAAGCUUGAAAGCUUGAAGGGCAUACAUGAUGAGAGAGAAAGAAGAGAGAAGGGAGAGCAUAAGCUUAGGAGAGAAAAUUUUAGUGUUUUUUACAAAUGAGGACCGAGCCUCUUUAAAUAGGCAAAAAAGGAAUCUUGAAUAGUAACCAUGAAUAGUAGACCCGUGCUUGAAUAAUGAAUAGUGAACAGUGAAUAGUAAGAUUCACUUUUAUACCGAAAUCCCCCAAAAACUCUCUUUCGGCUGAGAAGACUUCUGGCAGGCUGCUUUAUACUGUGUAGACACAUGUUUGCUGCUUUUGGUGCAGAAAAUGCUGGAAAAGCUUGUUGAAGAGGAUAAACUUGCAGGCUGAGAAUCAUGAAGCUUUGUAAUUUCUUAUUGGUGGAAGAAUACCUUCACAGUCGUCGCCAUUGUCGGGAAGGUAGCUUGUGGAAUCAUCAGAGUCUGCAUAUGAGUUGUCUUGAGAAAAGCUUGAGCUUCCUUCUUCCAAGAUUUUCUGGAAUUCUUGAGGAGUUUUUGCUGCUGCUAACAUGGCUUGGAGCUGUUGCUUUUUAAGCAAAAACUGAGAUGUUUCAUCAUUAGCUGAGGCUUGUGUGGGAUGCUUGAGGAAGUACUGCUUAACAACAUUGAGUGAUGCAUCAUUUUUUAAGGCAUCCCACCAUUUUGUUUUAAAAGUCCUUCCAAGGGUUGGAAAGGCUGUUGAAUCAUCUGCUAUGAUUAAAUAAUCCCACUGGACAAUCCAAGCGAGGCCAAAAUUGCUGAAGAAGAAUAAUAAAUGUGGAAAAGCUGAAAGUUCUCUUGGAAUAACAAAAGAACUAUUGAAUAGCUCAAAGCCAUCCAAUACAGGCUUAGGGAGGAUUUUAGUAGAUGGUCCAAAAUAGGUCCACCAAUUGUGAAACCAAAAAAGGAAAGAAGAAAGCUGGUUCUUGGAAGGAAAAUAGAACAUCCAUGAAUGAUGGAAGUCCCUAUUCUGGAUCAGAAAAGCAUUAAACCAUGCUUUCUGAUAAUCCCAAUAAUUAAAAAAUCUUGGCUUAGAUGGUUCAGAAAACUCCCUUGAAAGAUUGGGAUUCCCCCCCCCCCCCCCCNNNNNNNNNNNNNNNNNNNNNNNNNNNNNNNNNNNNNNNNNNNNNNNNNNNNNNNNNNNNNNNNNNNNNNNNNNNNNNNNNNNNNNNNNNNNNNNNNNNNNNNCCCCCCCCCCCCCCCCCAUUGCUUGACAGUUAGGAUCUUAUAGAUAUGACAAGUGGAAAAUGCCAAAUCUAAAUUGCUGAAUUUAUCUGCAUUAUGCUUGAUCUUAACAGAACCAGUUUCAAUAAGAACUGCUUCAUAAAAUUCUCUUGUUUUUAAAAGAUCGGCAGAGGGAUAGUGGAAAUUUUUAUAAAAAGCUUUUGCCACAAUCUCUCUGGGGUUUUCAGAAAAAAAAACUCUCUUUCAAUAACAAAAAGAGGUUGAUUUAAAUCUUUUUGCCAAUAUCUUGAUUUUGUUGAAAGAGAUGUGGGGUUGGCAGCCACCACAAUUUGUUUGCUUGAAAAAGAGGAGCUUGCUGCUAAUUCCUUUUGAGAGGGAUUAGCCAUAGUGACCUGCUUAAAGGUCUGAGACCCUGAGAUAGCUGGAUAUUGGGUUGCCUUAACUGGUUUAGAAGGAUCCGAAGGAUCAUAGUAUAAGGUCAACAUCUUGUUAGGCAUAUAGUUAGAUUCAUGCAUAGAUUUAGAAGAAUGAAGCUUUGCCAAAAACCGUGCUUCUUCUUCUUCUUGUUCAACUUGUUGGCUCCAAAGCAUUUUAUGAGGAGAAGGGGAUUGGUUAGUUUGACUGGACUGGGAUUUUUGUGAGCUAGGAGCUGGGGCAUUCUUUUUAGGGGCCAUGAUCUCAUGAACCCUGCAAAAUUCUCGAGAUAGCUGAUUAGGGAUGAAAUAUUCUCCUUUAAUAAAAUUACCUUGAAAAUUAGCUUUUAAAAUAAUUUACCAGUUAAUUAAAUCAUACCUAAAAGCUAUGUAUUUAAUUGUUCCAACAUUUUUGAAAACAAUUUUUAAUAAAAAUUCUUGAUUCAAAAUACCAAUUUGAAAAUUUGAAAUGAGUAAAGAAAUGCUUAAAAUAUCAUUAUGCAUGAACUGGUUGCAUAUUAUCUUAUGAGGAACAUCUAAUCCAACAAGAUUAAUUUCUUGGUUACAAGGCGUGAUGCUUACAGUUGGAUUAGCAAAUUCAAAAAGAAUUUCCUUAUCAAAAAGCUUGGUUCUUAUACCUUGGUUAUCUACCCACAAGGGAUAAAUAGAGCUAAGAAGGGUAUUCCUAGAAGGGCUUUUUCCUUAAGAUCCUUAACAAGGAUAAAGGUUUGCUUAAUACAGAUGUCAUGGUUACGGAUAUGAACAUCUGUUAAUUUAUACUUAAUAGCAAGUCUUUUGCCAUUGGCUCCAAAUAGAGACUGACUAGUCUCUUUGCAUAAAGAAAUAGGUACAAGACCUUCUUGAAGGCAAUUUUCAGCUGCUCCUAAAUCAAUCAAAGCAAUAAUAUCAAAGACAAAUUUAUCUUUGACUACUAUAGUAAGGGAGACUUCCCACCUCUGUAAGAUAACCCUACUCACAGUAUUCAAAAAAGUAUCCGUCUCAUUAUCAUUAACAUGAGAAGAUUCUGGAAUAUCCAUAUGGAUUUCUUGGUUGCCAAUUCUAUUGAUUUGAUCUUGGAGAUCAGAGAGACCUAGACUUAUGAAUUGUCUUAACUCCUUAAUCUCCUUUUUAUGCUGCUUAACUUCUUCAUGAAGUUCCUUAAUGCUGACUUCCUUGGGAGACUGUUGGUCAAACCUGUUUAAGAUAUCAUUAAGGUUAUAAGGAUUAACAGUCUUCUUGGCUUCUACCUUAACAACAGAUUUCUUAAAAACUUCAUAAAGAUUUUGCUUAGUCUUUUCAUCUUAACCUUUUCUUAAAGUAUCUAGGAUAAAUUCCUGAUCUUGGCUUAUGACAUUUAUAGUUUUAGGAUGGCAAUUACAAUUACCUUUAAUACAUUCUGCUUGGUCACUAGAAGAUUGGCUGGAAACUUCACCACUACUGUCUAGUUGAUUAAUGUCAUCUUCAUUAUCUGAAUCAGUCCUUGAUUCAGAAUCUGAGGAGUUUAACAUUACCUUACAAAGCAUAUUUUUUAGGUCAUCUGAAACACUUAAGUUAUUAAUCUUUUGCUUAACUCUACAAUCUUUCUUAUAAUGACCAACUUUGCCACAUUUAAAACAGAUAAUUGGCUUGACAUCUAAAGGAGUUUCUACCUUUUUCUGGGUAUCUUUGUUGACCCUUCUUUGGACGUGCCUUGACUGAUUAGUAUCAUUCAUCCUAUAGUUGUCAUAGGUACCUCUCUUACUGUGGUAAAACUUAUCUUUGCUAGGCUUCCUGCUUGGUUUUUGCUUAGAGGGAGGCAUAGUUUCCUUUUGGCUGAAACCAAACUGGCUACAGAAUGAUCCAAAUUCAUUCUUGUAGAUUUUUUGUUCAUUCUUCAUCUGUUGCUUAAGCUUGAAGUCAUUGCACAACUUAAUCCCUUCAGCUGUGACAAUGCUUAUAAUCUCACCAUAGGUUAGCUUGUCAUAAGGGAUUUGACCAUUAUAUUGUUCCCUUAUCUUGAUCCUAAUUCUCUCAGAGAAAAGCUUGGGCAAUCCUGAGAUGAAUUUUUCUUUCCAAAAAGACUGGUUACAAUCUGAUCUUAACAUGACUUUGGUUAGGAAGACUUCCUUAUACCACCUAAAAUCAUGAAGCUUGGGACACUUAAGGUUGGUUAAGAGAUCUGCAGUUUUAUCCUUAAUUUUUGCAGGAUCUCCAAUGAAGUGCUUGGAUAUUGAGUAGAUUAGAGUAGCCACUGCAUCCUCUAUAUCUUGGCCAUCUUUGUCCUUAACAACUUCAUUAUUCUCAUUAAUCCUAUAGGCUUUAAGGAUACUAUUCCUAUCAUCAAAAGUGAGAUAAUUAUCCCACCAACCCUUAAGCUGACCUGUAAACCCAGCAACAAUGGUCUGAGCUACAACAUGAUCUGGCAGUCUAUUGUUUAAUUUAUAGGCUGUACUAACCAUGGUCAUUUCUUGAAGCUUAGUGAGUAUGUUAUACUCGGUCAUACCGUCUAUGUUCCAUUCAUAGAUAGUACCACUGGUGUAUGAGGCUUGAGUAUACUGAUUUCUUUCCUCAAACUGCAUGUCAGGAAAAAUAGGUCUAGGAUAGUAAUUCCUAGUCUUAAAGGUUUCGAAAUUGUUAAUAAUUUGAUCAUGGGGUUCCUCAAACAUCUUAAUUAGUUCAUCAGCUUCUUCUUCUGAACUAAUAUCACCUUUAACCAUAUUGAUUCUCUUAUCAGGCUGAACAGUCAAAGGGGCAACAAGAUUAUCCUUAAUCUUCUGAUUAAUCCUAUCAAUAAAAGCUUGGUUGAAUUGGGGAUUUUCUUAGAAAUCCUUAGAGAAUUCAUAUGGCUUAUUUUCAUUAUUACUACUGGUAACCUUUAUACGCUUAAAGGGAUAAUCUGGAUAUUCCUCUUGUUUGAAGAGUUCAAACCAAAUCCAAAACUUAAUAUUUUUCUUUUCUUGUCUUAGGUAGGCAUAGAAUUCUUCUUGGUAAAUGGUUCUAAUGACUUUAGGGAUAGUGCUAAAGAACCAAUCAUUUCUUUGCUUAUUGACUUCAGAAUAGAAGUCCUUUCUUAAGAGAUCCUUGUUGAUCUCAAAGUCCUCAUCACUUAGGCUUAUUGUGUUAAUCAUCUGGGAAUAGGUAGGAGACAUAACAGGGGACUCAUCUUGUUGGGAUUCCUGAGUAGACUCAUUUUCUUCACUGUAAAAUGGUCUAGCCACGUUGGUGUGAUUUCUAAUACCUGUUAGCUUAAUGUUCUUAGGAUUUCCUGAGCUGUAACCUUCUUCUUCCCUAGUAGUUCUAACUGGGAUGGAAGAGCUUGAAGCUCUAGAGGGUUCAUAAACAGAAACUCUAGGGCUGCUGGAGUGUCUGAAAGAUUUGGAGAAGACCAGUUCUCCUCCUCCAUCUGGAUAUUGAACUAUUUGUUCAAUACUUUCAGAACGCUGUGCUAUGGCUGGAACAGCAUUAGAAAAAUGCCAAUUUUCAGGGAAAUCAACAUCUUUCCACAAGAUCUUCUUGGGGAUGAUGAAAUCUGACUUAUCUAGCAUAUCUGAGUGAAAAUAGGUGGUCUCACCUUUAGGACUGGUACAAAGAGCCCCAGAUCCAACGCUUGUGUUCAUGCUCUUAUAGGCAAACCUGGUUAUGAUAGAAACAGGAUUGUUUCCUGGUUUGAUCUUAAAGCCAUGGGUCUUAAUAUGCAGGACAACGGAAUCUAAGAUGUCUGCAUCUCUUAUUCUAACUGUGAAGUUAGGAUAGCACUGGAAAUAGACUGGGCCAUCAUUCAGUCCAGCUUGGACUACGCCUAUAAUAGAAUCUCGAUAUUCGAGAUGUCUAUUAUCCCUUAAACACAUGACAAUAGAGGUGUUUAAACCUAAUCUUGUCAAAGGCUUAGCUGCUACUUGAAUCAUACCAAAGUGUAUGAAAUUAUAGCCAUCUUUCUUAUGCUUAUCAAUGGAUCUGUUAUCUAGAAGUCUUAUGACUUGGUCGUCUUGUUCUAAGCUGACUGACAUUUCAGAGGUCUUAAUGGUAUAAUAUGUGAAGAACUUAAAGGUUCAUUUCUUAUAAAUUUCUUGAUUAGACACCUUGGGUAACAUCCAAUCAUCUAAAUCAUUUUGGAUCUUAGGAUAAUUGAUCUCUUCACUGUUUACAACAGUAUCUUGAGAAUCACUGGAUCUCCUAGACAUGGUUCGGAAAAUUGAACUCAUUUUAGGGUUUUUGAACUAGAGCCUAAUAGCAGAUUGACAGACCUUAUGAGACGUCACCCCAACCCUCUUACAGCCUAACAAACGCCUAUCCACGGCUAACAACGGCUCAACCGGCAGGGCUCGCGCUCCCAGGCACACUGCUACCUAUCCUAGGAUAGGCCAAGAACACCCAAAACAAGACCCAACUUCCCUCGCACAUGGCUCUGAUACCAUAGACACCCAGGACAAGGUCAUGUGCAAUGAACAAAUGAAUUAUGCCAUGAUUCAAAACAAAGAAGAGGGUUAGAAAUCAAACAAGAUAUCCAACAAGAAAUUUAAAGAAAAUGAACCAAAAACUUGUUAGUUCAUAAUAAGCUUAAAACCGACCAUGUAGGCGGUACAAAAUAAAAAACAUAAACUUAAAAAUUUUAAUUAAAACCGACCAUGUAGGCUGUAUAAGAACAUAAAAUAAAAUGAAAAACAAAACAUAAUUAAAAACCAUCCAUAUAGGAGGUAAUCAAAACAUACUUAUAUUAUACAUAAGGAGAAAUAUCUUACAAUGGACAGGGGUAGGAAAGCUUGAAGGGUUUACAUGAUGAGAGAGAAAGAAGAGAGUAGGUAGAGCUUCAGCUUAGGAGAGAAAAUUCAAGUGUUCUUACAAAUGAGGACCUUGCCUCCUUAAAUAGGCAAAAAAAGAAUCUUGAAUAGUAAUCAUGAACAGUAGACCCGUGCUUGAAUAGUGAAUAGUGAAUAGUGAAUAGUAAGAUUCACUUUUAUACCGAAAACCCCCAAAAACCCUUUUUCGGCUAAGAAGACUUCUGGCAGGUUGCUUUAUACUGUGUAGACGAAUGCUUGCUGCUUUUGGUACAGAAACUACAAAGCUUGUAAAAUAUUCUUGUUGACCGGUCAUCAUGAGAAAUCCUUACGAUGAUCUUCAAGAAGCUUAAUAUCUUCAGUACUAGCCAUGGUUGGAAGAGGGUGUAACUUCUUGCCACAGAAAAUUAGAUGACAAGAAUCUGCAGCAAUAAGAUGUCCCAUAUUUCUUGGAAAAGCCUCAAAAUCCCUGCAAAUAAUUCUGGCUCUCCAGUGUUUGAUUUGCUUAAUAAUGGAUUCAGCACAAAUAUCAGAAAAUAACAGAGGGUAAGACAGCCGAGUAGGUCUCCUAUUCAGAUAGUGAAGAGAAACAAUUUGUUGACCUGGAAUAAGCUUGCCACUAGAAACCCACUCAGGAGUUUUGCUGAUGAUGAUGGCUUCUGCGAAUUUCUUAUUUAUUUUAAAUCCUUGGGUUAGGCUAAGAGCAAUUUUUCUUCCAAACUGGGAAACUUGGUUGGGAUCAGAACAGAUGAUUUGAUGGACUAGACCAUGGUCCAGAAGCUUUUCUGGAGUUAAUAAUAAAUCUUCACCCUUGAAUUGAUGCUGAUUGGUGAAUAGUAUUGCAAGUCCAAGCAAACACGACUGAUUGUGAAAUUUCUGUUGCAGUUGCAAAUCAACUUCUUGAUGCCUUUUUGGUACUGGAAAGGUUCUUCAAUUAUUCUGCAAAUUUUUGAAUCAUCAACUUUCUUCUCAGUAACCAAGCUUAAACCUGGGACCUUAAGACCAAUAUUGGUGGAAAGAUAGAAAUUUAUAAGAAAGGAACCUUUAAGUUCUUCACAGAUUAUACCAUUAAGACCUCUGAAAUGUCAGUCAGCUUAGAACAAGACGACCAAGUCAUAAGACUUCUAGAUAACAAAUCCAUUGAUAAGCAUAAGAAAGAUGGCUAUAAUUUCAUACACUUUGGUAUGAUUCAAGUAGCAGCUAAGCCUUUGACAAGAUUAGGUUUAAACACCUCUAUUGUCAUGUGUUUAAGGGAUAAUAGGCAUCUCGAAUAUCGAGACUCUAUUAUAGGCGCAGUCCAAGCUGGACUGAAUGAUGGCCCAGUCUAUUUCCAGUGCUAUCCUAACUUCACAGUUAGAAUAAGAGAUGCAGACAUCUUAGAUUCCGUUGUCCUGCAUAUUAAGACUCAUGGCUUUAAGAUCAAACCAGGAAACAAUCCUGUUUCUAUCAUAACCAGGUUUGCCUAUAAGAGCAUGAACACAAGCGUUGGAUCUGGGGCUCUUUGCACCAGUCCUAAGGGUGAAACCACUUACUUUCACUCAAAUAUGCUAGAUAAGUCAGACUUCAUCAUCCCCAAGAAGAUUUUGUGGAAAGAUGUUGAUUUCCCUGAAAAUUGGCAUUUUGUUAAUGCUGUUGCAGCCAUAACAACGUUCUGAAAGUAUUGAACAAAUAGUUCAACAUCCAGAUGGAGGAGGAGAACUAGUCUUCUCCAAAUCUUUCAGACAUUCCAGUAGCCUUAGAGUUUCAGUUUAUGAACCCUUUAGAGCUUCAAGUUCUUCCAUUCCAGUUAGAACCACUAGGGAAGAAGAAGGAUCCAACUCAGGAAAUCCUAAGAACAUUAAGCUAACAGGUGUUAGAAGUCACACCAACGUGGCUAGACCAUUUUACAGAGAAGAAAAUGAGUCUACUCAGGAAUCCCAACAGGAUGAGUCCCCUGUUAUGUCUCCUACCUAUUCCCAGAUGAUUAACACAAUAAACCUAAGUGAUGAGGACUUUGAAAUCAACAAGGAUCUCUUAAGAAAAGACUUCUAUUCUGAAGUCAAUAAGCAAAGAAAUGAUUGGUUCUUUAGCACUAUCCCUAAAGUCAUUAGAACCAUUUACCAAGAAGAAUUCUAUGCCUACUUAAGACCAGAAAAGAAAAAUAUUAAGUUUUGGAUCUGGUUUGAACUCUUCAAACAAGAGGAAUAUCCAGAUUAUCCCUUUAAGAGUAUAAAGGUUACCAGUAGUAAUAAUGAAAAUAAGCAAUAUGAAUUCUCUAAGGAAUUCCAAGAAAAUCCCCAAGUCAACCAAGCUUUUGUCGAUAGGAUUAAUCAGAAGAUUAAGGAUAAUCUUGUUACUCCUUUGACUGUUCAGCCUGAUAAGAGAAUCAAUAUGGUUAAAGGUGAUAUUAGUUCAGAAGAAGAAGCUGAUGAACUAAUUAAGAUGUUUGAGGAACCCCAUAAUCAAAUUAUUAAUAACUUGGAAGCCUUUAAGACUAGGAAUUACUAUCCUAGGCCUACUUUUCCUGACAUGCAGUUUGAGGAAAGAAAUCAGUAUACCCAAGCCUCAUACACCAGUGGUACUAUCUAUGAAUGGAACAUAGACGGUAUGACCGAGUAUAACAUACUCACUAAGCUUCAAGAAAUGACCAUGGUAAGUACAGCCUAUAAGUUAAACAAUAGACUGCCAGAUCAUGCUGUAGCUCAGACCAUUGUUGCUUGGUUUACAGGUCAGCUUAAGGGUUGGUGGGAUAAUUAUCUCACUUUUGAUGAUAGGAAUAGUAUCCUUAAUAGGAUUAAUGAGAGUAAUGAAGUUGUUAAGGACAAAGAUGGCCAAGAUAUUGAGGAUGCAGUGGCUACUUUAAUCUAUUCAAUAUCCAAGCACUUCAUCGGAGAUCCUGCAAAAAUUAAGGAUAAAACUGCAGAUCUCUUAACCAAACUUAAGUGUCCCAAGCUUCAUGAUUUUAGGUGGUAUAAGUCUUCCUAACCAAAGUCAUGCUAAGGUCAGAUUGUAACCAGUCUUUUUGGAAAGAAAAAUUCAUCUCAGGAUUACCCAAGCUUUUCUCUGAGAGAAUUAGGAUCAAGAUAAGGGAACAGUAUAAUGGUCAAAUCCCUUAUGAUAAGCUAACCUAUGGUGAGAUUAUAAGCAUUGUCACAGCUGAAGGGAUUAAGUUGUGCAAUGACUUCAAGCUUAAGCAACAGAUGAAGAAUGAACAAAAAAUCUACAAGAAUGAAUUUGGAUCAUUCUGUAGCCAGUUUGGUUUCAGCCAAAAGGAAACUAUGCCUCCCUCUAAGCAAAAACCAAGCAGGAAGCCUAGCAAAGAUAAGUUUUACCACAGUAAGAGAGGUACCUAUGACAACUAUAGGAUGAAUGAUACUAAGCAGUCAAGGCACGUCCAAAGAAGGGUCAACAAAGAUACCCAGAAAAAGGUAGAAACUCCUUUAGAUGUCAAGCCAAUUAUCUGUUUUAAAUGUGGCAAAGUUGGUCAUUAUAAGAAAGAUUGUAGAGUUAAGCAAAAGAUUAAUAACUUAAGUGUUUCAGAUGACCUAAAAAAUAUGCUUUGUAAGGUAAUAUUAAACUCCUCAGAUUCUGAAUCAAGGACUGAUUCAGAUAAUGAAGAUGAUAUUAAUCAACUAGAUAGCAGUGACGAUGUUUCUAGCCAAUCUUCUAGUGACCAAGAUGUUUGUAUUAAGGGUAAUUGUAAUUGUCGUCCUAAAACCAUAAAUGUCAUAAGCCAAGAUCAGGAAUUCAUCUUAGAUACUUUAAGAAAAGUUGAAGAUGAAAAGACUAAGCAGAAUCUUUAUGAAGUUUUUAAGAAAUAUGUUGUUAAGGUAGAAGCCAAGAAGACUGUUAAUCCUUAUAACCUUCACGAUAUCUUAAACAGGUUUGACCAGCAGUCUCCCAAGGAUGUCAGCAUUAAGGAACUUCAUGAAGAAGUUAAGCAGCAUAAAAAGGAGAUUAAGGAGUUAAGACAAUUCAUAAGUCUAGGUCUCUCUAAUCUCCAAGAUCAAAUCAAUAGAAUUGGCAACCAAGAAAUCCAUAUGGAUAUUCCAGAAUCUUCUCAUGUUAAUGAUAAUGAGACAGAUACUUUUUUGAAUACUGUGAGUAGGGUUAUCUUCCAGAGGUGGGAAGUCUCCCUUACUAUAGUAGUCAAAGAUAAAUUUGUCUUUGAUAUUAUUGCUUUGAUUGAUUCAGGAGCAGCUGAAAAUUGCCUUCAAGAAGGUCUUGUACCUAUUCCUUUAUGCGAAGAGACUUGUUAGUCUCUAUUUGGAGCCAAUGGCAAAAGACUUGCCAUUAAGUAUAAAUUAAUAGAUGUUCAUAUCCGUAACCAUGACGUCUGUAUUAAGCAAACCUUUAUCCUUGUUAAGGAUCUUAAUGAAAAAGCCCUUCUAGGAAUACCCUUCUUAAGCUCUAUUUAUCCCUUGUGGGUAGAUAACCAAGGUAUAAGAACAAAGCUUUUUGAUAAGGAAAUUCUUUUUGAAUUUGCUAAUCCAACUGUAAGCAUCACUCCUUUUAACCAAGAAAUUAACCUUGUUAGGUUAGAUGUCCCAAGUAAGCUAAUAGGCAACCAGUUCAUGCAUAAUGACAUUUUAAGCAUUUCUUUAUGCAUUUCAAAAUUUCAAAUUGGGAUUUUGAAUCAAGAAUUUUUAUUAAAAAUUAUUUUCAAAGAUUUUGAAAAAAUUAAAUAUAUAACUUUUAAGUAUGAUUUAAUUAACUGGUAUAUUAUUUUAAAAUCUAAGUUUCAAAGUUACUUUAUUAAAGGAGAUUAUUUCAACCCUAAUCAGCUAUCUCGUGAAUUUUGCAGGGUUCAUGAGAUCAUGGCCCCUAAAAAGAAUACCCAAGCUUCUAGCUCUCACAAACCCUCAUCUAGUCAAGCUAACCAAUCUCCUUCUACCCAUAAAAUGCUUUGGAGUCAACAAGUUGAAGAGGAAGAAGCACAACUUUUGGCAAAGCUUCAUUCUUCUAAACCUAUGCAUGAAUCCAACCAUAUGCCUAACAAAAUGUUGACCUUAUACUAUGAUCCUUCUGAUCAUUCUAAACCAGUUAAGGCAACACAAUAUCUAGCUACCUCAGGGUCUCAGACCUUUAAGCAGGUUACUAUGGCUAAUCCCUCUUAAAAGGAAUUAGCAACAAGCUCUUCUUUUUCAAGCAAACAAAUUGUGGUGGCUGCCAACCCCACACCUCUUUCAACAAAAUCAAGAUAUUGGCAAAAUGAUUUAAAUCAAUCUCUUUUAGUUAUUGAAAGAGAAUUUUUCUCGAAAAACCCCAGAGAGAUUGCUGCAAAAGCAUUUCAAGAAAAUUUUCAUUAUCCCUCUAGUGAUAUUUUAAAAACAAGAGAGUUUUAUGAAGCAGUCCUUAUAGAAACUGGUUCUGUUAAGAUCAAGCAUAACGCUGAUAAAUUCAGCAAUAUGGGCUUGGCAUUCUCCACCUGCCAUAUCUAUAAGAUCCUUACAGUCAAGCAAUGGGGUGAAAAUCCUAAUCUUUCAAGAGAAUUUUCUGAACCAUCUAAGCCAAGGUUUUUUAAUUAUUGGGAUUAUCAGAGAGCAUGGUUUAAUGCUUUUCUGAUCCAGAAUAGGGACUUCCAUCAUUCAUGGAUGUUCUAUUUUCCAUCUAAGAACCAGCUUUCCUCUUUCCCAUUUUGGUUCUACAGUUGGUGGACUUAUUAUGGUCCAACUAUUAAGAUUCUUCCUAAGCCCAUUCUGGAUGGCUUUGAGCUAUUCAGAAGUUCUUUUAAUAUUCCCAGAGAACUUUCAGCAUUUCCCCUUUUACUAUUCUUUUUCAGCAAUUUUGGCCUGGCUUGGAUAGUCCAGUGGGACUAUAUUAUUAUUACAGACGAAUCAGCAGCCUUUCCAUCUCUGGGAAGGACUUUUAAAACUAAAUGGUGGGAUGCAUUAAAAAAUGAUGCAUCUACUGAUGUAGUCAAGUAGUAUUUCCUCAAGAACCCCUCACAAGUCUCAGCCAGUGAUGAUAUGUCUCAGUUUCUCCUCAAAAAGCAACUGUUACAAGCCAUGCUCGCAGCAGCUAAGACCCCUCAAGAGUUUCAAAAAAUCCUUGAAGAAGGAAGCUCAAGCUUCUCCCAAGAAAAUUCUUAUGCAGAGUCUGACGAUUCAACAAGCUACCUUCCAGACAAUGGUGAUGACUGUGAAGGAAUCCUUCCUCCAAUAAGAAGAUCUAAGUAAUCAUCAGCCUUUUGUCUUCCAUCAAAAGUAUUUUACAAGCUUUGCAGUUUCUGUUCCAAAAGCAGCAAGCAUGUGUCUACACAGUAUAAAGCAGCUUGCCAGAAGUCUUCUCAGCCGAAAAGGGGGUUUCGGGGGUUUUCGGUAUAAAAGUGAAUCUUACUAUUCACUAUUCAUUAUUCAAGCACGGGUCUACUGUUCAUGGUUACUAUUCAAGAUUCCUUUUAUGCCUAUUUAAAGAGGCCCGGUCCUCAUUUGUGAAAAAACACUUGAACUUUCUCUCCUAAGCCGAAGCUCUCCCUUCUCUCUUCUUUCUCUCUCAUCAUGUAAACCCUUCAAGCUUUCAAGCUUUCUUCAAGCUUUCUUACCCCUGUCCAUUGUAAGAUAUUUCUCCUUAUGUAUAAUAUAAGUAUGUUUUGAUUGCCUCCUCUAUAGAUGGUUUUUAAUUAUGUUUUGUUUUUCAUUUUAUUUUAUGUUCUUAUACAGCCUACAUGGUCGGUUUUAAUUAAUUUUUAUUUUUAAGUUUAUGUUUUUUAUUUUGUACCGCCUACAUGGUCGGUUUUAAGCUUAUUAUGAACUAACAAGUUUUUGGUUCCUUCUCUUUAAAUUUCUUAUUGGAUAUCUUGUUUGAUUUCUAACCCUCUUCUUUGUUUUGAAUCAUGGCAUAAUUCAUUUGUUCAUUGCACAUGACCUUGUCCUGGGUGUCUAUGGUAUCAGAGCCAUGUGCGAGGGAAGUUGGGUCUUGUUUUGGGUGUUCUUGGCCUAUCCUAGGAUAGGUAGCAGUGUGCCUGGGAGCGCGAGCCCUGCCGGUUGAGCCGUUGUUAGCCGUGGAUAGGCGUUUGUUAGGCUGUAAGAGGGUUGGGGUGACGUCUCAUAAGGUUUGUCAAUAUGCUAUUAGGCUCUAGAUCAAAAACCCUAAAAUGAGUUCAAUUUUCCGAACCAUGUCUAGGAGAUCCAGUGAUUCUCAAGAUACUGUUGUAAACAGUGAAGAGAUCAAUUAUCCUAAGAUCCAAAAUGAUUUAAAUGAUUGGAAGUUACCCAAGGUGUCUAAUCAAGAAAUUUAUAAGAAAUGAACCUUUAAGUUCUUCAUAGAUUGUACCAUUAAGACCUCUGAAAUGUCAGUCAGCUUAGAACAAGACGACCAAGUCAUAAGACUUCUAGAUAACAGAUCCGUUGAUAAGCAUAAGAAAGAUGGCUAUAAUUUCAUACACUUUGGUAUGAUUCAAGUAGCAGCUAAGCCUUUGACAAGAUUAGGUUUAAACACCUCUAUUGUCAUGUGUUUAAGGGAUAAUAGGCAUCUCGAAUAUCGAGAUUCUAUUAUAGGCGUAGUCCAAGCUGGACUGAAUGAUGGCCUAGUCUAUUUCUAGUGCUAUCCUAACUUCACGGUUAGAAUAAGAGAUGCAGACAUCUUAGAUUCCGUUGUCCUGCAUAUUAAGACUCAUGGCUUUAAGAUCAAACCAGGAAACAGUCUUGUUUCUAUCAUAACCAGGUUUGCCUAUAAGAGCAUGAACACAAGCGUUGGAUCUGGGGCUCUUUGUACCAGUCCUAAAGAAGAUCUUGUGGAAAGAUGUUGAUUUCGUUGAAAAUUGGCAUUUUGUUAAUGCUGUUCCAGCCAUAGCACAGCGUUCUGAAAGUAUUGAACAAAAAGUUCAAUAUCCAGAUGGAGAAGGAGAAUUGGUCUUCUCCAAAUCUUUCAGACACUCCAGCAGCCCUAGAGUUUUUGUUUAUGAACCCUCUAGAGCUUCAAGCUCUUCCAUCCCUGUUAGAACCACUAGGGAAGAAGAAGGAUCCAGCUCAAGAAACCCUAAGAACAUUAAGCUAACAGGUGUUAGAAGUCACACCAACGUGGCCAGACCAUUUUACAGUAAAGAAAAUGAGUCUACUCAGGAAUCCCAACAGGAUGAGUCCCCUGUCAUGUCUCCUACCUAUUCCCAGAUGAUUAACACUAUAAGCCUAAGUGAUGAGGACUUUGAGAUCAACAAGGAUCUCUUAAGAAAGGACUUCUAUUCUGAAGUCAAUAAGCAAAGAAAGGAUUUGUUCUUUAGCACUGUCCCUAAGGUCAUUAGAACCAUUUACCAAGAAGAAUUCUAUGCUUACUUAAGACAAGAAAAGAAAAUUAUUAAGUUUUGGAUUUGGUUUGAACUCUUCAGACAAGAGGAAUAUCCAGAUUAUCCUUGUAAGCACAUUAACAACACCUCUACAAAAGCUAAGAUAUGGAAAACCAGUGACAACAUUGUUAUAGAAUCCAUUCAUCCUCCUGAAGCUAAGAUAGAGAAGAAUAUUAAUGGAACCAUAGUCACAGCUUCACCUUUUAAGACUAAGCCAGAGGAUAAAGGAACUGCUAGUGCAUCCGAUAUUAGAAGGAUUAUGGAACAAAUCAAUUAUACUAAUAUGUUUCUCAUAACCCUUGGAAAUCAAGUCAACAGAGUUGAGGAGAUUAUUGAAACUCAGGAUCACCUUAAGAAGCCUUUUGUUAAGAAUGAUAAUAAGCCUUUGUUUAAGCCUUUUGAAUUAUCUAAGAAAUUCCAGGAAAAUCCUCAAAUUGAUCAAGCUUUCAUUGAUAGAAUAAGCUAAAAGGUUAAAGAUAAUCUUGUUAUCCCUUAAACACCUCAACCUUCCCAUAGGAGAAUCCUUUUGGUUAAAAAGAAUAUUAGUCCAAAAGCAAAGGAUAAUGGACUAAUUAGGCUAACCAGAGAACCUUCUAUCCAAAACCCUUUUAAGGAUCAUGAUGAGAAACAAGAAAAAAGGAUUAUCCUUAAUGCCCUAACUAUUAAAGAUCUUCAAGAAGAAAUAGGGCAGUAUAAGAAGGAUAUUGAGAACCUAAGACAACCUACAAGCUCAGAAAUCCCUAUCCCUCAGGAUUAUAUCAACAGGGUAGGUUUUUACCACAGUAGUCCUAAAAAGGAAGACUUUGAAGAAGUUCUUGAAUCUUCACAAGACAAUAGUGAUAAGAUAAAUGCAUACUUAAAUACUAUUAGUAAAGUUAUCUUUCAAAGGUGGGAAGUCUCCCUUACUAUAGUAAUUAAGAAUAAAUUUAUCCUUGAUAUUAUUGCUUUAAUUGAUUCAGAUGCAGCUUUGAAUUGUCUACAAGAAAGUCUAGUACCUACCCAAUUUUAUGAGAAAACCAGGCAAGCCCUCUUUAGUGUUAAUGGUAAAAAGCUUAUUAUCAAGUACAAGCUAUCGAAUGCCCAUAUUUGUAACCAAGGCAUUUGCAUUAAGCAAACCUUCAUUCUUGUUAAAGAUCUCAAGGAGAAAGUUCUCCUUGGAGUCCCUUUCUUAAGCUCCAUCUUUCCUAUGUGGGUAGAUGAUCAAGGUAUAAGAACUAAGCUUUUAGAUAAGGAAAGUCUGUUUGAAUUUGCCAAUCCACCUGGAGAAAGAAGUAUAAACACCAUAAAAGAUCAGGUGAUUAAGGCUAAGCAAAAUCAUAUUAAUCUCUUAAAACAAGAGAUUGCUCUGGUUAGAAUAGAAGAUCAACUGAAGGUUAAGAAAACCCAAGAUGCUAUAGAAAGCCUUAAGAAUAAGAUUAUUAAGGAAGUUUGUUCUAACAUUCCUAAUGCUUUUUGGCACAGGAAGCAGCAUGAGGUAGAAUUACCCUAUGAGCCUGAUUUUAGUGAGAAAAAUAUUCCCACUAAAGCAAGACCAAUCCAAAUGAACAAGGAUUUGUUAGGCUAUUGUGAAAAAGAAAUCCAGGAUCUCAUGGAUAAGAAGUUGAUAAGAAAGUCUAAGUCCCCUUGGAGUUGUUCAGCCUUUUAUGUUCAGAAACAAGCUGAACUUGAAAGAGGAACACCUAGACUAGUCAUCAACCAUAAGCCCCUCAAUGAUGUUUUAAGAUGGAUCAGGUAUCCUAUCCCAAAUAAAAAAGACCUCCUUCAAAGAUUAGGGAUGUCCAAAGUUUUCUCUAAGUUUGACAUGAAAUCAGGAUUUUGGCAAAUCCAGAUUGCAGAAAAAGAUAGGUACAAAACAGCCUUUGUGGUCCCAUUUGGUCAUUAUGAGUGGAAUGUAAUGCACUUUGGCCUUAAGAAUGCACCUUCUGAGUUUCAAAACAUAAUGAAUGAAAUCUUUAACCAGUUUUCUGAUUUCAUUAUUGUUUACAUUGAUGAUGUUUUGAUUUACUCAGAUUCUGUUGAGCAGCAUUGGAAACAUCUCAAUAGGUUUAUUGAGACUGUUAAGAGCAAUGGUUUAAGCUUGUCAGCCACUAAGAUUAACCUCUUUCAAACUAAAGUAAGAUUCCUAGGUCAUCAUAUUCACCAAGGAACAUUCACCCCCAUUCAAAGAUAAAUUGAGUUUGCUGAUAAGUUCCCUGAUGAGAUUAAGGAUAAGAAACAAUUGCAACGUUUCCUAGGAAGCCUUAAUUAUGUGUCAGAUUUCAUACAAGAUUUAAGCCAAUUAUGUGCCCCUUUAAGACAAAGACUUAAGAAAAAUCCAGUUCCUUGGAAUGAGGAUCAUACCAAGAUUGUUAAAAUAGUAAAGUCUAGAGUCAAAACCCUACCAUGUCUCGCCUUAGCUGAUCAUAAAGCCUUUAAGAUUGUUGAGACUGAUGCUUUUGAUAUAGGUUUUGGUGGAAUUCUUAAGCAAAGAAGUAAUAAUCAAGAAUUGUUGGUUAGAUUCACUUCUGGAACUUGGAACCAUGCCCAACUCAACUACAACACCAUCAAAAAGGAAAUUUUAAGCAUCGUUUUAUGCAUUUCAAAAUUUCAAGACGAUCUUUUGAAUCAGGAAUUUUUAUUAAGAGUGGAUUGCAAAUCUGCAAAAUCAGUUUUACAAAAAGAUGUUAAAAAUAUAGCUUCUAAACAUAUUUUUGCUAGAUGGCAAGCUAUUUUAAGCAAUUUUGAUUUUCAAAUUGAGUAUAUUAAAGGAGAAAAUAACUCAAUCCCUGAUUUCCUAACUCAUGAAUUUUUGCAGGAUUCACAAGAUCAUGGCUCCCAAAAUAGAAAAGCAAUCCUUUAAGAAAUCAUCAUCUUACAUGAAACCUCAUUCAGUCUUAUCAGAAAAAUUCAAGCCUUUGUAUUAUGAUUUUGCUUCGGGAUCUCAGGGAUCUACUUCUGAUCCUAAUCCUCCUAUUCUUAAGCAUCCUUCCUCCCCUGUUGUGGAAGAAGGAAAUAUUUCUGGUUCUCUACCUUUGGUGGAAGAACCCAUCCCCUUAGACUUCUCUACUUUUGAUACUAACCCCUUAUCUGUUCAUAAGAGUAUUUGUGAUUUGCAGGCUAGGUGCAGGACCCUUGAAAAAAAGCUAGAAAUAGCUAAUUUUCACAAAAAAGAUAUAAGCCAAGCCCCUUUUUCCCCACUGGAAAUUGGUGAGAAAAAACCAUUCACCCCACUGGUGAAUGAGAAAUUAAGUAAGGAUGAGCAGGAGUGCAUUAUCUUUAGAAUGUUUCACCGAAUGAAUGAGAUCAUGUCCACUCUUAAGCCAAAUGAUAUUUAUCAGCUAAUUUGUGAAAAAGCCAAGUCCAGUGCAGAAGAAAAGCAAGUUUUUAUUUCGGCUUAUCUUCAGGAUCUGCACAUUUAUCUCUCAGCCAUUCCUGGUCUCAGUGUUCCAGGAUUAAAUUUAACCAAGGAAAUGGAAUUUGAUGGCUCAAAACUUUGCAGAAAUUGUACUGAAUCGCUUCUUCAUCAACAAGACAACAAGCCAAUUUGCAACUGCAAUAGGAAUUUCACUAUCAGCAGAGCCUGCAUUGAUCUACAGUAUUACCAACCAAUUAACCUUGCUUUCAAAGGAGAAGUUUUAAUCCUAACUCCUGAAAUGCUUCUUGAUUAUGGAUUGGUUUACCAACUUAUCUGUUCUGAUCCAAGUCAAGCUAGCAAUUUUGGCAGAAAGGUUAAUCUAAGCUUAACCCAAGGUUUUAAGUUAAACAAGAAGUUUGCUGAUGCCAUUUUUAUUAGCAAAGCUCCUGAAUGGAUUUCUAGAGGCAACGUUCUUCCAGCACAACACUAUGUUAAUCUUCAUUACCAGAAUAGAAGACCUACUCUUCUGUCCAGUCCCUUAGUUCAAACCGACAUUUGCGGAGAGCCAAUUAUUAAGCAAAUCAAGCAUUGGAGAGCCAGAGUCAUCAGCAGAGACUUUGAAGCCUACCCAAAAAACAUGGGGCAUCUCAUUGCUGCGGAUUCCCUACAUCAGAUUUUUUGCAGUAAAAAGAUUGACCCUUUACCGUUCAAAUCCACUAUUCAAGAUACUCAGCUCCUAAUGGAUCACCGCUCGGAAUAUAUUCCUCCCUGAUUAACUGAUCAGCAGUCAUUUCAGCCGAAAGCAAGCCUCCAGGUCAAAAGUCGAAAGUGCUACAGUUCCCUCUUACUGUUCACUUUUACUAUUCAAGCACUAUUCAAGCACGGGUCUAUUGUUCAUGGUUACUAUUCAAGAUUCCUUUUUUGCCUAUUUAAGGAGGCAAGGUCCUCAUUUGUAAGAACACUUGAAUUUUCUCUCCUAAGCUGAAGCUCUCCCUUCUCUCUUCUUUCCCUCUCAUCAUGUAAACCCUUCAAGCUUUCAAGCUUUCUUCAAGCUUUCAAGCUUUCUUCAAGCUUUCCUACCCUUGUCCAUUGUAAGAUAUUUCUCCUUAUGUAUAAUAUAAGUAUGUUUUGAUUGCCUCCUCUAUGGAUGGUUUUUAAUUAUGUUUUGUUUUUCAUUUUAUUUUAUGUUCUUAUACCGCCUACAUGGUCGGUUUUAAUUAAUUUUUAUUUUUAAGUUUAUGUUUUUUAUUUUGUACCGCCUACAAGGUCGGUUUUAAGCUUAUUAUGAACUAACAAGUUUUUGGUUCCUUCUCUUUAAAUUUCUUGUUGGAUAUCUUGUUUGAUUUCUAACCCUCUACUUUGUUUUGAAUCAUGGCAUAAUUCAUUUGUUCAUUGCACAUGACCUUGUCCUGGGUGUCUAUGGUAUCAGAGCCAUGUGGGAGGGAAGUUGGGUCUUGUUUUGGGUGUUCUUGGCCUAUCCUAGGAUAGGUAGCAGUGUGUCUGGGAGCGCGAGCCCUGCCGGUUGAGCCGUUGUUAGCCGUGGAUAGGCGUUUGUUAGGCUGUAAGAGGGUUGGGGUGACGUCUCAUAAGGUUUGUCAAUCUGCUAUUAGGCUCUAGUUCAAAAACCCUAAAAUGAGUUCAAUUUUCCGAACCAUGUCUAGGAGAUUCAGUGAUUCUCAAGAUACUGUUGUAAACAGUGAAGAGAUCAAUUAUCCUAAGAUCCAAAAUGAUUUAGAUGAUUGGAAGUUACCCAAGGUGUCUAAUCAAGAAAUUUAUAAGAAAGGAACCUUUAAGUUCUUCACAGAUUAUACCAUUAAGACCUCUGAAAUGUCAGUCAGCUUAGAACAAGACGACCAAGUCAUAAGACUUCUAGAUAACAGAUCCAUUGAUAAGCAUAAGAAAGAUGGCUAUAAUUUCAUACACUUUGGUAUGAUUCAAGUAGCAGCUAAGCCUUUGACAAGAUUAGGUUUAAACACCUCUAUUGUCAUGUGUUUAAGGGAUAAUAGGCAUCUCGAAUAUCGAGAUUCUAUUAUAGGCGCAGUCCAAGCUGGACUGAAUGAUGGCCCAGUCUAUUUCCAGUGCUAUCCUAACUUCACAGUUAGAAUAAGAGAUGCAGACAUCUUAGUCCGUUGUCCUGCAUUUUAAGACCCAUGGCUUUAAGAUCAAACCAGGAAACAAUCCUGUUUCUAUCAUAACCAGGUUUGCCUAUAAGAGCAUGAACACAAGCGUUGGAUCUGGGCUCUUUGUACCAGUCCUGAAGGUGAGACCACCUAUUUUCACUCAGAUAAGCUAGAUAAGUCAGAACUCAUCAUCCCCAAGAAGAUCUUGUGGAAAGAUGUUGAUUUCCCUGAAAAUUGGCAUUUUGCUAAUGCUGUUCCAGCCAUAGCACAACGUUCUGAAAGUAUUGAACAAAUAGUUCAAUAUCCAGAUGGAGAAGGAGAACUGGUCUUCUCCAAAUCUUUCAGACAUUCCAGUAGCCCUAGAGUUUCAGUUUAUGAACCCUCUAGAGCUUCAAGUUCUUCCAUUCCAGUUAGAACCACUAGGGAAGAAGAAGGAUCCAGCUCAGGAAAUCCUAAGAACAUUAAGCUAACAGGUGUUAGAAGUCACACCAACGUGGCUAGAUCAUUUUACAGUGAAGAAAAUGAGUCUACUCAGGAAUCCCAACAGGAUGAGUCCCCUGUUAUUUCUCCUACCUAUUCCCAGAUGAUUAACACAAUAAGCCUAAGUGAUGAGGACUUUGAGAUCAACAAGGAUCUCUUAAGAAAGGACUUCUAUUCUGAAGUCAAUAAGCAAAGAAAUGAUUGGUUCUUUAGCACUAUCCCUAAAUUCAUUAGAACCAUUUACCAAGAAGAAUUCUAUGCCUACUUAACACAAGAAAAGAAAAAUAUUAAGUUUUGGAUCUGGUUUGAACUCUUCAAACAAGAGGAAUAUCCAGAUUAUCCCUUUAAGCGUAUUAACAACACUAAGAGCACUGAUAAAACUAAGUCCUUUGAAUUUUCUAAGGAAUUCGAGGAAAAUCCCCAAAUCAACUAGGCUUUUGCUGAUAGGAUUAAUCAGAAGAUUAAGGAUAAUCUUGUUGCCCCUUUGACUGUUCAGCCUGAUAAGAGAAUUAAUAUGGUUAAAGGUGAUAUUAGUUCAGAAGAAGAAGCUGAUGAAUUAAUUAAGAUGUUUGAGGAACCCCACAAUCAAAUUAUUAACAACUUAGAAGCCUUUAAGACUAGGAAUUACUAUCCUAGGCCUACUUUUCCUGACAUGCAGUUUGAGGAAAGAAAUCAAUAUACUCAAGCCUCAUACACCAGUGGUACUAUCUAUGAAUGGAACAUAGACGGUAUCACCGAGUAUAACAUACUCACUAAGCUUCAAGAAAUGACCAUGGUUAGUACAGCCUAUAAAUUAAACAAUAGACUGCCAGAUCAUGCUGUAGCUCAGACCAUUGUUGUUGGGUUUACAGGUCAGCUUAAGGGUUGGUGGGAUAAUUAUCUCACUUUUGAUGAUAAGAAUAGUAUCCUUAAAGCCUAUAGGAUUAAUGAGAGUAAUGAAGUGGUUAAUGACGAAGAUGGCCAAGAUAUUGAGGAUGCAGUGGCUACUUUAAUCUACUCAAUAUCCAAGCACUUCAUUGGAGAUCCUGCAAAAAUUAAGGAUAAAACUGCAGAUCUCUUAACCAACCUUAAGUGUCCCAAGCUUCAUGAUUUUUGGUGGUAUAAGGAAGUCUUCCUAACCAAAGUCAUGCUAAGGUCAGAUUGUAACCAGUCUUUUUGGAAAGAAAAAUUCAUCUCAGGUUUACCCAAGCUUUUCUCUGAGAGAAUUAGGAUCAAGAUAAGGGAACAGUAUAACGGUCAAAUCCCUUAUGAUAAGCUAACCUAUGGUGAGAUUAUAAGCAUUGUCACAACUGAAGGGAUUAAGUUGUGAAAUGACUUCAAGCUUAAGCAACAAAUGAAGAAUGAACAAAAAAUCUACAAGAAUGAAUUUGGAUCAUUCUGUAGCCAGUUUGGUUUCAGCCAAAAAGAAACUAUGCCUCCUUCUAAGCAAAAACCAAGUAGGAAGCCUAGCAAAGAUAAAUUUUACCACAGUAAGAGAGGUACCCAUGACAACUAUAGGAUGAAUGAUACUAAGCAUUCAAGGCACGUCCAAAGAAAGGUCAACAAAGAUACCCAGAAAAAGAUAGAAACUCCUUUAGAAGUCAAGCCAAUUAUCUGUUUUAAAUAUGGCAAAGUUGGCCAUUAUAAGAAAGAUUUUAGAGUUAAGCAAAAGUUUAAUAACCUAAGUGUCUUAGAUGACCUAAAAAAUAUGCUUUGUAAGGUAUUGUUAAACUCCUCAGAUUCUGAAUCAAGGACUGAUCCAAAUAAUGAAGAUGAUAUUAAUCAACUAGAUAGUAGUGGCGAUGUUUCUAGCCAAUCUUCUAGUGACCAAGAUGUUUGUAUUAAGGGUAAUUGUAAUUGCCGUCCUAAAACCAUAAAUGUCAUAAGCCAAGAUCAGGAGUUCAUCCUAGAUACUUUAAGAAAAGUUGAAGAUGAAAAGACUAAGCAAAAUCUUUAUGAAGUUUUUAAGAAAUCUGUUGUUAAGGUAGAAGCCAAGAAGACUGUUAAUCCUUAUAACCUUAAUGAUAUCUUAAACAGGUUUGACCAACAGUCUCCCAAGGAAGUCAGCAUUAAGGAACUUCAUGAAGAAGUUAAGCAGCAUAAAAAAGAGAUUAAGGAGUUAAGACAAUUCAUAAGUCUAGGUCUCUCUGAUCUUCAAGAUCAAAUCAAUAGAAUUGGCAACCAAGAAAUCCAUAUGGAUAUUCCAGAAUCUUCUCAUGUUAAUGAUAAUGAGAUAGAUACUUUUUUGAAUACUGUGAGUAGGGUUAUCUUCCAGAGGUGGGAAGUCUCCCUUACUAUAGUAGUCAAAGAUAAAUUUGUCUUUGAUAUUAUUGCUUUGAUUGAUUCAGGAGCAGCUGAAAAUUGCCUUCAAGAAGGUCUUGUACCUAUUCCUUUAUGCGAAUAGACAAGUCAGUCUCUAUUUGGAGCCAAUGGCAAAAGACUUGCCAUUAAGUAUAAAUUAACAGAUGUUCAUAUCCGUAACCAUGACGUCUGUAUUAAGCAAACCUUUAUCCUUGUUAAGGAUCUUAAUGAAAAAGCCCUUCUAGGAAUACCCUUCUUAAGCUCUAUUUAUCCCUUGUGGGUAGAUAACCAAGGUAUAAGAACAAAACUUUUUGAUAAGGAAAUUCAUUUUGAAUUUGCUAAUCCAACUGUAAGCAUCACACCUUGUAAUCAAGAAAUUAAUCUUGUUAGAAUAGAUGAUCCACCUAAGAUAUUUGGUACCCAAUUCAUUCAUAAUCUCAUUAUAAAUGAUAUUUUCAGCAUUCUUUAUGCAUUUCAAAAUUUCAAACUGAUAUUUUGAACCAAGGAAUUUUAAAAGUGGUUUUCACAGCUGAGAAAACAAUUAAGUAUAUAGCUUUUAAGUAUAAUUUAAUUGAUUGGAUUAUUUUAAACCCUAAUUUUCAAAUUAAGCUUAUUAAAGGAGAAAGUUCCAUUCCUAAUCUCUCAACUCAUGGAAUUUGCAGGAUUCACGAGACCAUGGCCCCCAAGAAAGACAAACAACCUUUUAGGUCCAUUAAACCUACAGAUUCUAAGAAUUCUCAUUUAGUUCUUUCUGAAAAAUUCAUGCCACUUCAUUAUGGCCAUUUUGAAGUAGCAGGUUCUUCCAGCCACUUUAAUCAUCACAUUCCUUCAGCAUCCCCUAAUAGGGAUAUAGAUUCAAGCUUGGAAUCUCUACCUUUUGUGGAAGAUUCCUUCCCCAUAAAUCCAUCUUUUAGUAAUACUAACACUUUAUCUGAUUAUAUCAAUUGCAUUUUUGAAUGGCAGGGAAGGUAUGAGACCCUUGAAAGGAAACUUGAAUUAGUUGACUUUCAUAAGCUCAGGUUAAAAGCUCAAGCCUCAUUUUCCCCACUCGAAAAUGGUGAGAAUAAGCAUUCUACCCCACUGGUGAAUGAUAAAUUGAGUGAGGAAGAGUUGGGUUACCGUAUGCUAAGAAUGUAUCAUCAUAAGACAGAGAAUCUAUACUCUCUUAAGCCAGAACUACGUCUCCUAAUUUUGGAAAAGGCUAAGUCCUUAGCAGAAGAAAAACAGAUCUUCAUCUCUUCAUACCUCCAAGAUCUUCAUCUCUAUCUUUCUACCAAUAUUGGUCUUAAGGUCCUAGGUUUAAGCUUGGUUACUGAGAAGGAAGUUGAUGAUUCAAAAAUUUGCAGAAUAAUUGAAGAACCUUUCCAGUACCAAAAAGGCACCAAGAAGUUGAUUUGCAACUGCAACAGAAAUUUCACAAUCAGUCGUGUUUGCUUGGACUUGCAAUACUAUUCACCAAUCAGCAUCAAAUUCAAGGGUGAAGAUUUAUUAUUAACUCCAGAAAAGCUUCUGGACCAUGGUCUAGUCCAUCAAAUCAUCUGUACUGAUCCCAACCAAGUUUCCCAGUUUGGAAGAAAAAUUGCUCUUGGCCUAACCCAAGGAUUUAAAAUAAAUAAGAAAUUCGCGGAAGCCAUCAUCAUCAGCAAAGCUCCUGAGUGGGUUUCUAGUGGCAAGCUUAUUCCAGCUCAACACAUUGUUGCUCUUCACUAUCAGAAUAGGAGACCUACUCGGCUGUCUUACCCUCUGUUAUUUUAUGAUAUUUGUGCUGAAUCCAUUAUUAAACAAAUCAAACACUGGAGAGCCAUAAUUAUUUGCAGGGAUUUUGAGGCUUUUCCAAGAAAUAUGGGACAUCUUAUUGCUGCAGAUUCUUGUCAUCAAAUUUUCUGUGGCAAGAAGUUACACCCUCUUCCAACCAUGGCUAGUACUGAAGAUAUUAAGCUUCUUGAAGAUCAUCGUAAGGAUUUCUCAUGAUGACCGGUCAACAAGAAUAUUUUACAAGCUUUGCAGUUUCUGUACCAAAAGCAGCAAGCAUGCGUCUACACAGUAUAAAGCAGCCUGCCAGAAGUCUUCUCAGCCGAAAAAGGGUUUUUGGGGGAUUUCGGUAUAAAAGUGAAUCUUACUAUUCACUAUUCACUAUUCACUAUUCAAGCACAGGUCUACUGUUCAUGGUUACUAUUCAAGAUUCCUUUUUUGCCUAUUUAAGGAGGCAAGGUCCUCAUUUGUAAGAACACUUAAAUUUUCUCUCCUAAGCUUAUGCUCUCCCUUCUCUCUUCUUCUCUCUCAUCAUGUAAGCCCUUCAAGCUUUCAAACUUUCUUCAAGCUUUCCUACUCUUGUCCAUUGUAAGAUAUUUCUCCUUAUGUAUAAUAUAAGUAUGUUUUGAUUACCUCCUAUAUGGAUGGUUUUGUUUUUAUUUUAUGUUUUUAUGCCUCCUACAUGGAUGGUUUUAAUUAAGUUUUGUUUUUCAUUUUAUUUUAUGUUCUUGUACUGCCUACAUGGUCGGUUUUAAUUAAGCUUUGUUUUUAAGUUUAUGUUUUUCAUUUUAUACCGCCUACAUGGUCGGUUUUAAGCUUAUUAUGAACUAACAAGUUUUUGGUUCCUUUUCUUUAAAUUUCUUUGUUGGAUAUCUUUUGUAUUUUCUAACCCUCUUCUUUGUUUUGAAUCAUGGCAUAAUUCCUGUUUUCAUUGCAUAUGACCUUGUCCUGGGUGUCUAUGGUAUAAGAGCCAUGUGGGAGGGAAGUUGAGUCUUGUUUUGGGUGUUCUUGGCCUAUCCUAUGAUAGGUAGCAGUGUGCCUGGGAGCGCGAGCCCUGCCAGUUGAGCAGUUGUUAGCCGUGGAUAGGCGUUUGUUAGGCUGUAAGAGGGUUGAGGUGACGUCUCAUAAGGUCUGUCAAUCUACUAUUAAGCUCUAGUUCAAAAACCCUAAAAUGAGUUCAAUUUUCCGAACCAUGUCUAGGAGAUCCAGUGAUUCUCAAGAUACUGUUGUAAACAGUAAAGAGAUCAAUUAUCCUAAGAUCCAAAAUGAUUUAGAUGAUUGGAAGUUACCCAAGGUGUCUAAUCAAGAAAUUUAUAAGAAAAGAACCUUUAAGUUCUUCACAGAUUAUACCAUCAAGACCUCUGAAAUGUCAGUCAGCUUAGAACAAGACGACCAAGUCAUAAGACUUCUAGAUAACAGAUCCAUUGAUAAGCAUAAGAAAGAUGGCUAUAAUUUCAUACACUUUGGUAUGAUUCAAGUAGCAGCUAAGCCUUUGACAAGAUUAGGUUUAAACACCUCUAUUGUCAUGUGUUUAAGGGAUAAUAGGCAUCUCGAAUAUCGAGAUUCUAUUAUAGGCGCAGUCCAAGCUGGACUGAAUGAUGGCCCAGUCUAUUUCCAGUGCUAUCCUAACUUCACAGUUAGAAUAAGAGAUGCAGACAUCUUAGUCCGUUGUCCUGCAUAUUAAGACUCAUGGCUUUAAGAUCAAACCAGGAAACAGUCUUGUUUCUAUCAUAACCAGGUUUGCCUAUAAGAGCAUGAACACAAGCGUUGGAUCUGGGACUCUUUGCACCAGUCCUAAGGGUGAAAUCACUUACUUUCACUCAGAUAUGCUAGAUAAGUCAGACUUCAUCAUCCCCAAGAAGAUUUUGUGGAAAGAUGUUGAUUUCCCUGAAAAUUGGCAUUUUGCUAAUGCUGUUCCAGCCAUAGCACAGCGUUCUGAAAGUAUUGAACAAAUAGUUCAAUAUCCAGAUGGAGGAGGAGAACUGGUCUUCUCCAAAUCUUUCAGACAUUCCAGUAGCCCUAGAGUUUCAGUUUAUGAACCCUCUAGAGCUUCAAGUUCUUCCAUUCCAGUUAGAACCACUAGGGAAGAAGAAGGAUCCAGCUCAGGAAAUCCUAAGAACAUUAAGCUAACAGGUGUUAGAAGUCACACCAACGUGGCUAGACCAUUUUACAGUGAAGAAAAUGAGUCUACUCAGGAAUCCCAACAGGAUGAGUCCCCUGUUAUGUCUCCUACCUAUUCCCAGAUGAUUAACACAAUAAGCCUAAGUGAUGAGGACUUUGAGAUCAACAAGGAUCUCUUAAGAAAGGACUUCUAUUCUGAAGUCAAUAAGCAAAGAAAUGAUUGGUUCUUUAGCACUAUCCCUAAAGUCAUUAGAACCAUUUACCAAGAAGAAUUUUAUGCCUACUUAAGACAAGAAAAGAAAAAUAUUAAGUUUUGGAUCUGGUUUGAACUCUUCAAACAAGAGGAAUAUCCAGAUUAUCCCUUUAAGCGUAUAAAGGUUACCAGUAGUAAUAAUGAAAAAAAGUGAUAUGAAUUCUCUAAGGAAUUCCAAGAAAAUCCCCAAGUCAACCAAGCUUUUGUCGAUAGGAUUAAUCAGAAAAUUAAGGAUAAUCUUGUUACUCCUUUGACUGUUCAGCCUGAUAAGAGAAUCAAUAUGGUUAAAGGUGAUAUUAGUUCAGAAGAAGAAGCUGAUGAACUAAUUAAGAUGUUUGAGGAACCCCAUAAUCAAAUUAUUAACAACUUGGAAGCCUUUAAGACUAGGAAUUACUAUCCUAUGCCUACUUUUCCUGACAUGCAGUUUGAGGAAAGAAAUCAGUAUACCCAAUCCUCAUACACCAGUGGUACUAUCUAUGAAUGGAACAUAGACGGUAUGACCGAGUAUAACAUACUCACUAAGCUUCAAGAAAUGACCAUGGUAAGUACAGCCUAUAAGUUAAACAAUAGACUGCCAGAUCAUGCUGUAGCUCAGACCAUUGUUGCUGGGUUUACAGGUCAGCUUAAGGGUUGGUGGGAUAAUUAUCUCACUUUUGAUGAUAGGAAUAGUAUCCUUAAAGCCUAUAGGAUUAAUGAGAGUAAUGAAGUUGUUAAGGACGAAGAUGGCCAAGAUAUUGAGGAUGCAGUGGCUACUUUAAUCUACUCAAUAUCCAAGCACUUCAUCGGAGAUCCUGCAAAAAUUAAGGAUAAAACUGCAGAUCUCUUAACCAACCUUAAGUGUCCCAAGCUUCAUGAUUUUUGGUGGUAUAAGUCUUCCUAACCAAAGUCAUGCUAAGGUCAGAUUGUAACCAGUCUUUUUGGAAAGAAAAAUUCAUCUCAGGUUUACCCAAGCUUUUCUCUGAGAGAAUUAGGAUCAAGAUAAGGGAACAGUAUAACGGUCAAAUCCCUUAUGAUAAGCUAACCUAUGGUGAGAUUAUAAGCAUUGUCACAGCUGAAGGGAUUAAGUUGUGUAAUGACUUCAAGCUUAAGCAACAGAUGAAGAAUGAACAAAAAAUCUACAAGAAUGAAUUUGGAUCAUUCUGUAGCCAGUUUGGUUUCAGCCAAAAGGAAACUAUGCCUCCCUCUAAGAAAAAACCAAGCAGGAAGCCUAGCAAAGAUAAGUUUUACCACAGUAAGAGAGGUACCUAUGACAACUAUAGGAUGAAUGAUACUAAGCAGUCAAGGCACGUCCAAAGAAGGAUCAACAAAGAUACCCAGAAAAAGGUAGAAACUCCUUUAGAUGUCAAGCCAAUUACCUGUUUUAAAUGUGGCAAAGUUGGCCAUUAUAAAAAAGAUUGUAGAGUUAAGCAAAAGAUUAAUAAUUAAGUGUCUCAGAUGACCUAAAGAAUAUGCUUUGUAAGGUAAUGUUAAACUCAGAUUCUGAAUCAGGGACUGAUUCAGAUAAUGAAGAUGACAUUAAUCAACUAGACAGUAGUGGUGAAGUUUCCAGCCAAUCUUCUAGUGACCAAGAUGUUUGUAUUAAGGGUAAUUGUAAUUGCCGUCCUAAAACUAUAAAUGUCAUACGCCAAGAUCAGGAGUUUAUCCUAGAUACUUUAAGAAAAGUUGAAGAUGAAAAGACUAAGCAAAAUCUUUAUGAAGUUUUUAAGAAAUCUGUUGUUAAAGUAGAAGACAAGAAGACUGUUAAUCCUUAUAACCUUAAUGAUAUCUUAAACAUGUUUGACCAACAGUCUCCCAAGGAAGUCAGCAUUAAGGAACUUCAUGAAGAAGUUAAGCAGCAUAAAAAGGAGAUUAAGGAGUUAAGACAAUUCAUAAGUCUAGGUCUCUCUGAUCUCCAAGAUCAAAUCAAUAGAAUUGGCAACCAAGAAAUCCAUAUGGAUAUUCCAGAAUCUUCUCAUGUUAAUGAUAAUGAGACAGAUAUUUUUUUUGAAUACUGUGAGUAGGGUUAUCUUCCAGAGGUGGGAAGUCUCCCUUACUAUAGUAGUCAAAGAUAAAUUUGUCUUUAAUAUUAUUGCUUUGAUUGAUUCAGGAGCAGCUGAAAAUUGCCUUCAAGAAAGUCUUGUACCUAUUCCUAUAUGCGAAGAGACUAGUCAGUCUCUAUUUGGAGCCAAUGGCAAGAGACUUUCCAUUAAGUAUAAAUUAACAGAUGUUAAUAUCCGUAACCAUGACGUCUGUAUUAAGCAAACCUUUAUCCUUGUUAAGGAUCUUAAUGAAAAAGCCCUUCUAGGAAUACCCUUCUUAAGCUCUAUUUAUCCCUUGUGGGUAGAUAACCAAGGUAUAAGAACAAAGCUUUUUGAUAAGGAAAUUCAUUUUGAAUUUGCUAAUCCAACUGUAAGCAUCACACCUUGUAACCAAGAAAUUAAUCUUGUUAGAAUAGAUGACCCACCUAAGAUAUUUGGUACCCAAUUCACUCAUAAUCUCAUUAUAAAUGAUAUUUUCAGCAUUCCUUUAUGCAUUUCAAAAUUUCAAACUGAUAUUUUGAACCAAGGAAUUUUAAAAGUUGUUUUCACAACUGAGAAAACAAUUAAGUAUAUAGCUUUUAAGUAUAAUUUAACUGAUUGGAUUAUUUUAAACCCUAAUUUUCAAAUUAAGCUUAUUAAAGGAGAAAGUUCCAUUCCUAAUCUCUCAACUCAUGGAAUUUGCAGGAUUCACGAGACCAUGGCCCCCAAGAAAGACAAACAACCUUUUAGGUCCAUUAAACCUACAGAUUCUAAGAAUUCUCAUUUAGUUCUUUCUGAAAAAUUCAUGCCACUUCAUUAUGGCCAUUUUGAAGUAGCAGGUUCUUCCAGCCACUUUAAUCAUCACAUUCCUUCAGCAUCCCCUAGUAGGGAUAUAGAUUCAAGCUCGGAAUCUCUACCUUUUGUGGAAGAUUCCUUCCCCAUAAAUCCAUCUUUUAGUAAUACUAACACUUUAUCUGAUUAUAUCAAUUGCAUUUUUGAAUGGCAGGGAAGGUAUGAGACCCUUGAAAGGAAACUUGAAUUAGUUGACUUUCAUAAGCUCAGGUUAAAAGCUCAAGCCUCAUUUUCCCCACUCGAAAAUGGUGAGAAUAAGCAUUCUACCCCACUGGUGAAUGAUAAAUUGAGUGAGGAAGAGUUGGGUUACCGUAUGCUAAGAAUGUAUCAUCAUAAGACAGAGAAUCUAUACUCUCUUAAGCCAGAACUACGUCUCCUAAUUUUGAAAAAGGCUAAGUCCUCAGCAGAAGAAAAACAGAUCUUCAUCGCUUCAUACCUCCAAGAUCUUCAUCUCUAUCUUUCUACCAAUAUUGGUCUUAAGGUCCCAGGUUUAAGCUUGGUUACUGAGAAGGAAGUUGAUGAUUCAAAAAUUUGCAGAAUAAUUGAAGAACCUUUCCAGUACCAAAAAGGCAUCAAGAAGUUGAUUUGCAACUGCAACAGAAAUUUCACAAUCAGUCGUGUUUGCUUGGACUUGCAAUACUAUUCACCAAUUAGCAUCAAAUUCAAGGGUGAAGAUUUAUUAUUAACUCCAGAAAAGCUUUUGGACCAUGGUCUAGUCCAUCAAAUCAUCUGUUCUGAUCCCAACCAAGUUUCCCAGUUUGGAAGAAAAAUUGCUCUUGGCCUAACCCAAGGAUUUAAAAUAAAUAAGAAAUUCGCGGAAGCCAUCAUCAUCAGCAAAGCUUCUGAGUGGGUUUCUAGUGGCAAGCUUAUUCCAGCUCAGCACAUUGUUUCUCUUCACUAUCAGAAUAGGAGACCUACUCGACUGUCUUAUCCUCUGUUAUUUUCUGAUAUUUGUGCUGAAUCCAUUAUUAAGCAAAUCAAACACUGGAGAGCCAGAAUUAUUUGCAGGGAUUUUGAGGCUUUUCCAAGAAAUAUGGGACAUCUUAUUGCUGCAGAUUCUUGUCAUCUAAUUUUCUGUGGCAAGAAGUUACACCCUCUUCCAACCAUGGCUAGUAUUGAAGAUAUUAAGCUUCUUGAAGAUCAUCGUAAGGAUUUCUCAUGAUGACUGGUUAACAAGAAUAUUUUACAAGCUUUGCAGUUUCUGUACCAAAAGCAACAAGCAUGCGUCUACACAGUAUAAAGCAGCCUGCCAAAAGUCUUCUCAGCCGAAAAAGGGUUUUUGGGGGAUUUUCGGUAUAAAAGUGAAUCUUACUAUUCAUUAUUCACUAUUCACUAUUCAAGCACGGGUCUACUGUUCAUGGUUACUAUUCAAGAUUCCUUUUUUGCCUAUUUAAGGAGGUAAGGUCCUCAUUUGUAAGGACACUUGAAUUUUCUCUCCUAAGCUGAAGCUCUCCCUUCUCUCUUCUUUCUCUCUCAUCAUGUAAACUCUUCAAGCUUUCAAGCUUUCUUCAAGCUUUCCUACCCCUGUCCAUUGUAAGAUAUUUCUCCUUAUGUAUAAUAUAAGUAUGUUUUGAUUACCUCCUAUAUGGAUGGUUUUUAAUUAUGUUUUGUUUUUCAUUUUAUUUUAUGUUCUUAUACCGCCUAUAUGGUCGGUUUUAAUUAAUUUUUAUUUUUAAGUUUAUGUUUUUUAUUUUGUACCGCCUACAUGGUCGGUUUUAAGCUUAUUAUGAACUAACAAGUUUUUGGUUCCUUCUCUUUAAAUUUCUUGUUGGAUAUCUUAUUUGAUUUCUAACCCUCUUCUUUGUUUUGAAUCAUGGCAUAAUUCAUUUGUUCAUUGCACAUGACCUUGUCCUGGGUGUCUAAUAUAUAUAUAUAUAUAUAUAUAUAUAUAUAUAUAUAUAUAUAUAUACUUACUUUUGUAUAAGAAUUUUUAUAUUUUAUUCUAUUUUAUAAAUAAAGAUGAAAAAUGUAUCCAAACAUAUGCUAACUAAUUCUCUUUAAAAAUGCUUCUAAUGAAAAUAUGCUAACAAAUAAACUGCAAAUAAAAAUACUUUAAGCAAAUUCACUAUCAAGGGAGUCUAAGUUAUAAUAAAUAUUUUCAUCAAGAUUUAAAAGAAAUAAGGAAUUAAGGAAGAAGCUUCAAAAUGAUUUUAAUUUAAACUCAUUUCAUUUGUAAUCUUGCAAUCUCAUGCCCUAAAUGUUCCCAUUCAUCAAUUUUAUUGAUAAAAUUUUAUUAGAAUUAAUAAUUAUUAAAAAAAAUUAAAUUCAAAACCUUUUUAAAAAACCCCACUGUUUAUAUUGUAAUUUGGGUAGUCAUUUCUAAUAUAGAAGAUAUUAUCAACAUUUUAUUUAUUAUUUAUUUUCAUUUUGGUAAAAUUCUAGAAUUACGUGAAUUUUUCUUCUUAGAAUAAGAAAGAUAUAAUAAAGAAAAUGAGGGAAAGCUGAUACGCUAAAUGGAAAUAUGUGCAAUCAAUUUACAUAAAAUUAAAAUUCUGAUUAUUUUCAUUUUUAUUGUUUUUAUUUAAUCAAAAUGACAAUAAGCGGAAUGAAAAAAAAGAAAGGUGAGAAUUAAAAAUUCUUCGUGGAAAAUGCUAGCUGGUUGUACUAAUAAAGGUGAUGGUGAUGAUGAGUAGGGGGCAAUCAUUAUGUUUUCUUAUCAGAUGAGUGAUGAUCCCAAUCAGAAGGCUGACCACUUUAUUAGUGGUGAUGGUGAUAGUUUUCCACAUAUAUCAUCAUCUGUCUUGUGCAUGAUUAAAUUUUGUGGCUUAAAAAUGAGGAUUACCUAUUUACCCCUUUAGGUAGUUUUCAAGAAUUAAGAUAAAAACUUUUAAAACCAUAUCAAGUUUCAUGGUAAAAUAUCAUCAACCCCGACUUAAAUUUUAUCAAAAUAAAAAUUAUUUUUAAGUAAUAUAAAAUAGAAUAACUUUAAUAAAGGUGAUAGUGAAGAUGAUGGUGGGUACACUAAAGGUAUAAAAUUGACGACUUUUAAAGGAUUUAAGAUCUUAGAUAAGGAAAACUAUACAUCAUAUAUCAUUAUAAUUGGAUCUUUAUUCUUAUAUUUAGAUAAGAUACUUUGAUUAAAGAAAUUUAUAGUUAUGAAAAAAAAUAAAUUUUGUAACUUAAAAAUAUAAAUUACCUAUUUACUCCCUCCAAAUGGUUUCAAGAAUUAAUAAAAUCUUUUAAAAACUAUAUAGAAUUUCAUGAUAAAAUAUCAACUCUCAAGAAUGUCAAAAUACUUAAAAUUUUAUCAAAAUAAAAAUUAAUUUUCAUUAAUACAAAACAAAAAUAAACUUUUUUUUUUUUGGAUAGAAAGUGAUAAUUAAAAGAUUUUCAAUUGAAAAUAUUAUACAACGGAUGUUGAUAGAAUGUUAGCUAACAUGUUUAUGUAGGAUUUAAUUUGUGAAAAAUGGAUAAAAAUCAAUUGGCUUAUUGAUGGGACAAUUAAAAGUGUAUUCGAUAGUGAUUUUAUAAAACGUUUUUAUUCUUAAAAGUAUUUUUUUAAAAAAAAAUUAAGUUUAAAAAAACACUCUUAAAAAUAUGAAAAAUCACUUAUAAUUGAGAAAAAAACUUUUAUAAUAUUUUUCAAAAAAAUACUUAAUAGAUGAUUAUCUUAAAAACACUUUUUGAUACAAUAUUUCCGUACCGAACACAUUUCUAAUAUUGCAAAAAAAUUGUCAAUAUAUAUCAUUGAUGGACAUAGUCACAAUAAUUACAUUUCCCACAAAUUUUCUAGAAACCAAGCAUAUUAAUGGGAAUUACAAGUCGCUUGGAAUCAAAUUAAGUUACAUCUGAGGGGCAAUAAGGGAACAUGAAGCACCGUCUUCAACGAGAUGUUGAAGCCAAUACCUAUACCUUCUAAACCAACUCCUCUCUUUUGCUUCAUUCAUCAUCCCAAAGUUCUCCACAGCAUUGUUUAGGAUAUUAUGAUAUAUUUUAGGAAAGUAGUUGUUAUUGUUUAGGAUUGUUUCCUAAACUCACAGUUUUUCCUUAAUUAGGUUUGCUUGAUGUACUAUAUAUUUAGGUGGAUGAAUAUCAAUUAGGGUCAAGCUCUGACCCUUUAAUCACACUUUUCACAAUACCUAUACCUUCUAAACCAACUCCUCUCUUCUGCUUGAUUCAUCAUCCCAAAGCUCUCCACGCUCAUCAUUUCCCUCAAAACUAGUUAUUAAUCCUCUUUGACAAAACCAUGGGCAACAUUUUCUCCGUCGAAAUCUCCGUUAACCACGCUAUCUCUAGUUGCUGGAAUCGCACUACUGAACAUGCAAAUUACCUGUGCAAACUCCCAGAAAAUCUGGUAGCUCUGGGAACUGCUUGUAAAAGAUUGGGGGAGUUCAGGAACGAUGUGAUGAGGAGGGUGGAUAUCGCUGAGAGGGAACAAAUGCAGCGGCUCGACCAAGUUCAAGGGUGGCUUUCAAGGGUCGAAAAUCUGGAAACUCAAGUCAGUCGACUCAUUGAAGAUGGCACGGAGGAGAUUGAGAAGAAAUGUCUCGGUGGUUGUUGUCCUAGGCGUUGCAGCACCAGAUACAAGUUGGGGAAGAGAGUGGCUAGAAAGUUGAAAGAAGUGGACAAUCUAAUGAGCCAAGGAUCUUUUGAUCUGGUGGCUGAGAGGUUACCUUCACCUCGCGUAGGUGAAAGGCCAAGUGAAGCAACUGUCGGCAUGGAUUCGAGGCUUGACAAGGUUCGGAGCAGCAUGGACGAAGAACGAGUGGGAAUUAUCGGCCUAUAUGGGUUAGGAGGUGUUGGAAAAACCACCCUCUUAACCCAAAUCAAUAAUGCUUUUACUAAAAGAACCCAUGAUUUUGAUUUUGUGAUCUGGUCAACAGUUUCCAAAAAUGUAAACCUUGGAAAAAUUCAGGAUGACAUUUGGAAGAAGAUAGGGUGUUGUGAUGAUAGAUGGAAAAGCAAAGAUCGAGAUGAGAAAGCUACGAGCAUCUGGAACGUCCUGACCGGAAAGAGGUUUGUGCUGUUGCUAGAUGAUGUUUGGGAGCGGCUGACUUUAUUAGACGUCGGGGUUCCACUCCAAAAUAAGAAAAAUAAGAUAGUAUUCACCACUCGAUCUGAAGAGGUGUGCGCUCAAAUGGAAGCUGAUAAGAGGAUCAAAGUGGAUUGCCUAACAAGGACCGAAUCCUGGGAUUUGUUUCGAAAGAAUCUUGGAGAAGACGCUCUCAAAUUCCAUCCUGAAAUACCCAAGCUAGCUCAGGUCGUUGCACAAGAGUGUUGCGGUUUGCCACUUGUGCUAACUACCAUGGGUAAGGCCAUGGCUUGUAAGAAGACGCCGCAGGAAUGGAAACAUGCAAUUAGAGUGUUCCAAAGCUCUGCCUCAAAAUUGCCAGGUAUUGGGGACAGAGUGUUUCCUCUUUUAAAAUACAGUUAUGAUUCCUUACCCACGGAAGUUGCCAGAUCUUGCUUCUUGUAUUGUUCUCUAUAUCCGGAAGAUGAUGAGAUGUCAAAAUCAAGUUUGAUAAACCGUUGGAUUUGUGAAGGCUUUUUAGAUGAAUUUGAUGACUGGGAGGGAGCAGAAAACCAGGGUUACAACAUUAUUGGCACUCUGAUUCAUGCAUGUCUAUUAGAAGAAGGUGAUGUUGAUUAUCAAGUAAAACUGCAUGAUGUAAUACGUGAUAUGGCAUUGUGGAUAGCUCGUGAAACUGGGAAGGAGCAGGACAAGUUCUUGGUGAAGGCCGGCAGUACGUUAACUGAAGCUCCUGAAGUUGCUGAAUGGAUGGGGCCAAAAAGGAUUUCACUUAUGAAUAACCAAAUCGAGAAACUAACAGGGUCUCCCAUUUGCCCCAAUCUCUCAACUUUGUUUCUUCGGGAAAAUAGUUUGAAGAUGAUCACUGAUAGUUUCUUCCAGUUUAUGCCAAAUCUAAGAGUUUUAGACUUGUCAGAUAAUAGCAUAACUGAAUUACCACAGGGAAUCUCUAAUUUGGUUUCACUACGAUAUCUCGACCUAUCACUCACUGAAAUAAAAGAGUUGCCAAUUGAGUUGAAGAACCUGGGUAACUUGAAAUGUUUGCUGUUGAGUGACAUGCCUCAACUUUCUUCAAUUCCAGAGCAGUUGAUAUCAAGUCUUUUGAUGUUGCAAGUGAUUGAUAUGUCCAACUGUGGAAUUUGUGAUGGUGAUGAAGCCUUGGUUGAGGAAUUGGAGUCCUUAAAGUACUUGCAUGAUUUAGGUGUCACUAUAACAAGUACCUCUGCUUUCAAAAGGCUUCUAAGCUCUGACAAGCUAAGAAGCUGCAUUUCCAGUGUAUGCCUCAGGAAUUUCAACGGUUCAAGCUCUCUCAAUUUAACAUCUCUCUGCAAUGUAAAGAAUCUCUGUGAGUUGUCUAUCUCAAACUGUGGCUCGUUGGAAAAUUUGGUGAUUGAUUGGGCUUGGGAAGGAAAGAAAACAACAGAAUCUAAUUACCUUAACUCAAAGGUCAGUUCCCACAACAGUUUCCACAGCCUUGAGGUGGUGGUCAUCGAAAGCUGUUCGAGGUUGAAGGACCUCACAUGGGUUGCUUUUGCUCCAAACCUUAAAGCGCUUACAAUAAUUGAUUGUGAUCAAAUGCAAGAAGUAAUAGGUACCGGUAAAUGUGGUGAAUCUGCAGAGAAUGGAGAAAACCUGAGUCCAUUUGUCAAACUCCAAGUACUUGAGUUAGAUGAUCUACCACAAUUGAAGAGCAUAUUUUGGAAAGCCCUGCCAUUUAUCUACUUAAAUACAAUCUAUGUAGAUAGUUGUCCACUUCUAAAGAAGCUGCCACUCAACGCCAACAGUGCCAAGGGACAUCGAAUUGUCAUUUCCGGACAAACCGAGUGGUGGAAUAAAGUAGAGUGGGAGGAUGAGGCAACUCACAACGCUUUUCUUCCAUGUUUCGUACCUAUUGAAGAAUAAGGGGCUGCAGCAAUCUCAGAGAGGCUACGAUGCGAUUCUCGGUGAGACCCUUUUCACAAUUAACUAUCAUUUGAUCAUGAAUAGGUAUUGAUCCAAAUAAAGCAUUCAAUUAUAGCAUCUUUCCAUGGUCGUAUACCUGCCACAUACUGAUAUACUUAAAAAAUGCUAUUCCAUUUCAAACACAUAAGGCAAUUGAUUGCAGGUUUACAAGGAGUCAUCUUGUUAUUGGAAUUCAAAAUCUACAACUUUUACGGUCAUGUUUAGUUAUUAGAAAAUAUUAAGGAAAGAAAAUAAAUAUUAAUGAAAAUAAUUUAUUUUUUGUAUUUGGUUAUAUUAUGAAAAAUAUAAAAAAAAUCAAAUAUAAAUAAAAUUAGUUUGAAAUUUACAAAUUUUCUAAAUUUUUUAAUUUUUAUAUCGAAAAGUUAAAAUAAAUAAAACAAAUUAGAAGUAGCGUAUAAAAGUAAUCUAUUAAUUUUAAAUUUUUUUUUAAUUUUUUUUUACUUUUUUUCCUUGCAUUUUUCCUUUUUAUUUUCUUUAUAUUACAAUUCUCUCAAAUUUUCCAAGAACUAAACAUAGCCUACAUAUAAUGAUCAAAUAUGAUCUUACAAACCAACCCAUAUAAAAAUUUAAGCCCAAUCUUGUGGCUUUUCUAAUUUGGUUUAAUAAGUCAAUGGUAUAUAUCCUUAUGCAAUCUUAUUUUGUUUAGUUGCAGAAUAUAACUUCAUAUGUCAGAAAUGCUUCCACGAUCUUCACUCAAUAAGAAUCCAUUGUUGUCCAAGGUUGAAGGAUAUGAAUGGCUUAUUUUCAUGCCAACUUUUUAGUAUGUUGAUGAAAUUAUAGACUGUCAAAAUAGAACAUAUAAUUACUUAUCUAUGUGAGGUAAACUGUUGGUUUAUGUAUGUUGUUUCAUAGUGUUUGUGUGAAUAUGUUGUUUCUCUUCGAAUUGCAAUAUUACAUUUUUUGUAUUCUAGGGAUUGUGAGUGCAUUUUAUGAUUUAUGUAAAAAAUUUGAGUUGGAUGGCUUUCUUUAAUUGCUCUACUUGAAUGGAAGAGCAUGUACAUGAUAUCUUUGCUUGGAAACAAUCUAGUGUAUAAUUUCAAAAAUAUAAUCCUAUUUUCAAAUAGAAAAGAUAGUUGAGUCAAGGUACUCCUGGACCAACUAGGAAUUGUAUCUUUGUUCGUGGAGAAACAAGCAUUCUUGAGAAAAAAAUCAAGUCCCUCUUUGUACAAAAAUUUUAAGGGAGAACUUGCCCAAGUCAUGGGUAGACCAUAAUUGGGGCACCUUAGCUAAUAAUGGUCCCAUUUGGUUCCCUAUCUAUGUUUAUCAAAUACACCUUUUCAUAAUUGUAAUGGGAAUGGAGUGUGGGAUUUAUACAAUGUUAAAGCAUGUAUUCCUUAAUUUUGCAAUAUGUUAAAGAGGAUGAAACAUUUUUAUUUGUUGCAAUUCAAGAGCAUGUACGAAAAUGCUCUCGCCUUGUGUUCAAAAUAGAAGAACUCAUUUAUCUUAUGUCCAUUAAACUUUUUUCAAAAUUUUGAGAAAGUGAAAAUUUUUCACUUCCUUAAAUUUUUAAUUUUUUUUUUAUGUAGUGUUUUCAAGUAUACAAGGUUUUUACUUGUUUUAGUAUAAUAAUUCUUAUAUUUUAUAUAAGACUUCCUAUUUAAAAAAUAGAAAAUAGAAUAUGUAUCCAAUCAUACACCUAAGUGAUUCUCUUAACAAAAGUACUAUAGAUAAAAAUACUUUAACGAGAAUCACUCCCAAAUGUGUUCUAAGUUAUAUUUUCUAAUGGACCAACUUUUCUAUCAAAAAUUUUUUUGAGUAGACAAUAAUUUAUAAUUAAAUGUAAAACAUUUUUACUCCAUGAUAAUUUUUAUUUAUCUUUUUCCCCUUUAAUAUCCACCUCUCAAUAUCUUGGUAUUUUAAACUAAGGAUAUAAUUUUAUUAGUUGUGCGCAUGACAUUGUCUUACAUAUCCAUGUAAGGUUUUUUCUAAAAUAAAUAAUUAAAAAUUUCAUUAUUAAAAAAAAAAAUAGAAUCAAUAAUAUCUUAUUUUUAUAUAAUACCAUAACUAACAAAUUUCUUACCAUUUUUAUGUUCAUAAAAAAGAAAUAAAUAAGUAAAUGUGUGAAACUAAUAAAAAUAAUUAUUGAUUUACGGUAAUUAUUUGGAAUAUAUUAAUAUUUAACUGAUGGAGCAUUAGCUUAGCUUAGCUAUCAAAUCACUUUUUUUUUUUUGUUUAUAUUCAAAUAGUAAGUUAUUCUAUUUGAAACUAUUUCUAAUGUAACCAGUAUUUAAAAUCACUUUUAAAAAUCUCAAGAAAUGACUUGAAGUGAUUUGUAAACAAUCACUUGAUAUGAUUUUCUUAAAAAUCAUUUUUUAAUACAAUAAUAUGUUACAAAAAAAAUUAUCAGAACAUCUUUUGUUCUUUUUUAAUUUAUAUAUAUCUAUUGUUUUGGAUAUACUUCCCAUCUAUAUGUAGGGACCCCUCCCUCUAAGAAACACGUGGCACGCAUCUCACAGUGACACGUGGCACGCAUCUCACAGUGACACGUGGCACGUGUUAUUAGCCGGACCAUCAUCAUCCGGAUUCCCCUAAGGAUAUGCAUGAUGCAGUUCUCCUAUCCGGACUGCCUCAAAGAAAGGCAAAUGACGUUUCAGCUUCUCCUAUCCAAGGAAGAGCAAACGACGCUGGCAGAGCAUAGACAUCCGGACAACCUUCAUAAUACAUCCGCUCCGCAAUACAUCCGGAUAAUCAGCAUGUGCCAUCCGGAUAUAUCAGCAUGUGCCAUCCGGAUAUAAUCGACCGGAUCAUCAAUUAAAGUAAAGCAAGUCUUACACGCUAUCACAACGAACAGCCAUGGCCCACAUCCUGUCACCUGCAGAGUGAGAAGACAAGAUGAAGUGACAGCAAGUCACUUCCCACGAUCAUUCUACAUGAUCACUUCCCAAGAUCUCUGACAGCCGCAUCACCUACCAUGGUUUCUGACAAGCCGCUCGUAGGGUGAUGAUGCUCUUGCUGACGCCUAUUAUCAUCAUAACAACAUAAAAUAUCUUCUCACCAUUAAUGAGAAGAACAGUACCCCUGAAGCUGUAUAUAUAUAAGCCUUCACACAAAGAGGAAGAAGAUCCCCUGGUAACCUCCUGAUACCUGGUAAAAGGCCAACUGAUUUAUAUCUCUCUCACCAUGGCUAAUAAAACCAUCGGAGGGUGCGUCCGGACACCCUGUCCGGAUGCCUUCUUGCAGGUAUAACGGCUGGAUCAAGAACCUUUAUGGGUUGAAAUCACGUGUCCAUCCAUCUGGCAAUUACGUGGAUCAUCAAAGACGCGAGGUAUCAACAUUGGCGCCGUUUGUGGGAAAGCUAUUUUUCGUUUGAUUCAGUCACUGGCAAAGAUGGCCACACCUUCCCGAAGCCAAUCCUCUGGUAGAGGAGAGGAAGAUAAUUUUGAAUGGCGUAAAGCCAUCAAAAGGAGGCAGUUGGCAAGUGAAAAACAACUGAAAGCUCUCCUCCAGGAGAUAGAGAGGUUAAGAGAAGAAAACGCUGUGUUACGCAUUCAGGCCUCAACGUCGGGACCUCCUCGUCGUCAGCGUUCGAGAGGCCAGGUGGCAAACUCUAGGCCAGAGUCAGAAUCAAUAUAUCCUGGGUCAGCAGGAGCUAUCCCAGGAGCAUGCAACGUGAGGCCUCAUGAGCCACGCACACCCUUGCCUCGAGCUCCCCGGGAGGAAAGCUUAGAUUCCACUCAUUUUUCAGCAAAGAGACAACGUGAUAAAAAAAAAAAAAACAGUUGUCAAGUUCAAUGCGCGCAAGACUAGGCCCACAACAGCCUAGGAGAUCAAGGCCACCAGUAGCCACAACUGGGGCACCACGCCCUGACCCGAGGAUCGCUCCCAUGAUGCAGAACGUACCUCCGCAUCGUGACCCCAUGGUCGCUCCCGCGAUGCGGAACGUUCACUCACACCUAGCGGAACGACCAACUGGGAGAAACCUCCCAAACGAGCCACCCAUUGGCUCCAUUAGCAAAAGGCUGGAUGACAUGCUCUCCACGCCCUUCUGCUCUCAUAUCAUUCAUUACGAGCCCCCAAGGGGAUUCCUCGUACCAAAAUUUUCCACAUACGAUGGAACCAACGAUCCCUUCGAUCACAUCCUGCACUAUCGACAGCUCAUGACGCUCGAUAUUGGCAACGAUGCACUACUAUGCAAAGUAUUUCCCGCCAGCCUACAAGGGCAGGCCCUCUCAUGAUUUCAUCGCCUACCUCCCAACUCUGUUGACAAUUUCAGGGACCCGUCUGAAGCUUUCGUGGGACAAUACUUGUGCUCCGCUCGACAAAAGUAGAAUAUCAGCACCCUCCAGAACAUAAAAAUGCGAGAUAACGAAUCCUUGAGGGAAUUUGUGAAACGAUUUGGCCAGGUCGUACUUCAAGUAGAGGCUUGCAGCAUGGACGCGGUCCUACAGAUCUUCAAACGAAGCAUCUGUCCAAGCACUCCAUUUUUCGAAUCACUGGCCAAAAAGCCUCCUACAACGAUGGACGAUUUGUUCAGACGUGCCAACAAAUAUUCAAUGCUCGAAGAUGACGUGUGUGCGGCCACUCAGCAAGUUUUGGUUGCCGGACAGGCAUCUAGAGGUGACGCGGAAAAAAAUGCUAAACCUCCGGAUCGACCAGGGUCAUCUGAUCGAAGGCAAGAAGGACCGAAUCGCCCGGAUAGGCCGCCUCUCACACCCCUCUCCAUAUCAUAUGAAAAACUUCUCCCAAUGAUCCAAGGCUUGUCCGACUUCAAGUGGCCUAAACCCAUCGGAACGGACCCAUCCACAAGGGAUCGUAGUAGGAGAUGUGUCUUCCACAAAGAUCAUGGCCAUACAACAGAGACAUGUCGCGCUCUCCAAUAUCUGGUUGAGAAGCUCAUCAAAGCAGGGCAUUUGAAGCAAUACUUUCGCACGGAUACUGGGGGUAGGGACGUUUCCCAGCACAACAACCCUGGAGCCCCUAGGGCCCCAGUUGCCCCCAAGGCCGUUAUCAACUAUAUUAACGGAGGACCAUCUGACGAGGAGUAUGACUCCAGGCGGAAAAGGCAGAAAUUGUUGCGGGCUGCAUCAAUACGCGAACGCAUUAAUUCCAUCCGGCCGGGUCUAACUGGAGAGGGCCCUCGCCCUAUAGAUGGGACAAUCAUCUUUCCACCAGUGGAUCCCACCCGGACACUGCAGCCACAUCGCGACGCCCUCAUCCUCUCCCUAGAGAUAGGAGAUUUCGAUGUAAGACGUAUCCUGGUCGACCCAGGCAGUUCGGCCGACCUGGUGCAAGCAUCAGUCGUUGGCCACAUGGGACAUAGUCUCGCGGGCCUUGAAAACCCCAGACGAAUCUUAUCCGGAUUCAACGGAUCAUCAACCACAUCCUUGGGAGAUAUCAUACUGCCGAUCCAAGCUGGCCCAGUCACCCUCAACGUACAGUUUUCAGUAGUGCAGGAGUUAUCACCCUUCAAUGUCAUUUUGGGGCGCACAUGGCUCCACUACAUGAAAGCUAUCCCCUCUACAUAUCAUCAAAUGGUGAGUUUUCUCACCAACGAUGGCCAAAUCGACCUAUAUGGCAGCCAAUUAGCCGCUCGCCAAUGCUAUCAAAUAGCACGGGAAGCAGGGGCCAACCAGGAGGAUGCAUCUCCCCCUGAACCCAACCAUACACAUGACCAAUAUCAAUUAUUGGGUCCGGCGGACAAAGAUCCUCCGGCAGCAGACCCCUUGCAAACAAUCCAAAUUUCGGAGGAAAACACUCACCUCACGAACAUCAGUUCCCUCAUGACACAAGAAGAAACUCAGAGCAUGCAAAAUAUUCUCAGACAAAACCAUGACAUCUUCGCAUGGACACAUUCUAAUAUGAAGGGAAUCCAUCCCUCUAUUGCCUCUCACAAGCUUAACGUCUUUUCAACUGCCAGACCCGUCCGGCAGAAGAUUAGACGCUUCCAUCCGGACAGACAAAAAGUCAUCCGGAAUGAGAUUGACAAAUUGCUAGAGGCCGGAUUCAUCAGAGAAGUAUCUUAUCCGAAUUGGUUGGCAAACGUAGUGGUGGUACCCAAAAAAGAAGGAAAAUGGCGAGUUUGUGUAGAUUACACCAAUCUCAACAAUGCAUGUCCAAAAGACAGUUUUCCCUUGCCACGAAUAGAUCAAAUUGUGGAUUCCACUUCCGGGCAAGGGAUGCUCUCUUUCUUGGAUGCCUUCUCCGGAUAUCAUCAAAUCCCCAUGUCCCCGGAUGAUGAAGAAAAGACAGCAUUCAUAACGCCACACGACCUCUAUUGCUAUAAAGUCAUGUCAUUCGGACUCAAAAAUGCUGGCGCCACUUAUCAGAGAUUGAUGACUAAAAUCUUCAAACCUCUGAUAGGCCACACGGUGGAGGUAUAUAUUGAUGAUAUCGUGGUUAAAAGCAAAACUCGAGAGCAGCAUGUCUUUCACUUACAAGAAGUUUUUCACCUCUUACGAAAGUAUGGCAUGAAGCUAAAUCCUUCUAAAUGCGCCUUUGGCGUAAGUGCUGGCAAAUUUCUGGGAUUCAUGGUCAGCCAAAGGGGCAUAGAAGUCAGCCCGGAUCAAGUCAAGGCAGUCAUGGAAACACCCCCUCCCAGGAACAAGAAGGAAUUGCAACGCCUCACAGGCAAGCUCGUUGCAUUAGGGCGUUUCAUAGCCCGCUUCACUGAUGAACUGCGACCCUUCUUCUUGGCAAUACGAAAAGCUGGAGCACACGGAUGGACAGACAGUUGCCAAAAUGCUUUCGAAAAUAUCAAGCAUUGUCUUACGCAACCACCCAUCUUGAGCAACCCCAUCCUAAAGAAAAAAUUGUAUAUGUAUCUGGCGGUAUCAGAAUGGGCAAUCAGCGCCGUUUUAUUUCGCUGCCCCUCACCCAAUGAGUAGAAACCUAUCUACUACUUCAGCAGGGCAUUGGCAGACGUAGAAACCAGAUAUUCAAAGAUGGAGCUAACAGCCUUAGCCCUUCGAAGCGCUGCCCAGAAGCUCCGCCCUUAUUUCCAAGCUCAUCCAGUGAUCGUACUAACUGACCAGCCCCUUCGCAACAUUCUGCACAAGCCAGAUUUAACCGGGAGAAUGCUGCAAUGGGCCAUCGAAUUAAGAGAAUUUGGAAUCGAAUUCCAACCCAGAUUGUCCAUGAAAGGUCAAGUAAUGGCUGACUUCGUUCUAGAAUAUUCCCGAAGACCCAGCCAACACCACGAAUCAAGUAAACAAGAAUGGUGGACUUUACGAGUUGACGAAGCCUCACGCUCAUCAGGCUCUGGAGUUGGGCUCCUACUACAGUCCCCAACUGGGGAACAUUUGGAGCAAGCCAUCCGGCUGGGAUUCUCUUCCUCUAACAAUGAAGCAGAAUAUGAGGCCAUCUUGUCCGUAUUGGAUCUCGCCCUUGCUCUAUCUGUCUCCAAACUCCGGAUCUACAACGACUCACAACUCGUGGUAAGGCAUGUCCAGAAGGAAUAUGAGGCUAAGGACGCACGCAUGGCGCGAUACUUAGCUAAAGUAAGAAGCACCUUGCAGCAAUUCACGGAAUGGACAAUAGAAAAAAUCAAGCGAACUGACAAUGGGCGCGCUGACGCCUUGGCGGGUAUAGCUGCCUCCCUCCCCAUCAAAGAAGCUAUUAUAUUGCCUAUACAUGUGCAAACCAACCCCUCUGUCACAGAAAUUUCCACCUGCAACACCAUUGAGGCAAACCAGGCGGACGAUCAAGAAUGGACGUACGACAUUGCAGAAUAUCUCCGGACAGGAACCCUACCCGGAGAUCCCAAACAGGCACACAAAAUCCGGGUGCAAGCUGCCCGUUUCACCUUAAUUGGGGGGCACUUGUACAAACGAUCCUUCACAGGACCUUACCUUCGGUGCCUAGGGCAGUCAGAGGCCCAGUAUGUGUUAGCUGAGUUACACGAAGGAAUAUGCGGGAAUCAUUCAGGAGGACGAUCCCUGGCACAUAGAGCUCAUUCGCAAGGAUACUAUUGGCCAACAAUGAAGAAAGACACGACAGCAUAUGUUAAAAAAUGUGAUAAAUGUCAACGGUAUGCUCCCAUUCCACAUAUGUCGUCAGCAACAUUGAAAACAGUCUCAGGCCCAUGGCCUUUUGCACAAUGGGGCAUGGAUAUAGUGGGACCCCUCCCAGCAGCACCUGCCCAGAAGAAAUUCCUCCUUGUGGCCACUGAUUACUUUAGUAAAUGGGUAGAAGCUGAAGCAUAUGCAAGCAUCAAAGACAAAGAUGUCACCAAGUUCGUAUGGAAGAACAUUGUUUGCCGUUUUGGAAUCCCCCAAACAAUCAUAGCUGACAAUGGCCCGUAAUUUGACAACAUUACAUUUAGGAAUUUCUGUUCGAAGCUAAACAUCCGGAAUUCAUACUCCACACCGCGCUAUCCUCAGAGCAACGGGCAAGCAGAAGCCACAAACAAGACCCUAAUCAAUGCCCUAAAGAAAAGGCUUGAGCAAGCUAAAGGGAAGUGGGUGGAGGAGCUACCCGGUGUCCUAUAGGCCUAUCGAACCAGACCCGGACGACCAACAGGAAACACUCUUUUUGCCCUCGCAUAUGGAAUGGAUGCAGUCAUUCCUACUGAAAUAGGUCUUCCUACUAUCCGGACUGACGCAGCAAAGCAAGAUGAUGCAAGCGCGGAAUUAGGGAGAAAUUUAGAUUGGGCAGAUGAAGUAAGGGAAAACGCGGCCAUCCGGAUGGCAGAUUAUCAACAAAGGGCAUCAGCACAUUACAAUCGCAAAGUGAGGCCAAGAAGCUUCAAAAAUGGUACGCUAGUCCUUAGAAAAGUUUUUGAAAACACUACUGAAGUAGGCGCAGGGAAGUUCCAGGCCAACUGGGAAAGACCCUAUAUAGUGUCUAAGGCAGGUGAAAAUGGAGCCUAUCAUUUACAAAAGUUAGACGGAACUCCAUUACUUAGACCUUGGAAUGUGUCUAAUUUAAAACAGUACUAUCAAUGAAAAAGUAAGACAAAGUACAAAUGGAAAAAGACAUAUUUUAUUGAUGUAUAUAAAUGUAUGUACAAAAAGGUCUCCGGACCGUAGAAAGUACAAAAAGAAGAUUAUAGCAAAAAGUUGCAAAAAGACAAAAGCUAUCAGGGAGCAGGCUUAAAGUUUCUUCUCUUCGCUCGGAGGAAUUGAAGGGACAUCUCGUUUUAUACCGUUCUUCUUCAUACAGCAACGAUAGCCGAAGAUGAAGGUAUCAUCCACUUGUUUUUGAUAAUCCGCUUCAAGUUCCUCCCUCUCUGCAGCAAACUCCCGUUCUAGCUCUUCUUUUUGCGCUGAUAAGCGCAGCUGCAAGUCUUCUUUUUGCUUCUUUUCAAUAGAAGCCUUUGUCCGGAGUUGCCUCACCUCCGCCCCCAUCCGGGCUAUCUCAUCCUCUGCCUCAUGCAGACGGGCAAUCGAUGAUUCCUCCCGGUCCUUAGCCUCAACCAAUUCCACCCGAAGGGCUUCAUUGUCCUCCCGAGCGGUGGAUAAGCUGGCUUCGGCCUCCACUAGUCUCAGGCGCAACUGGUCUUCAGUAUCUUUAUGCCGAGCGGCGAAGGCCUUCAUAUAAUCAGUGGUCCGCAGCAGGUCAGUGAAAAGAUCGUAUUGAUUGGCCAUGCCACGGAGACCACUCACCAGCUGCAGACAAACAGUCAAGCAAGAAAAGCAAAGUUAGAAAUCACACAUCAGAAUGACAAAAAAUCAAGAAGCACAAAAGCAGUUUAUCGUUUCCACUAUCUCGAACAUCUUGGCUGAAGGCGUGACAAGGGGCAAGUCGGGUGGAAUCUGUUUCAGCUUCUCUUCCAACUCCGAGUAGCUAAAAGGACUAGUAGAGGUGCAAGACGCAUCAUUAACAGGAUUCCUCUCCAAUGAGGCAAGAGAAGAUGACUCUUGUUCCGGAUUCGGGGCCUCAACAUUUACGACCGGAUGGGUCUCCCCUGGUGCAACCUCAGCCGGGACCAUCACAGGGAUGGCUGGAGGCUCAGUUGCCAUCUCCACUUCGCCCCCAUCCGGAUGAGCGUCGUGAGCAGAUGAGCAACUAACUUCGAUCUCUUGCUGACGAUCUUGAAGCCGCCCGAGGAGUCCGGACCUCAGAUUGCGCGCCGAGCGAGGCCUCUUUGAGGGUGGCCCCGUCACCAGAACAAGAGCCAGCCGGUCUGGAUCGUCAGAGGGCUGACUCUGGCUUUCUGCCCCCGCUUCCUCCAUGGGGGUCGCACAAACGGCUUCAGCUGCUUCAACAUCCGGGUUAAGGUUGCCCGGAUGAUUGAUGGACGCAGCUUCCUCAGCCACAUUAGCCAAACGGGCAACCGCGGCCAAAGAAGUGCUUGAGUGGUUCAGCCCCGCGACGUGUCCGGAUCCGCUUGAGAUGGAAUGGGGAGUAGGGUUCACUGGCUCCUCUAUCAUCACCUCCGCCUCGUGAGUGUUGGGCGGAGGAGCAAAUUCCUUGGGAGGAGUGGGCUCCUUCACUCCCUUCCCAUUCUUCUUCACCAGUUUCCUCUUUUUCGCUGGAGUUUUCUUUGGAGAAGAGUCUGCGUCGCAUUUCUGUCCGGGAGCCUUCCGAAGGGUUCCUUCGUUUUUCUUCUUCUCCCGAUUGUCCAGAAGCGCUCGGCGUUUUUCAGCAUCAGCCUCUUUUAACGCCUGGUAAAUCGGGAGAUCCUUCAUAGUAUAAUGCUCCCCAGGCACCACCUCCUUUGGCAUUUUCCUGGGGAGAAUGUUGACAACAUACUCUUGGGGCUCCCCGACGACCACCAUCAGGUUUCGCGCAAUGAGCAGCGUUUUGUAGUGCCUCUCCUUGGCGUCUAUCUCAAAUAGUUUGCUGAGACAAGCAAAAGACGCCUUUUCCACCCAGUCCACAAGGUGGCCCCUCAAUUCCGGACCUACAUUAACAGUAACAAAAGAUGAGAAUACCAUCCGGAAAAGUCAACAAAAAAUCAACAAAGUAAAAUCCGGACAAUAGUCGUAAAGCAAACCUACCCGGAACCACCAAGGAGUAGUUUGGAGAGAAAGGUCUCGCCGGAUGCUCCAAAAACCCCGCCCAUGCACCCCGGACCACCACGUGUCCCGUCGCCCCUCCCUUUAUCAAAUCUGGCAGCUCCGUCACCAAUUGAAGGGAGGGCAGGUGUGCGGACAUGCUGAAGAUGUCAUUUUUUACCUUUUUCAGAGAAUAAACAAAAAACACCUCCAGCAGCGUGAGGUCGAGGUUGUACAGCAUGUUUAUAAUGCUGCAUCCCAUCAGCACCCGGACGAUGUUGGGAUGAAUGAAAACGGGUGGAAUCUGGGUGAAAUGGAGGAACUCCUUGAACAAUGCUGGCAGAGGGAACCGGAGCCCUACGUUGAAUUGUUCCUUCGAGAAGAUGAUGGUUUUUUCUUCUGCUUUCUCAGAAGGCACAAGCACCCUCCCAUUCAGCAAUUCAAUAGCCACGCCAUUCGGGAUACAGAACCGUUCCCGGAAUUCCUUCGCAUCCAGCUUAUCUGUAGCUUUUUCACGAACCUCGCUAGCCCGGGAAGAUGAAACAGUCUUUUUUGCAGCCAUUUCUUACCACAAAGACAAACCAAAAUCUACAUACAAAGAAGCGCAAUGGGUAAAACACAAGUAACCCAGAAAAUACACAAACCCUAACCCAAAGCAGUCAGAAAAAAAACCCCCAAAGAACCCCAGAACACCAACAAAAUGCCAGCAUUCAAACAACAGACGCAAGCGACUUGCCCAAAACAAUGCCCAAACAAACCAGAAACCAAGUUCAAUCAACCAACAAACGCAACAAAAGGAACGACAAAAGCAAGAGUACACGUACCAAAUAAAGCUCUGAAGGAGAAAGGUUGCUGUCUCGAUACAAAAUCACGAGCAGCAAACGAAUGUCGCGAAUACAAAAUCACCGGUACAAAGAGCUUUCGAGUUCUUUACUCAGAGAAGCAAAGGACACAACAGAAGUGAGAAGAAGAAAGGCUCUCAGGAGAAUGCAGUAGGAAAAAAUGCAAAAAAAAGGUACAGUGCGCUAUUUAUAAGGGGAUAGCCCCUCGGAAAACCAAACGAACAGCUAUGCCAUCAUUGAAACGACAUAUUGCCUGGGGAUACACAGGGUCGGCGGCUCGUCAUAAAGGCCUUUUUUGGCUCCCGCACCCCCACUCGCCACGUGGCCCAGUCAGACGAAGAGACCUCUUCAGUUUUCAAAAAAAAUCAGUUAUUUUUUAGCCCGCCCAUUUUUUGGGCAAAAUAGGCAAGUUAAAAAGGGGGGCAAUGUAGGGACCCCUCCCUCUGAGAAACACGUGACACGCAUCUCACAGUGACACGUGGCACGUGUUAUUAGCCGGACCAUCAUCAUCCGGAUUCCCCUAAGGAUAUGCAUGAUGCAGUUCUCCUAUCCGGACCGCCUCAAAGAAAGGCAAAUGACGUUUCAGCUUCUCCUAUCCAAGGAAGAGCAAACGACGCUGGCAGAGCAUAGACAUCCGGACAACCUUCAUAAUACAUCCGCUCCGCAAUACAUCCGGAUAAUCAGCAUGUGCCAUCCGGAUAUAUCAGCAUGUGCCAUCCGGAUAUAAUCGACCGGAUCAUCAAUUAAAGUAAAACGAGUCUUACACGCUAUCACAACGAACAACCAUGGCCCACAUCCUGUCACCUGCAGAGUGAGAAGACAAGAUGAAGUGACAGCAAGUCACUUCCCACGAUCAUUCUACAUGAUCACUUCCCAAGAUCUAUGACAGUCGCAUCACCUACCAUGGUUUCUGACAAGCCGCUCGUAGGGUGAUGAUGCUCUUGCUGACGCCUAUUAUCAUCAUAACAACAUAAAAUAUCUCCUCACCAUUAAUGAGAAUAACAGUACCCCUGAAGCUGUAUAUAUAUAAGCCUUCACACAAAGAGGAAGAAGAUCCCCUGGUAACCUCCUGAUACCUGGUAAAAGGCCAACUGAUUUAUAUCUCUCUCUCACCAUGGCUAACAAAACCAUCUGAGGGUGCGUCCGGACACCCUGUCCGGAUGCCUUCUUGCAGGUAUAACGGCUGGAUCAAGAACCUUUAUGGGUUGAAAUCACGUGUCCAUCCAUCUGGCAAUUACGUGGAUCAUCAAAGACGCGAGGUAUCAACACUAUACAAAAUACAAGAACUCUAAUGCAUAAAACAAAAUAUCUAUCUUGUGUCUUUAAAACUUUUUUCAUAAUUUUGAAAAUUUUGAGAAAGAGAAUUUUUUUAAUCCUCAAAUUUUAAAAAAUAUUUUCAAGUAUAUAAGGUAUUUAUUUUUGUCUAAGAAUUUCUAUAUUUUAUAUGAGACUUUCUAUUUUAAAAACAAAAAUGAGAAAUGUAUCUAAACAUAUAAGUAAUUCUCUUUAAAUAUGUUUAUAAUGAAAUCGUAACUAACAAAAGUGUUGCAAAUAAAAAUACUUUAAGUAGAAUCAUUCCCAAUCGAGUUCAAAGUUAUAAGAAGUAUUUUUUAUUAAUAUUUCAGAUCACCAAAAGAAAUUAUAAGGGAUUGCAAUAUUACAAAAAAAAUUAAAAAUGAUUUUAGUUUAAGCUCUUCAUUUGCAGUCUUGUAAUCUCAUGCCCUAAAUUUUCCAAUUCAUCAAUUUCAUUGGUAAAAUUUUAUUAAAAUUAAUUAUUAUUAAAUAAAUUAAAUUUAAAACCUUUUCCAAAACCAUAUCCAUUUAAUUGCAAUAAAGCAAAACUUCCUUGUUAUCAUGGUAGAGUAAAGAGAAAAGAAUUGGUUUUAGAAAAGAAAAAUAUAAAGAAAAAGAAAAAUGUUCCAAAAACUCCUAAAAAUUCCAAAAUCCAAGGGUUGAGAUCCCAAAAUAUGGAAAAACUUUAUUCAACUGGAGUUGGAAUAGAACUCACUUGGAGUUGCAGUAAAACUUACUUUUGGUUGCAUAUCAUAAUUUCAGUUAAUCUCAUUUCUAAUCAACCCAAGUAACAAUUAAUGGGAAAAGAAAGUUUAGUAAGGGGGAACUCAUCUCUCUCUAUUAAAAAUAUCUUCAAGAUUUUAGUGCAUUCACGUAUCCUUUUAUUGCCUACCUGUAGACCCUCAAUUUUGUCCCUUUAGCGCAUGUCUUUAAAUUCGUUUUUAGUGCUCCACAGUAGUUCCUUGAUGGCCCAUGGCUACUCAUACCACUUACCUUUUUCUGAGUCACCUUGGAGACUUUGGUUGAGGGAUUAUUUGAUCCCUUAUUGUGACCCUUGGCAGCCCUAACUUAGACUUAGGCUUUUUUUUUUUUUUUAGGAUAGCUUUUAGAUACACUUGGCCCAUUAGGCACCAUCCUAGGCCUACUUAGUCUCACCUUAGGCCCGUUUAGGCACACUAGGCCUACGAAGACUUUUAUUUUAUUUUAUUUAUUUUGUUUUUAGUUUUAAUUUUAUGAUUAUCAUUCACUUUUUAUUGGUUAUCUUCCUCUUUAUAUUAUUUUCCUUAACUUAUUUAUUUAUUUAUUAUUUUGACCAUUUUUUAAUUUAUUUACUUAUUCAUCUAUUCAUGCAAUUAUUUAACUUCAAAAAUUUCAUGUUUUUUGCAAGGAAACUUACCAUUGGAGUUUAAGGAAGGCGGGACUUUCCUUGGAAGGUUUUGGAGGGGAAUUUGAAAUUGGGAAGAUUGCUUUUGAUUGGAAGAUUUAAAAAAAGAGAAGAGAAGAAGAAAGGAAAUAGGAGAAUUCUCCUUUUUGGAAACAAAUUUAGGUCUUGAGGGGUGAUAUAUAAAGGAGAGAUCUUGAAAAAAGAAAGCGCAGAGAGAAGAGCAGAAAGAGAGGGAGAUUGGAGGCAAGAUUGCCCAGGUACGUUUCUGGUUACUUUUGGUGUUCUUAUUCAUACUCGAUUCCUCCAUUUGAUGAUUUCUGAAUAUUCAAUAUAUUAUUGGUUGGUGUGGACGGAAAGGGCCACAAAUUGCUGUGUUGAAAUUAGAUCUUUGUCUGUUUGAUAUGUUCAUCAUUCUGUUAAUGUCAUCGAUCCCGCCUGAAAAUAAAUUGCAUACAUGUCCAUCUUCAGACUGGAUGGUAGAAAUCACGUCCUGUUUUUAUUCAAAUCUUAUUCUGAAAUCACUCCCCUGUUCUAAGCUAAUGGAUUGAAAUGCGAAAUUGUGACUUUUGUUGAUCAUCUUUCCUCUCUUUCUAUACGUUUUUGUUGUCUUCUUCUAUUUUUGGUCCAUACCUCAACAAGCUCUAUUCCUGGCCUUCAAGAUUUGUUCUCUGCUUCGGAGUUAAAAAUUAAAAAUCAUGGGAAAAGGGACACUCUGCUUUUUCUGCAUUCGGAUAAGCAUAAAGUGGUGCUCGAAAUCAUGGACUUCUCUAAGCCUUCUGGUACUGUCGUUGUGAUUCUAAAAUCUAAAAGUCAAAUACAACCUGGGCCAUUCACCUUCAGUAACAGCUCUAAUCAGUUCUACAGAGGAGUGUGUGAUUCUGAAAGCAAGGAAAAAGUUGACAGCGUUGGUUCAAAAAUUUUGGGGAUUAUGGAAAGAGAUGAGAAAUAAUGAGGAGAUACGAUUGGGGUUGAGAUUCUGGAUCUUUAAGGAAAAAUGUCAUGGGGAAUGGAAGCUGGCAAUGUUCUUACACUAUUUCUACGGCUUCAGCCAUUGGUAGCUGUCAUGGGUUAGGAUCUAGUGGCAGGCAAAAUAGCAGAAAGAAAGAAAUUGAUGCAGCUUCUGUUGAUAAGUGAGUCCCAAAUGCUCCGGUUGGAAGAAUGUUCUCUAUAUGUUAAUUAAUCAGAUGAGUCAGUCAUGGAAUUCAAAAUCCUCAUUGCUGCUGUCUGGAAGAAAAACUAUGGCAAUUAGAGAAGACAAUCAGUUCGACCCUUUUGUUGAAGAUUUUGUUUUGGAAAGACUUCCUGUUCAAAUUUCUCUGCGGAUAUUGUUCGAUGUAGUCCCUAACAUUAGAUUUCAAAAUGUUAUUGAACUGAUAAGUGUGCAGUCAGUUGCUUCUAAUCUAGCAUUCUUGAAGAGAAUAUGCAUGGUGAUGUUUUUAUGAUGCUUUAAAUCAGAAUCCCAAGAGAUCAAAGUGGAAGGGAUCGGAUUGAAGGAAUUUCAACAACCGCUGACUUCUUGAAGCCCAGCUUGACUGUGCCCAGUCCGUACAAGAAGUCUGACUUGUCUUAUCUGGUUGGUUCAUCUGGAGAUUAAAGUUUGAACAGCUUUGGGACAAUGUUGCGUUUCUAGAGAACCCGCAUGCUAGGCAGAAUUCGGUUGAUGAUGUUCUACAUAAUAAGCAACAGGGGAAUGGUUUGGACAGAAGCAAUUUUCUUUCUAAAAAGUUCAGUUGCUACUUCACAAAGUAAUUUGCAAGUGCUGGCGAGCAAAUGUCUCGCUGCCUAAUAUACUGAGAUGAUAUUGUUCCUAAAGAUGCGAAUGCAGCUGUGGCCAUCUAUCCAGCAGUUUGUUUGCAGCAAGGACUCGAAUGAACUAUGGUUCUGGUGCCAAAGUAUACUAGAAGUUGCAGAGAAGUUAUGUGGAUCUUUGCUUGUUCAUCAUCCUGAAGCACUCCUGAUGAAUACGUAUUCAGGCAACUGGAAACGUGCUUAUAUGGCUUUGUAGCAUCUUGUUGAAUGUCUUACUUCUACUCAUGCUCCUAAGCAAAGACAUUCCACUGCAAAGUCUAUCCACAUUAUCCCACAAAUUCAACUGUCAAAUUAUUUUGAAAGACAUCUCUCAAAAGCAUCAGCUAACAAAGGAUUUCCAUGGAGUAGAGAGGAUACUCUAGUCACAUCGUCUUCACAGUGAAAGAAAGGUCCAAUCUAAUCUUCAUACUAUUCAGAGUCUGAUGCUCUCAAGAAUACGUUAUCUUCAUCUUCUACAAAAUCUGAACUCAAAUAACUUUGUUGAAUCACUCGAGAGGUCCUAUGAAUUGGCAGCCAUGAUUAGCUCAGUGAAUAUGUAAAUUCCUGUGAUUAUCAAUCUUCUUAAUGAAGUCAACAAUCCCCACUCUGCUUCUGCCUAUGGGAGUCUCGAUUGAACCUGACUGCAGAUUCUGAGUUGCAGCAAGACUUCAACAACUUUAUUUUACCCGAAGUUUUGGUAGGCUGACAUCUGCAAAUGAGUUGGUUGUUGACUCUGGUCUGAUUACACGAACCUUUCUCUCUGAUUGUCAAGUAAAUUUAUUUGGUCCUAUUCUAUCCAAUGAUCCAUCUUGGCAAGAGAUGCGGACUCUGGUUGUUGGGAGAACAUGGGUGUAAUAUUCAGCAGUGAGGCCAGGGAUGGCGAAUGAGCAAUCCGGGAAGGAGAUCCAACCAUAUGGAGACAUUCAGUUGACACCUUUAGUUGACUACUACAGUUUCAUAACCUAGAAGACUGAUGCUCGCAAGGCAGGUAAGUUCAGUUGGGAACCGGAAUCAACCAUUCUGACCUUCAGAGAAGUAAAUUUGAAAGUACAACAGGGCCAUAAAAUAACGAUUUGCGGAUGAGUUGUGACAGGGAAAUCAUCACUCCUACAUGUUAUACUUGAAGAAAUUUAAAUGACAUAUUGAUCAAGUUUCAAUUCAGUCAGCUUGUCAUUAUCGGCAAUUCUAUGAUAGUUUGUUGAAAAUCGCAUUUCAAGUUUAAUGAUAUUGAUGGUGCUAUUGAGCAUGUUAAUAACUUUGCAGCCUCUGACGAAAGUCUCAUAAUUUAAUUCAUUGGGAAUGAAUUGCUGCAUAUUUAUACUCUGUCAAGGAUGAUAGAGAACGGUAUCCCACAUACUAAAAGAACUCAAGUUGGUAAGAAAGAGGUUGUCAAACGAAGUCAACCAGGGCAACGCCAGGACUUCACUAAAUUUCAAGCUGAAAUCAAGGUCUUAUCCAAAAUUCGCCACCGCCAUCUGGUUCUCCUUGAUUGGAUACUGUGAUGAAAGGCUUGAGAUUUGCAUUGGUUCUGCAUGCGGUACUAAUCACCUUCACACUGGUUCUGAUGGGGGAAUCAUUCAUUGGGAUUUUAAAUCAACAAACAUGUUGCUUCAUGAGAAUUAUAUGGUCAAAGUUUCUGAUUUUGGUCUUUCAAAAAUUAGACACUUCAAAUAAAUCUUGUAUCAGUACAAAUGUAAAGGGCAGUUUUGGUUACCUCGAUCCAAUUUCAUAUCUCCCAUGUGUCAGUUCUGGUCCAUACAGUAUAGAAAAUUCCCGAAUUUGUCACUCAUGCAGACCUAAUUGUGAAACAAAAAUUACUGCUGUAGAAGGUCAGUACCAGAUUGGAACCUACACUGUAUGUCAAAUUCAGUAUGGUGAGGAGAUCACCUUUGAUUAUAACUCAGCCACUGAGAACUGAGCAAGAAGAGACUCGAGAUUUGACAACUGCUAUCCAGGAGCAAGCACCUAAAGGCUUGGGUUUGAAAUCAACUGAGUAGUCAGAGAAUCCUAUCCAAAACAAGCAUCCUAGAAACUCAUUAAUGACAGAAAGCGGUGCUGAUAAGAAUCCAGAAUUAAAUGAGAAGCUACAGGGUGCAUCAGGGGUUUUGUUGGGGAGUCAGGCCACUGCCAGUAGAAGUGAGCAAGAGAAAGAACUGACAACCGCUGCCCAGCAGAAAGCAUGGGAAAUCCGUAAUUCUGGCGUUUUAAUUGAUAUGGAUCUCGACUUAACUGAGGGAUCUCAUUAUCUUGCCCAAAACAAGAUCCCAACAAGCUCACCAAUAACACACGACAGUGCUGGUCAAGAUUCGGCUAAUGAUGUUUCACAUAAUAAACAAAAGGGGAAUGGUCUGGAUAGAAGCAAACUCCCUCUCGAGAGUUCCUAUCUGAAAUUGUUCCAGUUGGUCAAUCACACGCUGUUGUUCCAUGCUCAAAUACAGAUGACAACAGCCAGUUGUUUCUGUAAGAUAUGUCAAUUUGCAACAAAGGUGCAAACUCAGCAGAUAUAAAUGUGCAUGAGACUAAGCUUGAAUCAACAUAUUUAUAUAUACAGAUGGAAUACUGUCCGGUGGUCAAAGAUUGAUGAGAAGGCUGACAUGUACAGCUUUGGGAGUUGUAUUCUUUGAACUAUGGCACUCGUUUGGAACAGUAAUGGAGAGAAGCAUCGUUCUUAAUAAUCUGAAAUAGGAGGGAGAUCUCCCUUCUUCUUGGGUUGCUGAAUUUCCUGAACAAGCAUCCCUUUUGCAGCACUUGAUGUCUCCAAGUCCAUCUGACCGUCCAACUUUGAGCCUUUUAUGUGAUGAUCCCGGUUCAUAGAACAAGGAAAAUUCUGAAGCUUGCUGAUUAAUUGUGGAAAAAUCAGGGAUUGAAGUUCCACUCGGGCUACUGCCAUGAUUUAAUCUCACCCAGUCUUCUGAAGUAAUGUCUAUUGUUCUACAUAAUACCUUGGUCUACAGAAGGCUUCACUCAACAUCAGCCUGCCCCACCAGUCAUUAGUAUUGUGAAGAACUGGACAUACUCCACUUACAACUGAUUCGUGGCAGAAACAGAGUAAGAAGAAGGGGGAAGGGAAAGAGCAAGACACACGACAAACUGGAGCUUCGAGGUUGCAUGAUUAAUUUCUAGAGAUACUUGAGAAGCAGAUGAAUUUUGGCUUCAGCAAAAGAAAACCAAGAACUUGAAAAUCGAGUUACAGCCAAAUCAAAUGCUAUCAAGCAUAUUGAUCUCAAAGCAAUGGGGUUCAGGACAGCAAAAGGACUCUAUACCUGUGGAAAUUGAAACUGAUCUAGCUGCCUAUCACAUCAAGGGUAUCCUUAGUUUGCUCUUGAUGAAUAAAUAGGAAGCACAUAUCGACUUUGUUUGUUUGUCCAGCUAAGAGACCAAUUGAUGCAGAAUUCUGGAACUGUUAUGGAAUUAGUAGAGCUUUUAAUAGAAAUACAGAUCAAACGCCAUCAUUAAAGAUGAAAACCAAGUUCAGUGCAGAUUGUUUAAGAUGGUCUCCGUGUGUGUCAGAAGUUAAGUACAGUAUCCAAGCAUUCUUGCUCUCCAUUGGAAUCCCUCAGCAAACAGCAGAAUUUGAAUCAUGUAUUCGAAGUAGUCAGGAUGUCUCUCCAAGUAACGAAGUCUUCACACAGGAAGCUUAAGUAUGCAGAAAAUGGUUUAUUUGACCACAGACCGCAUGAAUCGAACUCUAUUAUGGCAGAUUGAGGUAAAAGUUGAAAGGCUUAACCAAUUGAAAGCUGGCAAAAUACAGGGAACCUCUCAAUGCAGAAAAUUGGAAAUUCUAAACCUUCUAUUCAGUAUUUGGCUUAUGUUGUGAAGAACUCCAUUUCAGCAAUCUACAGAAGCAUCCCCAGGCGACCCAAGUAAUUCAGUCACAAAAGCAGCCUAGACACUAAUCCAACUUGGCCGCCUUGCCACAUACCAUACUCCUCCUAUUGUUUCUUCUUCUUUUUUAUGAUCUUAUACGUCUUAAAGCCGAAUUUCAAAACCUUUUUCUAUCAAAAAUGAAUUUGGUUUUCUCUAAGGUUCCUUAGAAGCAUUUAGGUACAAAAUCCAGAUUUUAACAUGCAAUUUGCUGCCACUUUAUUUCGGGUAUGCACGUUCACUGUUUUCUUUGAUUUUUAACUAUUUUCUUGAUUUUUCUUGAUUUUCAACAAGCAUGAAUAAACUUCAUGAUUCCAAACAAUGGAAUUCAUUGAAUCGACUCAUGCAAAAUCAACUUGGACCUUGGUGGGGGGUCCUACAUUCUCGAUAUCUUCACUAAUAUUGAUUUUAAAGAUGAUUGUUUGGUAUUUAAUUGAUUUUGAUUCCUUUUAGAGAAAUGUUUGAAUUUGUUUUAUAUUUGCUAUUGGGCUAACCUUGCUUCCCAUAAAGGCGCUACUAGCUUGCUAUCCAGGUACUCUUCUUCUCAUUUUUUGAGAAUUCCAUGGACACAUGUGUUAUUGAUGACUAUAUCCAUACAUGAUGUGGUUUUUGGAUGUCUUGAUAUAUGCCUGAUUUGCUUGAAUAAAACAAAUGUUGUGUGCUACAUUUCUACACUAACUUUUUUGUUUUAUGAUAGCGCUUGAAGAGCGGUUCAGGUACGCACCUUAACUCUCCUUUAUCGCAAUUUGAUUGUGUUUGGCAUGCCACUCUCUAAAAUCACCUAGCCUAUGUAGGUAUCUAUAAUUAAUGGAUUAAUUGCCACACUUCCCUUAACUUUGUCAGUAGAGACCUUUUUAGGGCUUAGAGGGGUGCUACCUCCUAGAGGUACCUUCCCAAUAAGUAACCUGAUCCCCGGACCUAGACUCGGGUUUCUCAAAGACAUGCUUUUUCCAAAACUAUGGAGUCACUUUUUAGGGUUUUUCUUUCUUGUUUUAUUUUCCCUUUAAAAUAAAAAUAAAAUAGGUGGCGACUCCAACUUUUUUUAAAAAAUUAAUUUUUCACAAAUAAAAAGCGAGUCUCGCCGAUCGAGUGGGGACGCACGUGAAAAAUGCGGGUCCACACUACCCAAUAAUAAAGAUCAUUUUUUAAAAGUUUUCUCACUACUUUUACUAAUAUUAGUUGUCCAAAUAUUUUAACUUUAGGGUCAUGGUAUAUUCUAUUUAAUAAUACUUGUAUUUUUAAUAAGUAUUCAACACAUCUACAUUUAUUCUACCACAUUAGCAUUAAUAUAGUAUAACUGUUCAUUCAUUUUUUGUCAUCUCAAUACUUCUAUAAAGGAAGAAAAAAAAUGUUAUUUGGAUUUGAAAAUAAUUAAUAAAAGCUUUAAAUUAUUAGAAAAAUGAAUUACAACAAUUCUUUUAUAAUAAAAUAACUUAAUUAUCAAUUUAUUUAUUUUCAAUUAAUUAAAUUUCAAUAAAGUGCAUAGUAUAAAUAAAUUAUUAUACCACAUUAGUAAUUAUUAUUAUAACACCUCAGCAAACUUAGAAUACCAAAGAUAUUGAAUAUAUUCUCCUUGAUAAUUUCAUGUAUUAUUGAUGUAAUUGCAAUAAUUUAUCAAAAAUUUUUUUCAGGUUUUAGGUGAUUAUGGAUGUGUACAUAAUUCUUAUAUUUUUAUUUUAAAAUUUCAAAAUUUACGAUUUUUUCCAUAAGAAAAUCUCGAGUGGACAAUGAAUUGUAAUUAAAUUAAAAACAUUCUUACUCCAUGAUAAUUUUUAUUUAUUUAUUUAUUUUUUCUUUUCUAACAUACAUAUCUCAACAUCUUGAUAUUUUAAACUAAGGAUCUAACACCUGAUCCAUAUAAGAUUUUUUUCUAAAACAAAUUAUUAAAAAUCCUGAUUAAAAGUAGAAUAAAUAAUAUCUUUUUUUCAAAUAUUACUUGAAUAAACUAAUUUCUUACCAAUUUUAUAAUUAUAAAAAUGAAAUAAAUAAAGAAGUAAAUCUAAGGAGAGCGGAUAUAGGAAAUGUUAAUCAUAUGAACAUUCUUGUCUAUUAUGGUAAUUAUAUUAUGAAAUAUGAACUUCUUUAUCAAGUCUACCUAUAUUGAUUGUAAUUCCUUAUGGUCAAGUUUACCCAAUUAAAAGUUUAACUACUUAAAAAGGAAAACUCGUGAAUUUUAUAGAUGUAAAGGUAAGGAGACAAAAUCUUAAUAACACAAACAUUCUCUCACUUAAACUUAGUUAUUAUGGUAAUUAUAUUAUGAAAUAUGAUCUUUUGUAAUGAAUUGUAAUGAAUUAAAAAUUUGUUAUUAAAAAAAAAUUGUUAAUUGUAUCCCUUAAAUCUCUUAACACAUCCACCUAUUUUCUAUUUUGCAAAAAUAAAUUUUAUAUUUAAAAUCCCUAAAACACCCUUUUCUUCAACAUUACCAUAUUCAUACAUAAACCCUAACUCUUAACACCCUCUUCUUCAACAUUACCAUAUUCAUGCAUAAACCCUAACUCUAUUUCAUCUUCUUUUCCUUUCCUUUCCUUAUUCUUCUUCCCUUCCUUUCCUCCUCAUCUUCUUCUUCAAUUUUUAUUUUUUAAAAUUUUUUUAUUCAUUUAUUUUCUCACUUUUAAACAAAACCAUUGCCAGUGAAAGGUGGCGCUGCCCAACCCCACAACCACCCCCCCAAGCACCUGAGUUUGUCAAAUGGACGUCCACAGAAAGGAUUUCACUGAUGGGCAAUCGAAUUGAGAAGUUAACAGGAUCGCCCACAUGCCCCAAUCUCUCAACACUUCUUCUGGAUUUUAAUACCGAUUUGAAAAUGAUAAGCAACGGUUUUUUCCAAUUUAUGCCCAGUCCAAGAGUAUUGAGCUUAUCAAAUACCAAAAUAGUUGAGUUACCAUUAGAUAUUUCUAAUUUGUUUUCUUUGCAAUAUCUUGAUUUAUCUAAGACAGAGAUAAAGAAGUUAUCAGUUGAGAUAAAGAAUCUCAUCAAAUUGAAGAGUUUGAAAUUGAAUAAUACAUCUAAACUGUCUUCAAUUCCAGGAUGACUAAUAUGAUCAAGUCUUUCAAUGCUGCAAAUGGUUCACAUGUACCGAUGUGGACUUUAUGAAUCAGAUGGUUAUGAGUCCUUGAAAGAGGAAUUGGACAGUUUGAAAUACUUGGCCCAAUUGCAUAUCAUCAUAGCAAGUGUCUCUGUGUUCCAGAGAUCUUUAAGUUUAAGAAAGUUGCCGAGUUGGACUCAUGGAAUCUGCCUCCGGAUUUUCAAAGAUUCAAGCUCACUCGAUGUAUCAUCUCUCAAAAAUAUAAAGCUUCUCACUUGGCUUGCGAUAGAUAGAUUUUGAUAGUUUGAGAGAGAUUAAGUUUGAUUGGGCAGGGAAAGGAGAGGAAACAGUGGAGUAUAGGAAUCUCAACCCAGAGGUCAAAUGCUUCCAUGGCCUUGGCUCUGUGUACAUCUGUAAAUGCCAGAUGUUGAAGAAUAUGACGUGGCAUAUUUUUGCCCCAAACCUCAAAUAUCUUGCAAUAGGAGAAUGUGAUGAAAUAGUAGAAGUGAUAGCGAAAGGUGCAGAGGAUGGAGGAAAUCUGAGCCCGUUCACAAAACUCUUAUAUCUAACCUUAUUUGAUUUACGACAACUGAAGAGUGUGCACUGGAAUCCCUUGCCCUUUCUUUACCUAGAGAGAAUUGAAGUAGAUGGGUGUCCGAAGCUGAAGAAGCUACCACUCAACUCCAACAGUGCCAAGGAACGUAGAGUUGUGAUUACAGGAAAGCAGUUGUGGUGGAAUGAGUUAGAAUGGGAGGAUGAAGCUACUCUAAAUACUUUCCUUCCCUGUUUCCAAGCAAGAUAAGAAUAGGGGGCUAAGGUAUGAUUCCAAUUAAAAUCAAACCAAAUAUGAUAGGAAUGUGUAUUAUUCUUUAAUUCACUCUCUAAUCAGUCACUUUUCAUUUUCAGGAUUUGAAGGAAUAAUAAAUAUUUAGGUGUUUGUUGUGGACGUGAGGUAAUGCCUUGAAUGUUCAUAACUUGGUACUAAUGGUUUUAAUAUUCCAUUUUUCUUUUUCAGGACUUCCUUUUUUGGUAAUUAAUAUUUAUGGAACUGAUUGAGAUUGUACUUUCAAGUUUUUGUUGUGCUUAAUCUUCAUUUCAGGGAUUUCUAGUUUCGACUCAUGCUUCUCUUUAGAAUUUUAUUUUUAUAUUUUCAACAUGUUUAUUUAAGUUCCAAAUCCAAUUAUGAUGAGAAAAUAUUCAAUUUUAAAAUCCAUUUCCAUAUAUUAUGAUUAAUUAAUAGAUGUAAUUAAAACCUUUACAUCUGUUAAAUAGGGUAUUAUUUAACACUAAAACCUUUUUUUUAGUGUUUUAUAAAAAUAUGGGUGUUCAGAAAGUUGUUUUUUAAAUCAUUUUUAAAAAUAAAAAAAUAAAAAUUUGUUUGGAUAAAUUGUUUUUAAAAUAUUUUUUAUUUUACAAAAAGAUUAUAAAUUCAAUUUAUAUAAUAGAAAUUUAAUUUAAUUUAAGUCUUAUUGAAAUGAAAAUAUUUUUUAAUUACAAAUAAAUUUAAAAAUAAAUAGUUUUUAAGAAAAUAUGAAUAGUAAUGAUACAAUAAAAUUAUUAAUUUUAUUUUUUAUAAAUAAAUAUUAUUUUAGUAUAUACUAGAAACAUAAGGAUAUUAACAUCCUCAUAAAUAUUUUUUUAUUAAAAAUAAAUGAUAAUAGUUUAAAAAUAAUAAUCAUUAAUAAUUUUUAUUUUAAAUAAAUAAUGAAUAAAGUUUUAACAUAUAUAUGAAUCAAUUUUUUCAUUAUAUGCACACAUAUAGUACCUAAUUAUGAAUAUAAUAUUUUAAAAUCUCCAUCACCUCAUUUGAGGUUUUGAACUUUAUGAGAAAUUCAAAUCAUCAACAAUAGAAUUGCUCUUUCAAUAUCAAAGGCUCCUUUUGGCGUCAAUACACCGCCAGUUAGUUAUUGAAACAACACGUUGAUACACAUAUCUAAGUCUUAUAUAUUGGAAUUUACCAUUUACACAUUUACACAUUUUCUAUCUCAAACCGUUAGUGAAAGAUACAGGGCAAAUCUGCAUUCAAAUGAUCCGAGCCUGUCAUGUACAAUCCAAGCUCAAAAGUCAAGCUUAAUUCACACAAAAAAGCUGGUCAGCGCACCAAGCUCAAGAGCAAUGAUAAGACUGCCAUUUACCAACCUGACAGAAGCUUGAUAUCUCACAUGGAGAACUUACAAGGUGGGUAAGCAUUUGUUAAUUGAAACCAAUCAAUCCUGAUGUAGAAGAUGGACAUCUCACAUGAAGGGCAUAAGGUGAAUCCCUAGGAUCCUGUUGAGCAAGUUGGACUACACUCCAAUCAAGAGCUAAGAUCUUACUAUACCAAUUUAGGUUAUCCUGAUCACAUGUUAGUGGAGGAAGUGUCGUUGAUUUCCAUUUACAUAACUUUGAUUUAGUAGUUUUGGUCUAAUUGGGGUGUAAUAUACAUUAUACAAUGGGGAGAGGGAGUGCGAUGAGGUAGUAAAAACAGGCCACAACUUGUGAAAAAGGGUCCAAAGUGGAACCCCUUUUUAAGGCUUUUAAUCCUCUGCAGCUCUGUUGAAAUACUAUAACCCAGAUUACUGGUACACAAGCGUGACCAAAAACCAUCAUUUCUGGUGGAUUAUUCCUACCCUUCAUUGAGGGAAGUCUAACCCUGCAGACAAAUGCAAUCUAGAUGGCUGAUUUUCUAGCUUCCAUUAAUGGGGAGAUUUUCUCUCAACAUUCACUGACCGUUCUAAGUGGGUAAAAAUGAGAAGUUAAGAGGCAACCUACAUGAUGAAUUAGUCAUACAGAACAUGAGUCCAGAGAUAUUCUCAAGUACUUUGGGGUCCUUUAGGACAUGGAAACUACUUGAGAAAGGAAAAUAAAAAAUAAAAAUAAAAAUUAUGAAGGAACCUGUAUUCUCUUGCUUGGUUUGCUAAGGAAAAUUUUGCUUUCCCUUUUUCAUCCUUAUUUUCUUAUUCUCAUACUUCCCCUCAAACUUUUCAUGAUCUAAACAGAAGUUUGACAUAUUUAAGAAGCUACCUGACAAGUAUUUCCUUCCACAAUUGUUUAUUCAACCAAUGAGGCACUUGUUCCAUUACUCAAUUCUCAAUCUAGUUUCCCUUACACUAACCCUCAAGAAACAAAAUAACACUAAGCGGGGGUUAUUUUUCAAUAUAAAAAUUCUCUACCAAGAUAUCAGACGUCUAUGAAUUGAAAAUUUAGAACAAUAUUUUCCAAAUCACCCGUGGGGAUCCAUGAUAAGAUAAAUUAGUUACAUUCUCAUGCUUCUUUACGAACCUUUUUCAACAGACCGAGCCCAGUUAAUGGUUGAUCUGGCCAAAGCAUCCAUCAGAUCAAUACAUUUCCUAAGCAGAGGAUCAUCCCGAGGCAAAAGAUCACGCAUGUCAUCAGAGGCAAGGAUGACAGUGUUCACAGCCCUCGCCAGAAGAACUUGCAUUGCAAUUCUUAGCAGAUUCCUUGCCACUUCCAUGUCCUUUCGAUUUAAAGAUUCAAUUGCAGAAAUUACAGUGUGUUCCAUUGUUGCUUCAUCUGGAACAACAACCUCAAACCCCUGCAAUUAAAAGCAUCUUUCAGAACUUCAGAACUCCCAUAGAUUCAUAUGGAACAUCACUAUAUAUAUAUAAGCAUGCACUUCAAGGCAGUGUAUGUGAAACACGAUCAGGAGUGUGAGACUGUAAUGACACACGGAAUUCCAAAUCCUAUCAUUAUAUAAUAAUAUAAUAUAUUAAUUUCAUCAUUAUUUUAUCCAUCAUGUGUAGGUGGGACCCAGCUCCGCCCAAAACUGCAAUCCUAUCACAGUUGGCAAAACAUUUUGAAAUUCGCUUUUGAGCUCUGUUUUAAUUUCAGUAAACAGUUACAACCAGAAAUACCAAAAGGAAACAGAAUACAAGUAAGAUGGUAUUUCUGGGGGUUUUAGACAAGCUGUCAUGAUGAAGACAAGAUGGGGGUUUAGCAAAAUGGAUGCUGAUUUUGUAGUAUCGAAGAUUCAACAUUCUUUUGUUAAAGGCCAUUAAAUUUUGGAUGCAAAUUUGAAAGCCAAUGAAGCCAUAGAUUUUAGACUGAAGAGUUUGAGAGGAGGAGUGAAUCUGUAAGUUGGAUAUUCAGAAGUCCAACAGUCAUGGGAUUUGGCAACGAGUGAAUAUGUUGGAUACAAUUCCUCAUGUCUAUUGUAACAAUUUCUCUGUUUGUGAAUGGCUCUUUUUUGUUUCUUUCAAAGUCCAAGCGGGUUGAGACAAGGCACCCUCUUAUCUCCUUUGUUUGUUCUAGUUAUGAAGACUUUUAACUGUUUUGUUACCAAGGUGACAAGAGAGGCUUCUUUUAUGACUUUAAAGUAAGGGAAGAUGAAGAAAAGGGUUGGAAGUCUCCCAUUUACUCUUUGCAUUAUGAUAAAUUGUUUUUUUGUGAUUGAUCACGGACUUAGUUUUGAUGUGAAGUCAUCUCAAAAUUGAGAAUAAGCUUGAAGAAAAGUGAAAAGUCCCCAAUAUUGAAGAAUUAACCUCUUUGUUGGGUUCCAAGGUGGUCAAGUUACCCUUCUCUCUUUUUUUUUUUUUUUUUUUUAAGAUAAUCAAAGAACCUUCUAAACCCUUAGGACUCUCCAUAGAGACCCAAACCUUGGGCCUUCCCUAACAAUCGACACUGGGUAAAUCAAAGUAUCAUCAAUAGCAAGAUUUAAAAUCAAGAUCAUGUGCCGCUUAUUAGAACCACAUGCAUCUCCCAUCAUUCGCCCUAACCAACUGGGCUACCCAGCGGGCAUACCUUCCUUCUUAGUCUUCCUGGGUUUUCCCUUCAAAGUCUUCUACCAUGUCAAAUGUUCUGAAGGAGAGGCUACUUAAAAGGUUAGCCUCAUGGAAGUGCUAGUAUUUCUCUACAAGUGAAGAUUAACCCUUUUGAAAAGCAUUUUAUCCAAUGUGUCCAUUUACUAUUUGUUAUCCCAAAAAGAGUUCAUAUGAGGUUAAAAAUGAUUAAGAAAGAGUGUUGGUGGCCAGUAAGUUUUUUAAAGAAGAAACCUCAUUUAGUCAACUCAUAUACAAUGUAUUUAGAUGAUAAAAUAAAAAUUAAAUUAAAUUAAAAAUGGAGGCGUUGACAUAAUCAUUUUGUUCACAAAUAUAUAAUUUAUAUUAUUAAAAUUCACAAUAAUUAUAAAAAGGAAAAUAAUUAAAAAUAACCAAAAAUAUCUUUUUUUGAGUGAAGACACUUUUAAAUUUUCUAACUAUUUUCUAACUUUCAUAUGUCAAUAAUAAAUAAAAAAUAAAUAAUUAUUUUUUACUUUUUAAUUAAAAGAAUUUUAGAAUAUCAAUUUUCAGACCUAGGGCAUGUGCAAAACUAUAUUGUUUAUGGUCAAAAUGACAAUUGAUGAGGAUGGUACAACCCAUCCACUCCAAUUUUUAAAACCAUGUUUUUAAGCAAGGCUCCAUUAGGUAAGUAGAGUUGCAGAUUUGCCAUAUAUAGGGAUAAUAUAGAACAAUUUUUGCUCACAAAAGUAGACAUCCUACAUUAGUAAAACCUUUGUAUGCCAGUACCUAGCAUUUAUAAUGCAUAACAAGAACUACAAAACACUUCUUUCUGAGGUUGUUCAAAUUUACACUUCCAUUAAAUGGACUCCUCAAAAUGGGCUACAUCAAAUUUAACCAAAUUCAGUCAAGGAAUACUAUGACUGAAUUACCACAGGGAAUCUCUAAUUUGGUUUCAUUACAGUAUCUCAGCCUAUCAAAAACCAACAUAAAAGAGUUGGCAAUUGAGUUGAAGAACCUGGGUAAAUUGAAAUGCUUGGUGUUGUUUGACAUGCCUCAACUUUCUUCAAUUCCAGAGCAGUUAAUAUCAAGUCUUUCAAUGUUGCAAGUUAUUGAUAUGUUCAACUCUGGAAUUUCUGAAAGAACAGUACUCAAAGAUGGUAUUUUGUCUGAUGAUAAUGAAGCCUUGGUUCAGGAAUUGGAGUCCUUAAAGUACUUGCAUGGUUUAGGCGUCAGUGUAACAAGUGCCUCUGCUUUCAAAAGGCUUCUAAGCUCUGACAAGCUAAGAAGCUGCAUUUCCCGUCUAUGCCUCAAGAAUUUCAAUGGUUCAAGCUCUCUCAAUUUAACAUCUCUCAGCAAUGUAAAGUGUCUCCUUAGCCUCUAUAUCUCAAACUGUGGCUCGUUGGAAGAUUUGGAGAUUGAUUGGGCUUGGGAAGGAAAGGAAACAACAGAAUCUAAUUACCUUAACUCAAAGGUCAGUUCCCACAACAGUUUCCACAGCCUUUCGUGGCUAGGUGUCGAAAGGUGUUCGAGGUUGAAGGAUCUAACAUGGCUUGUUUUUGCUCCAAACCUUAAAGUUCUUUUAAUAACUAGUUGUGAUCAAAUGCAAGAAAUAAUAGGUACCGGUAAAUGUGGUGAAUCUGCAGAGAAUGGAGAAAACCUGAGUCCAUUUGCCAAGCUCCAAGUGCUUCACUUAGAUGAUCUACCACAAUUGAAGAGCAUAUUUUGGAAAGCCCUGCCAUUUAUCUACUUAAAUACAAUCUAUGUAGAUAGUUGUCCACUUCUAAAGAAGCUACCACUCGACGCCAACAGUGCCAAGGGACAUCGAAUUGUCAUUUCCGGACAAACCGAGUGGUGGAAUGAAGUAGAGUGGGAGGAUGAGGCAACUCAAAACGCUUUUCUUCCAUGUUUCGUACCUAUUGAAGAAUAAGGGCCUGCAGCAAUCUCAGAGAGGCUACGAUGCGAUUCUCGGUGAGACCCUUUUCACAAUUAACUACCAUUUGAUCCUGAAUAGGUAUUGGUCCAAAUAAAACAUUCAAUUAUAGCAUC
RNAcentral lists this long non-coding RNA (211157 nucleotides) under Vitis vinifera (wine grape). RNAcentral describes it as "long non-coding RNA (VVIN_LNC002799)". The stretch from base 69039 to 69132 matches the Rfam family "Small nucleolar RNA Z122". The record is from RNAcentral. Lineage: Eukaryota; Viridiplantae; Streptophyta; Magnoliopsida; Vitales; Vitaceae.